Molecule: long non-coding RNA, 315893 nt
Filed under: Citrus maxima (pomelo)
Lineage: Eukaryota; Viridiplantae; Streptophyta; Magnoliopsida; Sapindales; Rutaceae
Description: long non-coding RNA (CMAX_LNC000229)
Rfam family: Plant small nucleolar RNA R71 (bases 19872-19978)
Source: RNAcentral
GGAAAAUUAGGUGAAGAGAUGAUGUCAAAUCUUGAACCUCUUACAAAACUCUAAGUUCUUUACUUGAAGAAGCUACCAAAUUCGAACAGCAUCUACUGGAAGGCCUUGCCAUUCCCUGAUGUAUGCAGAAUUUUUGUAUUUAAAUGCCCAGAGCUUAAGAAGCUGCCCCUGGAUCUUGAAAGGGCAGGCCAAGGUAAAAUUCUUAUCAAGGGAAAGAAAGAUUGGUGGAAACAACUUCAAUGGUAGGAUCAAGUAACUCAGAAUGCAUUGCUUCCAUUUUUAAAAUCAACUGACAAGUGAUUGAAGGGGGCAUCAUCAACAUGGAUGGAGAGAUUCAGGAGCAGAUCAGCAGGGUUUAGUACGACCUGUGGUGGUAGCUUUUUUGUGACUUUUUUCCCUUUCAUUUUUUCACUUCCUGUCAUAUUAUCAUUUCUUUGUCUCUGUUUCUAUUGCUGGUGUUGCUGCAUGCUUGCUGCCCUUGACAAAGUUAGCUAGUUUUUUUGUUUAUUAAAUUUUGUAUGUUCGGGACAGUCACAAAGUAGUACUUGUUCUAUAUGGGGGUGAUGUGAAUCAACUUUUCAAUUAUAUAUUCUGUGGUAAUUGUGAAUUCAAUUUCAUUUGUCUCCUGCAAAUUAUGAAGAAAGUACAGAGUUAGAAUAUGGAAAAGUUCACUGGCAAAUACUUUGUAAAAGCUUCGGAGUGAAACAGGGAAUGCACUUGCAACUAAGGACAAAUUGGUGGCCAGCUAAUGCAUUCAUUUUAUGUACAUUCAUCUUUUUAAUUAUUGAAGAUAAGUGGUUCGUUGCUUUUGUUGUAGAUAAAAUUCAGGCGACCUCAAUUGUGAGAUGAAAAUAUUUAAAAUAUCUCUUAAAUUAUUAUAAACUUUAAUUUAUCUUAAUUUUAUUUAAAAGAUAAAAGAAAAAUGUAGUAUAUGGAUAAAAAAAUUUUUAUCUUCUUAAUAAAAUGAAAUAAAUUAAAAUUUACAAUAAUUUAAAGUAUUUUUAAAAUUAUUAUUUCAUAAGAGAUUAAUAUGAAAUUAAUCCUUUUUACUUUUUGAAUGUGAAAGGACAAGAAAAGAGAAAGCAAGUUUCACUGCUUUUUAUUUUAUUUGAAAUCGGAGUUAUCCCAUAUACUUUACUACUUUAGCUCUAACAUUACAAUGUUUUUAGGCUACACUUUUAUUUUUCUUUUUUCCCCUUUUUUUAUACAUGCAUGUGGAUUACUUUUCUCUAAGCUCCUUAAUAUUUAAGACAAAUCAUAAAAGCGAUUGAAGUAUAACAAGAUGAUCAAAACAUUUAACCAAAAAUAAAUAAAUAAAUAAAACAUUGAAAAUGGAGAUGUUGAUUAAUGUAGAAGAGAUGCAAGCAAAAGAUAUUCCCAAAAAAAUGAAAAAAAGAAAAAAGCAACGUUAGUUCAUCCAUGUCUGUCAAUGCGUUUUUUAUGGUUUUUUUUCCAGUUGUUUGUUGUAAUAGAUUGAUUGCAAAUUGAUAUGAACUUGAUGUUGUAAUAUGUUCGCUUUUGUGGAAUUAAAUUUGAAUAUUCAAGAUUAUUCAAGUCUUAUUUAGUAUGUGUUUAGUUGUGUUGUCGAUAACUUUGCAUUCGAAUAAGUUUUCACCUAAAAUAUUAGCAUGAGUAGUAGUCCUUGAAACUUUGGUCAAAAUUAUUGUUAUUGUUUCUUUUAGAGGAAAUUUUUUUAUUAAAGCCUCGUUAACACUAUUUCUUAUUAAGAUUAUAAGUUAGUGUCGGUGUAGGAUUUGCAGCGACAAAUCCUGUCUAGCCACGUGUCAAAAGUACAAAUAAAUCAAGGGAAAAGCACAUGUCGCGGAUUAGGAUCCAAUAAAAUUUAAAUCCCAAGGAAAAGGACAAUUGUAUCCUAAAGUUUCAAUAAGAGAUACUGAUAUAUCUUUUGACUAAUGUUAUUUUUUGGCUUCAUUAAUAAAAAGAUCCAAUAGUUUAUAACAAAUAAAAAUAUAGUAUUAAGCUAAAUGUGAUAAUAUAUACAUUUUACAUAAUUUCAAUAAAAAACAUUUUAAUGUUUUACAAUCUAUCAGACAUAUUUUAUUAAAUUAAUAAGAAUUUUCUUAUAAAUAGCAACAUAAUAUUAAAAUAAAUUUAUAAAGAUUAAAAUGUAAAAUAAUUUUAGUAUAAUUAAUACGUGGGAUAUAUUUUGUAAAUUAUAAAAUUACUUAACCCAAUGAUUUUUAAAAUAAAUAAAAAUAAAUUAUUCACAUUUUGAUGUAAAUAUUUAAAACAUUUUUAUACAUUAGUCCACAAUUAUUUAUGUUAUAUUUGUAUUUAUUAGAAAUUUUGAAAGUCAAAAUGUUUUUCACCUCUAUCUUAUUAGAAUUAUUGCACACAGAGAAAGAGCCAUAUAUGCUUUAUAGCUUUAAAAUCGGUUUGUUUUAUAGCUGGGAACAGAGAUGAUCAUUAUUAUAAGGAUUAAAAAAAGAUAAAGAAUAUUAAUGAUUAACGAAAUCUUUAUGGAAAUUGAAUUUAGUAAGAAAAAAUUGAGCUGAUUUUAGUGGUAUAGUAAUAUUUUAUAUAGAGAAAAGUAAAAGUUGCACCCCCAAAUGUUCAAAACUCUUUUUUAAUCAUAAUAUUCUUUUUCCUAGAUAACUUAAAAAUUUGACUCUAAUAUUUUAUAAUAAAUAAAAACAUAUAAUCCUAAAAUAAAUAAAAUAAUAUAUAUUUUAAAAUAAUCUCAAUAUUUAAAAUAUAUUUUAACAUUUUAUAGUCUAUCAGAUAUAUUUUAUUUUUUUAAAGUAAAUUUUAUAAUAAAUACAAACAUACUAUUAAAAUAGAUAUAUAAAAUUUUUAAAGUAUUUUGAAUAUUAUAUAAAAUAACUUUAAUAUUGUUAAUGCGUGAGAUGAAUUUUAUUAACUAUUAGAUAGACUAAACUAUUUAUAUUAUUUUCUAUUUAUUAUAAAAUUUCAAAGUUAAUCUUUUUAACUACUAUUCAAAAGAUGUUAUGAUAAAAACAGAAUUUUUGUGUUUUUAUUGAAAAUUUGGAGUUUACAUCUAUUUUUUCAAAAAUUCGGGGUGUAACUGUUUUUUCCCUUUUAUAUAUACGAACGGUGGUGAGAAAGCUUGAUUUAACGUUAUUUAUUUAAAUAAAAUCUCAGUUAAAAAUGUACAGAGAAGAAAUUUCUGUUGGUAUUUUAGUCUUUUACCAAUUAAUUGUUUCACUUUUAGCGCUAGUGGCGUUGAAAGUUGUCAAGAAAAAGCAAGACCAUAUUCCACAAAAGCAAAAGUAACGUAGGCUCUUUUAUUAAAGGCAAAGUAUAAAGUAGUCAAGAAUCGAAUAUCCUGUCGUCUACUCUUUUUUUAAAUUCUUCUUUUAUUAUCUUUUAGAAUAGUUUUUGGUAAUUACAAUCAUUAUUCAGAGUUAUUGUUAUCUUCCGGGGCAGUCUCUGUUCAUCGAAGUCGUUACCUUUUUUUUAUGGAUCAGUUCCAGUGGUCAGCAGUAAUUUUCUUAGAACUCGGAUCUUUAAUUCGAGUUUCUGUGUGAAUUAAUAAUAAAAAAUUUUCAUUACACGCAAUUUAAGCUACGAAUUACUUUUUGCAAAGUUGAAUAUGAAAUUGGAGAAAUUAAGUAAUUUAGAAUGUUGGUAAAAAUUGACGAACAUAUCUCCAAUUACAGUAAAACCUCUCUACAGUCAUAACAUUAUAACAAAAUUAAUUUUAUUACUAUGUUGAGGUAAUAUAGGUUUAGUUACAAAAUUAUUGUUUUAAUAUGGUUGGUGUCAAGUGAUAUAAAGGUUAAAUAUGCAGUACAAUGAUAAUUAAAUAAUGAAGCGUGUCAAUUCUAAUGUAUAUAUAUUAAUGAUAUAGAUAGACAUAGUUUUAAAAAACUAAUUAAUGUAUAUUUAUGUAGUGUUAUGAAUAUGGAAAGUCAAGCCUACACUUGACAUUAUCCUUAGUUUUUUCUCUCAGUUAAAUUCUACAAAUAUUGUACAAUGAUUGGGCAAGAACUCUAAAUUAAGAAUAAAUUAUUGUCACAAAUAAUUUUAGAAAAUAUUUUAUUUCGUCUUAAACCUUUAAUGUAAGUAAACAUAUAUAUAUAUAUAUAUGUGUGUGUGUGUGUGUGUGUGUGUGUGUGUUUGUGUGUGUGUGUGUGCAUAUUUUGCAACGUAUAGAUAAUUGUUAGUAUAUGGAGACAAGUCUUUUAAGGUAGGACCUAGAAAAAUUUAUAACUUACUACACUGGGGAGUUUUUAUUCCUUUUUAUAAUUGGCUCAUAUUGAUACAUUCUUACACAAAAAUAUUACCAUUGACAUAUUUUACUACAAUUAGUUUAGAUUCUUUAGAACAUUUGUUAGGAAAAAAAAAAAAAAGAAAAGAAAACAUCCCUUGGAUGUAGCUCUCCUGACUAUUUAAAUCUUUUAAGGAAAAAAAGAAAAAAAGAAAAACUGACACAUUCAAAUCUUGAAGCAAUUACAUUAAAACCUCUCCAUAAUGAUAGGAAUAAUCUCCAUUUAGUAAUAAAAAAUUUUGUUCGCAAUUUAGGCAGAGUUAUAAAUAAGAAUAAAAUCCUCAUUGUAAUAAGUUAUAUUUAUUAUGGAUCCCAUCCUAAGGAACUUGUCUCUAUAUAGUAAUAAUUAUUUGCAUAUUAUAAAUAUAUAUGUUGCAUUAGAUUAAACGAACUUGUCUCCACAUACUACUAAGACAACAAGAGAAAGUUAUUAAAGAGAACACAAAUAUUUAGAGAUUUUUAAGAUUACUUUGCAUAUUUAUAACAAUAAUACAUUGAUAUAUGUAUUAGUUUUUUGAUAUAUUAGAUUUGACAUGCUCUAUUAAUAAAUUAUUAAUAUGAUGCAUACUUCAUCUCCAUAUCCUUGCAGUAAAAGUAACUAAGUUGUAACAAUAAUUAUUAAUACGAUGCGUACUUCAUCUCUAUAUCCUUGCAAUAAAAGUAACUAAGUGAUAACAAUAAUUUUUGUAACUACAUGUUUAUUAGGUUUUAACUGCUUCAUAAUAAUAAAUUAGUUUCGUCCUAAUAUUAUAAUUAUGUAGAGUUGUAGUGUAUAGACACACCCAAUUUAAAUAGUAUCUCAAAUAAAAUUGUCCCCACAAAAAAGAAAAAAGGGUAAAGGAUUGUUAUUUCUUCAAACAUCAGGAGCACGUUUGUACAAGUGCGAUGCCUUUCUUUUUUUUUUUGAAGGCAACGUCAGUGGGUACUAAAUAGGACGUGCGUAAAUCUUUCUAAAAUUUCUCCGGUAUAACUCACAGAGAUCAUUACUUUUCUCUUCCACAGACCACAGCAGCUUCAGUUAAUCCGACUCAAUCAAUUUUCUUGGUUUCUUCGCUUAUCAAAAUUCCAAAAUAUGGGUAGCAUAUUUCAAAUCACAUGCGAUGGUGCUUUUUUCAAUCGUUGUUUGGAUUGCUUUCUUGGAAAAGUAGCAAACACAAGUAAGCUCCAAGAUAACCUUGUUGCCUUGGAGACUGAAUUGGGAAAACUAAUCGCAGCAAAGAACGAUGUGAUGAUGAGGGUUGUCAAUGCUGAACGGCAACAACUGAGAACGCUGGACCAAGUGCAAGUGUGGCUUUCGAGGGUGGAAGCUGUUAAAACUGAAGCUGAUGAAUUGAUAAGACACGGCUCUCAAGAAAUUGACAAAUUAUGUGUUGGAGGCUACUGUUCCAAGCACUGCGCGUCAAGCUACAAGUUCGGGAAACAAGUGGCUAAAAAGCUACGGGAUGUGCAGACUUUAAUCGGCGAAGGAGUUUUUGCGGCGGUGGCUACUGAGGUGGUGCCUGAGAGAGCUCCAGAACCUGUAGCAGAUGAAAGACCCACUGAGCCAACAAUAGUAGGCUUGCAAUCACAACUUGAACAAGUUUGGAGAUGUCUUGUAGAAGAAUCAGUGGGAAUCAUUGGCCUAUAUGGUAUGGGCGGUGUUGGUAAAACUACACUAUUGACCCAUAUCAACAAUAAAUUUCUUGAGAGUCCAACCAGUUUUGAUUGUGUGAUUUGGGCCGUAGUUUCAAAGGACUUGCAACUCGAAAAAAUUCAAGAAGAUAUUGGGAAAAAGAUCGGUUUGGUUGAUGAUUCAUGGAAGAGUAAAAGUGUAGAGGAGAAAGCUCUCGACAUCUUCCGGAGUUUAAGAGAGAAGAGAAUUGUAUUGUUGUUAGAUGAUAUAUGGGAGCGGGUUGAUUUAACAAAAGUGGGCAUUCCACUUUCCGGACCAAAGAAUACUACCUCAAAAGUCGUAUUCACAACCCGUUUCGUCGAUGUUUGUGGUAGCAUGGAAGCUGACAAGAAGUUCCAAGUGGCAUGCUUAUCAGAAGAGCAUGCUUGGGAACUGUUUCGAAAAAAAGUUGGGGAAGAAACUCUUGAGAGUGAUCAUGAUAUCGUUGAGCUAGCCCAAACUGUGGCCAAAGAGUGUGGUGGUUUGCCACUCGCACUUAUUACUAUUGGUCGAGCUAUGGCCUGCAAAAGGACAGCCGAGGAGUGGAGACACGCAGUUGAAGUGCUAAGAAGAUCAGCUUCUGAGUUUGCAGGUUUGGGAAAAGAGGUGUAUCCUCUUUUAAAGUUUAGCUAUGAUAGUUUGCAGAAUGAGACGAUUAAAUCUUGUUUCUUAUAUUGUUGUUUAUAUCCCGAGGAUUAUGGCAUUCUUAAAUGGGACUUGAUUGAUUGUUGGAUUGGUGAGGGAUUCUUAGAGGAAUCUGACAGGUUUGGUGCAGAAAACCAAGGAUACUACAUUGUGGGCACUCUUGUUCAUGCGUGUUUACUAGAAGAGAUAGAAGAUGAUAAAGUAAAAAUGCAUGACGUUGUUCGUGAUAUGGCUUUAUGGAUAGCUUGUGAAAUUGAGAAGGAGAAGAGAAACUUUUUGGUUUGUGCAGGUGCUGGAGUAGGAGCGGUACCAGAUGUUGAAGGAUGGGAAAAUGUGAGAAGAUUGUCAUUGAUGCAAAACCAAAUUGAAAUUCUGUCAGAGGUUCCCACAUGCCCUCAUCUCCUCACUUUAUUUCUUGACUUUAAUUAUAAAUUGGAGAUGAUCACCGAUGGCUUCUUCCAAUGUAUGCCUUCUCUCAAAGUUUUGAAGAUGUCAAACUGUGGGCAUGUCAAAGUUUUGAAAUUACCUUUUGGGAUGUCAAAGUUGGGUUCACUACAACUUCUUGAUAUUUCACAUACCGGCAUAAGAGAGUUACCAGAAGAGUUAAAGUUGUUGGUAAAUCUGAAAUGUUUGAAUUUGAGGUGGACACAUAUGUUAAAUAAAAUUCCACGGCAGCUAAUAUCAAAUUCUUCAUGGUUACGUGUGUUGAGAAUGUUCGCUAUUGGCUUUGAAAAUUCCAAAGAACCAUCAGAAGACAGUGUUUUAAUUGGUGGGGGUGAAGUUUUAGUACAGGAAUUGCUCGGUUUGAAAUAUUUAGAGGUAUUGGAGUUGACCUUGCGAAGUUAUCAUGCUCUCCAUUCUUUUUUGAGCUCAAAUAAGUUAAAAAGUUGUAUUCGAUCUCUUUUCCUCAAUAAGCUGGGAGAUACAAAGUCGAUUGAUGCUACGGUUUUGGCAGAUCUAAAGCAUCUCAAUGAACUAUGCAUUCGUUCGGCUGUGGAGUUGGAAGAAUUGAAGGUUGAUUAUACAGAGAUAGCGCCAAAAUGGUCGGAACAUUUUGUUUUCCGCAGCCUUCACAGUGUUACUAUGGAGCGGUGCCAUAAAUUAAAAGAUUUGACAUUCCUCGUUUUUGCUCCAAGCCUCAAGUCUCUUUCGCUAUACGGUUGUAAUGCUGUGGAAGAAAUAAUCAGCGUUGGGAAAUUUGCUGAGGUUCCUGAGAUGAUGGGACAUAUAAGCCCUUUUCAGAAUCUCCAAAAGCUUGAUUUAUCACAUUUGCCAGCUUUGAAGAGCAUCUACUGGAAGCCAUUGCCUUUCGCUCAUCUGAAAGAAAUGGUGGUGCAUUGGUGUGAUCGGCUUAAAAAGCUUCCGCUCGAUUCCAACAGUGCAAAAGAGCGUAAAUUUGUUAUUCGUGGAAGAGCAGACUGGUGGAACCAUCUUCAAUGGGAGGAUGAAGCCACUCAAAUUGCUUUCCAUUCCUGCUUCCACUCUAAUGAAAUAUAAAUUCCUUAGCGGUGGUUGCAAAAUUUGAUUUGUGCUUUUUCUUAAACUCUUACAUUUAUUUCAGAUUCGUUUUUUGUCUCCUGCAAAUCACAAUUAAAUGCUCAAUUAUAUGGAGUCAAUGCUUUAGAAAAUUUUCAAGGCACUGCCAUUUCCUUUUUUUCAUUUUUUUUUUGGGUCGAAUUGAUGCUCUGGCUUUUUACUUUUUGUUGUCAAAUUUUGCUCUGUUUUUUCAAGUUGAUGCUUGAAUAGUUGAAUUCAAUUAAUGCUCACAUAAAUUUGUUUAGUUGCCGUGAAAGGAUAUAAUUAGACUGAAGUACACACUUCUAGAAUGAAUACAAAAUGUGAAGUAUACUAGCCCUCUUUACAGAAAAUCAAAUGAAAAUCAAUUUUUUGGGGCGUUGAUUUUCUAUGGUCUAUUAUAUACUCUUUUUAAUAUCUUCUGUUCUAACUAUAACCAAAUCCUUUGUUCAAGGAUUUUUAUUUGGGGUAUUGAUAACUGUCCACCAAAAGAGUGAACACUUGGAUGCUGCUCAAGGAUCUCUAAUCAAUAGCUGGAAGCAACUGAGAAGGCGGUCGCUACUGUUUACAAAGCGAAUCAGUAUUUGCCAUUCAUCUUAAUAAUUAUGAAGCUUUGGUAAAAUUUUCAAACAAAGUUGAACAUGUUGUUUUGAGAUUUGGUUCAUGAUUUUGGAUGAAUAUCGUUGUUCCGUUUGAGUUGGAUGUGAAUUCAAAAUCUAUAUAUUCUUUGGUUUUCAAUUCUGAACUCAAUUUCUUUUUCUCAAGCAUGUUAUGCAGAAAUGAAUUUUACUAAAUCAUUUUUGAUGAAUUGUUCAAAUUAAACAAUUGGAAUAAGAAUUGUAAAGGUUUAUCAUAAGCAUGCUAAUAUGAUAAGUUGUUUUAUGAACGAUUAAUUAAUUAAUCAAUUAAUAUUAAAGAAUAUAUUAGGCAAUUAGAUAUGCGUUACAUGUCAUGUUUAAAAACUAUUUAUUUAUAUUUCAAACAAAUUUGACUGGAUGUUGUGUAGGUAAUACUCAUAAUUAAUUUCAAAACAAAAAAAGUAAUAAAAACACGUUAAAUUUUGUUUUUAUGAAGAAAAAUUUAAAAUUUUGUUAAAUAGGUGAAAAUAAUAAAUGGAUUCGUGUAUGGUUUGAGAUUCUUGACAUAAUUAUGAAAUAAGCCGGAUUCGACUUAGUUCAAUUUUGACGCGAUAAGAAGACGACACCACACAAACACACGAUAAGAACCGGUACCUGAGAAGAUUGCCAUCAGGAAUUUUGAAAUUGAUUUCACUACAAUACCUUAAUCUUUCAGAUACUCCCAUCACUGAGCUGCCAGAGGAGCUAAAAGCCUUGGUAAGUCUUAAGUGUUUGAACUGUACACAAAUUAUCUCUCUACAAUUCAAAAACAACUGAUUUGUUACUUUUCAAUGCUACAUGUUCUGCGAAUAUUGAGUUGUGGUUAUCUUGUUGAAAGAUCAGAAAAUAGAGUUCUAUUUGGUGGUAGUGAAUUGUUGGUUGGGGAGUUGCUUAGUUUAAAACGUUUAAAUGUAUUAAGCAUCACCUUACAAGGUUUUUCUGCUGUCCAAAAACUUACGAGCUCUCAAAAGUUUCAAAGCUGUACAAAAUGUUUGGAGCUUAUAGACUGUGAUGAUUCAAAGUCUUUUGCCUUGGCAGAGUUGAAGCAUCUCGAAAAACUAGUUUUUCGAAUUGUGGAAGAGUUUAAGUUCUGCUGUGUUGAAGUUGGAAAAGCUCAAGAAUGUUUUCGUUUGAACAGCUUUCACCGAGUUAAUAUAAAGGCUUGUCAUAAAUUGAGGGACGUGACAUGGCUUGUAUUUGCUCCAAAUCAUACGGUUAUUCAAAUAGAAAAAUGUAUGCAGAUGGAAGUAAUAAUCAGCGCAAGGAAAUUGGGUGAAGUUCCAGAGAUGAUGGCAGAUCUAAACCCUUUUGCAAAACUCCAAUAUCUUCGCCUGCGAGUUCUACCAAAAUUAAAAAGCGUCUAUUGGAAUGAGUCACCCUUUCCGCAUGUCAGGGAAAUUAUUGUAUCUGAAUGCCCAAUUCUCAAGAAGCUUUCACUCGGUUUUAACAAUGCAAAGGAAUCUAAAAUUGUCAUUUAUUACAUGUUUAUAUCUAACUUUUGUUCUCCUUUAUGGUUAAAUUUUACUAUAUAUAUGUUGUUAUACGGUGACAUUCUCGCAUCAAUUAUUAGCUUUUUAAUUCUCUUCUCGUAUUAAUUGCCCUUCUGAUCAUGUAGGAUAUGCCGAUGUCAAAGAGUAGUAAAUUGGGAUACAAAUGUAAGAAUUAGCCAGAUGACAUGUUGUUUUGAAGCUUUCGAAGGACUAAUUAUGUCAUUCAAAGCAUCCAAUUUCGCUACUUUUUUUUUUUUUUCAUUUGUUGCUUUUUCUAUUUUUAGAUAGCUUGAUUGUCAGUUGUCGUAAUGUAAUGUUUUAGUAUAGAAAAAUGAUAUUCGGCCAAGACAUCGAUAGGAGGGCACAUUGUGCAUGCAUACUCGUGGAUGAUUUUGGCAUGCCGAAUCCAAUUAGUGUGAAUAACCCUUUAUAAACAUCAGGCUUCUCUCAUACCAGAUAGAGGUGGCAAAAAUACCCGCUCGGUCCGGAUCCAGACCAUACCCGGGCGUUGUGGGUCGGGUAUUACUUAAUCUGGGUAUAAAGUCGAGUCGGUCUUGGGCAUCACUUGAUAAACCCGGAACCCAGAUUUUAUUAAAAAAAUAUUAUAAAAUAUAUAUUAUUUUAAAUAUUUAUAUUUAUUUGACUCAUUUAUUAUACAUAUAUAAAGUUUUAAACACGUAAAGUUUAUAUUUUCAUGUCAAAUUUUAUUAAAAUAAAUUUAACACUUAUAAAAUUACCUAAAAAUAAAAAAUAUAUAUACAUAUAAUAUUAAAAAAUAUACAAUUCGGGUACCCAGAUUAAAAUCUAGCCUGGACUCGGACCCAGACCGAUUGCAUCCAAGCAGGAUCCAGUCAUUGCAAUAAUCGGACCUGGCCUGGGGUUUCGCCAUCUCCAAUACCAGAGCAAUGUAGAAUAUGUUUAUAAACUGUGAAUUACCCUUUAUAAGUAUUAGGCUUCUUUUAUACUCGAGCGAUGUGGAAUACCUUUAUAAGCAUUAAGCUUCUCCCAUACACUUUAUGUUAAAAAUAAUAAUAAUAAAAUAAAUCCAUUUUAAAAUAGGCUUUUUUUUUUCUUUUUCUAUAUAAACAAAAUGCAUUCUUCAAAUCAAUAGUGGGUGGAAGAAGUGAGUAGAGAAGAACUAGGCCCCUUUCAUUCCCCUAAAACCUCACCGAAACCUCUCUUGUGAACUUCUCAGAUUCUCUCUCAAUAUUUCUUAUGAUCUCGUUUUUGAUAGAAUCACUUCUUUUGCAUGCUGCAUUUUGUGAGUUGUUUUUGGGUAAUAUCUUAUCUGGAAUGCUGUUAUGAUCAAUAGAACAAGUAAUCAAUUUUUGGUUCGACGGAAGUCGAUUUAUUUAUUUACUAUUAUUUUUAUUUGAAAUUUUGUACAAUUGUGUUUCAUUCAUUUCUUUUCUUCUUUUUUUUUUUUAUAUUUAUUAUGUAGAAUUGUGUUUCAUUUGAUAUUGAUCAUACUGUAGAUAACUAUGUGAUUGUAGCUGGGGAUUUUAAGUUUUGUGAAUUCAAGAAACUGUCAAAAUGCUAGUGAAAUUGGGACCUUUAUUCAUAAGCUUGUGGUUUUGAAAAGUAGCCCGGUUCAACUGAUGAAGUUCCUUUUUGGGAUUCUUUUUUUUCUAGGCUGCAAUUCGGAUAUGUACGUGAUAGACAAUCUUUUGUGGGUUUAGCAUAUCUUCUUCGAUUUUGUCUUUUAUUCCCCAAUUUUACAGCUACACACCAUGAAUGCUGGGUGAUUGUACAGAAAAUUUGUGUUAGAACAAAAGCAUUGUGAAGGAGUUUCUGUGCUAUAAGUUAUUGGCUUCAGUUUUAUUGGCAUUAAUUGGGUAGAUUAUGUGUUACAGUGAUUCAAUUUGUGAUCCACACUUUAAUUUUCUCUUUUCCCCAAUUAUUUAUGUCAAAUUCAAAUCCAGAAGCAUGUGCUGAUUUUUUUUUUUUUGUGUUAAUCUGUGAAGUUUAUUUGGAAAGGAUGUAUCUGGGUCUAAUGGAUUAAAUUAUGACAUUGAGGAAAAGGCACUAAAGGUUUUGCUUGACACAUUUGGUCUGUGUUUACUCUGCAAUAAAUAGCUUCGCUUAUCGGAAAUCCCGAUUUGGCUGGUGAAUUUCUCAGUGACAGACAGGCAAACACCUAAACCGCUUCUAUCCAUUUUUCUGCUGGUGAGGUAAGGGGUAAAAAGUCUUCAAAAUCAUCAAAUAGUAACAUCUCUCAGAAUUCAUUUUAGAAAAAUGGAAAAUCUAGACCUGCUAGGACAAAAUGGCGUCCAGUAUCAGGAGGUACCGUUUCAAGUUUUCUUGGUAAAGAAUAUAAUAAACCUGCGCAACCAGCUAAUGGCACUUUUCUGGCAUCAAAGCCAUUGAAGUUGGAUCUAAAGGAGUUUUCCCAUGCCUGCACUGUGCAGAGAAGAAACUAAACCAAAACAAUCAAAGAAUGACCAUUUGCAGAAGGAUACGGAAGAUUUUCUAUUUAAAUUGUUAGUAGAAGGGUCCCAGCUGAACAGGGAUGUGAUUCAGGAGGUUCUCGGUAAUGUCUUAAAUAUACUGAUGCCAAUUUAAUACAUAUUGUCCUUUUCAAUGUUCUUUCUUUCUUUUUUUUUUCCCUUCUUCUUCUUUUUUCUUUUUGUGUGCAUGUGAUCACUGAUUUGGUAUUACGCUUAAGUUGCAGAUAGUUGUGGAUUUGAUAUGCAAAAGGUAAGGACUAUAUCUUCCUGAUGUAGGCCUCUGCUUUUUCCCCUUCUAUGUAAUUUAGUAAAUCACAUCUUCCUUUGUGAUUGUUAUACCAUAUCAAAGUCAAGUCUUAAAUACUGCUGUCAUAUGUUAAGGUUCAACUUGUAUUUUGAUUAACAUCCAUUUGCUGCUGCUUCCAAAAGUGAGAAUGAGAUACUUUGGUUAAUUUCAGUGGUUGAACCCAAUAGAGAACUUUAUUUAGAUCUUCAUGGUUCAAAGGCCUGAAAAAACUUCCUGUAAUUGUAAAAUGCCAUUCUGUGCUUUUUAUGCAAUAGGGAACAGGGAAGUAGAGCUUUGGAAAAGCCUGGAUUGAUAACUAUGGAGAGACUUAUUAUUUAAGUGAUGAAAAAUUCCCAUCACCCGCGGUCAAGAAAAUUUCAGAUAGUUAAAGACUCCAUUUUGCUUCAGCCAAAAAUGUUUGUUGCAAUGAAAGACUUGAACCAUUUUCAUUGAACCUGAUUGUGAUCCUUUACGUUAUGCAUGUUCCUCUCAAUCAAGAAAAGUUGAGGUCAUGAUUCUAUAUUUCUAUAUUGUAACUUGAAAUAAUAAUUGGUCUACUUGUUUCUGUAUCUUGAUAAGAUGAAUUUUCCUUCUCAAGUUAAUUUGAUCAAUAAAGUAAUUCUUCAAAGAAAAUAUGCCCAUUCUAUAAUCAUUUUCUUAGCUAAGAUGUUUUUUCUUCACUCUUCAGAGCAUGUCAAAACUAAUUGAUCGCUUGGCAGAUACUUUGGGUGAGAAGACAAAAUUUCUUGGUAAAUCCUCGGAAAAGGUAUGCAUAAUUCCCGAGUAUUAAAUAACCAAUAGUCAUAAUUUUUGUACAUGACUCUUUUUUCUCUUUUUUGUGGAGAUCAUUAAAAUUGGUUGAUGAUCCAUUUUGUAAUAUCAUAGAGGGAUCAUCAAUUCCUUCUCUUUUCUGUGGCUAGGCAACACUUUCUGGCCAAAGUAAGAAAAUCUAUUUAGGUAAUGUGAAAACCAACGGUAGGAUGUAAUAGUUUAUUAUGCACUGACAAUAACUUUUUGUAUGAUUGGCAGUUUAAUGAAUACAAGAGGAACUUUGUUGACAAAUUCAUCCAAGAUAGAUGCUAAAAUUAUUUAUGCAUGCCAGUUGCCUUAACUAAUUUUUCUUAACACUUGUAUUGAACAGGAAAAUGAAUAAACAAUCUGUAUAUUGUGCCAUUGUGGAGUAUUUGGAUAUUCUGAUUUAAGUAACAAGGAGAAUACUUGUCUCAUCUUUAAACAAUGAAUCUUUGAGAAAUGAGGAGUGGGGGAUUGGAAGUGUCUUCAUGUAAAUGUUCAUUUAUUUGUAUUUUGAACUAUUAUGAGAAUCUUAUAUGCCAAAUCAGUAAUACAAAUGUUCAGAUGAUUUUUGCUGUUGAUCAUGCAUUUGUGUCUGCACACAACCAUUGUAUAUCACUUUAUUCUGAUGUGCAGGUAUGUGUAGCUUAGAAGAAACGGAAUAAUAAUCAUCUAUUAUUGCUUGGUUCAUGAUUAUUAAACGAUUAUGGCUUUAAAAAGUCUACAAAUUCCUUCUGUUCAUAUGUGAAUGUGUGAUGGGUGUCGAAGCCAACAAAAAUAAAUUCCUACUCUAAAUAAAUUGUGUAUAGUGAUUGAGCAGGGUCGUGUCCACAGAGAUCGGUAAUUAUUUAAAUCCUUUUGAAACGUAAAACGUAAAAUGGGGGAAUUGUUGACAAUAAUAAAAAUCAAAUUAAAAUAACAAGAAUGCAAAUUAAAGUUGUAAUUCAAAUUGGAGAAAGCUCUGGUUGAAGGAAUUAACUCAGCUUGAUUCGACUACUGAUCAUUGAUUCAAAUAUAGAUUAUUAUUACUCAUGAAUAGACCGGUUAUAGCUACUGAGACCCUCGAAUAGCCAAUCUCUCCUUAACUAGUCGAUAACCAAGGUACGACCGUUGGUUAUUUCCCUAAUCAAUAGACAACCCUAGAUACGAUCAUAGGAUUUAAUCAAUUGACAGCCUGAAAAAUCAGAGAGACCCAAAUCCUAAUCAACACAUAUGAUGAUUCAUUUAAAUUAGAUUGUUUAUUCUCACAACACAACUCUCUGCUAUGUUAUUUGUCACAAACAUUAAAUUCUUCAUACGAUGAAUCCUUUAAUUGACAAUAGAUUAAGUUGAUAAUUAAAUAGUGGCCAAUUACCUAAUUAACAAACAUAAUCAUGAAACUAAUUCAGAGAAUAAACAAAUACCCAAAAAGUAAUAAAACAAUUAAAGCAUAAGAAAGAUCUCACAGUAGUGAUGAAUCAAAGCUUCAUUAUCCUUCAACCAGAAAAAUAAGUUUAGUUCUUCAUAGAGAGAAGAGAAAAAUUAGAUCUAGGGUUUCUUUCUUUGUCUCCAAUCCAAAAAUCCCCCUUUUUCACAAUAGAUUCCUCCCUUAAAUACUCUCUCUCUCUUCUCUUUUAGAAUUCUAUUUAAAAUAAAAUACUAAUAUCUUAAAUAUUAAAUUCGUAAUUACAAAAAUAGCCAAAAAUACAAAACACGUUAAACUAAAAACUGCAGGUCCGCAGUUGACAGCACGCGCCCACGCCUUAUCAACAAAGUUCUUCUGACGCUCAUAAUUUCUCCAAGAGAACAAUCCUCCUUAAACAUCAUCUUUUAGCUCAAUUUUAUCACCAAUCAAUAGAAUUGCACCUACAAAAGUAAAACACAAGUAAAAUAUUAUUAUUAAGUGCAAAACAUCGAUAUUAAGGGAAGUAAAUAAUGCAAAACUAGUGCAUAAAUUGCACUCUAACAAAUUCCCCCACACCAAGACGAUGCUUGUCCUCAAGCAUAUAACUCAAGAUUAAUCCCAAAUCUCCACUCAAUUCUCAUCUCAACUCAUCCAAAAAUAAUUUUAAGCAAGCAUACCUCAAGAAAUUAAGUCGAUCAACAUUCGAGAGACAAGGAUUUUAAAGCAUAGAAUUUCAUAAGAUAGAAUAAGAACAUUCAACCACCAAGAAGAUCCAUUCAAAAUUCAAGUGCAACAAGAUUUAAUAGCCCUCUCAAUAACUUCACUCCAUGCACUCAAAGUGUUUAGGGUGUCAUUUAUUCACUCAAAUCAAAUCAAAGAAUGCUAUUACCAUAAGCUUGCUCAUAUAUCACAUCUCAAUCCACAAAACAUGAAUAAAAUGCAAAAAUCUAAGGGUCUUAAAAGGGUUGUAAUGGGGUUAAAUGGGUUAAAUGAAAAAGAAAGGUUUACGAAAGAAAACAAAAAUCAAAAUGAGAAGAAUGAACUCAUUGAAUGAACUUAUGAUAUCAAAAUGCUUAUUUCUACUCAAGUCACCAAGAAUGUAAACAUUUUUUUUUUCAAUUUUUUUUUUCGAUUUUUUUUUUCUUUUUUUUUUCUCUUUUUCCUUUUCUUUUCUUUUUUUUUUUUUUUUGAAUCAAACAAAAGAAAUGAACCUUGCACAAUUUAAUUCAAGCAUAAUGCUUGUUGAUCUAAUUGAGAAACUUUAAUACAAGGUAGAAAAAGCAACAAAAUAUAUCCACACAAUGAGUCCAAAAAUCUCCUUAAAUUGAGGCUCAAAAAGAAGAAAAAUGGUUAAGUAGACGGAGAGAAUUAGAUGGGUAAUGGUUAAGGCUCAAACAAAGGUAGCAAAUAAAGGUCUUCGGGUAGAGAAAAAGGAAAAAGCGAGAAUAGAAAAAUGGUAAAUUGUUUGCCCUUAUUAUUUUAAUGCCUAAAAUCCCGUAAUGUGGCUUCAACAUGCAUAACAAAGCAAGUUCUAGAAUAAACAAACUAGGAUUGAUAUUCACAUAACAAAAAUAAUUAGAGCAAAGUGGUUGCUCAUAGGCUCAAAUCCUCACAAAGUUGGUAAAUUUGCCAUCAAAUCAUGUACACUCUUCAAAUGAAUCAACCAUCAAUAGUGGUGUAGAAUGGGAAGAAGGUAUGAGUGAAGGAAAGGUAAAAAUGAUAAGAAGUGAGAAAGAUGUAUGUAGUAAUAUGAAAAGUGAAAGAUAAAAUGUGAGUGAUGAAAGAGUAUGAUAGAAUAAAAAUAGAUGUAAAUAAUUUGAGAUAGAUGGGAAAAAAGUAGUGAGAAAGAAAAGAAAAGAAAAAUAAUAAUAUAUGAAGCAUACUAACUCCAAAAUCAUUUAAGGAUGAGUAGAGUGAAAACAAUAAUUCCAGACAUCAAUAAUGCAAAAAUCCCUCCCCCACACCAAGAACUUACAUUGUCCCCAAUGUAAGAUAAUUAAAGCUCACAUAAAAAUUAAAGCGCAAGGAUAAAAGAUUAAAGGCAAAAAAAACUUCCCUGAAUUGUGAGCUUUGAUCCACAUAACGUCUAUGGUUGCGUUGCGAUUGCUGCUCGGCUGGAGCUUGCUUGAUGGGCGCGGGAUGGAGCUGAUUGUGUUACGCGCGCGCGCUGGGGCUGCUGGAUCUGCGCGCUGCGUGGGCUGUGUUGCGCGCGAGAGCAGGGCUGACGCUGGUUUUGCGCGCUGCUGGGCGAAGGCUGGAUCUACGCGCGCGGUUUGCUGCUUGCUAGACGCGGGAUGCUGGUGCUGCUGGUUGCGUUGCAGGUGGGACUGAUGCGGUUGCUGCUGGUUCUGCGCGCUGGAGCUGAGGGUUGCUGCGGGAAAACGAUAAUCAACAGUGAAUUUUUUUGAAUUAGGGAUUUGUGAACAGUGAUUUGUGAUUUUUGUGUUUUUUUUUGUGUUUUUUUUUUAAAUAAAUAAAGAAAAUAUAUAUAUAUAUAUAUAUAAGAAAGAAAAGAAGGAAAAAAAACUUUUUUUUUUCGUUUUUUUUAUAAAUAAAUAAAAAAUAUAUAUAUAAGAAAAGAAAAUAAGGAAAAAAAAACUCUUUUUUUUUUUUUUUGAAUCACUUUGAGACACUAAAAAUUUCAGAAGUACUUUUCUAAUAAGCACGUAGGCACGCCUUAAAACUAUUUUACUUUAAAAAUUACAGAAGUACUUAUUAGUUAAGACGUGGGCACGCCUUAUCAAAAAUUUUCUUCUGACCAAAAUAAGCAAACACAUUAUUUAAAAAAAAAAAUAUGAAUCAAAAUUAAAAGAAGAUAUAACAAAAACCAAAAUAAAUAAAUCAUUUGGGUUGCCUCCCAAAAAGCGCCUUUGUUUUAUGUCUUUGGCUAGACACAUUUAUGCAUCAAUCUCCAUAAUUAGGACUCUCGAGAGCCACAUCCUCCACAAUAUUCACCGAAAAACCUUCAUAAAAAGGUUUUAAGCGAUGACCAUUAACCUUAAAAACUUUGUCAGAGGUCGGACUCCGAAUUUCAACUGCACCAUGAGGAAAAACAUUAGUAACAAUAAAAGGUCCAACCCAGCAAGAACGUAAUUUACCCGGAAAAAGUUUAAGCUUAGAAUGAAAAAGAAGAACUUUUUGACCAACAGAGAACUCCUUUCUCAAAAUCAUUCUAUCAUGAAAUGUCUUCGUCUUUUCCUUGUAAAAAAUUUCCUGCGCUAUAGGGUUAAUAACAUCCACAGAAAAUACCGAAUGUUCCUCACUAGGAUAUUUCAUGGCAUCAUUCAUAUUGAAUUCUAUAACCUCUCCAUCAAACUCCAUAGUGAGAGUCCCUUUAUGUACAUCCAUUUUAGUCCUAGCAGUCUUAAGAAAAGGUCUUCCUAGCAAAAUUGGGACAGAAUUAGAGGAGUUAUCCUCUUCCAUAUCAAGUACAUAAAAAUCAGCAGGAAAAACCAACUCAUUAACUUGUACUAAGACAUCUUCUAAUACCCCAUCAGGAUAUGCAUUAGACCUAUCAGCUAGUUGAAUUAUCACGCCAGUUUCUUUUAAUGGACCAACAUUCAAAGAUGAAUAAAUGGAACGAGGCAUGACAUUAAUAGAAGCUCCUAGAUCUAACAUAGCCUUUUCAACUCUAACACUACCAAUUUUACAAGGGAUAGUAAACAUACCUGGAUCCUUGCACUUACGAGGUAGUUUCUUUUGGAGAACUGCUGAAACAUUCUCCCCCAUGUGAACUUUUUCAUCUCCUCUUAAUUUUCUCUUGGAGGUGCACAGUUCCUUAAGGACUUUAGCAUAUCGAGGUAUUUGUUUUAUAGCAUCUAAUAAAGGAAUAUUUACCUCAACCUUGCGAAAUGUCUCAAGGAUGUCUUUCUCUUGUUCCUCCUUCUUGGAUUUUGCAAAUCGGCUUGGAAAAGGAGGAGGUAUCACAAUAGGUAGGGGUUUAGCUCUGGUGGGUUCCGCAUCAUGAGAUUGAGGCAUCAAUUCAUUCUUCUCAAGUUCAUCUUCUACAUGCUUUGUCACUUUCUUACUAGGCUCUUGCAACUCCGUCCCACUUCUAAGAAUGACAGCACUAACGUUUUCCUUUGGAUUCACCUCAGAUUGUGAAGGCAAUCUCCCCAAUACUUGAGACUCCAGACGGCUCACUGUAGUCGCCAAUUGACUCAUUUGGUUCUCCAAGUUCUGAAUGCUUGCUGUAGUUGCCUGCUGAAAUUGUUGAGUGUUAGUCGCAAGUGAUUUAACAAUUUCUUCAAGAGAUAUACCUGACUUGGAGUUUGACUGUGGAAGUGCUGGUUGUCUUGGUGGAUACUGUUGUGGGAAUCCUGAUUGCCUAACUCCAUAGCUGAAGUUGGGAUGAUCCUUCCAUCCCGGAUUGUAUGUUUGUGCAUAAGGAUCAUACCUCCUCUGAGGCAUGCCUGGAAAUCCUCCAAUUGCAUUGGCUUGUUCAACGGGUUCUUCUUGAAGUGUAGGACACAUAUCAGUUGAAUGACCCAUAUUGUAACAAAUGCCACAAGUCUUCACCUGUUGCACAUUACCUACAACAAACUUUUCCACAAGAGAAGUAAGUUUAUCUAAACGUUGUUCAACAGAAGAAAUAUUUACCUCAUUCACCGUUCUUGAAGUGGCAUCUUGUCUGCUGCCAAAUUGUUGUGCAUUGGCAGCCAUAUUUGAGAUCAACUCCCUUGCUUGAGUAGGGGUCUUGUUCACCAACACACCUCCACUAGCAGCAUCUAUCAUACUCCUAUCCAUCAAUGAUAGUCCUUCGUAAAAAUAUUGAAUAAGAAGUUGAUCAGAGAUCUGAUGCUGAGGACAACUGGCACACAAUUGUUUGAAUCGCUCCCAAUACUCAUACAAAGUCUCCCCAGGAAGUUGUCUGAUCCCACAAAUAUAUUUUCUGAUGUUGGCAGCUCUUGAAGCAGGAAAGUACUUCUCAAGGAACUGCUUCUUCAAACCAUUCCACGUUGUAAUCGAUCCAGGAGGCAAGUAGUACAACCAAUCUUUAGCUAGCCCAUCUACAGAGAACGGAAAAGCACGCAGCUUAAUCUGCUCUUCAGUCACGCCUUGUGGUCUCAUACUUGAACACACAACAUGAAACUCCUUAAGAUGUUUAUGAGGAUCUUCACCUGCAAAACCAUGAAACUUGGGUAAUAAAUGAAUAAGACCAGACUUUAAUUCAAAAUUUACCUCCAAAUCUACAUAUUGAAUGCAGAGUGGUUGCUGAUUCAAGUCUGGUUCAGCUAACUCUCUAAGAGUUCUUUCUACAGGUGCAGGUCUAUUCAUCACUUGUUCUUCCGAAUCACUAGAUGAUUCAACUAAAUCAGGCACUGUAUCUGUUUCAGAAAGCAAAGGCGACGAGGAUCGUUGCUUAGCUCGCUUCGUCUGCUGUCUCAGCUGGCGAGCUGUCUUCUCAAUUUCGGGAUCAAACGAAAGUGUACCUGUACGAGAAGAACGAACCAUACACAAAGUAAAACGUAAAAAGGAUUAAAUAAAUGACACCAAUCCCCGGCAACGGCGCCAAAAUUUGAUGGGUGUCGAAGCCAACAAAAAUAAAUUCCUACUCUAAAUAAAUUGUGUAUAGUGAUUGAGCAGGGUCGUGUCCACAGAGAUCGGUAAUUAUUUAAAUCCUUUUGAAACGUAAAACGUAAAAUGGGGGAAUUGUUGACAAUAAUAAAAAUCAAAUUAAAAUAACAAGAAUGCAAAUUAAAGUUGUAAUUCAAAUUGGAGAAAGCUCUGGUUGAAGGAAUUAACUCAGCUUGAUUCGACUACUGAUCAUUGAUUCAAAUAUAGAUUAUUAUUACUCAUGAAUAGACCGGUUAUAGCUACUGAGACCCUCGAAUAGCCAAUCUCUCCUUAACUAGUCGAUAACCAAGGUACGACCGUUGGUUAUUUCCCUAAUCAAUAGACAACCCUAGAUACGAUCAUAGGAUUUAAUCAAUUGACAGCCUGAAAAAUCAGAGAGACCCAAAUCCUAAUCAACACAUAUGAUGAUUCAUUUAAAUUAGAUUGUUUAUUCUCACAACACAACUCUCUGCUAUGUUAUUUGUCACAAACAUUAAAUUCUUCAUACGAUGAAUCCUUUAAUUGACAAUAGAUUAAGUUGAUAAUUAAAUAGUGGCCAAUUACCUAAUUAACAAACAUAAUCAUGAAACUAAUUCAGAGAAUAAACAAAUACCCAAAAAGUAAUAAAACAAUUAAAGCAUAAGAAAGAUCUCACAGUAGUGAUGAAUCAAAGCUUCAUUAUCCUUCAACCAGAAAAAUAGGUUUAGUUCUUCAUAGAGAGAAGAGAAAAAUUAGAUCUAGGGUUUCUUUCUUUGUCUCCAAUCCAAAAAUCCCCCUUUUUCACAAUAGAUUCCUCCCUUAAAUACUCUCUCUCUCUUCUCUUUUAGAAUUCUAUUUAAAAUAAAAUACUAAUAUCUUAAAUAUUAAAUUCGUAAUUACAAAAAUAGCCAAAAAUACAAAACACGUUAAACUAAAAACUGCAGGUCCGCAGUUGACAGCACGCGCCCACGCCUUAUCAACAAAGUUCUUCUGACGCUCAUAAUUUCUCCAAGAGAACAAUCCUCCUUAAACAUCAUCUUUUAGCUCAAUUUUAUCACCAAUCAAUAGAAUUGCACCUACAAAAGUAAAACACAAGUAAAAUAUUAUUAUUAAGUGCAAAACAUCGAUAUUAAGGGAAGUAAAUAAUGCAAAACUAGUGCAUAAAUUGCACUCUAACAAUGUGCCAAGUUUGCUAUAUCUUAGAUUAUCUUCUUCCAAGAUAACAAGUUCAUAUUCUUUUUAAUCUUUUUCCAUCACAGUUGACUUUUAGGUGUUAAGAUUUGUUAUUAGUCCCCUGUUAUUAUGAUUUCAUAAACAGUGUACGGAUAUGUGCUCUAACUUUGGAGGACCUCCACGUGAAAGAAAAUUGCAACAAUUGAAUUCUUCCGGAGGGUAUGGUCUUUAAUUUAUUUUCUCAACUUCUCGUAAGAUUAAUAUAUUUCAUUCAGUAGGCACAGCAUGGGGGGAAGGGUUUUUAUUGAAAGAAUUCUGAUAUUUCUUAGACUUCGUUUUGGAAUGGGGUGGAGGGAUUUCUCAUCCAUGUAUGGUUACUUGAUUAGCUUUUGACUGUAUUUCCUCAGUCAUGUAAAGGAAGAUCCAAAUACCAACGAAGGAAAAUUGCCUAGACACCCGAAAGACAGAAAUGAGCUACAGAAGCAAGUUUUAGCUACUUUAUUUAGUGCUCCUGAGAAAUCUGAUGGAGACCGAAUGGAGGUCCAAAGCACUGGGAAAGGUAGUGAGUGAACCGCCGGAGGAGUUGGCACCGGAAUGCAAGGCUAAUGUGGUGCACUUGCAGCAAGAUAACCAAACCGGUAUGUGCUCUUAUAUUAACUAUACUGACAGGAUUUGUGAGUGUGUGCAUUUUUUUGUGUAUACUCUUGUAUUUAUGCAUAUUAAUGUGUGUAGGAAUUUCUGCCACUUACUGGAGAACUAGUGGAAAGCUUUAUACCGAUAUAUCUGCAAUAACUAAUUGGAAACUAUGAUAUUAAUAUUUUCUCUCACCUGAGGAACUGUGUAACAGAUAUACUUUGUGGCUCUGGAAUACUAGAGAUUCUGCAAUAACUAAUGGAAACUAUGAUAUGAAUAUUUUAUCUCAACUGGAGAACUUUGUAACUUGUAGCUCUGGAAUGUCUAAGGAAUUUUGUCUGCUUCAGUUAGAUCAAAUAUCUUUUAGUUGCAUACAUUAUAGAAAAAGAUAAAGUUCUCUGAAUCUGAAAGACUGAAACAUUUUGUAUAUUUUGUGAAAGGGAAAUAUCUGUAUAUACUAGUUCAUGCAUUGAGGUAACAUCAAUGUUAAAGAAAAACAGCAAUAAGUUAUUAUGUGGAACAAGGUUCACUUGCUUUAAAUGCUGGUCUGGUCAACCAUAUGAACCUGUAAGUUCUGCAGAAAUAUAUAUAUGGGGAGAAACUAGCUAAAUUUUCCGUUCAUUGAUGGCUUUGGUCAUUUUUUUCCCCUUAUUUUUCAGCUUUCCUUCUCCUGAAGUAUGUCAACAACUGCAGAUAAUGAUGAAGAGGACAGCUUGCAGGCUCUUCUUAGAGCCAUGAUGGAAUAUAGGGGCACAAUGAAGGAACAUUGCAAAGCUGUAGGUUCUUUUUCUCCUGUCAUUUAUGUUUUCUCACACAUUUUUUAUAUGCUCCAAGCAUGCAAUUUUGUAUGUGUCAACUGCUUCCUAAGUUUUAAAAACCAUAAUGUAAGAAUACAGUUCUUUGUCAGGUUAUUGAUGCAUUUGCUCAGGGGGAUCAUGUUCGAGCAGGAAAACUUCUAGAGCUGACAAGGUUUUCCAUCUACAGCCAUCUAUUGACAACAGAUACAUUUUCAUUCAGCAAACACUGUUAGCAUUCAAGAUACUGGCAGAUUCACUUGAUUCUUAUUAGUUUGUUUAGUAGCAAAGCAUAUAACCUGUAUUUCAAAGCCAAGUUGUGCUAUUGAUUAUGUUAACUUUAUUGUUCACAUAAAGUGAUAUGGAGGAAAUAAUCAAUGUAGGAAAAUUAGGUGAAGAGAUGAUGUCACAUCUUGAACCUCUUACAAAGCUCCAAGUUCUUUACUUGAAGAAGCCGCCAAAUUUGAAGAGCGUCUACUGGAAGGCAUUUCCAUUCCCAGAUGUAUGCAGAAUUUUUGUAUUAAUGCCCAGUUCUUAAGAAGCUGCCACUGGACUUUCAAAGGCGGGCCAAGGUAAAAUUCUUAUCGAGGGAAAGGAAGAUUGGUGGAAACAACUUCAAUCGGAGGAUCAAGUAACUCAGAAUGCAUUGCUUCCAUUUUUAAAAUCAACUGACAAGUGAUUGAAGGGGGCAUCAUCAACAUCAUCAACAUGGAUGGAGAGAUUCAGGAGCAGAUCAGCAGGGUUUAGUACGACCUGUGGUGGUUUCUUUUUUGUGACUUUUUUCCCUUUCAUUUUUUCACUUCCUGUCAUAUUAUCAUUUCUGUCUCUGUUUCUAUUGCUGUUGUUGCUGCAUGCUUGCUGUCCUUGACAAAGUUAGCUAGUUUUUUUGUUUAUUAAAUUUUUUAUGUUCGGGACAUCCUUGACAAAGUUAGCUAGUUUUUUUGUUUAUUAAAUUUUUUAUGUUCGGGACAGUCACAAAGUACUACUUGUUCUAUAAGGGGGUGAUGUGAAUCAACUUUUCAAUUAUAUAUUCUGUGGUAAUUGUGAAUUCAAUUUCAUUUGUCUCCUGCAAAUUAUGAAGAAAGUGCAGAGUUACAAUAUGGAAAAGUUCACUGGCAAAUACUUUGUAAAAGCUUCGGAGUGAAACAGGGAAUGCACUUGCAACUAAGGACAAAUUGGUGGCCAGCUAAUGCAUUCAUUUUAUGUACAUUCAUCUUUUUAAUUAUUGAAGAUAAGUGGUUCGUCGCUUUUGUUGUAGAUAAAAUUCAGACGAUCUCCAUUGUGAAAUGAUAAUAUUUAAAAUAUCUCUUAAAUUAUAAUAAACUUUAAUUUAUCUUAAUUUUAUUUAAAAGAUAAAAGAAAAAUGUGGUAUAUCGAUAAUUUUUUUAUCUUCUUAAUAAAACGAAGUAAAUUAAAAUUUAUAAUAAUUUAAAAUAUUUUAAAGAUUAUUAUUUCAUAAGAGAGUAAUAUGAAAUUAAUCCUUUUUACUUUUUGAAUGUGAAAGAUCAAGAAAAGAGAAAGUAAGUGUCCUUGCUUUUUAUUUUAAUUGAAAUCGGAGUCAUCCCAUAUACUUUACUCCUUUAGCUCUCUCCUCAAGGUGAGAUGCGUGAGUUGGGUGAAGAUUUGGUGAGUGUUGUGAUAUGCGUGCUACUUUGAGAAUUUAUAGAUAGCACAAAACGCAGCGUUCUGUGUUAAUUGUGGUUCUUACUGUGGUAAGAAUCUCAUUUUCUUAUUUCAACAGGUUUACCAGAAGAAAAAUCCCUCAGAUCACAUCACUGCCUUUUCUCUCAUUUUCUCUCUCUAUAUUUUCUAAUACAUUCUACAUAUUUUUCAUGUCCUCACAUACUUGUAUUUCAAAUGCAAUAGAUGUGUUUAUAUAGAGGCUAAUGAGAGUGAUUAAAGUUAACUAAAAAACUUCUAUGUAAAAUAAACUUCUAUGUGUUUAAAACCAAUAAAAUAGUAAGUAUAGCAGCCCUUUUUACAAUAAUGAAGUGAAAAUUAAUUUAGCAAGAUAUUUUCUUAAUUUAUACUUUCUUUUUUGAAGUUUUUAUUUUCUAUGGUCAAUUAUACCGUUUACAAUUUCUUUUGAUCUAACUACAACUAAAUUUUUGGUUUAAGGAUUCUUAUUUGGGAGUAUUAAUAUGUGAGCGAACGCUUGGAUACUGCUCAAUGAUAUCUAAUCAAUAGCUGGAAACAAUCGAGAAGGCGGUCGCAGCUGUGCACAAACAGCUUUGGUAAAAUUUUUAAACAGAGUUGACAUGCUAUUCUGAGAUUUGGUUCAUUACUUUGUAUGAUUUUUUCUCAAGCAUGUUAUGCCGAAAUGAACAAUUAAAAAAGAAGAAGGAAAAGUUAGGGUAAAAUUUUUACUAAAUCAUUUUUUAUUAACUAUUUAUAUUAAACAAAUGGAACAAGAAUUGUAGUCAUUCGUCAUAAGCGUGCUAAUAUGAUAAUUCUCUGACUACCAUUUUCUAUUUACCCCUUUUGCAGCAGGGAAUCCAAAUUUUGAAUUGUCCAAUGAUCCACAAUCAAUCCAAUGGUCCAAAACUUUUGGUCGUUAUGCGAAAAAUUUUCCCAAUUUUGGGCCAAUAUUCUAACAAGUUUUAUUGAAGGGCUGGACUAUUGGCACCCCUCUAAAAUUUCCUUAAAACCCCUUUUCUAUUACAAUUACAUUUAAAGAUAAAAAUAAUUACCAAUUCAUCUAUUUUAAUAUUUUAUCCCUCUUCAAACUUUUCUAUUUUCUUCUCAUCAAAAUUUUUCCCUCAAAUUCUCUGUAUUUUUUUGUUUUAUUCAUUUAUUAACAUAUUCUUUUUAUUAUAACAAAUCCAAAUUUUCAAGCAAAAUUAUAGUACAAUAUUGAUUGUUGUUUGCUUUAUUAGAAGGGACUUUUUAGCUGAGGAAAUAAAAACUGUAUAUUUGGUUUCUUCUAACUGCUCGUUGACGAUAGUCACGGCAUCCUGCACAUUUCUAAUGACUUCCUUUAGUAUGUUCUGCUUCUACCUCAUUAGUUCCAAAUAGCUUCUGUUAUCCCAUGCGUACUUCUUAAAAAUAACUUCUGCUAUUUUUUUAAUUAAUUAUUUGAAUCUUGGAGUUUUCUUUUUUAUCUUUUCCACAAUUUUUCAUUCGGAUUUAUUCAUAAUCAUACUAAAACUUUUUACAUUAUAAUUCUAAAGAUAUUGAAUCUAAUUCACUAAUUUGUAUUAAGAAGUUUAUCGCAUAAAUUUUGUGUGGAGAUUGAUAUAAUAAGACUCUAAAAUAAUUUUAGAAAUAAGAAAAUAUUAAGAAAUCGAAAGAUUAACAAAUUAGAAAUAAGGGUAAUUCUGACAUUAAAUGAAAUAUUAGGGACAAAGGAGUUUUUAGAGGAUUUUAACGGGUGCCAAUAGUUCAACUCUUUAUUGAAAUAAAAGGGAGAGGAUCGUUAAAUUGAAAAGUCCAUUUUAUUAUCAAGUGUUUUAAAUUAGUGCAACGUGACAAUUUUUACUGAUGAUAUCUUCUAUUUUUUUCAUAUAAAAUUAAUGUUAUUUUACUUACAAAUAUAAACUCCUAAAUAUUUGUAGUAGAUUUGAAGUUGAGCCCAUGAAACGGUAAUGAGGAAUUAAUGAGACUGAGGAUCUGCAAUUUAGUCAUGAAAAAUUUGUAAUUAAGCACGACUAAAUUUCAAUUUUCUCUUUGUAAUUUCUUUGGGUGCCUGAAAUUUUUUCUCCCUUAAUUUUCUGAUUACAAGUGCAUAAUUGUAAGUGCAACCGAUUUUAUUUUCAGGGAAUACUAUCGGACGGUGUGGAUAUAUAUAUAUAUAUAUAUAUAUAUAUACGAGAAAUGUUCCAAUUCAGAAUUUUAAAGUGUAGGAACGUCUGGGAAAACGCAUAAACCGUGCAGUUUAAACGCUUUAAGUUUUAAGCCUUUAAAACCCCGCAGUUUUAAAGUUUUCCUAGAUGUUUUCCGCACUUUAUGAUCCCGGACUAGAAAACUACUAUAUAUAUAUAUAUUAUCUGCUCGGUGAAAAGUUUUUUAAUCCGAGCUUAGAAUCUAGGAUUAAAAUUAUGAAAAAAAUUUAAGUAUUACACACACACACACACACUAUUCGGUCAUUUUUUUUUAAAAUCUGAGUUUAGAUGUAGAAUUAAAGUUCGAAAUGAAUUUACUGUGUUAUAAAUCAAUUUUUACAAUGUUGUAAAUUGAUUUAUGAUAUUAAAAAUCCAUCUUAAAUUUUAAUCUCAGAUUCUGAGUUUGGAUCUAAUAAACACUCUCUCCGAUUAUGUUGUCUAUAAUUUUGCAUUCAAAGAAACUUCACGAAAAAUAUAAUAUCAUGUGUAGCCCUAGAAACUUUAAUAACAAUAAAAAAGAUAUCAUAAGAAAAGAAAACUCAUAAUUGUUCAGAUAUUUAUAAAUUGGUGGCCGUUGGAAAUUUAACUGCAAGUGCCAAUCCGAGAAAAGUCUUCGUGCAGGAAAGACUUUUAGCCAUACGUUCUUCCAAGUCAAAUGAAACAGUGGAUGUACAAAGAAUAAGACAUGUCAUUCAGCUGCAGAUUUCAUGGCCAGUAUGACUCAUUCAGUCCCUUAUGGGUUACAUGUUUUUGAUAGCCCGCCUGUGGGUAUUUAUUCAAUUAUUUUACAAGACAUAUUUGGGGUUGCUAAACCCCGUAUGGUUCUGUCUUAGCUCGUUUUAUUGAGCCCAUUUUAAUCAAAAAAAAAAAAAUAAUAAGACAUGUCAUUCAUUGUUUGUUUGCUGCAUUCCCUCUCAUUUUCUUAAUUAUUGAAGACAGGUUGCUCAUAGCAUGUACUUUUCAAAUGUGGAACCGCAGCUAAUGUCACUAUUUUAAUUUGGAAUUAAAUUAGGGCCCAUCUAUAAAAUUUAUAACAUUAUAUUGCAGUGUGAACUAACUUUUAUGUUUAUCUAAACACCUUAAAUUUAAGGCAAAUUAUGGCAUAAAUAAGAAUUAAAACAGAACACUUAUGAUGUAUAGCAAAAGAGUUGUGAUGAAGAUCUUGAAGAAAUAUAAUAUUAGCGCCGAAUUAAGUAACUAAGAACACCCCUGAACUGAAUAAUGGUUAUCAAAAUUGUGUUACUUGCACUCCUAUUUACUAAAAGUCUGGUUCUGUUCCAUUUGAGUUUUUAUCUUCAAAUUUCAAAAUCUUGCUAAGUUUUGACAACAAAAAGGCUCAGUUUGCUUGUUCUAUAUUUGUAUUAUAUGAAUCCAAAUUUUUGUGUUCUAUUUUCUCAAUUUUGAAUACAAAUUCUUUUCUUCUCCCACAAACCAGAAAGAAAUGCUGUAUUAAAAAAAAUGGAAAUAAAUUCAUUACAACAAAAAUUAGGAAAAAUAAUACAAACCAAAUUAGGAUAAAUAACAUCACUUUCUAGAGAAGCAGGCAAAAAUGGAAAAUGAUAUUUCAAUUCUUCAAGAUCCCAAAUCUCUGUUUCUAAAUUUUCUUUCAUGUUGCUUCUCGCAUAGAAUCAUUUGGUAUUAAUAAAAUUUUUACUUAUUAAACAAAAGUUUUUAAAAUUUUUUUUAUUCCUGCUGUUAAUCUAUGAAUGGUUUCAUUGUUGGAGUUUCUUUCAGAAGACAAGAAUACUUUGGUUAAGUGUUUGGCUAAGUACUAAAUUAAAGGUUGUUAGAUAGAAGAAAUUAAAAAAAAAAAAAUCCUAACCCUUUUAUUCAGUGUUUAAUCAGCAAAUAUUCAACUCAACAUGAAUCUUAAUCAUCUUUAAAAAAAAAUUAUUCAAUUUUCUAAUAAUAUUUAUUCAGGUACUAGAAGUUAAAACCCUACUUACAUGGAUGCGUGGCCAUCGGUCCAAUUUAAAAAAAAAGAGAGAAAAAAUAAAUGUAAUCCAUGAAUUUGGUUAAUUUUCCUUUGUUUGUUUGUUUCUGUUCUCCCCCCCCCCCCCCCCCCCACCCCCUUUUCAAUAUCAUUCCUUUUUGGCCGCCCAAGGACAUUUUCACAAAUACCUUUUGUGCAUAAGUCUUUUAAACCAUCAAUCGGAAGAAACAUGCUUCCAGUGAUACCUCCAAUUAUCAUUGAUGACUUUUCUUACUCUAAUGCUAUGUCAAUUCCAACAUUUGUAUGUUAAUAUAACAUAAUCAAUGAUUUGGAUAAUUGAUGACUUUUACAGAUUGUGGAUUCUUGCGGAUUUUCAAUCUAAUCCAAUCCACCAAUUCACAAAUUCAGAUUUUUACGGAUUAAAUUUUUACAGAUCAGACGAAUUGAGCAGACUAGAUUGGAUUUUGAACAUUGCUAAUUUGUAUGUUAAUUAUAAGAUAAUCAAUUAUUUGGAUAAUCCCUUGUGUUUUAUCUCUAAUUAGAACAUCAAUCUUCACAAUAUUUACAAUGCUACAAUGGCUAUAAACAAAACCUGCUUGCAAAUUGUCAAGGAUACUUAUCCUUUCGCUUGACAAGUCAUUUGGAAAAAUAUUGUCCCUUGGCGGCUCCAUGUCUUCCCCGCCCUUCCUUUUGGUCUUAAUGUACGGUUGCUUAAUGAUAGUUUAGGCCCUUUAGGGACUACUUUCCCUGGUGUUGUUAAGUCUUAGCUUGUGCUAGGCUCGUUUUUCUUACCAAAAGAAAAGGAAUACUUCUCCUAUAAGAAAUAAUCUCUAUAUAUAGGGUGGUUGGAUUCACUUGUUUACAUAACAGAUCAAUUAGUUCUCUGUAAAUAGAGAGUUUCAAGUAUGAAAGAAACGGUAGGUCUAUUGAGAGAUUAUGUGUUAUUAGGAUUUUGGUUGUGAAGAAAAGUACUAGAGUGAUUGUGUUAAUUUUCUACGUAGUUGAUUUUUCUAUCGUCAUCUUUGUGGCUGUGAUUUUUCUUUCAUAUAGAAGUUUCCCACGUAAAUUGUUAUGUUAUGUGAUUAGUUUUGAUAUUUUAUUUGUAAGAUGUUGGAUGGGAUUAAAAGUUCAUAUUACUGCUAGAUGAUAUAUGGGAGCGGGUUGAUUUAGUAAAAAUGGGUGUCCCUCUUCCUAGAUCAGAAAACAACACAUCUAAAGUGAUAUUUACAAACCCGUUCUAAGGAAGUUUGCAGCUUAAUGGAAGCUCGUAGGAGUUUUAAAGUGGCGUGCUUAUCAAAUAAAGAUGCUUAGGAAUUGUUUCGAUACAAAGUUGGGGAAGAAACUUUGAACAAUCAUCCUGAUAUCCUUGAGCAAGCACAAUAGUUGUUAAGGAGUGUGGUGGUUUGCCACUUGCACUUUUUACCAUCGGCCGAUCUAUGGUGUGCAAGAAGACAUAGCCGAAGAAUGGAGAUAUGCUAUUCAAGUGUUCACUUCGUCCGCUUCCCAUUUCCAGGUCUGGAAGAAGGGAUAUAUACUCUUGUAAAUUCAGUUAUGAUAGUUUACCCAAUGACACAAUUACACCUUGUAUGUUAUAUUGUAGUUUAUAUCCAGAAGAUUGUUGCAUUUCUAAAGAGAAUUUCGUAUAUUGUUAGAUUAGUGAAGGAUUUUUGAAUGAAAGUGAUUGGUUUGGAGAAAAAAAUCAAGGAUAUUUCAUUUUGGGCAUUCUUCUUCAUGGUUUUUUUUUUUUUGGAAAAGGGAGGAGAUUGUGAAGUGAAAAAUGCAUGCAUGACGUUAUUCGUGAUAUGGCUUUGUGGAUCGCAUGCGACCAUGAGAAGGAGAAGGAGAACUUUUUGGUUUAAGCUAGUGUUGGUUUAACUAAGGUACCAGAUAUUAGAGAUUGGGAAAAGGUGAGGAGAUUGUCAUUGAUGAAAAAUAAAAUUGAGAAUCUAACUGAGGCUCAUACAUGCCCUCAUCUCCUCACUUUCUUUCUUGAUGAUAAUGAGUUUCGAAAGAUCCCCGAUGACUUCUUCCAGUUUAUGCCUUCUCUCACUGUUUUAAACUUGUCACAUAUUAAACUAAAGUCAGUUCCUUUAGGGACUUCAAGGUUGGUUCCACUACAACAACUCGAUCAUUCAUAUUCAAGCAUAAAAGAGUUGCAAGAAGAGUUAAAUGCCUUGAUUAAAGUUAAAUGCUUGAAUAUAGAUCAUGUAGAAGAGCUAAUUACAAUUCCACAACAACGAAUAUUUAAUUUUUAAGGUUAUAUGUGUUGAGAAUGUUCGAUACUAUUAGUUUAAAUUUUCAAGAAGCAUUAAAUAAAGACAGUAUUUUAUUUGGUGGGAGUUAAAGAAACAGAAAAUAAGUGUUUGGCUAAUAAAAAAAUAAAAUGAGAUCUGGAAACUUUUAAUCCUUUUAUUUUCUCAAGCUUAAGUUGCUACUGAACGAUUACAAACAUAUAUAUACAAGUGUAGCUGCUCAGCUGAAGAUUACUAAACUAACUAACUGAUUACAAAUUGAUUAACAAACGCAUCACGUGUAUGAGUACAAGCAGCUACAUAACCACCUGGUGCCAGCUGGCAGUACAUGUCAUCAACUUGUAACUGAUUAUAGAAGCUUCUGUGAUCCUCUGCUCUGUGGUCCUCAGCUUGACUACAAAUAUGAGUUUCCUUAAGAUCCCCCCCAAGCUCAAAGGUCUACUAAUGACAUGGAGUUUGGACCUGAAGUAGCUGAAUUUUGGAAGAGAUGAAGCCUUCGUGAGAACAUCAGCAACUUGUUCAUCUGUAAGAAUGUAUCUCACUUCUAAUUGCUUUUGAAGUACCUUAUCUCGGAUGUAAUGGAUGUCCAACUCGAUAUGCUUAGACCUGGAGUGAAACACAUGAUUUUUGGCUAAUUUCCCAGCACUCUGAUUAUCACACCAAAGCACUGGUGUUGGCAGUUUUACAAUGUUGAGCUCAUAAAAUAAAGAUUCCAGCCAAGAGAUUUCUGAACUUGCUGAUGACAGUGCUCUGUACUCAUUUUCAGUGCUGGAUUUUGCCACUAUGGCUUGUUUCUUAGAGGACCAUGAAAUCAAAUCGUUGCCAAGAUAGAUGCAAUAUGCUCCAAUAGACUUUCUAUCAUCUAUAUCACAAGCCCAAUCUACAUCUGAGUACCCAUUCAAACCUGUAACUUCAAGCUCCCCUUCUUUCUGAAUAUAUAUUCUAUAAGUAACAGUUGCUUGAAGAUAUCUAAGUACAUUUUUACAAGCAAGCCAGUGCUGAAGUGUAGGAGCACUUAGAUACUGACUUAGCUUAUGAACUGAGUAUGCAAUAUCAGGCCUGGUGAGUAUCAAGUAUUGGAGCCCUCCAACAAUGCUUCUAUAGAGAGUUGGAUCUUCAAAUUCUUUCCCCAAACAACCCUUUGCUACCUUUUCUAAUUUCUAACUUUGUGCUGAGAGGUGUAUCAGAACCUUUACAGUUCUGCAUUGAAGCUCUACUUAAGAGGUCUUCGAUAUAUUUUGUUUGUGAUAAAUGUAUCCCACUAUCUGUAUAACACACCUCAACACCAAGAAAGUAGGAUACCGAUCCCAAAUCUUUUAAGGCAAAAACCUUACUAAACUUAAUGAUGAAGGUUUCCAACAGGGAAAAAUCUGGUCCUGUAAUGAGAAUAUCGUCCACAUAGAUAAGAACAAGAAUGAUACCUCUUCUGUCAUGUUUGAUGAACAGGGAUGUAUCAGCCUUGGAGUUGAAGGAAUUCUAGCUUGUAAGACACCCUUUGAGUUUGUCAUACCAAGCUCUAGGAACUUGCUUCAAGGCACAAAGAGCUUUGCUAAGUUUACAGACAUAGCCCUCUUUGGUUAUGAAGCCCUCUGGUUGUGUCAUGUAUAUAUCCUCUAAAAUAUCUCAAUUAAGAAAAGAAUUAUUUAUAUUGUAGAAAAUAUGGAAAGAUUAGAUUAGUUGACAUUCCUGAUUUCUAGGAUUAGUUGUCUAAUUUGUCUGAUUUGUACAGCUAUUACUAAUUUGUAUAUUUUCAGAAAUUAGAAAGUUAAAUUUGGAAUAUGUUGUCCUAUAAAUUAACCCUAUUGUACUGGCUGUUAGAGGUACUUAAAAAUAAGAAAAGAUAUUUAUUCUUCUCCUCUGUUAACAUGGUAUCAAAGCUAUGGCAGAAUUAAGCCUAGCUUGACUCCCAUACGGAUCAGUUCAUUGCCUUGUUGUAAUGGCGCAAAACACCAUGCCUGGGGUUACAGUAAUUGGUGAUACUAAUUCCACUGCUACAUCUAUUGGAAUUGGUACAGGGGAGUUUCUUCCGUCGGGAUUUGGAAACUUGAACGGAAGUGAGAGUUUUCCCAUGCAAUUAACCGGUCACAAAUUGAACGGUAAAAACUAUCUAGAAUGGGCGCAAUCCAUUAAGUUGGUGGUCGAUGGCAAGGGUAGACUUGGCUACAUCACCGGUGAGACGAAGGAGCCGGAAAAAACUGAUCCAACAUGGAAGACUUGGAAGUCAGAAAAUUCCCUAGUUAUGUCCUGGUUGAUCAAUUCCAUGGAGGUUUCUAUUGGGAGGACGUAUUUGUUUCUUCCCACCGCAAAUGAUGUAUGGGAUGCAGUCCGAGAAACGUAUUCUGAUCUAAAAAAUUCAUCAUAGAUUUUUGAAUUGAAAACAAGACUAUGGCAGACUAGGCAAGGUGAUCAUGCUGUUUCUGAGUAUUACAACGAGAUGAAGGCUUUAUGGCAGGAGCUUGAUAUCUGCUAUAAAGAUGAUUGGGCCUAUAUGACAGAUAGUGUUCGUUAUUUAAAAAGAAUUGAAGAUGAUCGUGUUUAUGAAUUUUUGGCAGGUUUGAAUAAGAGCCUUGAUGAAGUGAGAGGCCGGAUUCUUGGCAGAAUUCCUUUGCCAUCAAUCCAGGAAGUAUUUUCAGAAGUACGACGAGAGGAAGGUCGACGCAAAGUGAUGUUAGGAGAAAAAACUGUAUCUGCUCCAGAAGUUUCAGCCCUAAUGACAGGGACUAAUCACAAUAAUUCCCCAUACCAAGCACGAUAGAACAAGAAAGGAGAAAAGGUGUGGUGUGAUCACUGCCACAAACCACGUCACACUAGGGAGACUUGCUGGGAUUUACACGAAAAACCUCCUAAUUGGAAGCCACGAAAUUUUAGUCAGUCAAACCGUGACUCAAAGGCCUUCCACUCAACCACUGAGGAGAAUGGAAACACUGCAACUACAACUACGACACCUUCAUUCAGUAAGAAAUAGUUAGAACAACUGUACUUUUUCUGUCCAGAUAAGUGACCAAUCCAGUAUCUUCUUCUUAUUCCUUAGCCCAGAAAGGUACUUAUCAAUUUGCUAUCUUCAAUGUGUCCACUAUUCCUCUUUGUCCAUGGAUAAUAUAUUCAGGUGCCACCGAUUAUAUGACUGGAUGCUCUAAAUUAUUUUCUUUCUAUAGUCCUUGUACAGGCAAUCAAAAAAUUAAGAUUGCUGAUGGCUCCCUCUCGGCAAUUGCUGGGAAAGGGUCAAUUGUUAUAUCUAAUACUCUCGUUCUUCACGAUGUCCUUCAUGUUCCAAAUCUCUCUUGUAAUCUUUUUUCUGUAAGUAAAAUAACUCGUGGUUUAAAGUGUUGUGCUAAAUUUCUUCCAAAUUGUUGUGAAUUUCAGGAACUGGAUACGGGGAGGAUGAUUGGCAAUGCUAGAGAGUAUGGCGGUCUCUAUUACUUUGAUGAUGGGAACUCUAUGUGUCAGCAACAGAAAAUUUUGAAUCUUGGAGCAUGCUUUAGUUCUACUGAUGAUAAAAUAAUGCUAUGGCACCGUAUGUUAGGCUAUCCUAAAUUUUUAUAUUUAAAACAUUUGUUUCCAACCUUAUUUCGUAAUAAACUUUUAUUGUCUUUUCAAUGCGAUAUUUGUCAGUUAGCUAAACACCAUCGUGCAUCUUUUCCUAUUCAACCAUAUAAAGCAUCCAAGCCUUUUACCCUUAUUCAUAGUGAUGUGUGGGGUGCCUCUAGGACAUCCACCAAUUCUGGAAAAAGAUGGUUUAUAACAUUUAUUGAUGACCAUACACGCCUAAGUUGGGUCUAUCUACUCAAAGAAAAAUCUGAAGCAGAACAUGUUUUUAAAAACUUUUAUAAUAUAGUUGAAACACAAUUUCAAACAAAAAUUCAAGUGUUCCGAAGUGACAAUGGGAAGGAAUACUUUAAUCAAAUAAUGGGGUCAUUUUUCUUAGAAAAAGGAAUUGUUCAUCACAGCUCUUGUAAUGACACUCCUCAACAAAACAUAAUAGCAGAACGGAAAAAUAAGCACCUCCUAGAAGUAGCUAGGUCUUUAAUGUUCACCACUAAAGUUCUUAAAUACUUAUGGGGAAAAGCAAUUCUUACUGCUACAUAUCUUAUUAAUAGGAUGCCAUCAAGAGUUUUGAACUUUCAGCCACCAUUGACAGUUUUUAAAAAAUUCUUUCCAAUGACACGUUUGACUUCAGAUUUACCUUUAAAGGUCUUUGGAUGUGUUGCCUUUGUACAUAUACACAAUCAUAAUAGGGAUAAACUAGAUCCAAGGGCUGUAAAAUGUGUUUUUCUGGGCUAUUCUCCUACUCAGAAAAGGUAUAAAUUUUUUUAUCCUAACAAACAAAAAUAUUUUGUCACGAUGGAUGUUACCUUCUUUGAGUCUCAAAGUUUUUUUAAUCCUCCUCUUCAAGGGGGGAAAGGAAAUGAAGACUCAGUGUUUGAGCUUGACAUGAAUACUAAUGGUGAGGCAAAUAUUGAAACUGAAAUUUUUAAUCCUAAUACCUUGAAUAAGGAGGAUAUGAGGAUUACCUUAGUGCCUGAACAUAAAACUGACACUACGAUAAUAGACGAGACAUGCUUCAAUGAUGAGAGAUUGUUCGGGAAAACUUACACUAGGGAGAAACGGAUUCAAAGUAAGAAAAAUGCAGCGAUACUUCCUCAACGCCAUGAAUCUGAUCCAAUUCCAGAUUCGAAAAACAUUGAUUCUGAAAAUCCAGGUACAAUCUCUAAAUUUAUAGAGUAUGAGUCUUUAUCUAUCCCACAAGUACAUUCUGACCCUCUAGAUCUUCCCAUUGCUCUUAGGAAAAGAAAUAGAUCAUGUACUCAACAUCCCCUUUUCAAUUUUGUGUCUUAUAAGAACCUGCCAUUAUUUUAUCAUACUUUUGUCUCACAAUUUUCAAGUGUGGAUAUACCUAAGUCUAUACAGGAAGCGCUAAAGGUUCCUAAAUGGAAGAAGGUUGUUCGUGAAGAAAUGGAGGCUCUAGAAAAAAAACAGAACGUGGGAGAUGGUUUUACUUGCCUGAAGGAAAAUUGAUUAUUGGUUGCAAGUGGAUUUUCACUGUGAAAUACAACUCAGAUGGAUCCUUGGAACGCUAUAAAGCAAGGUUAGUAGCAAAAGGAUUCACACAGACCUACGGAGUUGAUGAUCAAGAGACAUUUGCUCCCGUAGCCAAACUAAAUACCAUUCGAAUACUACUCUCUGUAGCUGUUAAUUUGGAGUGGCCAUUGUUUCAAUUGGAUGUUAAAAAUGCGUUCCUCAAUGGAGAAUUGGAAGAGGAAGUAUAUAUGGGUGCACCCCCUGGUUUUGAAGACAAGUUUGGAGGAAAGGUGUGUAAAUUGAAGAAAUCCUUUUAUGGACUGAAGCAGUCUCCUCGUGCUUGGUUCGAGAGAUUUACUAGGUUUGUUAAAAAAGAAGGAUAUAGUCAAGGACAAUCUGAUCAUAUAAUGUUCGUGAAACACACAGAUGGUGGAAAGAUGGUUGUCCUAAUUGUAUGCGUAGACGACAUAAUACUUACUGGAAGCGAUAAUGAUGAAAUGAAUAAGCUGAAGAAGCACCUGGCAUCGGAAUUUGAAAUUAAGGAUUUGGGUCCCUUACGCUAUUUCCUGGGUAUGGAAGUUGCAAGAUCUAGAAUGGGAAUUUCUCUGUCACAAAGAAAGUAUGUUUUGGACUUGCUAGAGGAGACAUGAAUGAGUGGUUGCAGACCAAGUGAUAACCCCGUGGAUCCUAAUCAGAAGUUAGGAGAGGUUUCCGAUGGAGUUCGAGUUAAUAAAGGUAGAUAUCAACGUCUCGUAGGGAAACUCAUUUAUUUAUCUCACACAAGACCUGAUAUUGCCUUUGCCGUUAGUGCUGUAAGUCAAUAUAUGCACUCACCCUAUGUGGAACAUUUGGAGGCAGUUCACAAGAUUCUCAGGUACUUAAAGAGGACACCUGGAAGAAGGUUAUUAUUUAAGAAGAGUGAUCAAAAGAGUGUAGAAGUCUUCACAGAUGCAGACUAGGCAGGCUCAAUUUCAGAUAGAAGAUCAACAUCUGGUUACUGUACAUUCUUAUGGGGAAAUUUAAUUACUUGGCGAAGCAAAAAACAAAACGCGGUUGCCAGGAGUAGUACUGAAGCUAAGUUUAGUGCCAUGGCAAAUGGAGUUUACAAGGUAUUAUGGAUUAAAAGAGUCCUUGGAGAACUGAAAUUAGAUAUUGAAGCACCUAUGAGACUGUUCUGUGAUAAUAAAUCAGCAAUAAGCAUUGCAAAUAAUCUUGUUCAGCAUGAUCGUACAAAGCACAUUGAGAUUGAUAGACAUUUUAUUAAACAAAAGCUGGAGAAUGGAGUUAUAUGUAUGCCAUUCAUCCAUUCAGAGUAAUAAACAGCAGAUGUUCUUACCAAGGGACACUUCAGGCCAAAGUUUGAAUCUUUCAUUGACAAGUUGGGCAUGAUUAAUAUCUAUGCACCAACUUAAGGGGGUGUAGAAAAUAUGGAAAGAUUAGAUUAGUUGACAUUCCUGAUUUCUAAGAUUAGUUGUCUAAUUUGUCUGAUUUGUACAACUAUUACUACUUUGUAUAUUUUCAGAAAUUAGGAAGUUAAAUUAGGAAUGUGUAGUCCUAUAAAUUAACCCUAUUGUACUGGCUGUUAGAGGUACUUAAAAAUAAGAAAAGAUAUAUAUUCUUCUCCUUUGUUAACAUAUAUCAAUUUGCCUGACUUUCCAACACUUCAUCACUGCCAAACUCAGUAUAGUUCUAAUUGUAAAAGACUUUACCACAGGACUGAAAGUUUCCUUAUAAUCCACUCCUGCUGUCUGGUGAAAGCCCUUGGCCACCAAUCUUGCUUUGUGUUUAGAAACUGUACCAUUUGUAUUGUACUUGGUUCUAAAAACCUAUUUACAUCCAACCAACUUGUGCUAAGAUGUCACAGGUACUAGAGUCCAUGUGUUAUUGUUGGUUAGAGCAUCAAAUUCUAAUUGCAUUGCAGCUUUCCACUUAGGAUCAGAUAAAGCUUCAUCAACAGUGGAUGGUUCCAGGCUGUUAUGUGAUGUUAAGAAUGCUUUAGGCUUGAAUAUACCAGCUUUUACUCUGGUAAUCAUAGGAUGAUUUGGCAGAGAAUGUUGGGAUGGUUGUGUGGAUUGAGUAUGAGAUGAUGAUGGCUGUUGUGUAUGUGAAGCAUCUAUGAUAGAGGGUUGAAAAUGUAUUUGAGAAGGUGAAACAACAAAGGUUGUAUUGUGAUUGUCAGAUGAGGAGUGAUCACUGAAAUGAUGAGAUUGAGCUUUAUCUUCUGCAGAGCCAGCUUCAAAGGUUUCUUGAUUGCUAUUGGGAAGUGAAAUAGUAUAAGAUUGAAGAAGACUGUAAUGAAAAUCAGAGAGUUUAGAUGGUGAAGUUAAAAAUUGUGAAUUUGAUGUGUAAGGAAAAGAGGUUUCAUCAAAUAAAACAUGACUGGGUAUAAAAUUCUUUCCAGAAGAAUGAAUACACUUGUAACCAUUGUGUAAAGGGCUGUAACCAAGAAAUACACAUUUUGAGGUAUGAAAAUGGAAUUUGUGAGUAUUAUAAUCCCUUAGGAAUGGAAAACAUGAACAACCAAAGACCUUGAGAAAUUUGUAAUCAGGUUUGGUUUUGAAAACACAUUCAUAAGGUGACUGCAUAGAUAGUAUGGGUGUGGGAAGUCUAUUGAUAAUAUAGGUGGCUGUAUGGAAGGAAUCCCACCAAAAUUUUAUAGGUAAAGUGGCUUGAGCAAGUAAGGUGAGACCUAGCUUGGUUAUGUGUCUAUGUUUUCUCUCAAUUAAGCCAUUCUGAUUGUGAGUAUAGGGACAUGAGUUCCUAAAUUGAAUACCUUCCUCAUGAAGAAAAUUAACAAAUGAUCUAUACUCUCCACCCCAAUCUGAUUGAAUACACUUGAUGGAUCUAUCUAGCUGUUUCUAAAUUUGCUUUUUAAAGAUUUUAAAAACAACUAGUGUUUCAUCCUUGGUUUUUAAUGGGAAUAUCCAUGUGAACCUCGAAAAAUCAUCCACAAAACUCACAUAGUAUCUGUAACCUUGAACUGAAAGCACAGGGGCAGGUCCCCAUAAAUCAGUGUGCAAAACCUUUAAUACAUGCUUUGUUUUGGUAGUAGAAACUGGAAAAUGUAAUCUAUGCAUUUUUCUCAUUUUACAUGCAUCACAUGAAUCAAGAAAUUUACUUCCAUUUAAAUUCUUGAAAGCUGAACAAGAGUUUAUUACAUGACUUAAAACUUUGGAAUUAGGAUGACCAAGUUUCUGAUGCAAUACAGAAACACUCAGCAUAUAAUUUGGACUGAUACAAGGUUCUGCUGCAGUAUGCAAGCAGGUGCUUGUUUGAUUAUUGACAACUGAUUGAACAACUGAAAACAUAAACAGGGGAACAUCUGGAAUUUUGGAUUGAGUGGCGUCAAGAGACCUUUGAAAUGAUUGAGAAGAGACUUUAUUAGAGGGAAACAAUAGCAAUCUGUAUAAACCUUUUUCAGCUUUGCCCUGCAGUAUGAUCAAAUUCCUUACCUUGUCCUUCACAUAAUAGGAUUGAUCAGUAAAUUCAAUAACAAUAUUGUUAUCUUUGGUUAGCUGAGAUAUGCUAAUAAGGUUCUUGGAUAUUUGUGGAACAAAUAGCAUGUUGUUUAAUUUGAGUGUGUUAUGAUCAGAAGAGUUAUGCAUUCUUAACACAGCAUUUCCAACAUGUGUUAUGUGCAAACCAGUACCAUUUCCAAUUAUGAGUUUAGAGUUACCUGCAAAAGGUUCUGUCAUAGUCGUAUUUCUCAUGUCAUUGGUAAGAUGGUGUGUAGCUCCACUAUCCAGAUACCAGUUGACAUCAGCUGCACCAUCCAUAUCAGCUAGAUAUGCAGCUUUGGGAUUUCUAUUUGGAGGAGGUCUGUAAGCACCAGAGGUAAAGAAUUCUUCAAGUUUCUAGCAGACAUUUGCAGUAUGACCAGUUUUGAAGCAGUUUUAGAAGCAUUCCACUGAGGUUUAGGAUUCAUUUGGGGCCUAAUAGAGUUAUUGUUACCACCCCCACCAUUGUUCCAAUUUCCUGAGCCUAAUCCCCUUUGAUUAUCACUUUGAAAUCCUCUGAACUGGUUAUUUGAAUUAUUUCCAGAACCAUUUCCAAUGAAACCAGAUCUUCCAUAGCCACCUCUGUAAUUAUUUCCAAAAUUUCCAGCAUUAUCUAAACCAGAAAAAUAGUUAUGAUUUCCAGAUCCUCUACCACCUGAGAAGUUUCCUUUCUUAAAACCUCUGUUCUAAGCUAAAUUAGCUUCAAAAUUAUGCUUAACAUCCAUUCCAGAAAGCAUAUGUGCUUGUUGCUCAAUUCUAGCCUCUUAAGUCAACAACAUAGCAUAAGCCUCAUUCAAAUUCAUUUUAUCACCACUUAUUUGACCAGUAAUAUAAGUAGCAACAACAUUAUAAUCUGGUCCUAGUCCUGAGAGUACAUGCAAAAUUAAAUCAUCACUGCUUAAGGCACUUCCUGCCGCAACCAUGUUAUCAACAAUAUUCUUCAUUUUAAUGAAAUACUCAUUGAUUUUCAAAUCAUCUUUCCUAGUUGAAUUUAUCAAAUAUCUCAAAUGUAAGAGUCUGGAUUUUGAUUGUGAUCCAAAUUGGGUUUCAAUAGCUUUCCAUACCUCAAGAGAAGUUUCCAGAUUAAACACCAGGCUUAUAAUACCUUCACUCAUCGAUGAUAGCAACCAGCCAAGGAGUACUUGAUCUUGUGCUUUCCAGCUUGACAAAUCUGGAUUCUCAAUAGAUCUAAGUUCAUCGUCAAUCCUCUGAGCAAUAUGAGAUGGAGGAGGAGUGACAGUUUCAUCAAUGAAUUUUUCUAACCUAUUGCCGCAUAUGGAAGCUAAAACUUGGGACCUCCAGAUCAGAUAGUUUGCCUGAUCCAGUUUCACAGGAGUAUUGAAAGUGAAUGAGAAGUUUGUUGAGUUUGCAUGAACAUUUGAAGUGUGGUUUGAUGAGGCAAUAUUCAGAGACGCCAUGACUAGCUCUGAUACCAAGUUAAAGAAACAGAAAAUAAGUGUUUGGCUAAUAAGAAAAUAAAAUGAGAUUUGGCAACUUUUAAUCCUUUUAUUUUCUCAAGCUUAAGUUGCUACUGAACGAUUACAAGCAUAUAUAUACAAGUGUAGCUGCUCAGCUGAAGAUUACCAAAUUAACUAACUAAUUACAAAUUGAUUAACAAACUCAUCACGUGUAUAAGUACAAGCAGCUACAUAACCACCUGGUGCCAACUAGCAGUACAUGUCAUCAACUUGUAACUGAUUAUAGAAGCUUCUGUGAUCCUCUGCUCUGUGAUCCUCUGCUUGACUACAAAUAUGAGCUUCCUUAACAGUGGGGAGGAAGUUUAAGCAGAGGAGUUGCUCGGUUUGGAAUAUUUGGAGGUAUUGAGCUUCACUUGAGAAGUGUUCGUGCUCUCCAAUUUAUUUUGAGCUCACAUAAGCUACGAAGUUGUACUCAAGCGGUGUUCCUCCAAUCCUUCAAUGAUUCGAUAUGGCUUGAUAUUUCACUUUUGGCAGAGUUAAAAGCACCACUACAGAUUUAAGUAUUUUUGGGUGUAGAAAAUUGGAGGACUUGAAGAUGGAAUAUACAGGGGGAGCGAAAAACAAGCGGCAACCUUGUGUUUUCUAAGGCCUACAUACAGUUCACAUAGAGGUUUGUUCUAAAUUGAAGGACUUAACAUUCCUUGUUUUUGCUCCAAAUCUCAAGAACUUGUAAAUACAAAAUUGCCCUGCUGUGGAAGCAAUCAUCGGUGUGGAAGAAUUUGCGGAAGCUCUAGAGGUGGUGGAAAAUCUAAACCCAUUUGCAAAACUCCAGUAUCUUGGACUAGAAAAUCUGCUAAAUGUGGAGAGCAUCUAUUGCAAGCCUCUGCCCUUUCCAUGUUUGAAAAGAAAUGACUGUGGAUGGUUGCCGUUGUCUUAAAAAGCUUCCACUCUACUCCAACAGUGUAAAAGAGUGUACAAUUGUUAUUUCAUCAUUCGGAGAGUUAAUGGUGCAAUGAGAUUUGGCAGUUAACUCUCGUGGGAAGAGCUUGAAUGGGAAGACGAAGCUGCUCGAAUUGCUUUUCAUUCCUGUUUCAAAUCUCUGAUUGGAUUGGAGAUUGCAUUUCGCCUCAGGUUCGUACUUUUCUUGAAUUUUUCUUGUUAACUUCAUUUGUUCAUUUAUCCAUUUUUUUUUAAAGGAAUCAGAAGGGUUAAUAUUUUUGGUUGUGUUAGGUCGACUUCUAAUCACGAGGCAGAAGGAGUUGAGAUGAAGUUUAAUUUUGGUGGAGAAAUUGUUUGAUUUAAAAAAUUUAAAUGAGUUGAUCAUCAUUCUUUAGCAUAUUUGUAUGAACAGGAGUGUGUAAAUAUGCAAACUGUCCAGCUGUAUGUGUGUAACGUAAUAAUUUUGAGGAGUUAAACAUUGAAGAGUAUUGAUGUUUCCAUUGUCAAACCAAAUAUACUUAAUUACUUGAGGAUAAUGAUUACUGCUAAUACAUUUGCAAAGAAAAAACAUGCCUAUUGAAAAACUCAUCUUAUUAGCAACAGCAUUAUAAGUAGUAUCCAAUCAUAGUUUCAUGCAAGAUUUUGAGAUUUUUCAAAUGCUGAUUCCGGGAAUGGAGAUUAAUAGAAAAUGGAGACAGGUUGACUGCAAUGGCUAAUUGCAAGAGGGAAUUUUAGUCGUAAAAACAGACCAACUAGCAAAGCAAAUUCCAAAUCUUGGAAUGAAGUGGCAAAAAAACGAAACAAACAAAUGGCAAGAGGAAGUGACUAUACAAUAAUAACAUCGACUUGCAAUUCAACAUUUAUACAGUUUUACACACCAAGAAAAGAGAAAAUUACAAUAGCAAUUUGGCUACUAGAAGAUGGUCAUUCAUGCUUAUGCCUGUCAUAUGGAUUUGAAACAAGGAGUAAAAGCAUUUAGAGUGGCUUCAUCCUUCCACUGCAGCUCAUUCCACCAGUGUUGCUCUCCCCUAAUAACAAGUUUUCGUUCCUUGGCGCUGUUGUAAUCGAGUGGAAGCUUCUUGAGGUUCGGGCAUCCAGAUACAAACAAUUCCAAGAGAUUUGGAAAGGGCAAUGCAUUCAAACAGAUCUUCUUCAAAUUUCUUAGAACUUGCAACCGAAGAUAUUGGAGUUUCGCAAAAGGUUUUAGCCCUGGAACUUCUUCCACUUUCCAAACACUGAUUAUUUCUUCCAUCUCAUAACAACGUUCUACAUGGACCAUCUUCAGAUUUGGGGCAAAAACAAGCCAUGUCAUCUCCCUCAAUUUACUGCAAUAGUCUAUGGUAACACUUUGAAGGCUGUUGAAACCAUAAAGUUCUCUUGUUGUUUGAACUUCUGCAUAGUCAACCUUUAGCUCUUCCAAACUUGUACAAUACACAAAAUCUAGUUUGUCAAGAUACUUGAGAUCUGCUAUGGACAAAAUAUUCCAUGACCUUGAAUCCUCACAGCGGCGAAGCUCUAAAGCAUAUUUACAACUCUUGUACUGUUGGCAGCUCAAAAGUCUUCGUAGAGCAUAAAAACUUCUUAACGUGACGCUUAAUACAUUUAAAUGUUCCAAAGUAAUCAACUCUACCAAAAUUUCACUACCACCAAAUAGAACGCUAUCUUCUGGUACUGUAUUAGCAGAGCCACAAUCUAGCAUCCUCAACACCUUUAACCCAGAAAAAUUACAAAGCAGUUGCCGUGGAAUCGUAUGGAGAUAACGCAUGUACUCCAAGUUCAAACACUUUAGAUUUUUCAAGGCUUUUAAUUCAUGUGGCAACUCUUUGAUGAAAGUUUCUGAAAGAUUAAGAUAUUGUAGUGAAACCAAUUUUGAAAUUCCUGAAGGCAAUUGACUCAAGGAGCGAUUCUUUGAUAGGUUUAAAACUUUAAGAGAAGGCAUAAAAUCGAAGAAAUCACUAGGGAUAGUAUCUAACAUAUUAAUGCCGAGGAACAAAGUUAUAAGAUGAGGGCAUAUUGGAGUUAUUGGUAAAAUCACAAUUUUAUUUCUCAUCAACGAUAUCCUUCUCUUAUCUUCCCAUUGUUUAACCUCGGGUGGUUCAGUUAAUUCAAUACCGGAAGAAACCAAAAAGUUUUCAUUCUCCACUUCACAGGCUAUCCACAAGGUCAUAUCACGAAUCACAUCAUACAGUUUUACAUAAUCUGAUCCUGCUUCUUCCAAUAGGCAUGCAUGAACAAGAACACCAAUAAUGUAGUAUCCUUGGUUAUGUACUCCGUUAAUUCCUUCAUUUUCCUUCAGAAAACCCUCACCAAUCCAACACCCGAUCAAUUCAAUUUUGCUAAUUUGAUAAUCCUCAGGAAAUAAACCACAGUAUAACAGACAAGAUCUAAGGACGUCACUAGACAAACUAUCAUAACUGAAUUUUAAAAGACGAAACACCUCUUUCUCCAUACUUGGAAAUUCAUAAGCUGAUCUCCUUAACAUCUGAAUUGCAUAGCUCCAUUCUUCGGGUGUCUUCUUGCUGCUCAUGGCACGACCGGUGGUAAUAAGUGCAAGUGGCAAACCACUAGACUCCUUUGCCACAGUUUGGGCUAACUCCGGAAUAUCGGGAUGACUUUCAAGAGUCUCUUCUCCGACCUUCUUUAGGAACAAUUCCCAAGCAUCUUGAUCUGCCAAACACUCCACCUUGAACUUUUUUUGAGCUUCCAUGAGGCCACAGACGUCCACAAGACGAGUCGUAAAGACUAUCUUUGAUGCAUUUCUUGAACUCGCAGGAAAAGGGACACCCACUUUGGCUAAAUCAAUUCUUUCCCACAUAUCAUCUAACAAUAGCAGAAAUUUCAUUUUGCUCAAUAAAUUGAAUAUGCCUGAUGCUUUCUCUUCAAAGCUUCUAUUCUGAAGCCAUCCUAUUCUUUCUCCGAUUUUCUGUUGAAUUCUCUCAAGCUGCAUGCCUUUUGACACCACCACCCAAAUCACAAUAUCAAAAUAAUUUGGUGUUUUAAGGAACUUGUUGUUGAUUUGGGUUAAUAGUGUAGUCUUGCCGACUCCCCCCAUGCCAUAAAGUCCGAUGAUUCCAAAUUGUCCUUCUACAAGACAUCUCCAAACUUUAUCAAAUGAUGAUUCUAGGCCGAUUAUUGUUGGCUGAAGAGGCCUUUCAUCCACUGCUGGUUGUGGUACCUUUUCAGCUACCACUGCAAAAGCUCCAUCAUCUAUUAAAGUAGCCACAAGCUGCAGCUUUUUAGACACCUUUUUCCCAAACUUGUAGCUUGACUUGCAGUUCUUGGAGCAGUAGCCUCCAAGACAUAGUUUUUCAAUUUCUUGAGAGCUGUCCCUUGUCAAUUCACCUACUUCAGCUUCCACAGCCUCCACCCUUGAAAGCCAACCUUGCACUCUGUUCAGCCGUCUUAGUUGUUGUUGCUCAGCAUUAGAGACCCUCAUCAUCACAUCGUUCUUUGUUUCAAUUAGUUUCUGCAAUUCGGUCUGGACGGCAACCAGGUUAUUUUCAAGCUGGCUUAGAUAUGCUGCUUUUCUGCGGGUACAAUUUAUGAAGCCAGUGGAAAGGGCAUCACAUGUAAGUUGGAUUCCCAAAAUAUUACCCAUAGUUUGUAUGAGAUUCAGAGUACAAUAGAAGGAAUGCAACACAGUAUGUAUUCGGUUGUGGUGUCUAUGAUUUUACAGUCGCAGAAGCUUUUUCACCUUGUGAGGGCUGAUCAGGUGGGCACCAUCACUCUCUUUACGCUUUAUAGAGAGCGAUAGUCCAUGUGGUCAGAUCUCAUUCAGAUAACUAGCCAAGUGGGCAAUCGCUCCACCUUAUCAAAAUUCUUCAUCUUAUAAUAAUAUCAUGAGUAGGCCUUGAAUUUUUCUUUUAAUUUUAACAUUUAAAAGGUAGAGGUGAAAAAGUCUAAAUAGUAUUUUUGUCCUCGUACUUUAACUAAAUAACAUUUCUUGAAAAUCACUCAAUCUUAAAAUUUAAUUAAGAAGAUAUUAUAGAUUUAUAAGCCCUUAAAAUUUAUUUGCAAGUAACAAUUAGAGAAAAGUCGUCAGGCCCAAAAGACUUACUAAAAGUCGUCAACUCGUCAUGACCAAAAUUCUUCCGCGUGUGAAAUACGGCAUGCGCAGAUGCAUUAAAAACAAAGGCCAGCUAUGAUAAUCUUUGUAGUAUUAAUAAUUUCAGACGCGUCGUUCGUUGCCUGUGACUUUUCAUAUGCAAAAGCGGAGUCAGUGUUACUUGCAUUCCCUGUCACCUUAUUAAUAAUUUCAGACACCAUCGUUGGUUGCCUGUGAUUUUCAUAUGCAAAAGCACAGUCAGAAUUACAAUUUUACAUUUGGAAUUGAGUGCCAUCUAUUUAUUCUAGCUGGAUCUAAAAUGAUAUUGCAGUAUUGCACUGACUUUUUAGUCACAGCGUUUCUCUAUGAAUUCCUUAAAGUUUAAACACAUCAUGGAAUAAUUAUUUUCUUAAAGACCAAAUUAACAUAAUUCUUAAAUCAUUUAUAAAACAACAUUUAUCAUAUAACAGAUCGUACAUGAAUAAAUUUACCUUGAACCGUAGCAAACAAACAAGAAUCUCAACCACAUCAAUAUCAUAACCCCUUCUGACCUUAACAAUAAUUUUAUUCGUCCUUAAUUCAUAGGUAUAAGUAUCCCAAUAUAUACUUGAUGUCAACCUUUACAAUUCUUUACAGAAUUGCAGCAGACCAAAUUUGUAUGCAAAACUGAAAUCAUACAGUAAUUGAAUACAGUGAAAAUAGACAUGAUGGGAAUUAGUAUAUAUAAAUAUCUUAAUAAUUUAAAAGUUUCUUAAACUGAUUUUACAUAUCUGAAAAAUUAUAGAAAUCGGAACUGCUGCAGAAAUCAUAAUUUUCCAGCGAAUGUGUUACAACUUCAGAAACUCAUAAGAAAUUAAAUUCUUGGGAUCACAAAAUAAUUCAAUAGAAAGCUUAAGAUGUCUAGUUCAUAAAAUCUGAUUUUUUUUUUUAAUAAGAUCUUUGGAAUUUAAGAGAUUCAGCAGUACUUUUAUUACAUCAAUUCUUCAAACAAUCACCAAUCUAACAUUCAUCAAAAUUAAGUCAUAAAAAUCAUGUGGUUUAUAAAAAAGAAUUACCUGAAAAAGAUUAGCCUUCCCCUUUCAAAAGCAACGUGAAACUCCAAAAACUCUUCUUCCAUUACCUAUUCAAACAUGAAAAAAAAAAAAAAAAAAAUUGGUAUCUCCUCUUUAAACGCGUGAUGAGUGUGCUCUGUUUUCUCUGUUCUUCUUUUUCUUUUUUAGAUUUCGAAAACGUAAAGAGUGUUGGAGUCUUUAUUUUCUAAAAACAAGACUUUUCCAUGUAUUCAAUUAAAUUAAAUUAUGUCCUAAUGCUAUGUCAGUUCCAUCAUUAACAUUUUUUUUUUUCCUUUUAACACCAACAUUAGCGUAUCUUAAGUAUCAUAAUCCAUAGUUGGACAAUUUGAAAUCUCUUCGUGUUUUAUCUCAAAGUAGAGCUUCAAACAAUUUGUACCUCACAAAUUUACAAUAUCUAUGAGGGCUAAUAAGACCAAACUCAGGCAUAUUGUCAAAUGUGCUUAUACUUUCGCUUGACAAGUCAUUUUAAAAUUGUCUUUCAAUGCCAAAAAACCACAUAAACUAAUGGUCCACUACUUUAAUUUGAAAGCAUGCAUGCGAUCGCCAAUAAUCAAGGAUGUUAGGGUCAUGCUACAGAGUAUAGAACAUGAUUUGAUGGUAUAGCCUUUUUUCUUUAUAAUUUUUAAGUUUAAUACUGUUACGUAUGUAGCACAUAAGUUGGAAAACAUAACAUAAAAUUUGAAAAAUGUGUAGUUUUCGUUCCCUUUUUUCCCCUCUAAAAAUGGGAAAAAAGAACGUAAUUUUGAUUUAUUUAAAUUACUGUUGUGAUAACAAUUUUUAUUUUAUUGAUUAGUUACCCAUACAUGUGGCAAAUUUUUUAAGAUAAGGUGAAGGAUGAAGCUCAAAUAUAUAAAUUAUAUAAUUAAUUACCCUCUGUAGUAAGUUUAAAGUUUAUUAUUUUUAACUACAUGUUUAUAAUUUAUUUUUAUUAUGUGUUAAUCUAUAGAUCUAAAUUCACUUCGGAACCAUAUACAUAUUUAGACAUAAUGUGCAUGUUAAUCUAUAGAUCUAAAUUCACUUUAGAUCUAUAUGAGUAUUUAGACAUAACGUAUUGCAACCAUAUUGGCAUGUUCUCACUAUAGUAUUGGUGUAUUGAGUAUUGACAUUAUAUCUAAUUGUCCUUAUAAAUCCAAAAAUAAUCUAGAUAUACAAAUUAACAUAAAAUAAAUAUAAUUGGUAGAAAAUGCAAAUUAUAAACAUAUAAUUGAAAAUGAUAAAUUUAAAUUUACUUAAGAAAGUAAUUAAUCACUUAUUUCUUUUUUAUAAUAUGACAAAUAUUAUAAUAAAUAUUAAUUAAUAAUAAUUAGAAUAACAAAUUAAGGAUAUUUUAGUAACUUAAAAUAAUUCAUUUUGAUUUCGAGACAAAAUAAACACAUCAAUCACAAUACAACUCAUUCUGAUUCCACUCAUUCAGAUUUCAACAUAUUUUAAUUAAUUCAAGUGCUCUCCAUUAUAAUUGAAGCCGCUGCCCCACUCGUGAUUCCAAACUUUAUCUUUUUCCUUUUUUAAAUUAAUGCAAGCAGCCGCUGUCCUUUUUAUUAAUUAAUUAAUUAAUUCGGCCUCCCACAUUUCUUUUCCUAAUGUCUUCGGCUUUCGAUUUUCUUUUAUUUUCUCUUUAUUCUUAAAAUAGACUUAUAAUAAUAAAAUAUAAAAAUAUAAAAAAAAUUAACAUAAUCAAAAUAUAAUUUAACAGAAAAUUAAGAUAAAAAAUGUGAAAAUAAUAUAUAAAUUAUGAGCGUAUCAAUCAAUAAAUGAAAAAUAAUAAUUUUUAUUUUUAUUAAAUAUAUAUUUUUCAGUAUGAAUCAGUUAUCUAAAUAACUAAAAUCAGUUAAAAAUAAAUAAAUAAAUUAUUCUUAAAAAAAAAAUUUUAUACCACUCACUAUGCUGGCUGUCAAGGGUAGAAGCUUUGGGGACUGAAGUUGGUAACUUCUACAAGUAGUCUUAAGUUGACUGGCAACAACUACAUUGGCAUGUUCAAAUGUUCUCACUAUUGUAUUGGUGUGUUGAUAUUAUCUCUAACUGCCCUAUAGAUCCAAAAAUAAUCUAAAUUUACAAUUUAACAUAAAAUAAAAUAAUUGGUAGAAAACAAUUAUGGUUCAUUUACUUAUCAGUAAUUAGAAUAAACUAAAAUCAGAAUGAGUUGUAUUGCCGUUAAUGUGUUUAUGUUGUAUCGGAAUGAAUUAUUUUAAGUUACUAAAAUACCCUUGGUUUGUUAUUCUAAUUAUUAUUAUUAUUUAAUAUUUAUUAUAAUAUUUGUCAUAUUAUUAAAAAGAAAUAAUAAUGAUGAUAAUAUUAUCAUUAUUGUUUGUUAUAUUAUUAUUAUUAAAAAAAUUAUUGUUAAUAACAAUAAUAACUUUAUUUCAAUAAUAAAAAUGAUAAAAUUAAUAAUAACAAUCAUGACAACAACAACAAUUAUUUAUUAUGCCAAAAAAUAACAAUAAUAAUAAGAAUAAUAAUCAUCAUCAUUUUUUCCCAAAGAAGCAUUAUCAUCAUCAUUUCAAAAAAAAAAAAAAAUCAUCAUCAUCAUCAUUUUUGUAGUGGCUGCCUAUCGGCUGCUGCUUUCAUGCGAGAUUGACUUGCGACGCUUCAACUGCUAUUAUUUCUGGCAAUGUCAGGUGUUGUUGUUUCAAUGGGGGGAGAAGUUGUUUCGGUGCGCUAACGAUGGGAGGUAAUGACGGUAGGUGUUGCUGCUCAAUGCGAGGUCCAUGGCCAGUUGUCUUGUUUUACAACCAGCUCUUGUAGGAAAUUCUUCAUCCAAAAUAUUUUUUUGUAACCUUCAAUAAUUGUAAUAUCAUUUGCUUCCGUGGUAGAAAAGACAACUCAUUACUAAAGUCUAGAUUGUGAUGAGACUGCUCUCCCUGCAAAAGUGAGCAAAUAUCCUAGUAGGGAUUUUUCAGAAUCAACAUCUCCUGUCAUAUCUACACACUUGUAACACAGGUUUGUCACCACCAAAAUAUAAACAUAUUCUGGAAAUGCCUCUAAGAUAUCUGAGAAUUCAUUUCACUGUUGUCCAGUGCUCUUUGCCAAGAUUGAAGAGAAACCGACUGACUACACUAAUUGCAUAGGCAAUAGCUGGUCUUGUACAAAUCAUGGCAUACACCAAACUGCCAAUUGCUGAAGCAUAAGGAACUCCUCUCACUAAGAAAUGGGUUUUGCUCUUGAGAUUUUUGGGAACAUGAAGAAUAAAGAUGUAAUUUCUUGGACUACCAUUGUUUCGGGGUAUAUAAAUAGAGGACAAGUCGAUAUAGCUCGACAGUAUUUUGCUCAGAUGCCAGAACGAGAUUAUGUCUUAUGGACUGCCAUGAUUGAUGGGUACCUUCAAGUGAAUAGGUUCAGAGAGGCUUUGACACUUUUCCGGGAGAUGCAAACUUCAAAUAUAAGGCGAGACGAGUUUACCAUUGUUAGGAUUCUUACAGCUUGUGCGAAUCUGGGGGCACUAGAACCGGGAGAAUGGAUAAAGACUUAAAUUGACAAAAACAAGGUCAAGAAUGAUAUAUUUGUGGGGAAUGCUUUGAUAGACAUGUACUGUAAAUGCGGAGAUGUUGAGAAAGCUCAAAGGGUAUUCAGGAAGAUGCUUCGAAAGGACAAAUUCACAUGGACGGCCAUGAUUGUUGGCCUUGCCAUCAGUGGCCAUGGUGAUAAAGCUCUUGAUAUGUUUUCCCAAAUGCUUAGGGCUUCGAUUAGACCAGAUGAGGUAACUUAUGUUGGUGUUCUGUCUGCCUGUACUCACAAUGGUAACGAAAUUUUUUUGAUAAAUAGUUGCAACUUAAGGUGAGAAUUGGAGGAAACGAAAUAGACUGAAGUUGUUCAAUCAUCGGUGGUUGCUAUUUGAUUUUAAGUUGUUCAAUCAUCGGUCGUCUCUAUUUGGUUUUCUCCAAUAUCUCAUCUCCAGUUUUGACUCAGAUUCUGUCUUACCACUAGUAAUUACAUAGACUUGCUGCCAAAGGUAAGAAUGGUAAUAAAUUAAAUAGAUUAUGUCGAUAACGAAAUAGAUUUACUAUUGCUAUGUGCAUUAUAUUUGGUUCCUGCAAAAUAUUUUCUCCUGCCUAAAAUUUUUUGAAUCAGUAAGUUUUUACCUUACGCAAGAAUUGUGCUAAGAGUAAUUCCAGUCUCUCUAUGUUUCAAUGAAGACGUAAAACUUGUGUUUUAGAGCACCAAUGUUAUGCUUCUUACAAUUGGAUUUUAAUUUACUUCGUAAAACUUUUGUCAAGAAGUACUAAGCGUGUAUUUGAAAUUGAGGUACUGUAGUUUUUAAGCUACAACUGCUGUGGAAAAAAAAUUGUAAUUAUGAAAUAAAAAUUAAUAAUAUAUAGUAAAUAUAAAUUUUAAAUAAUAGUUUUGAUAAAAUUAUUAAAGAUAUAAUAGUUUUUUUUAUUAUACAAGUGAAAAAUUAUAUAAACAUAGUUUUCAAGUUACAGCAGUUAGUGUUUACCAAACACUUUAGUGCUGUACUUUUUAAGUUGCAGCUGCCCAACAUCAAUCUCAAACGCACCUUAAGGAGUAGUGCGCCAAACACCAACUUUAUUACAGAGAGGACUUUGGUUAAACUUUAAGAAAAACACUCAAAGGAAGAGUUAUAAAUUAUUAUAGAAAUAUUUCACAUAAAUAAAAGCCAUUCCACAAUGCGAAGAUCUUGCUAUCAUCACCAGAAACCAUCGGGAGCUUUCAGGGUUUCCAUGAAAACGCCAUUUCAUUCCAAGAGUCAAUGGUGGGUAGAAAGUGGUGCAAACGAUACUCAUUGUUAAUGCUAUAAGUUUUUGCUAAAUUAUGUCUUACCCAAAAUGAUGAUUUAAUUUCCAUUCUCAAUUAAUUUUCAAGUUUCAACACUUUUCUUUGUAGCAUGACAUUGGAAAGGUCUUGUACUACUAAAAGCUAGCACCACACGUUAAUUAUUGUUAAGUUCUUUUUCAACGUGAAAUAAAGGAAGUAGUCCUUCGUUAAAACCAUUAUAGCCAAAUUUCAUGUAAUUGGACACUUACAGACUUUCAUUUCAAGCUGGAAUUUGGUCCAACGUUUCAAAGUUGACCCAACUAAUUGUCUGAUCAAGUCCUACACAGCUAAGACCCUCAAUGAAUGAGGGUGAGACUGCUAAAAAUUACGACAGUUGAUAUUAUUAUUAUUAUUAUUAUUUUGGGAUAAAUCCUCACCAAGGUGAGUGAGGAGAUUUUAUCAAAAUAAAAUAAAAAUAUAACAAGAAAACUAGCUAAAUUAAAAUAUUACAAAAGCUAGAUGAACUGAAAGGCAGCCUAAAAACAACCUUAUGGAAAAGAGAAGCAACAUGCUAGUAUUCCAAGCUUCUUGUUAUAAAAGUGUAGAAUGAAGUAGGUGACGUAGUUUUAAGUUACACCUCCAUGCCCAAUCACAAUAUCAAAUAAUGCUUAAAGUAGUUAUAUUAACUCUUAAAUUUAUAAAUAAUUAAAUUUGUAAAAGUAUGGAUUUAUAUUAAAAAAUUUAUAUAUAAAUAAAUAAUAUAUGCAUUUUUACAACAUAGUCUUUAAAUUUAAACUUUUCUAGAAAAAUCUUCUGGAUAUCUUUUCUAUUAAAAAAGAGUUUCUCAAAAUUUAUAAAAGUAACUUAAAGUUUUGUCUUCCCUUUUCUUUUAGCUUAUACAUAUGUGUGUGUAUUCUUUUAUAGCAAUAACUAACGUUAUUUAUUUUUAAAUCAUAAAAAAAUUAUGAAAAAAAAAUGUACCAAAUUUAAUUGGACCCAGCACAAUGCACAUGCAUAGAACACAUUCUGAAAAGCCAUGCUAUUCGGAAAUUGACGAAUGGAAAGUGAAGAGGCAGCAGUCAAUGCUAUUUCGGCUUGGCCCAAAAUUUCACCAGUUUGUUAAUCAGUGUUCUGCAGCUCUUGCUGCUUUCCUAGAGAUUCUGCAUGUUUUGCAAUCUGAUAGAAUUAAAAAAAAAAAAAAAUUAGUGGCCAUUUGGAAUGGAGGAGAGAUUUGUGUGAAUGGUAUAGGUGAAAAAUUGGAUGAAAAUAAACAGGCAACCGUCCGUAUAAAACAACAAUAACAAUAUACAAAAAGAUAAGUAAUUCACGAAAGGAAAUUUACGGUUGUUUCUGAAAAACAUACAUAUUAAUUUCACUUAUACUCUAAGAUUUGCCAUCAUGACUGGGCUUGUGAGGAAUUUGGAAACAUGUAUGAUGUAGAAAUGCUGAAGUAGCUUGAACCAGAUGGUGAAAUCGUCUAGCGGUCAGCGGGACAUGAAGCUAUAGGGGUUGUUAGUUGUGUUUUGGAUAUUUACAGACAUGCUGAGUUUGAGUUUAUAUCUUAACUUAAAAUUUGUAGUUUUCACUUGAAAAGAUUCAGUUAAAAAUUGAUUGGUAGAAUUGUUAAAAAGUCUAAAUUUUUAGUUCAAACCUAUUGCAUAUUUAAGAACAUCUCAAAUGAAUUGUUUAUUGCUAUCGUCAUCAUCAUUGCCCGUAUAAUUAUUAUUAUGUCUUUAUAAUUAUUAGUAUCGCUGUUAUUAUUUUUAUGGGUAAAUGGGCUUUCUAUCCUGGCAAUUUAAGCCAAUUACCUAACUAAUCCAUGUAAGUUUAAAAAUGUUUCAAAAGAUCUUUAUUUUAUAUAUGUUUCCACUAAAAUUUAUUUAAUUAUUCUUUAUUUUUCAAUUAUUGCAUGUUGGAUUUUUUUGAGUUCUAAGCUAUAUCAAUAGAAAUGUUAUCUUAUAUAUCCACAAAAAGUUAGAUCCAACAAUUAUGAAAAUUACUAUAGAGCUGCUUUGAAUAAUUUUUAAAAAAUACCACAAGUAAAUAAUAAUUAGUUUAAAUAGUGGAGACUAAAAAGCAUUCACCCUUAUUUUUUAUCUGUUAUUUGUAUUUUUUCCCGUUAAUGCACAUGUUAUACAUUUGAAACAUUCCGUUAAUUGCCAAUUAUGUAAGCGAGAUAGUAAUUUAAAUUUUUUUUUAAAAAAGUGAAAAUUAAUCCUAUGCAAUGUGAAUAAAUUUCUUUCCUUUUUCCUUCACUCUUUUUAUUUGAUAAUUAAGUUUCAAUCUAUGUACGCAAAAUUUCUGCAACAGGUGCAAAACAUAAAAAUAUAUGAUUGUUAAGGGAAACACGCGGAAGCUCAUCAUUUCAAUGUUCAGUAUUUCCAAUUUUGGCAUACGAAUAUAUUUCACUUAGAAAGCCAAAUAUUAGAUUUGUGAUUUUAAUUCAUUCAUCAUAUCUCAUUUCAAUCCCAAAAUAUUCAAGAGGAUCCAAGUUACCAUAAGACUUCAGAGGCUCGAGCCUUAGCCAGAGACGGUUAAUUGAUAGACUAUGUGCCCGGGUCGAGCACUGGAAGCGUGCAAUGCAGACUGAUUGAUUUAUCAGUUUGAUGUGUGCCAGGAAUGAAGAACUGGAAUAUCACCGUCAAGCAAGCACCCAGUGAAGCAAUACCAUAGAAUGCACAAUCCGGCCUUGCUAGGUGACACUGGGGGCUUUUUGAAAAGUGCUUCAUGCUCACUUGCACAGAUUGAGCAUCCCCUCUGGAUAUUGCCCUCUCUGAUCGAGUCAGAGCACUCAAAUUUCGGUCCUCAGAUGGAGCUACAGCUUUCUCUCCAAUAACCAACAAUUUUCUAAACUCAGCACCUAGUGUGAUCAGAGUUGUUGAUAUUUGUAAAUGGAGAUCCCCAUAUUUGCAAAUGGAGACAUUUAACAAAUCACCAACAUGCUUCAUCCGGUCUACGAAAUUCUGCAGCUGAUUCAAAUCCGGAACCUGAACCAGAGUCGGAGGUAAAUCUUGAGCCAUAUCUAAAGCAGUUUGAAGUUCAAGUACUUGAGCCCUCGACAGUGGUUUUGAAAUUGGAACAUCUUGAAUUACUGCAGACUUGUACCCUUUGGUUUCAAAGGUAAGGAAAGGCAUUGCUUGAGUACAAUUUGGAGGCAGCUUCUUCACCAAUUUUAUUUGGAGGCGAUUGGCAGCAGAUCCAGCUGCACCAUUUUCAGAGCAAAUACUGACACUACUUCAAACAGCACGCUGAAGAAGCGCUAUGUCUACGGCAAAGGCAAUGCAGUCCUCAUUUUGGCUUGAGAUGCGGUAAUCAUCGAAGAGAGUUUCCUUAUGAAACUGGGCAACACAUUGAAUCCCUUCACCACUGAGAAGGUUGUGGAGGAAGUACGCUUUCUCUCUAGUGAGGAAGAGGUGGCAUACCUUCCCCAUUUUGUCUAGGGCAGUUAGGAAUCUUUUUUCUAAGAGAUUUACUCCAUUCUCUGUGAGAAAUGCUUUGAACUUCAUCCCUCUGUCUCUAUCCUCACUUAUCAGUAAAACAGUUGAAAGUGAUACAAGGAGAGAAAAGGAGAGUACUAAGAUAUAUAGACAAGAAAAACAUUAGGUGUCGAUCUUACAUGUUAAUACUUCAAACAGUAUCCUAGAAAGCUAAAAACUGCAGAAUGGCUUGAAAUUUGAAAAGAACACAUGCUUUUCCUCCUUAACUUGAGAAAAUGUUUAACAUAGCGCGCCUUACAGAAGCAAGCAAUUAGAACUUUGCACAAAAACAUUCAAGAAGACCAAUAUUUCAACUAUUUUACUGAUGAAAAUCUCAAAGCACAAAUGGCAUUGCAUUUUGUCCUCAACUGUAAUAUUUAUUGAUGAAAAUCAGUACAGGUCCCUCAUUUGUUAUGGAAAGCUUUCUUGCAAAGUGACGGACAUUUCUUUCGAUUUAAAGUCUUUGCAUCACCACUUCAUCACACACCAAGCCAAUAUUCUGUCUACCUCUACAACAAAAAGUUUUAAGUAAACGAUCCUAAUGCACGCAGCCAAAUAAAAUGCAGUAAGAAUAUUCAACUUAAAAAUCUGAAAGUCAACUUGGUGAAUUGCCUUCUUAGGGGAAGUUCCAUGAUUUACUAUACUAGACAGAACUGAGCAAAAGCUUCCAUACGACAGAUUUUGACAAUAAUGAUGCCAACAGAUCCUCAUUAAAUCCAUUAAAACUCCUAAGGUUCAUUGUUCAUGGAUGUUUACAGAGUGAAAAUUAGAUCACCAGCAGCUAAUUGUAAAUUCAAACUUAACUCUUCAUCUCCUUUGUAAACAGGAAACAAAAUGGAGACACGCAAAAUGAAUAAGGAGAACAUUUGAACUCAAAUGAAAUGAGGGCACGAAAGCAAACAAAUGGCAUGCACAAACAAACCAAGCCUCAAUAAAAAACUAAUUAACCAUUAAAAAAAAAAAAAACUGGUCAGAGAAUGAACUCCAAAUUCGGUUCGGGAGUGAAGCAAGAAGCUUUAUUAUUUCAGAAGCUCCUGUACAAAUUAAUAAGUUAUGCUCUUUGGAAACAAACCUAAAUUCCAUGAGAAACAGAACUCAAAAAAUUUGCAAUUAUACGCCAAGGAAGUGAAGCACAGCAUUCUAUCACACGUACGAAUUGUAUAACAAGAGAUCGACACAUCGAAUCAGAAGAACUCAAUUCAAAUUUGUCUCAAAAAUCAAAAUUAGAAGAUUUCACAUUUCGAGAGGAACAAGGGACAGGUCAGAUGCAAAAUUUUCAGCCACAACAUGCCACAAUUAACGGUUUAUUUCCAUGGAUUUAGAGAGCUAACUGACCUUUUGGCUUUUGGAAUUGAGAAGAUCGCGCGCCAAAAUGGAAGAGGGAAAGCGAAAGUGCGGGUUUUAAUAGGGUAUUGGAUUAGCAAAUUUUAUUAGUUUGCGGGGGUAAAAUAGGAAAGAGAUAUCACUAUUAACCUUUUUUUUAUAAGAAAAAAGAAUAAUAAAGAAUAUUUUAUUGUCAUUUGCAGCCUUUAAUUUUUUUUUAAAUGCUAUUAGAAAAAUACGACGACAAAGAAAUGCUAUUUUUUUAUUUUUUUCUUGAAGGUGAAAUCAAUUAUUUAGCUCCUUAUAUGUAAUCAAACUCCAUUUCUUACUUUAAGUCAUAUCCAACGGACCAACAAAAUAAUUAUUUUUUUUUCAUUCAUUUUUGCAGAAAAUUAAUAACUUAAAAAUAUUGAAAGCUAUUGUAAAAUUUUUUAUUAUCAACCUCAUAAUUUAAUUUUUUUGGGGAAGAAUUGAAUUUUUUUUUUUAAUUUCCAAGAAUUUCAUUCUCUAGUUUUUCCAUUAAUAUUACUUAUCUUCAUACCCAUCUUAAUUAAAAUCUGUAGUUUUAUUCAAGAGUCAUGCUAUUCAUUCACUCGGACCAAAGGCUUUCCGCAGCAAUAUUAUUAUUUAAAUUACAACAAAGGGGAAAUCAAAUACGUCAUACAGAGGCUUAAAGCUCAAUCUACAAAAUCUAGAGUUCUCAACUACAUAAAUUACACUUGAUGAUCCUCUACAAGAUGAAUCUUGUUCAAUAUCUCAUCCAAAGCUUAUAAAGUAACCUUGUAACGAUCUUGAGAUUGCCUGCCUUCCUCGACGACCUGCACCAUGCGUUUGUACAAAUCAUCUGUGAUCAAGAACAUAAGAGCGUUUAACAUCUUUUCUCCAUCGAGAAAGAAUGUAGUGAGAUGGGAUCUCCUCCAUACCACUCUGGUUUAGAACACAAAGAAUGUGUCUGCAUAAAUAUCCUCUGAAAUUGAACAACCCACAAACACAAAGCACCUCCAAGUCGGAGGCAUUGUACAAAACAUCGAAAGCCCUUGAAUCUUUCUCGUUGCUACCAACCUCAAAUUCUUCCUUCACUAUGUAUGUUAUAGGUCCAUCAGCACUGACAUGUUUUGUGCUAUAGCAAGAGUACAUAGCCUCCACCUCCAUCUGAAACUUCCUUAACAUUUCAUUUGUGUACAGUUUUGAGAGUUGAAAUUCAUAGGAACAUCUUGGUUUCUGGAUACAACUUGAAUUUCUUGAAUCCAUAUCUGCCAAGGCUUCCAGUUGAUAAUUCGCCUGCAGUGCUUGAUCAUAUUUGUCUAAGUAUUCUUUCAAAGGAGUAUUCUUAUCAAGAUAUCCUUCAAAGUAUGAAGUAGAAACCUCACUCUGCAGGAAUGAAAACACUCCUGAUAAAAAUGUUUCCUUCAAAUAAACAGGAGCCCAACUUUUACGAUCCUCAUAUAAAGUUUGAAUCCAUCCAUGAUCCCUUAUUCCAUGACGUUGAAUCGUGUCCUCCCAAGCUGUCUCAAAUUCCUCAGGCCUAAGAGAGUGACAAAUUGCUCUAUGCAAUGCAGCUCUAAUAGCUUCAUAUUCAAAAUAUCCUUGGAGAUUCUCUGGAAUUUUUUGCAUGACGCAUGACAAUGAAAAACAAUGAUAAGCUCUUGGGAAAACAUCGCCGACAGCAGUUUGCAAGAUCUACAUUGGUCAGUGAUGAUUGUUUGUGGAGAGCGUCCUAACAUACAUGUAAGCCACACCCUAAACAACCAUGUAUAUGAUUCUAUAGUCUCACCGGCAAGUAAACCACAGCCCAACAGCACUGAUUGUCCAUGAUGAUUCACCCCAAUGAACGAAACCAGCGUUGCAUCAUAUCUUUCUGUCAAGCAUGUAGUAUCAAUUGAUUUGAGCUAUUAACAUCAUUUCCAAAUACUCCAUUGGCAUCUACAUUACCAUUUCCCUCGGCAUCAAUGAUAAGAGUUCGAAACAGUCUAAUCUUUUGAACUUCUUCAGCACCAUCUAAGAGCAAUGUUCUUUUGGUUCCAAUACCCAUGUGCUUAUGAGACUUGUAAAACUUCCCGCUUCUUGGGCUUAACAAGUGGUUAUGCUCAAGCUCGACUUCAAUGAUUCUCCACCUUUUGGUUUCCAUCAACCUAAACUUUAUCAUUGCUGGACAGCCCGUUCUUGUUUCUGGUCUUGGGCGGUUUGCCUCGCUUUUCUUCUUGAAGCCUGCAUUACUACAGCUGAGCUUUCCUUUAUACUUUUCUCUACUCUUUUGGUACCAUGUAUUGCUAACUCCAACACCAAAACCCUGUUCCUUGGCAUAGCAAUUAUAAAAGUAAUAUACGUCAUCAUACGUCUCAAACUCCAUUCCAACAGCAGGAGGCAAUGGAUUUUGGAUUAUCCCAGUUUGUCCAACAUAUUCAGUCAUCGCACAAUCUCCUACGACCUCAAAAUCAUCAGCUUCAUCAUCACCUACUGGUUCAGUAUUCAGAGAAACUUCAUCCAUCUACAAUAGAUGUUUAAUGAAGUGAGCUUUAAGGAGAAAAAGCAAAAUCAGUUCAAGGAAAGAUAAUAUAACCAUACAGUUACUUUCACAAAGCUGCGUAUUUCAUCAAUACUUUAACAACAUACAACUGCCUGAGAACAUAUAGACAUGUCAUAGACGUUUGAAUUAAGUAUUGGUACAAAUUAGCACACAUCAUGUGGGACACAAUUUCAGUCACUAAACCCAAUGCCUUUUUUUUUUCACAUCAUACCAAGGAACGGAUUAAACCCAAUACCUUCUUUUACGCCAUACCAAAGAACAGAUUAAAUCAUCAAUGAAAAUUUAAUCAAAUAAUAAUUUAACUAGACAAUUGAAGAGCUUGAAACAGCACAAAACUUGAAUCUGAUUAUGAUAAUUGUUGAGUCCUUGUAUCCACAGCUUUCCUUCAAUGAGAAGAUUAUGAACAUAAACUACACAUAAAAAAAUUAUUUAAACUGACAGCCCAUGAUAUAAAUCAAACAAAAUUAACUCCUUUUACAAAUCACAUCUCGUAUUCAGUUACAUUGAAACACAAAAAAGGAAGCAGGAGCCGGAGAAAAACAACAACAGAGAAACUUAUUUCCAGAAGGUUUACGAAAUAAGGAAUUUAUUAAGACACAAAAUUUGAGGUCAACAAUAAGAAUUUGGUUCUCAUUCUCUUUUUCUUCAUUUUUCACUUAUUGAUGGAGUUAGCGUACAAUCCUAUAUGAUAAAACCCCAUCUCCAUCUUUUUGAACUAGAGCUAAAGCAAAGCAUUUUAAGAUGUUUUUCCCUAAAAGACUCAAUAGUACAAUGCUUUUCAAUAUUAAAUACACAACUCAAUCUUCCCCUAAUUUACUCUAAUAAUCUCUUAACUAAGGAAGAUUAAGCUCCACUUGUAAGCUAAAACAAGUUUCUUAAAUCAAGCCCCAAUGCUCUAUACUAUUCAACAAGGCCUCAUAAAUGAUAAAACUACCUCUGCAAAGAUACCCAUUUUAAUUUCGCAAACUAAAAUCAAACUUCUGAAACGUAACGAGCAUUAAAACAAACAAGUCCGAACAAGAACUGAAAAAUGAUACGUAAACCCGUUUACACGUUUCGACAAACACUUUCCAAUCAAUGAGCAAAAAGGUUAAUGGAAAACAUGAAAUUCAAACAAAACAUACCUUAGGUUGAUAAAUUAGUAGGGCAAAAGAAAUUUUAGCGAGAUAUGGGAUCAGGGAUUUUGCCACGGUGAUGUUAAUUGCGACAUUCGGGUGACUCAGCAGCCUUCGAGGCUGAAACUUUGAUUGACCAAAAGGUUCCCGUUCGUUGAUUCUCUAAUUGCAGAAACGAAACUGGCAGUGUACAGAAAAAGUACGCUGAUUUGAUAAUUCUGUGAAAAUCAUUGUUUUUUUCAGAUUUUAAUGUGUUCGAUAAAAUAUCAAAAUCUCAAAAACUUUUGUCUUUCAUUUUGGGGGGAAAAACACACUGAGAUCCUUAUGUUUUUUCUUAUAUAAUCUGGCUUAAUAAUUUGCAAAGUCUAUUACUUUGCACCCAUGCAUGCUGCGUUACAAUUUACAAAAUUGUACGUGAGUGCAUCCAGCUAAAAUUUGUAAAAAGAAAAUAACAAUAACAUGUUAAAAAUGUGAUUAUUAUGAAGAAAUUUUAAUUUAGUUAAAUAGGUGACGAUGGAUAGGUAUAAAAUCUGAGAUCUUUUAUGAGAUUAAUAAAUAUGUUGAGUUUGGAUUAGUUCAAUUUUGACAUAAUACAGAAUAAACACAACCUGCUAAUCUAAGUUACCAUCUUUUCCCGUCAUCAGGUACCUGUUUGAAAAAUAAUUAUAUACAAUUUUAUUUGCGUUGUCUCUCUAAAAAUUUGGGACUCAAAUGUUAUUUCUAAUUGCUAAAAGUACGAAAAUGCCCCAUUUCUCUUCAGCUAAAGGAGUGCAAAGUCAUCUGUAUAAUUGAAGCUGCAUCAUCAGUUUCUAUUGCUGGUGUUUACUGCAUGCUUACAGUUGCUUGACAAAGUGAGCCAGUUUUUUGUUUAUUAAUUUUUUUUCUUGUCGAGAUAGUCACAAAGUAUUACUUGUUCUAUAUAAGAAUGAUGUGAAUCAAUUUUUCAAUUAUGCAUUCUGUGGUAAUUGUGAAUUUAGUUUCAUUUGUCUUGUCUCCUGCAAAUUUUGAAGAAAAUGCAGACAUACAAACUUACAAUACGGAAGAGUUCACAGGCAAAAACUUUGUGAAAGCUUCCAAGUGAAACAGGGAAUGCGCUUACUAGUAAAGAACAAAUUGGUGGCCAGCUAAUGCAUUCAUUCUAUGUCCAUUGAUCUUUUUGAGUUAUUGAAGACAAGUGGCUCACCGCUUUUAGUAUUGGUAAAAUUCAGAUAAUCUCUAUUCCGAAAUAAUAAUAUUCAAAAUAUCUCUUAAAUCAUUAUAAACCUCAAAUUUAUUUUAAUUUUAUUUAAAAGAUAAAAGAAAAAUAGGUUAUGUUGGUGAUUUUUUAUUAUCUUUUUAAUAAAAAUGAAAUAAAUUGAUGUUUAUAAUUAAUUAAAGUAUUUUAAAGAUUGCCAUUUUAUGAGAGAAUAAUAUUUCACUUUUUUUAGUGUGAAAGACCGAAAAAGGACAAAGCAAGUUUCCCUAAUUUUUAUUUUAUUCGAAAUUGGUCAUCUCAUAUACUUCACCCUUCAACAUUAUAAUUUUUUUGGUUAUAAUUUUAUUAUUUUUUUUUCUUUUACACAUGCAUGUGAAUUACUUUUCUUUAAGCUCCUGAAUAUUUAAGACAAAUCAUGGAAGAGAUGAGAGUAUAACAAGAUGAUCAAAAUAUGUAACAAAAAAAUUUUAGAAGUGAAAAAUAUGUUAGAGUCGAAGUAAAACUCUGAGGUGAUGUUUGAUUUGAAGAAAAUGGAGGAGAGGAAAUGAGUGGAAUGGAGAGGAAAAGAGAGAAAAGGAGAGGAGAGGAGAGUGAAAUUUUUUUCUAAUGUUUGGUUUGUCACAUAAUUAUACAAAGAAAAGAAAUCUCUAAUUUUUUAUUUAGACAAUUUUAACCUUAAUAAGUAUUAAGCUUUCAAUAUUUAUCAUGUGUAUAAUUUAAAAAAAGUAAAUGGUAGAAAGCGGUUUCUGAUUCCGGCCACAUCGCCGGCAAUGGAAGGUACUUAUCAGAACAUCAAGAGCCGACCAUCAUUCCCUAGCCAUCACUGCUGUCGGAACACUGCCAGAAAGCUGCCGAUUGAACCGCAAAAAGUCGUGGAAAUCGCUGCCUCAAAUCGGUGAGUUUCGCCUUUUUCUGGUCACGCCGUCACCUUGGCUUUGUCCAUCAAGGCUGCCACUUCCAUUUUCAACCAUCCAUAGCCACUAUUAACGGCCAAAUCGCCGCCGAUCAGCGGGAUAUGUGGAAGUUAAAAAGUUUCUAAAUUUUUUUUAACUGGAUUUGAACAACAUACGACCAUUUUUUGAUCUCGAUAACGACGUAGUAAUGUUGAUCAUUGGUCGGCAAGUCGAAUGGUAGUGGCGGUGAGUAACACGCGCCAAUGACAUCGGCGGCGGCACUAUCCGGCGACUGUUAAAAUUAAUAUUUUAUAUUUUUAGAUUAAAUAAAUUUAUUUUAUUAAACUUUUUAAAUCAUUAUUUAAAUUUAAUUAAUUUAAAAUUAUCUAUAAUGUUGAAUUGAUAAAAUAAAUUUAUAAAUAAUAAUUAUGUGAUUACAUUAAAUAAGUUAAAAAGUUGAAAGGUUAUUUUUGGAAGAUUUAGUUUCCAACACAAAGGGAAUUUGAAUUCUUCACUUCUUAGUGUGGAAUUCAAAUUCUAUAUUGUAAUGGAUAUUAAAUUCCAAUAGAAAUUAAAUUCUUAUAAGUUAUGUCAAACCAAACAACGGAAAUAAAAAAGGAAUUUAAAUUACUUUCCUUUCCUCCACCCUCUCCUUCCAACCAAAUACAUCCUGAAAAUAGAGAUAUUGAUUAAUUUAGAAGAGAUGCAAGCAAAAGAUAUUCCAAAAAAAAAAAGCAAUAUGUCCCUUUGGAGGGCAAACUUGUCAGUUUUAAAAAAGUACAUGCUUUGGAUUGAUAGUUGUAGGAUAUUUGUUUUGUCACUAUGUAUUAGUUGGAGAAGUCAAGCCUUGUGAAGAAUGUUAUGAAAGAGCAAAUGUUAGAGUACAAUUUAUGCACUAGUUUUGCAUUGUUUACUUCCAUUAAUAUCGAUGUUUUGCACUUAAUAAUAGUGAUUUACUUGUGUUUUACUUUUGUAGGUGCAAUUCUAUUGAUUGGUGAUAAAAUUGAGCUAUAAGAUGAUGUUUAAGGAUGAUUGUUCUCUUGGAGAAAUUUAGAACGUCAGAAGAACUUUGUUGAUAAGGCAUGGGCGCGUGCUGUCAACUGCGGACCUGCAGUUUUUAGUUUAACGUGUUUUGUAUUUUUGGUUAUUUUUGUAAUUACGAAUUUAAUAUUUCAGAUAUUAGUAUUUUAUUUUAAAUAGAAUUCUAAAAGAGAGGAGAGAGAGAGUAUUUAAGGGAGGAAUCUAUUGUGAAAAAUGGGGAUUUUGGAUUGGAGAAAGAAAGAAACCCUAGAUCUAAUUUUUCUCUUCUCUCUAUGAAGAACUAAACUUAUUUUUCUGGUUGAAGGUUAAUGAAGCUUUGAUUCAUCACUACUGUGAGAUCUUUCUUGUGCUUUAAUUGUUUUAUUGCUUUUUGGGUAUUUGUUUAUUCUCUGAAUUAUUUUCAUGAUUAUGUUUGUUAAUUAGAUAAUUGGCCACUAUUUAAUUAUCAACUUAAUCUAUUGUCAAUUAAAGGAUUCAUCGUAUGAAGAAUUUAAUGUUUGUGACAAAUAACAUAGCAGAGAGUUGUGUUGUGAGAAUAAACAAUCUAAUUUAAAUGAAUCAUCAUAUGUGUUGAUUAGGAUUUGGGUCUCUCUGGUUUUUCAGGCUGACAUUGAUUAAAUCCUAUGAUCGUAUCUAGGGUUGUCUAUUGAUUAGGGAAAUAACCAACGGUCGUACCUUGGUUAUCGACUAGUUAAGGAGAGAUUGGCUAUUAGAGGUUCUCAAUAGUUAUAACCGAUCUAUUCAUAAGUAAUAAUAAUCUAUAUUUGAAUCAAUGAUCAGUAGUCGAAUCAAGCUGAGUUAAUUCCUUCAACCAGAGCUUUCUCCAAUUUGAAUUACAACUUUAAUUUGCAUUCUUGUUAUUUUGAUUUGAUUUUUAUUAUUGUCAACAAUUCCCUCAUUUUACGUUUUACGUUUCAAAAGGAUUUAAAUAAUUACCGAUCUCUGUGGACACGACCCUGCUCAAUCACUAUACACAAUUUAUUUAGAGUAUGAAUUUAUUUUUAUUGGCUUCGACACCCAUCAGCAAAGGAUAUUCCUGAUAGCUGAUAGAGCUCUAUUUGAUUAUGUAUCCAAUGAAUGGAUGUGUUGUUGGAAGAUAUCUGAGUGCAUUAGUUCAUAUGUGUCUGUCAAUGUGCUUUUAAUGAUUUUUCCACUUGUUUGUUGUAAAAGAUUAUUGUAAAUUGAAAUGAGCUUGAUGUUGUAAUAUUUUUUCCUUAGUGGAAUUUCACCUAGUAUGUAUUCAGUUGUGUUCUCUAUAAUUUUGCAUUCGAAUAAGUUUCACCUAAAAUAUUAGCAUGAGUAGUGGCCUUUGAAACUUUGGUCAAAAUUAUUGUUAUUAUUUCCGACUAGAUGUAAAUUUUUUAUUAAAUCUCGUUAACACAAUUCUUAAUUAAAAGUAUAGGUUAGUGUUGGUGCAAGAUUUGCCACACCAAAUUCUGCCUAGCUGUCAAAAGUGCAAAAUAAAUGAAGAGAAAGCACAAAUACACGACUUGAAUAAGGAUACAACGAAACUUAAUUUCAAGAGAAAAUGAUAGCUAUAUCUCAAGAUUUGAAAAAAUGGUCAUGUAGAUUUUUAAGAUUUCAAUAAGCGACUGAGAUUCAAAUAAUAUCCUUUAAUUCUAUUAACAAAAAACAAAGACUCAAAUAUUUUAUGAUAAAGAAAAAUAUAAUAUUAAAAUAUAUGUGAUAAUAUACACAUUUUAAAUACUUUUAAUCCAAAAAAAUAGUUAUGUUUUACAAUCUAUUAGACAUAUUUUAUUAAAUUAAUAUAAAUUUUCUAUAAAAUAAUAAUAUAAUAUUAAAAUAAAUUCACAAAAAUUUAAAGAAUUUUGAAUGUAAAAUAAUUUUAAUAUAUUAAUACGUGAGUUUUUUAUUAAUAUAAAAAUUAUUUAACUUUAAGAUUUUUUAAAAUCUUUACAAUAAGUAUAACUAUAUUAUUUACAUUUAAAAAUAUUUAAAUAUUAUUAACCUACAAUUAUAUUUGCAUUUGUUAGAAAUUUUUUAAGUCAAAUAUUUUGCACUUCUAUAUUAUUAGAAUUAUUGCACACAAAGAAAGAAACAUAUACCUUUAGAAAUUGUUUUCUUUUAAAAUAGAGAUGAUGAUUAGUAUAAGGAUGAAAAAAAGGAUAUUAACGAAAUCUCUAUACAAAUUGAUUUUAGUAGGAAAAAAAUGAGUUAAAUGAUUUAGAGUGCGUUUGGAAUUGAGAUUGGGCAGUCAUAGAUUUUAAGUUACAACACUGAAGUGUUUGGUAAAUACUAGCUACUGCAGAUUGAAAGUUAUGUUGAUAUGAUUUUUCACAUGUAUCAUAGAAAAUAUAUUACAUCUUUAAUAAUUUUUUUAAAAUUUAUAUUUGCUAUAUAUUAUUAUUAUUUUUUUUUAUAGUUAUAACUUUUUUUCCAUAGCAGCUGUAGCUUAAAAGCCACAGCACCUCAAUCUCAAACAAGUCCUUAGACAUUCAUAGUGUGUUUAUUUUUUGGAUUGGUGAAUCAAAAUUAUUGACAACGCUAACUUCAUCUUCACCGUUCGCAAUCCAACAGCAGCAAUUGUCACCAAUAAUGAUAUCUCCAAUGAUGAUGACAAUUAUUAUUAUUAUUAUUAUUAAUUAAUUAAUUAAUUAAUUAAUUAAUUAAUAUAUUAAUGUUAAUAUUAUUAUUGUUAAGAUUAACAAUAAUUAUUAGUAAUACAAUUUUUUGAAUAAAAAUAAUCACAAUAAUUAAAAUACAAAUUAAUAAUUAUGACAAUAGUUAAUUAAUUUCUUUUUAGUAAUUUGUAACAAUCUAACUCAUUUUAAUUCUGAUUAUUACAGCUUAAGUAAACAAAUUAUUAUGAUUCCUAUUCUCCUUUCCCAUUUUAGCUCACUUCGAUUCCAGUCUAUUCCGAUUUCUAUCUAAUAAAUGCACCAUUAGUGCUAAAGUAAUAUUUCAUACAUAGAAAAGUAAAAACUACACCUAAGGUUAAGGGAAAGGACUUCAAAACUCUCUUUUGAUCAUAAUACAUUUUGUCCUAAUUAACUUAAAGAUUUUGAAUCUAAUAUUUUAUAAUAAAUAAAAAUAUAUUCCUAAAAUAAAUAUAAUAUCAAUAUUUAAAAUAUGUUUUAAUAUUUUACAAUCUAUCAUACACAUUUUAUUAUAUUAAAGUAGAUUUAUAAUAAAUAUAUAAAAAAUUUAGAAUAUUUAGAAUAUUAUAUAAAAUAAUUUUAAUAUAAUGCGUGAGAUAUAUUUUAUUAAUUUAAAAUGUCAUUUUACCUAAAAAAUAUGAUAAAUUAAUAAUUACAUAUUUGAAGUUAUUUCAAAUAUUAAAAAAAUUUAAUAUUAUUAAUCUUUUAGAUAGAUUAAAUUAUUUUUCAUAAGAGAGAUUAAUCUUUUACUAAAAUUUCUCUUCCACAGCCCACCGCAGCUUCAGUUAAUCAAACUCCAUCAAUUUUCUUUCUUAACAAAAUUCUAAAGAUGUGUAGCAUUUUUCAGAUCACAUGCGAUGGUGCUUUUUUCAAUCGUUGCUUGGAUUGCUUUCUUGGAAAAGCAGCAUACAUACGUAACCUCCAAGAUAAUCUUGAUGCCUUGGAGACUGAAUUGGGAAAUCUGAUCGCUAGAAAGAACGAUGUGAUGAGGAGGGUUGUCGAUGCUGAACGGCAACAAAUGAGAAGGCUGGACGGAGUGCAAGUGUGGGCUUCGAGGGUGGAUUCUGUUAAAACUGAAGCUGAUCAAUUUAUAAGAGACGGCUCUCGAGAAAUUGAAAAAUUAUGUGUUGGAGGCUACUGUUCCAAGAAUUGCAUGUCAAGCUACAAGUUCGGGAAAAAAGUGGCUAAAAAGCUACGGGAUGUGCGGUCUUUAAUCAGUGAAGGAGUUUUUGAAGUGGUGGCUGACAGAGCUCCAGAGUCUGUAGCAGAUGAAAGACCUACUGAGCGAACAGUAGUAGGCUUGCAAUCACAACUUGAACAAGUCUGGAGAUGUCUUGUAGAAGAAUCAGCGGGAAUCAUUGGCCUAUAUGGUAUGGGCGGUGUUGGUAAAACUACACUACUGACCCAUAUCAACAAUAAAUUUCUCGAGAGUCCAACCAACUUUGAUUGUGUGAUUUGGGUUGUAGUUUCAAAAGACCUGCGACUCGAAAAAAUUCAAGAAGAUAUUGGGAAAAAGAUAGGUUUGGUUGGUGAUUCAUGGAAGAGUAAAAGUGUAGAGGAGAAAGCUGUCGACAUCUUCCGGAGUUUAAGAGAGAAGAGAUUUGUAUUGUUGUUAGAUGAUAUAUGGGAGCGGGUUGAUUUAACAAAGGUGGGCAUUCCACUUCCCGGACCAAAAAAUACUACCUCAAAAGUCGUAUUCACAACCCGUUUCAUCGAUGUUUGUGGUAGCAUGGAAGUUGACAGGAAGUUUCAAGUAGCAUGCUUAUCAGAAAAGGAUGCUUGGGAACUGUUUCGAGAAAAAGUUGGGGAAGAAACUCUUCAGAGUCAUCAUGAUAUCGAUGAGCUAGCCCAAAUUGUGGUCAAAGAGUGUGGUGGUUUGCCACUCGCACUUAUUACUAUUGGUCGAGCUAUGGCCUACAGAAAGAAAGCGGAGCAGUGGAGACGUGCAAUUGAAGAGUUAAGGAGAUCAGCUUCAGAGUUUGCAGGUUUGGGAAAAGAGGUGUAUCCUCUUUUAAAAUUCAGCUAUGAUAGUUUGCAGAAUGAUACGGUUAGAUCUUGUUUCUUGUACUGUUGUUUAUAUCCUGAAGAUUAUGGCAUUCUUAAAUGGGACUUGAUUGAUUGUUGGUUUGGCGAGGGAUUUUUUGGGGAAUCUGACAGGUCUGGUGCAGAAAACCAAGGAUAUGACAUUUUGGAAACUCUUGUUCGUGCAUGUUUAUUAGAAGAGGUGGAAGAUGAUGAAGUAAAAAUGCAUGACGUUAUUCGUGAUAUGGCUAUAUGGAUAACUUGUGAAAUUGAGAAGGAGAAGAGAAACUUUUUGGUUCGUGCAGGUGCUGGAUUAAAAGAGGCACCGGGUGUUAAAGGAUGGGAAAAUGUGAGAAGAUUGUCAUUGAUGCAAAACCAAAUUGAAACUCUGGCAGAGGUUCCCACAUGCCCUCAUCUCCUCACUUUAUUUUUUGACUUUAAUAAGGAGUUAAAGAUGAUCGCGGAUGGCUUCUUCCAAUUUACGCCUUCUCUCAAAGUUUUGAAGAUGUCAAACUGUUUGAAUUUGAAAUUACCUAUUGGGAUGUCAGAGUUGGGUUCAUCACUAGAACUUCUCGAUAUUUCAUAUACCGGCAUAAGAGAGUAACCGGAAGAGUUAAAGUUGUUGGUAAAUCUGAAAUGUUUGAAUUUGAGGUGGACAAUUUGGUUAAAUAAAAUUCCACGGCAACUAAUAUCAAAUUAUUCAAGGUUACGUGUGUUGAGAAUGUUCGCUACUGGCUUGGGCAUUUUUCAUGAAGCACCAGAAGACAGCGUUUUAUUUGGUGGGGGUGAAGUUUUAGUACAGGAAUUGCUCGGUUUGAAAUAUUUAGAGGUAUUGGAGUUGACCUUGGGAAGUUAUCAUGCUCUCCAAAUUCUUUUGAGCUCAAAUAAGUUAAAAAGUUGUAUUCGAUCUCUUUACCUCGAGUUGACCGGAGAUACAGCGUCAAUUAUUGAUGCUACGGCUUUCGCAGAUCUAAACCACCUCAAUGAAUUAUAUAUUUUUAAAGGUAUUGAGUUGGAAGAAUUGAAGAUUGAUUAUACGGAGAUAGUACGAAAAAGGCGGGAACCUUUUGUUUUCCGCAGCCUUCACUGUGUUAUUAUGGUUUCGUGCCGUAAAUUGAAAGAUGUGACAUUCCUCGUUUUUGCUCCAAACCUCAAGUCUCUUUUGGUAGACGGUUGCGAUGCUAUGGAAGAAAUAAUCAGCGUCGGAAAAUUUGCUGAGACUCCUGAGAUGAUGGGACAUAUAAGCCCUUUUGAAAAUCUCCAAAUGCUUGAUUUAACGGCAUUGCCGGAGUUGAAGAGCAUCUACUGGAAGCCAUUGCCUUUCACUCAUCUGAAAGAAAUGGAGGUACUUAGGUGCGAUCGGCUUGAAAAGCUUCCACUCGAUUCCAACAGUUCAAAGGAGCGUAAAUUUGUUAUUUGUGGAUACACAAAGUGGUGGAACCGACUUCAAUGGGAGGAUGAAGCCACUCAAAUUGCUUUUCGUUCCUGUUUCCAACCAAUGGGAGUACUGAGCGGUGGUCGCAAAAUUUGAUUUCUGGUGAGUGCGUUUUUGUUAACGCUUAUGUUUUUAUUCCAGUGUGUUUUUCUUCUGUCUUCUGCAAAUCAAUGCUUUAUAAAUUUUCCUUUUCCCUUUUUUUUUGGGGGGGGGGGGGGGGGCGUGGGUCGAAUUGAUGCUCUGGUUUUUUACUUUUUGUUGUCAAAUUUGGCCUUUUUUUUUUUUUUUUUUUUUUACAAGUUGAUACUUUAUUUAUAUCUUCUUAGCGAUUUAAUUUCCUGUCAAAAGACGAGCGAGAAGAACAUAUGACUUAAAGCAAUUGAUACUUUAUUUAUGUGCAUUGUAUGUAAUAAAUAUUAAGUAUACUUUAUUUUGCCCUGUUCUCUGUUUUUAUUUCAGUCUCUCUCUCGCUCUCUCUCUUUCCUGUCUUCUGCAAGUCAUAAUUAAAUGUUGAAUUAUAUGGAAUUAAUGCUUUAUAAAUCUGCCUGCGCUGGCUUUUUUUUUUUUUUUUGUGGGGUCGAAUUGAUGCUCUGGUUUUCGACUACUUUUUGUUGUCAAAAUUUUCUCUGUUUUUUCAAAUUUAUAUCUUAUUCGUGAAAAGUGAUUUAAUUUCCUGCCAAAAGACGAACGAGAAGAACAUUAGAGUCAAACUAAUGCUCACAUAAAUUUCCCGUAAGAAUAUAUAAUUAGACUGGAAUGCACACCUCUAGAUUGAACAGAAUUAAAGCUGAGAAAAUAUUGAGUAUAGUAGCCCUCUUUACAGAAAAUGACGCGAAAGUUAAUUUAGAAAGAUAUAUUCUCGAUUAAUCCAUUUUCUGAAUUUUUUUUUUAUUUUGUAUGGUCAAUUUUUUUUUUAAAUUACAACCUCAUAGUCAUGCUAUUCAUUCACUCACAGACCAAAGGCUUUCCGCAGCAAUAUUAUUAUUUAAAUUACAACAAAGGGGGAAUCAAAUACGUCAUACAGAAGCUUAAAGCUGAAUCUACAAGAUCUAGAGCUCUCAAGAUGAAGCUUGUUCAAUAUCUCAUCCAAAGCUUGUAAAGUAACCUUGUAACGAUCUUGAGAUUGCCUGCCUUCCUCGACGACCUGCACGAUGCGUUUGUACAAAUCAUCAUACUUGUGCACUGGAUUUUUAAUAUCAACGCCACUGCAGCUGUGAUCAAGAACAUGAGAGCGUUUAACAUCUUUUCUCCAUCAAGAAAGAACGUAGUGAGAUGGGAUCUCCUGCAUGCCACUCUGGUUUAGAACACAAAGAAUGUGUCUGCAUAAAUAUCCUCUGAAAUUGAACAACCCACAAACACAAAGCAUCUCCAAGUCAGAGGCAUUGUACAAAACAUCGAAAGCCCUUGAAUCUUUCUCGUUGCUACCAACCUCAAAUUCUUCCUUCACUAUGUAUGUUAUAGGUCCAUCAGCACUGACAUGUUUUGUGCUAUAGCAAAGAGUACAUAGCCUCCACCUCCAUCUGAAACUUCCUUAACAUUUCAUUUGUGUACAGUUUUGAGAGUUGAAAUUCAUAGUAACAUAUUGGUUUCUGGAUACAACUUGAAUUUCUUGAAUCCAUAUCUGCCAAGGCUUGCAGUUGAUAAUUGGCCCGCAGUGCUUGAUCAUACUUGUCUAAGAAUUCUUUCAAAGGAGUAUUCUUAUCAAGAUAUCCUUCAAAGUAUGAAGUAGAAACCUCAUUCUGCAGUAACGAAAACACUCCUGAUAAAAAAGCUUCCUUCAAAUAAAUAGGAGCCCACCUUUUACGAUCUUCAUAUAAAGUUUGAAUCCAUCCGUGAUCCUUUAUUCCAUGACGUUGAAUCAUGUCUUCCCAAGCUGCUUCAAAUUUCUCAGGCCUGAGAGAGUGAUAAAUUGCUCUAUGUAAUGCAGCUUUAAUAGCUUCAUAUUCAAACAAUCCUUGGAGUUUCUCUGGAAUUUUUUGCAUGACGCUUUCCUUCAAUGAUAAGACAAUGAACAUAAACGAGACACAAAAAAAAUUAUUUUAAACUGACAGCCCAUGAUAUAAAUCAAACAAAAUCAACUCCUUUUUUUACACAUCACAUCUCAUAUUCAUUUGCAUUGAAGCACAAAAAGGAAGCAGGAGUGGGAAAAAAAAAACAACAGCAGAGGAACUUAUUUCCAUAAGGUUUAGGAAAUAAGGAAUUUAUUAAGACACAAAAUUUGAGGUUACCAAUAAGAAUUUGGUUCUCAUUAUUUUUUUCUUCAUUUUUCACCAAUUGAUGAACUUAAAAUACAAUCAUCAAUGAUAAAACCCCAUCUCCAUCUUUUUGAACUAGAGCUAAAGCAAAGCAUUUUAAGAUGUUUCAUCAUUUUUUUUAAUAAAAAAAAACCUCAAUAGUACAAUGUUUUUCAAUGUUAAAUGCACAACUCAAUCCUCUCCUAAUUUACUCUAAUAAUCUCUUAAUUAAGGAAGAUUAAGCUUCAGUUGUAAGCUAAAACAAAUUUCUUAAAUCAAGCCCCAAUGCUUUAUGCUAUUCAACAAGGGCUCAUAAAUGAUAAAACUACUUCUACAAAGAUACCCAUUUUCUAAAUUAAUUUCAAAAACUGAAAUCAAACUCCUGAAACGUAACGAGCAUUAAUAUAAUCAAACCCGAACAGGAAUUGAAAAAUGACACAUAAACUCGUUUACACAUUUCGACAGACACUUUGCAAUCAAUGAGCAAAAAAUUAAUGGAGAAGAUAAAAUUCAAACGAAACAUGCCUUACAUUGAUAAAUUAGAAGGGCAAAAGAAAUUUUAGUACGAUAUGGGAUCAGGGUCUUGCCACGGUGAUGUUAUUUGUGAUGUUCGAGCGACUCAGCAGCCUUCGAGGUUGAAAAUUUGAUUGACCGAAAGCUUCCCGUUCGUUGAUUCUCUAAUAGCAGAAACGAGACUGGCAGUAUACACAAGAAGUUCGCUGAUUUUAAAUUCCGUUGUUUGAGAUGGAAAUUUUUUUGAAAAAAUUAAUGUGUUCGAUGAAUAUCAAAAUCUCAAAAACUUUUUGUUUCUCAUAGCACCCAUGCAUGAUGUGUUGUUUCUCUAAAAGUUUGAGACACAAAUGUUAUUUCAAAUUGAAACGCCAUGCACUAGUAGUAGACUAGUAGGUAGGAGAAACCAAGGUUGAAGUUACUGUUCAUUUAUUUUUAUUUAUGAUUUUUUGUAAAAUGUAAGAAAUAUGUAGAAAUGUUGCCAGCAAUGAUUUUGGAACUUUGCAUAAAAUUUUUAUCAUUAUUGUUUUUGGUAUUAAGAAAUCCGAGGCGGUGAUUAGACGUAUGUUGCAACAAUUAAGAAAUUUCUUAUUGGAGAUAAUUUGGUAGGUUGCAACAAUUAGAGAAUCAUUUUCCUGUCAGUUAAUCAAUCAAUAAUAAAUUUCAAAUUGCAGAAAAUAAAAUAAUACUGUCACACUUAGAAUCAUCUUUUCUAUCUCUUUCAAUUGUGGCAAUCAUUUGUAACAAAUAAAUCAAUUUGAUGCACAUCAUUUCCCCAAUUCAAAGUUCAAGUCACUGCUCAAUUGCAGAGUAGUUAGUAGACAUGCAUGCAUGUUUAAUUAAGUACUGCAUUGUAGUAUCGAAAAUCAUAAUAUCUCACCAAGCCCGGAAGCAUAGCUCUUUAUCUUGUAAACGUUGAAAUCUUAUGCAAACUAUGGGAAACAUGAUCUCACUCUCAGUGUCACUUGAUUCCAUUUUCUGUUCUUGCCUUGAUUUCGAUGUUGGGAAUGUGACGUCUGAGUCCAAGGUUGAAGAUAAUCUCGAUGCCUUGCGGACUGCAAUGGAAAAAUAAGCGGAAACGAGAAAUGAUGUGAUAAGAAGAGUUACUGUUGCUGAAGGACAACAUCAAAUGCAACGAAUGGAUCGAGUGCAGGGCUGGCUUUCAAGGGUAAAAGCUGUGGAAAAUAAAGCUGAUGAUUUGAUGAGACACAGCUCUCAAGAGAUUGAGAAGUUAUGCCUUGGAGGCUUCUGUUCCAAGAACUGCAAAUGAAGCCACAGCCGUGGGAUAGAAGCUGCUACAAUGCUACGAGUUGUGGAGACUUUAAUGGGUGAAGGAUCAUUUGAAUUGGUGGCUGAGAGGGUGCCAGAAGAUGCAGCAGACUGAGCAGAGGAGAUAAAUUGUGAGUCAACAAUAAUGGGCAUGGUGUCGACUUUUGAGAAAGCCUGGAGAUGCCUUGAAGAAGAAUCAGUUGGAAUUAUUGGCCUAUAUGUCAAUGGGAGAGUUGGAAAUAUUUACUCAAAUCAACAACAAGUUCCUUGAUAGUCCAAAUAAUUUUGAUGUUGCAAUCUGGGUAGUGGUCUGCCAAGAUUUGCAACCCCAGAAGUUUCGGGAAAAGAUUGGGAAAAAGAAAGGCUUGUUCGAUGAGUCAUGGAAGAACUGAAGUUUUGAAGAGAAAGCACUCGAUAUAUUCAAGAAUUUAAGCAAGAUGAAGUUUGUAUUACUGCUGGAUGAUAUAUGGGAGCAGGUUGAUUUAAUUAAAAUUGGUGUCCCUCUUCCAAGCACAAAAAUUACAUUCAAGAUAGUCUUCACAACUCCUUCUAUUACAUUUGUGGCCUCAUGGAAGCUCACAACAAGAUUAAAGUGAAGUGUUUAAAUGACGAAGAAGCAUGGGAAUUAUUCUGCAAGAAGGUUGGAGAAGAUGUGGCGACUCUGUACAAGUGCUAAGGAGCUCAGCCUCAGAAUUUCUAGGUAUGUAAAAACAAGUAUAUCCUCUUUUGAAAUUCAGUUAUGAUAAUUUACCUAGCGAUAAAAUUAGAUCGAGUCUGUUAUACUGUAGUUUGUUCCCAGAAGACUUUCCAAUUAGCAAAAUGGAAUUGAUACUGAGAUACGAAAUCAAGGAUACUACAUUAUUGGUGUUCUUGUUCCUUUAUGUUUAUUGGAAGAAGAGGCUCCACUGUUUGUAAAAGUGCAUGAGGUGAUACGCGAUAUGCUUCUGUGGAUAGCAUGUGAAAUUUUAUUUUUAUUUUUUUAUAGGGAUAUCAUGUGAAGUUGAGAAGGAGAGAGAGAAUUUUUUGGUUCGUGCAGGUGCAAGGAUUAACUGAAGUACUAGACAUUUGGAAAUGGGAAGGGUUGAGAAGGGUGUCUUUGAUGAUCAACAAAACUGAGAAGGUAUCAGAAAUUCCUUCAUCUCACGAUCCACUAACUUUGUUGCUUCAACAUAAUUAUUUAGAGGUGAUCAAUAAUGACUUCUUCCAAUCUAUGCAUUCCCUUAGAGUUUUGAACUUAUCAUGUAAUCAUUCUCUAACUGAUCAUUUCAAAGUUAGUUUCCCUACAUACGAGAGUUGCCGAAUGAGUUAACGUUCGUAGUGAAUCUUAAGUUUUUGAAUGUGGAGUCUGCACGGUUUCUUCAUUCAAUUCCAGGGCAAGUGAUAUCCAGUUUUACGAUGUUACAAGUUUUGAAGAUGUUUGGUUGUGGCAGGUCAUCUUCUGAUCGUGAGCCACACCAGAAGAUAGCGUUUUAUUUGGAGGCAGUGAACUUUUGAUUGCGGAGUUGUUUGGUUUGAGAGACAUUUAGAUGUGUUGACCAUCAUCCUAAGAAGCUCCCAUGCUCUGAAAAGAUUUUUGAGCUCCAACAAACUUCAAAGUUGUACUCAAUCUCUCUAUCCUAAAUGCUUUGAUUCGAAGUCAGUUGAUGUUUUUUGCCUGGCUGAUCUGAAGCAUCUCAAUAGGCUAUAGAUAUUGCGAGUUGUAAGCUUUUGGAAGAAGUGAAGAUUGACUUUGUUGGGAAAGCACAAAUGAACUCAUGGUUUUCACAGCCUUAUGUCACGGAAGUUGUGUAAACACUGCACGGGUUGCUGCGCAAAGUAACCAUCCUAUGACAUUGAGCCAUGUUGAAAUAUCAUUUUGCUGUAAACUGAGGGAUUUGACAUAGCUUGCUUUUGCUCCAGACCUUCUUGUUGUUUCCAGAAAGCAUUGCCAUGAUAUAGAGGAAAUACUCGGUGUUGGAAAAUUAGGUAAAGAGAUGAUGUCAAACCUGGAACCCCCUAUAAAACUCCUAAGGUUAUGUCUGGCAUGUAGGAUUGGAUUGAACUAAAUUAUUAGGACUGGAUUAAAUUGGGUUAUAUUUAUAUUCUUAUGUUUGGUACAGUACUGGAUUGAACUAUAUUAGAUUAUAUUUAAAUAAUAUUAAAUAGUAUUUAAGUUGGUAUUUUAAUAUAAAUAUCAAUUAUCCAUGAAAUUUUAUAAUCAUAAUUAAAAUAAAUUUAAAAAGCAAUUACUAGAAAAAUUAAAUAUAUUACAAAAAGUUAUUGGGUAGUCAUAAUAUAAUAAGCAAAUAAAAUUAAAUAAAACAAAUUAAAUAUUUAAUUAAUUUUUAUCAAAUAUUUAAAAAUAUUAUAUAAAAUCAAUUAAUUAAUGGUUUUAUUAAUUUUCAUGAUUAUUUUUAAUAUUACAUUAGUAAUUAUUAAAUUUAAUACAAUCAAAUAAUGCAAUAAAUAAUUAAACGUUUAAUUUUAUCGAUUAAUUAUUAAAUAUACAAGUAAUGAAAAUUUAAUCUCAGGAGUUGGCAGAAGCAAAAGUACUAAUUUAAUUAGAUCAUAGAUAAUAAAUAAAAAUUAAUUUUAAGUAAAUCAUAAUAAAAAAAUUAAUUAAUUGAUUCAAUCAAUCAAUAUUAGGUGUAAAUAAAAAAAGAGUAAUGAUAUAGCCACAAAUUCUUGUACAAACUUAUUUUGUACAAACUCAUGUGUCAUGAUAAGAUUAGUUGAAUUAAAUAUCACUUGGCCCACAUGAUUUGUUUUUAUUAUUUUAUAUUUUUAUUCAACCAAUGAAUUAACGCCACGUCAGUUUGUACAAGAGUUUGUGGUUGUAUCAUCACUCAUAAAAAAAAAGAUACAAAUAAAAAUCUCAUAAAUGGACAACUUUUAUCUUUAAUCUUAUCCCAACUAAACACAUGUGUGAAUUAAGAUUAUUAAUCCCAUGAUUUUAGGAUUAAAUUCAAAUUAAUUCCCCCUUAAUCCAAUCCAACUAAACUUGUCAAACAUGGGAUAAAAGUUUAAUUCUAAAAUUAGUCCAAUUCCAUACUUAAUCCUAGCAUCCACAUAUAGCCCAAGUUGUUUGCUUAAAGAAGCUACCAAAUUUGAAGAGCGUUUACGGGAAGGCCUUGCGUUUCCCAGAUGUAUGCAGAAUUUUUGUAUCCAAAUGCCCAGAACUUAAGAAGCUGACGCUGGAUUUUGAAAGGGCGGGCCAAGGUAAAAUUCUUAUCAAGUGAAAGGAAAAUCGGUGGAAACAACUUCAAUGGAAGGAUCAAGCAACUCAGGAUGCAUUGCUUCUGUUUUUCAAAUCAACUGACAAGUGAUUGAAGGGGGCAUCAUCAGCCUGGAUGGGGAGAUCCUGGAGCAGAUCAGCAGGGUUUGAAUCUGCAUCAUCAACAUCAUCAGGAUCUCUAUUUCUAUUGCUGGUCGUAAUGCCUGCCUACUGUUACUUGAAAAAGUGAUUAAGUGAGCCAGUUUUUUGUUUAUUAAAUUUUGUCUUGUAGAGACAGUCACAAAGUAUUUUUCUUAGUUGUUCUAUAUGAGAGUGAUGUGAAUCAAUUUUUCAAUUAUAUAUUCUGUGGGAAAUUGCAAGUAUUUUUAAAAUAUGAUCGUUAUUAAAGGAAACAAAGGAAUCAACACAGCAUACUGAACCUCAGCAGUAUGAAGCUAAUGAUUAAACUCCUCACACAAUUCAUAACAUGCAAAACCAUUCACAAAAUCAUCCCCAGCAACCAUAAUUGGCGUCCAAUAGAAAUUUACAAGAAUUACUUUUCUGUUCAUGCAAUCGGCGUCCGAAUGCGGCUGAUCGGUCACCGGUGUUGGCGUUUACUGUGAUUAGACAAAUUGUAGGAAUUCAAAAAUAACUUCUAUAGGGGUAAUUUCGAUUUCACAUAAUUAAUUUUAUUUACAAUAUUUUAUUCCUGCUAGAUCAAUUGAGAUUCUUUCCACCGGGCACACCCUUCAUGUUCUUUUAUUUUCUGUCUUUUAUUAGCCGUAGGAUUUUACUACUCUUAUAUCCAACGGCUUGCCACAACAAGACAAAUGAGGUGGUACCUUCCAACCGCUGAAAGGUCGUUUUGGCCCCAGGUGAAAGAGGGAAAUAGGGAAUUGAUGCUAUAUUUUAUAUUUUCUAUUUUACUACUCUUGUAUCCACCGGCCUUUCUUAUAUUUUAUUGCAAAUUGAUGCUAACAAGAAAAAGCUACAUCAUAUUCCACAAAAAACAAAAGUGACAAAACAACCAGUUGGAUUCUUUUAUUAAACUACAAAUUAAAUGGACUUUUUUUUAAUAAACUAUAUAUGAAAGUAGAAUCUUUUGAAUAUAAGUGGGGUAGACUUCCUUUCCAAAACAAAAAAUGCGGGGUAGGCUCUUUUAUUAAAGACAAGUCACAAGACGAUUAGAGUCUUUUAUUAAACUGCAAAUUGUAUAGUCUUUUUCAAAUUGUACAGACAUUUAUAAAUUGGUGGCCCCUUGGAAAUUUAAUGCCAAGCAGAGAAAAGUCAUCAUGCACAAUCCUCAAUAAUUGUUUCGAUAUUUAUAAAUUGGUGGCCCCAACGAAUAAUUGGGAUCGGUUAUGGUGCAAUUAUAGAACCAUGGCACAGUUGCAUCCAGCCGUUAAAUGCACUUAGAUUGGUGAGGUUUAUUGGCAUCUAAUGGCUGAAUGUAACUAUAAUACGGUACUACAGUUACAACACAAGUUUCCACCAAUAAUUGUUCCGAUAAUUAUAAAUUGGUGGCCCCUUGAUAAUUUAACAGCAGCCUGCAAGUGCCAACCAGUGAAAAGUCAUCAUUCACAAUCUUCCAAGUGAAAUAGGAGAUAUACAAAAUAAUAAAAAAAAAACAUGUCAAUUCUUUUUUUUUUUAUUCAUUCCCUUUCAUGUUCUUGAUAAGGGAGGGAGGACGUGACAUGUAAUGUAACUUACACCCAAAUACAUAAAUAAUAUAAAAUGAAUGGAUAGAUGCCCGAGCAGAUCGGCAGGGUUCGAAUAUGACCUUUGGUGCUUGCUUUUUUUUUUUGUGAUUUUGUUUUUCAUUUUUUCCUUCCUGUCAUUUUAUCAUUUCUUUGGCUUUGUCUCUAUUGCGGGUGUUACUGCAUGCUUACUGUUGCUUGACAAAGUUUGCUAGCUGAAAGAAACUUAGUUCUAUAUUGUUUGGUAGGCUAGAAAAUGAAAGGAAAUAAAAGAAAAGCUUUGCAAAGAAAUCUGUUGGAUCUUUUAUUAUUCCAAACUUACAGUUUAAUGACUACUAAUUGAUAUUUAUAUUGAGCUACAAUCUCUUAACAUACACACGAGAUUGUUGCAACACAUAACCAUUUGCUGUAUAACUAACUUGACACAUCAGCUCAACCAGCUAACUAACUUUGACAGGUCAGCUUAAUGAUUUGAUCUGCUACAACCAGCUACACAACACAUCAUGCUCUGCUCCAGCUACACAGCAACAUCAUGCUCUGCUCCAGCUUCAUCUAAUUCACUAACAUCCCCCUUCAAGCUGAAAUGUUUAGGAUGAACAUUCAGCUUGCUGCGGAAGUAACUAAAUUGUUUGAAAGUAAGAGCUUUAGUCAACACAUCUGCAGUUUGAUCUUGACUAGGCACAUAACAGACUGCAACUUCUUUAGCAGUAACUUUAUCUCGGAUGAAAUGGAUAUCCAAUUCAACAUGCUUAGUUUUAGCAUGAUAGACUGGAUUAUAAGCUAAAGCAAUGGCUCCUUGAUUAUCACACCACAUCAUAGGAGUAGAGCUCAAUUUGAUGCUAAGUUCACCAAGUAAAGACUUGAUCCAGGUAACCUCUGAAGCAGCAUGAGCAAGAGAUCUAUACUCAGCCUCUGUGCUGAAUCUGGAAACAACAGCUUGCUUCUUGGACGACCAAGAGACAAGAUUAGGACCUAGAUAAACAGCAAAGCCAGCUACUGACUUCCUAUCAUCAUGAUCACAAGCCCAAUCAGAGUCUGAAAAACAAUGGAGUUGCAGAGCUCCUUGGUUGUAGAAUUGCAGCCUAAGAUGGAUAGUACCUUUUAAGUACCUCAAUAACCUUUUACAUGCUUCCCAAUGUUGAGUCCUAGGAUUGGAAAGGAACUGACUCAACUUAUUGACAUAAAAAGCAAUGUCAGGUCUGGUAAGAGUAACAUACUGAAGAGCUCCUAUAACACUUCUGUAUUGAGAAACAUUGUCAAUUGGCUCCCAUGAGUCUUUGGUGAGAUAAUAACCUGUAGACAUUGGAGUUGGCACAGGACUGCAAUCAAUCAUGCCAUGUUUGUCCAGAACAUCAGCAAUAUACUUUGCUUGUGUCAAGGAAACCCCUUUUGAAGACUUGCUGACUUCAAUCCCCAAAAAAUAGUGAAGUUCCCCUAAAUCCUUUAAAGCAAAAGUCUGAUGCAUAUUCUGAAUAGCUUGCUGAAUCAAUGAUGGACUGGAACCAGUGAUGAUAAUAUCAUCAACAUAGACUAAAACAAUAGUUAUAUGACCACUGUUCCAGGCAUAAAAAAGAGAGUUAUCAGACCUUGAAUGCUGAAAAUGCCACUGGGAGAUCAUUGCAUCCUUAAAUCUAUCAAACCAGGCUCUAGGAGCCUGUUUUAAACCAUACAAAGCCUUAUUCAGCUUGCAAACAUGAUUAAGUUUAGUUGAAUCAACAAAACCUUGAGGUUGAGCCAUGUACACAUCUUCAAUUAAAAUGCCAUUGAGGAAUGCAUUAUUAACAUCCACCUGCCUAAUAACCCAGUGGUUCAAUAUUGCUAAGCUAAGAAUAACUCUGAUAGUUGAAGAUUUAACCACUGGACUGAAGGUUUCUGUGUAGUCAACCCCAUGUGUCUAAUGAAACCCCUUAGCAACAAGCCUGGCUUUAUACCUUGAAACCGAGCCAUCUGAGUUAUACUUAAUUCGAAACACCCACUUGUUACCAACUAUCUUCACUGGAGUAGCAGGUAAAACCAAAUCCCAGGUGUGAUUAGUUUUAAGUGCUAGAUACUCUUCUUGCAUAGCUUUAUACCACAUAGGAUCAGAGAGUGCUUUGGAAACAGAAGUUGGUUCUGAUUGCUGGGCUAACAAGGCUGACAAAUAAACUUUUGGCUUAAAAAUACCUGCUUUUGAUCUGGUUACCAUUGGAUGACCAGAUGGUGCAUGUUGUGGUAAUGUAUGUGGAGGUGAGGAAUGGGAAGAUGAGAAAGGAGAAACUGAGUUGGAAUUAUCAGAAAAAUAAACUGGAGUAGAGUUUGGGAAUGAAAUAGAAGCAUUAGACUGAUGAUCAGUAGGUUGAGGUGCUGAUGAUGCUGCUAAAGGUGCUUGUAACUGAGUAACAGAAGAAGUAGAAGACUUAAAAGAAGACUCAGAGUGUGAUGUAGACUGACAGCUUAAAGAGGUUGAAGAAAACUCUACCCCAGACUCAUAAGGAAAGGAAUUUUCAUCAAAGGUGACAUAAUUGGAAAUAUACACCCUUCCAGAAGAGUGAAGACACAUAUAUCCCUUGUGUUGUGAACUGUAGCCAAUGAAUAUACAUCUAGCAGUUCUGAAAUCAAACUUAUAUCUAUUGUAUGGUCUGAGUGUUGGAUAACAAGCACAGCCGAAAGUUUUAAGUGUUGAAUAAUCUGGUUGAUAAUGAAACAACUUUUGGAAAGGAGAAAUGUUAUUUAGAACUGGAGUUGGAAGUCUGUUUAUCAAAUAGACAGCUGUGUGGAAUGCAUUCCACCAAAAUUUGAGUGGUAAAUGUGCUUGAGCUAAUAAAGUCAGACCUACAUCAACUAUGUGUCUAUGCUUCCUCUCAAUUCUUCCAUUUUGGUGAUGAAUAUGUGGGCAAGGGUGUCUAAAAUGGAUACCAGAAGUAGUGAGUAAUGAGGAAAAAGAUCUGAACUCCCCUCCCCAGUCAGUUUGGACAGUUUUGAUGGAAAGUUGAAGAUGCUUUUCAAUGAAUGUUUUGAAAUUUUUAAAAACUUCAAGAGCAUCAGAUUUUGCUGAUAAAGGGAAUAUCCAGGUAAACCUACUAUAAUCAUCUAGGAUUCACAGGUAGUAGUUAUAUCCUUGGGUAGAACAAACAUGAGAAGGACCCCACAGAUCUGCAUAUAUUAGUUGUAAAGGUUCUGAAGUUUUUGUUUCAACUGAAUCAAAAUGCAGCAUAUGAUUUUUCCCAUAUUGACAUGCAUAACAAAAUUUCAAACUUUCAACUUUAUUAAGAGCAGUAAAGUUGUUACAAGCUUUGAGUAUGGUUUUGAGAGUAUAAGGAGCUGGGUGUCCUAAUCUUCUAUGUAGAAGAUUUACAUAAGUUAAACCCUUUGCAACAACUGACAGACAUGACUUUUUAUUCAGCUCAUAAGAACUAACAGCAGAAGGCUUAUCAGAAGUAAAAACAGGAGAACAAGCAAAAAGAGACUGAAUUUUUUUUUUACCAACUGAACUGAGAAAAACUGAGUGAGCAGCAGCUUGUGAAGAGACUCUAUACAAGCCACCUUUAGCAACACCUUCAUGUAAAAUUUUCCCUGUGUUCCUGGCCUUUAUAAAACAGAAAUCACCAAGAAAUUCAACAGUAACUGGAUUGUCAGCCAAUAAUUUGGAAAUGCUAAGUAAAUUCUUAGUAAUAAAGGGAAUAUGAAGAACAUGGUUAAGAAAUAAAGAUUGAGAAUUUGAAGUGUUCAGCACAACUGAUCCUAUAUGUGUAACAGCUAAUGCAUUUCCAUCCCCAACAAAUAACUUCUCAGUACCAGUAUAAGCUUGUGAAUCUAGAAGUUUACCUAGAUCAUUAGUAAUGUGAUUUGUGGCUCCACUGUCAAUGUACCAGGAAAGAUCUUCAAUGUGUUCUGGAAGUGAAGAAGACAUAGUUGAGGAAGAUGAAGCACUUGACUGUCCAGGAUUAUUGUUUCCUUGACCAGCAACAAAAUUAGAUGAUCCAGGAGUGAAAGAGUAAUAGGCAGAAGGAUUGUUAUCUGGAUACACUAUAUUUCCUUGAUAACCAAAACCCCUGGGUGCAUGACCAAAACUAGCAUUUUGUCCAAAACCAGCAUUUGAACCAAAACUUCUUCCACUAUUACCAUUAUAGACUCUUCCUCUACCAUAUUGCCCUUGAUUAAAACCUCUGUCACCAUUCAUAUUGCCUCUACCAUGAUUCCUCUGUGGAACAUAAGAUGAGUUGUACCUAUUCCUGCAUCUAUUUGCUGCAUGACCAGGUAUGAAGCAAAUUUGACAAACAACUUCAGAGGAAUUACUACCAGUAUUAAACUGACCAUAUCCAUAUCCAUUAAAACCUCCAUAUCCAGAAUUAUUACCACCUCCAUAGUUAUUUCCAUAAUUUUUCUGAAAAUUUCCAUUAUUCUUUCUAGCAUAUGAGUUCUUCUGAGCAAUAUUUGCUGUCAUGUUAUGCAUCACAUCACCAGCAAUUUUCCCUUUCUUUUGCUCAACUCUAUUUUCAUGAUUCAACAACAAAGAAUAUAGUUCAUCUAAUGUGAUCUUUUCACCUCGAGCUAACACAGCUGUGACUAAAGACUCAUAGUCUGAUGAAUCAAGACCAGUUAAUAUAUGCAUCACAAGAUCAUUUAACUCAAUAGGUUUUCCAGCUAGAGCUAAAGUAUCAGCUAUGCGUUUUACUUUUACAAAAUAAUCAGACAUAUGCAUUGCACCUUUCUUAAUAGUUUGAAUCUGCAUUCUAAGUGUUUGAAUUCUAGCUUGUGAUUGAGAGAUAAACAUACUAGCAAGAGUCUCCCAAAGCUGUUUUGAAGUUGUAGAAUCAAUCACAGUAGCAAGCAGAUUUUGCUGUAUCGAUGACAUCAUCCAACUCAGUAAGAGUUGGUCAGUCUUCAUCCAAGCUACGAAUUCUGGAUUAAUAGAUCUGGAUCCAGAUUCAGUUAAAACUUCAGCUCCAUUGUUGUUUCCAGAAGAAAGAAACUGCUCAGGACAUUCUCGAUCGCCAUUGAUAAAUCCUUCCAAACCGUUUCCUUUGAUUGAAGUUAAAAUUUGUGUGCGCAACAGAAUGAAGUUGUUUUGAUCUAGCUUUACUGGCGUAACAAAACUGAAAGAGUUGUUGUUUUGAACUAUAUUUGCCAUUUAUGGCUCUGAUACCAUGAAAGAAACUUAGUUCUAUAUUGUUUGGUAGGCUAGAAAAUGAAAGGAAAUAAAAGAAAAGCUUUGCAAAGAAAUCUGUUAGAUCUUUUAUUAUUCCAAACUUACAGUUUAAUGACUACUAAUUGAUAUUUAUAUUGAGCUACAAUCUCUUAACAUACACACGAGAUUGUUGUAACACAACCAUUGCUGUAUAACUAACUUGACACAUCAGCUCAACCAGCUAACUAACUUUGACAGGCCAGCUUAAUGAUUUGAUCUGCUACAACCAGCUACACAGCACAUCAUGCUCUGCUCCAGCUACACAGCAACAACAUGCUCUGCUCCAGCUUCAUCUAAUUCACUAACACUAGCUUUUCCUUUUGUUUAUUAAAUUUUUUUAUGGUCACAAAGUAUUACUCGUUCUAUUUGACAAUGAUGUGAAUCAAUUUUUCAAUUUUAUAUUUUGUGGUCAACGUGAAUUCAAUUUCAUUUGUCUCCUGCAAUUAUGAAAAAAUUACAGUCAUAAUAUGGGGAAACCUGUGGUGCAACUGUGGUACCAUGUCACAGUUGCAUCCAGCCGUUGGAUGCCAAUAGAUCCCACCAAUUUAAGUGCAUCCAACAGCUGGAUAUAACUAUAGCACGGUACCACAAUUACACCGUAACUUGAUCCCAUAAUAUGGAAAAGUACACCGGCAGAAACUUUGUAAAAGCUUCGGAGUGAUACGGGGAAUUCACUUACUACUAAAGACAGUUGGUGGCAACCUAAUGUCCAUCCAUCUAUUUAGUUAUUGAAGAUUAGUGGUCCAUUUGUAAAUUUCAGAUUGUCUCUCUCUCUCUCCCUCUUGAAAUAACAAUAUUUAAUAUAUCUAUUAAAUUAUUAUAAAUUUUAAUUUACUCUCGAUUUAAAAUGGAGCAUGUCGAUAAAUUUUUUUUCUUCUUAAUAAAAUUGACGUAAGUUGUGUUUACAGUAGUUUGAAGUUUGAAAUAUUUUAAAGAUUAUUAUUCUAUAAGGGAGUAAUAUGAACUGAAAUUUACUUUUCAUGUGUGAAAUGAAAAACGACGAAGCAAGUGUCCCUGCUUUUAUUUUAUUUCAAGGAGGAGUCAUCUCACAUACUUUAGCUCUUAACAUUACAUUUUUUCUGGUUACAUUUUUAUUUUUUAUUUUUUUUAACACAUGCGUGUGGGAUGCUUUUCUGUAAGCUCCUUAAUAUAUAUUUAAGACAAAUCAUGGAAGAGAUGGGAUUAUAUCAAGAUGAUCAAAGCAUGUAAAAAAAGAAAAAAGAAAAAAAAAUUAAGAAGUAAGACACUGAAAAUGGAGAAGAGAUGGAAGCAAAAGAUAUUCCAAACAAAGCAAUCUAUCCCCUUUCGAGGGCAGACUUAUCAGGUUUAAAAAAGUACAUGCUUUGGAUUGGUAGUUACAAUCAAGGGAAAAUAAAUAGGAUCCAAUGAAAUUUAAAUCUUGGAGAAAAUAAAUAAUCAUGCAGAUUUUCAAGAUUUUAAUAAGGGAUACUAAUAUCUUAUUUUGAUUAAUAACAUUCUUUCACUGUGUUAACUCAAAAAAAAUAUUAUAAUGCUUUACAAUAAAUACAAAUGUCCUAUUAAAUGAAUAUAUAAAAAAUUUAGAAUAUUAUAUAAAAUAAUUUUAAUAUAAUGCGUGAGAUAUAUUUUAUUAAUUUAAAAUGUCAUUUUACCUAAAAAAUAUGAUAAAUUGAUAAUUACAUAUUUGAAGUUAUUUCAAAUAUUAAAAAAAUUUAAUAUUAUUAGUCUUUUAGAUAGAUUAAAUUAUUUUUUAAAGAGAUAGAUUAAAUUAUUUUAAAAUACCUUAAUUGUUUUUACUUUAAACAUUACCGGCCUUUCUUUUAUUUUAUUGCAAAUUAAUGCUAACAAGAAAAAGCUAGAUCAUAUUCCACAAAAGCAAAAGUGACAAACACAGCCAGCUGGAAUCUUUUAUAAAACUACAAAUUAAAAUGGAUUUUUUUUUUUGAUAAAUUACACAUGAAAGUGGAUUCUUUUGAAUAUAAGUGGGGUAGGCUCUUUUAUUUUAUUUUUGAAUAUUGUAUAACGGGACUGUAGACUCUUUUAUUAAACUACAAAUUGUAUAGUCUUUUUAAAAUUGUUAUAAAUUAGUGGCCCCUAAAAUCCUCAACAAUUGUACCGAUAUUCACAAGUUGGUGGCCCCUACAAUUCUGUUCAGUUAAUUUAACUGUGCAAGUGCUCAUUCACAAUCUUCCAGGUCAUGCUCUUAAUAAUUUUUUUUUUUUUUUCUGCAUUCCCUUUCAUGCUCUUAAUAAUUGAAGAGCAUACUUUUCAUUUUCAAAUGUGGAGCCGCAGCUAAUGUCGUUAAUUUAAUUUGGGAUUAAAUUAGGGGACCAUUAUAUUGCAGUGUGCACUAAUUUUUGUGUUUAUCUAAACUCCUUAAAUUUAAGACAUAUUAUGGCAUAAAUAAGAAUAUAACAAUAACAAAAGAGUUAGAAAGUGUAGAGAAGAUCUUGCAGAAAUAUAAAUAAUAUCUAUUUUAAAAUAAUUUUUAAUAUUUUAUGAUCCAUUAGAUAUAUUUUAUUAUAUUAAAGUAAAUUUUAUAAUAAAUGAAAACAUACUAUUAAAAUGAAUAUAUAGAAAAUUUAGAGUAUUUUAAAUAUUAUAUAAAAUAAUUUUAAUAAAAUAUGUGAGAUAUUCAUAUUUUAUUAAUUUAAAAUACCAUUUAACCUAAAGAUUUAUUUAUGAUAAAUUAAUAAUUAUAUUUUUGAAAUUACUUCAAAUAUUAAAAAAAUUAAUAUUACUAAUCUAUUAGAUAGAUUAAAUUAUAUAUAUUAUUUUCUAUUUAUUAAAAAAUUAAAAUUAUUUUUAAUUACUAUUCAAAAAAUAUAAUGAUAAAAAAAAAUCUUAACAUCUUUAUUAAAAAUUUAAAAUUUACAUGAUCAAUUCUCUAAAUAUUUAGGGUAUAUGUGAACAUCGGUGGAGAAGCUUUAUUUAAUAUUAUUGAUUUAAAUAAUAUGUCAAUUAAAAAUGUGCGGAGAAGAAAUUUCGGUGGGUAUUUUAGUCUUUUCAGCAAUUAUCAUGAUCAGAUCAGCCUUUAGCCUUGAAACGUCGGUCAGAAAGUUUUAAAAUUAACGCUAACAAGAAAAAGCUAGGUCAUAUUCCACAAAAGCAAAAGUGACAAAACAACCAGUUGGUUUCUUUUACUAAACUACAAAUUAAAAGUGGAUUCUUUUGAAUACAAGUGGGACAGACGAUUAGGCUCUUUUUAUUAAAGGCAAGUAAAAAGUAGUCGAAUAGUCUUUUUCAAAUUCUUGUUUUAAUAUUUUUCAAAACUAGUUUUUGGUAAUUACAAUCGGGUCAUUCAUUAAUCAUUAUUCAGAGUAAUUAUGAAUUUCCCAAUUAUAAUUACUAACUGUUUUUCCUUAACCACUCGGCUCAGCCCGAGUGGCCAGGGCUGCUGCCCUCCAAGUUCGAACCCCCACAAAAGUAUUGUGGGGGUAUUUUCUUUCUCAAUUAAUUUGAGUGAAGGUAGUCUUUUCCUUUAUCCAUGAGUGAGGAGUAGACAUCCCUCGAAUAUUUGUGAGGGUUAAAAUCUGAGUAGAGCUCUAUUAGCAUUGAUGUAAGUUGAUCCCAGUAAUUGUCUGAUCUGUAAAUAUCAGGUUAAAAUCUGGGCAAAGCUCCAUUAGCAUUGAUGUAAGUUGAUCCCAGUAAUUGUCUGAUCUAUAAAUAUCAGUUAUAGUCUCAUGUAAUAUGAGUUGUAAUCUGAGCAAUAGUCUCGUGUAAUAAAAAAAAAAAAAAACUAUUUUUCCUUCAAAAGUUAGAGACUCGUGUUUGCAACUUGCAAGUGUGAAUGUGCAAUGCUCUUUGUCUAAAGGCUAGUGUUUCUAGUGGGUCCCGACUCGAGCGUGCCUAAAUCAUUUUAAAAUUUUUCCCGUAUAAUGGACAGAGGUCAUUACUAAAAUUUCUCUUCCACAGGCAAUUACAGCAGCUCCAGUUUAUCAAACUCAACCAAUUUUCUUUCUUAACAAAAUUCCAAAGAUGUGUAGCUUUUUUCAGAUCACAUGCGAUGGUGCUCUUUUCAAUCGUUGCUUGGAUUGCUUUCUUGGAAAAGCAGCAUACAUACGUAACCUCCAAGAUAAUCUUGAUGCCUUGGAGACUGAAUUGGGAAAUCUGAUCGCUAAAAAGAACGAUGUGAUGAGGAGGGUUGUCGAUGCUGAACGGCAACAAAUGAGAAGGCUGGACGGAGUGCAAGUGUGGGUUUCGAGGGUGGAUGCUUUUAAAACUGGAGCCGAUGAACUUAUCAUAGACGGCUCUGAAGAAAUUGGCAAAUUAUGUGUUGGAGGCUACUGUUCCAAGAACUGCAGGUCAAGCUACAAAUUCGGAAAACAAGUGGCUAGAAAGCUACGAGAUGUGGAGACUUUAAUCGCCGAGGGAGUUUUUGAGGCGGUGGCUACUGAGGUGGUGCCUGAGAGAGCUCCAGAGCCUGUAGCAGAUAAAAGACCCAUUGAGCCAACAAUAGUAGGCUUGCAAUCACAGCUUGAACAAGUUUGGAGAUGUCUUGUAGAAGAAUCAGUGGGAAUCAUUGGCCUAUAUGGUAUGGGCGGUGUUGGUAAAACCACACUAUUGACCCAUAUCAACAAUAAAUUUCUUGAGAGUCCCACAAACUUUGAUUGUGUGAUUUGGGUCCUAGUUUCAAAAGACCUGCGACUUGAAAAAAUUCAAGAAGAUAUUGGGAAGAAGAUAGGUUUGGUUGAUGAUUCAUGGAAGAAUAAAAGUUUUGAAGAGAAAGCUGUGGACAUCCUGCGGAGAUUAGGAGAGAAGAGAUUUGUAUUGUUGUUAGAUGAUUUAUGGGAGCGGGUUGAUUUAACAGAAGUGGGCGUUCCACUUCCCAGCGCACAAAAUACUACCUCAAAAGUCGUAUUCACAACCCGUUCCAUUGGUGUUUGUGGCAGCAUGAGAGCUAGGCCGGUUAAAGUGGCAUGCCUAUCAGAAAAGCAAGCUUGGGAACUGUUCCGCGAAAAUGUUGGGGAAGAAACUCUUGAGAGUGAUCAUGAGAUCGUUGAGCUAGCCCAAACUGUAGCCAAAGAGUGUGGUGGUUUGCCACUCGCACUUAUUACUAUUGGUCGAGCUAUGGCCAACAGAAAUACAGCUGAGGAGUGGAGACAUGCAAUUGAAGUAUUAAAAAGGUCAGCUUCGGAGUUUGCGGGUUUGGAAAAAGAUGUAUAUCCUCUUUUAAAGUUUAGUUAUGAUAGUUUGCAGAAUGAGACGAUUAGAACUUGUUUCUUAUAUUGCUGUUUGUAUGCGGAAGAUUAUGUCAUUCCUAAAUGGGACUUGAUUGAUUGUUGGAUUGGUGAGGGAUUCUUAGAGGAAUCUCACGGUUUUGGUGCAGAAAACCAAGGAUACUACAUUGUGGGCACUCUUGUUCGUGCAUGUUUAUUAGAAGAGGUGGAAGAUGAUGAAGUAAAAAUGCAUGACGUUAUUCGUGAUAUGGCUAUAUGGAUAACCUGUGAAAUUGAGAAGGAGAAGAGAAACUUUUUGGUUCGUGCAGGUGCUGGAUUAAAAGAGGCACCGGAUGUUAAAAGAUGGGAAAAUGUGAGAAGAUUGUCAUUGAUGCAAAACCAAAUUGAAACUCUGUCAGAGGUUCCCACAUGCCCUCAUCUCCAUACUCUAUUUCUUGCCUCUAAUAAUAGUUUGCAGAGGAUCACCGAUGGCUUCUUCCAACUUAUGCCUUCUCUCAAAGUUUUGAAGAUGUCAAACUGCUGGAAUUUUACUUUGAAAUUACCUUUGGCGAUGUCAGAGUUGGGUUCGUCACUAGAACUUCUUGAUAUUUCAUAUGCCAGCAUAACAGAGUUACCAGAAGAGUUAAAGUUGUUGGUAAAUCUGAAAUGUUUGAAUUUGAGGUGGACAGAUACGUUAAAUAAAAUUCCACGGCAACUAAUAUCAAUUCUUUCAUGGUUACGUGUGUUGAGAAUGUUGGGUACUGGCUGGUUCAAUUUUCUUGAAGCACCAGAAGACAGCGUUUUAUUUGGUGGGGGUGAAGUUUUGAUACAGGAAUUGCUCGGUUUGAAAUAUUUAGAGGUAUUGGAGUUGACCUUGGGAAGUUAUCAUGCUCUCCAAAUUCUUUUGAGCUCAAAUAAGUUAAAAAGUUGUAUUCGAUCUCUUUACCUCCAUUUGACCGGAGAUACAGCGUCAAUUAUUGAUGCUACGGUUUUCGCAGAUCUAAACCAACUCAAUCAAUUAUGGAUUGAUGAAGGUAUUGAGUUGGAAGAAUUGAAGAUUGAUUAUACGGAGAUAGUACGAAAAAGGCGGGAACCUUUUGUUUUCCGCAGCCUUCACUGUGUUCGUAUAGAGCAGUGCCAUAAAUUGAAAGAUGUGACAUUCCUCAUUUUUGCUCCAAACCUCAAGUCUCUUGACCUAUCCUACUGCUCUUCUAUGGAAGAAGUAAUCAGCGUCGGAAAAUUUGCUGAGACUCCUGAGAUGAUGGGACAUAUAAGCCCUUUUGAAAAUCUCCAAAGUCUUCAUUUAUCGCAAUUGCCAGCUUUGAAGAGCAUCUACUGGAAGCCAUUGCCUUUCACUCAUCUCAAAGAAAUAUCUGUGGGUUAUUGCCGUAAUCUUAAAAAGCUUCCACUCGAUUCCAACAGUGCAAAGGAGCGUAAAUUUGUAAUUCGUGGAGAAGAAGACUGGUGGAACCGACUUCAAUGGGAGGAUGAAGCCACUCAAAUUGCUUUUCGUUCCUGUUUCCAACCAAUGGGAGUACUGAGCGGUGGUCGCAAAAUUUGAUUUCUGGUGAGUGCGUUUGUCUUUUAAAAGCAGAAUUUAAAAGAAAUUUAUUCUUGUCGUUUUCUUCUCUGUUUUUAUUUGAUUUCUGGUUAGUUUCUCUCUCGCACUGCCAUUACUGUUUUAAUUUCCUGUCAAAAGACGAGCGAGAAGAACAUAUAUAUGACGUAAACCAAUUGAUAAAUAUUAAUUGCCUGUUCUCUGUUUUUAUUAAGUAUACUUUAUUUUGCCCUGUUCUCUGUUUUUAUUUCAUUCUCUCUCUCUCCCUCUCUUUCCUGUCUUCUGCAAGUCAUAAUUAAAUGUUGAAUUAUAUGGAAUUAAUGCUUUAUAAAUCUGCCUACGCUGGCUUUUUUUUUUUUUUUUGUGGGGUCGAAUUGAUGCUCUGGUUUUCGACUACUUUUUGUUGUCAAAAUUUUCUCUGUUUUUUCAAAUUGAUGCUUUAUUUAUAUCUUCUUCGUGAAAAGUGAUUUAAUUUCCUGCCAAAAGACGAACGAGAAGAACAUUAGAGUCUAACUAAUGCUCACAUAAAUUUCCCGUAAGAAUAUAUAUAUAAUUAGACUGGAAUGCACACCUCUAGAUUGAACAGAAUUAAAGCUGAGAAAAUAUUGAGUAUAGUAGCCCUCUUUACAGAAAAUGACGCGAAAGUUAAUUUAGAAAAAGAUAUAUUCUUGAUUAAUCCAUUUUCUGAAGUUUUUUAUUUUGUAUGGUCAAUUAUACCUUCAUACUAAAAAUUUCUGAAGUUAUGGGGUUGUUGGAUGUGUUUUGGAUAUUUGCAGCUAAGUUUGAGUUUAUAUCUCAACUUAAAAUUUGUAGUUUUCACUUGAAAAAAUUCAGUUAAAAAUUUAUUGGUAGAAUUGUGAAAAAAGUUAAAAUUUUUAGUUCAACCCGAUUGCAUAUUUAAGAACAUCUCAAAUGAAUUGCUUACUGCUAUCAUCAUCAUUAUUGUCCAUAUAAUAAUGGAUCUUUAUUAUAUAUAUAUAUGUUUCCACUAAAAUAUAUUUAAUUAUUCUUUAUUUUUCCAUUGUUGCGUGUAAGAUUUAUUUGAGUUCUAAGUUAUAUCAAUACAAAUGUUAUCUUAUCCAUAAAAAAGUUAGAUCCAACAAUUAUGAAAAUUACCAUAGAGUUGCUUUCAAUUAUUUUUUAAAAAUACCAGGAGUAAAUAAUAAUUAGUUCAAGUGGUGUAGACUAAAAAGUGUUCACCUUUAUUUUUUAUCUGUUAUUUAUUUAUUUCAUUAAUGCACAUGCUAUACAUUUGAGACACUCCAUCCUAUGCAAUGUGAAUAAAUUUCUUUCCUUUUUCCUUUACUCUUUUUAUUUGACAAUAAAGUUUCCAUCUAUCAUCUAUCAUCUAUCAUCUAUGUACGCAAAAUUUCUGCAACAAGUACAAAACAUAAAAAUAUAUAUGAUUGUUAAGGGAAACACGCAGAAGUUCAUCAUUUCAAUGUUCAGUAUUACCAAUUUUGGCAUUAAGCUUGUACGAAUAUAUUCCACUUAGAAAGCAAAAUAUUAGACUCAUGAUUUUAAUUCAUUCAUUAUCUCUCAUUUUAAUCCCAAAAUAUUCAAGAGUAUCCAAGUUACCAUAAGACUUCAGAGGCUCGAGCCUUAGCCAGAGAUGGUUAAUUGAUAGACUAUGUGCCUGGGUCGAGCACUGGAAGCCUGCAAUGCAGACUGAUUGAUUUAUCAGUUUGACGUGUGCCAGGAAUGAAGAACUGGAAUAUCACCGUCAAGCACGCACCCUGUGGAGCAAUACCAAAGAAUGCACAAUCUGGCUUUGCUAGGUGACACUGGAGGCUUUUUGAAAAGUGCUUCACGCUCACUUGCACAGAUUGAGCAUCCCCUCCGGAUAUUGCCCUCUCUGAUCGAGUCCGAGCACUCAAAUUUCAAUCCUCAGAUGGAGCUACAGCUUUCUCUCCAAUAACCAACAAUUUUCUAAACUCAGCUCCUAGUGUGAUGAGAGUUGUUGAUAUUUGUAAAUGGAGAUCCCCAUAUUUGCAAAUGGAGACAUUUAACAAAUCACCAACAUGCUUCAUUCGGUCUACGAAAUUCUGCAGCUGAUUCAAAUCCGGAACCUGAACCAGAGUCGGAGGUAAAUCUUGAGCCAUAUCUAAAGCAGUCUGAAGUUCAAGUACUUGAGCCCUUGACAAUGGUUUUGAAAUAGGAACAUCUUGGAUUACUGCAGACUUGUACCCCUUGGUUUCAAAGGUAAGGAAAGGCAUUGCUUGAGUACAAUUUGGAGGCAGCUUCUUCACCAAUUUUAUUUGGAGGCGAUUGGCAGCGGAUCCAGCUGCACCAAUUUCAGAGCAAAUACUGACACUACUUCGAACAGCACACUGAAGAAGUGAUAUGUCUACGGCAAAGGCAAUGCAGUCCUCAUUUUGGCUUGAGAUGCAGUAAUCAUCGAAGAGAGUUUCCUUGUGAAACUGGGCAACACAUUGAAUCCCUUCGCCACUGAGAAGGUUGUGGAGGAAGUAAGCUUUCUCUCUAGUGAGGAAGAGGUGGCAUACCUUCCCCAUUUUGUCUAGGGCAGGUAGGAAUCAUUUUUCUAAGAGAUUUACUUCAUUCUCUGUGAGAAAUGAAUUGAACUUCAUCCCUCUGUCUCUAUCCUCACUUAUCAGAAAAUAAGUUGAAAGCACUUCGGAGAGAGAGAGAGAGAGAAUUAAGAUAUAUAGACAAGAAAAAUAUUAGACGUUGAUCUUACAAACUAAUACUUCAAGCAGUAUCCUAGAAAGCUAAAAACUGCAAGAUGGCUUGAAAUUUGAAAAGAGCACGUGCUUUUCCUCCUUAACUUGAGAAAAUGUUUAAUAUAGUGCACCUACAGAAGCAUUUAAGCAAUUAGAACUUUGCACAAAAACAUCAAGAAGACUAAACAAAUCAGAUGCAGUGUAUUUGUCCAAGCACAAAUUGCAUUUUGUCCUCAACUUUAAUAUUUAUUGAUGAGAAUCAAUACAGGUCCCUCAUUUGAUAUAGAAAGCUUUCUUUCUUGUAGUCUCACCAGUUAAUUCACAGGUCUAUAAUCAUCUUGCAAAGUUAAGGGCAUUUCUUUCGAUCUAAAGUCUUUGCAUCACCACCUCAUCACACGCCAAGCCAAUAUUCCAUUUACCUCUACAACAAAAAGUUUUAAGUAAACAAUCCUAAUGCACGCAGCCAAAUAAAAUGCAGUAAGAAUAUUCAACUUAAAAAUCUGAAAGCCGACUUGGUGAAUUGCCUCCUUAGGUGAAGUUCCAUGCUUUACUAUAGUUGACAGAACUCAGCAAAAGCUUCCAUACAACAGAUUUUGAAAAUGAUGAUGCCAAUAGAUACUCAUUCAAUCCAUUGAAAAUCCAAAGGUUCAUUGUUAAUAGAAGUUUACAGAGUUUUGGUCAUCAAAUAGCUCAGACCUAAUCCCAAACAAAAAACGAGUGAAAAUUAGAUCACGAGCAGCUGAUUGUAAAUUCUAACUUAACUCUUCAUCUCCUUUGUAAACAAGAAACAAAAUGGAGACACGCAAAAUGAAUAUGGAGAAAAUUUGAACUCAAAUGAAAUGAGGGCACGAAAGCAAACAAAUGGCAUGCACAAAAAAACCAAGCCUCAAUCAAAAACUAAUUAACCAUUAAGAAAAAAAUUGGUCAGAUAAUGAACUACAAAUUCAGGAGUCAAGCAAGAAGCUUUCAUUAUUUCAGAAGCUCCUGUACAAAUUAAUAAGUUAUGCUCUUUGGAAGCAAACCUAAAUUCCAAGAGAAACAGAACCCAAAAAAUUUGCAAUUAUACGCAAAGGGAGUGAAGCACAGGAUUCUAUCACACAUAGGAAUUGUAUAACAAGAGAUCGAUAUAUCGAAUUAGAAAACUCAAUUCGAAUUUGUGUCAAAAAUCAAAAUUAGAAGAUUUCACAUUUCGAGAGGAACAAGCAACAGAUGAAGUUCAAAAUUUCAGCCAUAACAUGCUAAAAAUGCUACACUUAACGGUUCAUUUUCAUGGAUUUUCUCGGGAAACAAACAGAAAAUUACGGUUUAGAGAUUUGACUGACCUUUUGGCUUUUGAAAUUGAGAAGAUCGCACGCCAAAUUGGAAGAGGGAAAGUGAAAGUGCGAGUUUUAAUAUGGGUAUUAGAUAAGGAAAUUUUAUUAGGUUGCGAGGGUAAAAAAGGAAAGAGAUAUCAUUGUUUUAUUAUCGAUAAUUAUUAAAUUUUUUUCCAAAAAAAAAGAACAAGCAAGGAUAUUUUAUUGUCAUUUGCAACCUUUAAUUUUUUAAAUGCUAUUAGAAACACAAGACAAUAAAGAAAUACUUAUUUUUUUCUAAAACUAAAAUCAAUUGUUUAAAAAAAAUUGUUUCAAAAUUACUUGAGUCAUAUCCAAUGGACCAACAAAGUAAUCGUUUUUAUUUUUAUUGAUUUUUGCAGGAAAUUAAUAACUUAAAAAUACUGAAAGCUAUUGUAAAAAUUUUUAUUAUCAACCUCAUAGUUUUUUUUUUUUUUUUUGGGAAGAGAAUUCAAACUUUUUUUUUUAUGAAUAUCGCUGUUUCGUUUGAGUUGGAUGUGAAUUCAAAUACAAAUAUUCUUUGUUUUUCAAUUCUGAACUCAAUUUCUUUUUUUCAAGAAUGUUAUGCAGAAAUGAUUUUUACUGAACGGCAACAAAUGAAAAGGCUGGGCCAAGUGGAAUGGUGGGUUUCGAGGGUGGAUGCUGUUAAAAUUGAAGCUGAUGAACUUAUCAGAGACGGCUCUCAAGAAAUUGACAAAUUGUGUGUUGGAGGCUACUGUUCUAAGAACUGCACGUCAAGCUACAAGUUCGGGAAACAAGUGGCUAAAAAGCUACGAGAUGUGGAGACUUUAAUCGCUGAAGGAGUUUUUGAGGCGGUGGCUACCGAGGUGGUGCCUGAGAGAGCAGAGCCUGUAGCAGAUGAAAGACCUACCGAGCGAACAGUAGUAGGCUUGCAAUCACAACUUGAACAAGUCUGGAGAUGUCUUGCAGAAGAAUCAGAGGGAAUCAUUGGCCUAUAUGGUAUGGGCGGUGUUGGUAAAACUACAUUACUGACCCAUAUCAACAAUAAAUUUCUCGAGAGUCCAACCAACUUUGAUUGUGUGAUUUGGGUAGUAGUUUCAAAAGACCUGCGACUUGAAAAAAUUCAAGAAGAUAUUGGGAAAAAGAUAGGUUUGGUUGGUGAUUCAUGGAAGAGUAAAAGUGUAGAGGAGAAAGCUGUCGACAUCUUCCGGAGUUUAAGAGAGAAGAGAUUUGUAUUGUUGUUAGAUGAUAUAUGGGAGCGGGUUGAUUUAACAAAGGUGGGCGUUCCACUUCCCGGACCCCAAAAUACUACCUCAAAAGUCGUAUUCACAACCCGUUUCAUCGAUGUUUGUGGUAGCAUGGAAGCUGACAGGAAGUUCCAAGUGGCGUGCUUAUCAGAAAAGGAUGCUUGGGAACUGUUUCGAGAAAAAGUUGGGGAAGAAACUCUUCAGAGUCAUCAUGAUAUCGUUGAGCUAGCCCAAAUUGUGGCCAAAGAGUGUGGUGGUUUGCCACUCGCACUUAUUACUAUUGGUCGAGCUAUGGCCUGCAAAAGGACAGCCGAGGAGUGGAGACACGCAGUUGAAGUGCUAAGAAGAUCAGCUUUUGAGUUUGCAGGUUUGGGAAAAGAGGUAUAUCCUCUAUUAAAGUUUAGCUAUGAUAGUUUGCAGAAUGAGACGAUUAGAUCUUGUUUCUUAUAUUGUUGUUUAUAUCCCGAAGAUUAUGGAAUUCUUAAAUGGGACUUGAUUGAUUGUUGGAUUGGUGAGGGAUUCUUAGAGGAAUCUGACAGGUUUAGUGCAGAAAACCAAGGAUACUACAUUGUGGGCACUCUUGUUCAUGCAUGUUUAUUAGAAGAGUUAGAAGAUGAUAAAGUAAAAAUGCAUGACGUUAUUCGUGAUAUGGCUCUAUGGAUAACCAAUGAAAUUGAGAAGGAGAAGAGAAACUUUUUGGUUCGUGCAGGUGCUGGAUUAAAAGAGGCACCGGAUAUUAAAGGAUGGGAAAAUGUGAGAAGAUUGUCAUUGAUGCAAAACCAAAUUAAAACUCUGUCAGAGGUUCCUUCAUGCCCUCAUCUCCAUACUCUAUUUCUUGCCUCUAAUGAUAAUUUGAGGAUGAUCACAGAUGGCUUCUUUCAAUUUAUGCCUUCUCUCAAAGUUUUGAAGAUGUCAAACUGUGUGGAUUGGCCAGUUUCGAAAUUACCUUUGGCGAUGUCAAAGUUGGGUUCACUACAACUUCUUGAUAUUUCACAUACCGGCAUAGAAGAGUUACCAGAAGAGUUGAAGUUGUUGGUAAAUCUGAAAUGUUUGAAUUUGAGGUGGACAUUUGAGUUAAAUAAAAUUCCAUGGCAACUAAUAUCAAAAUUUUCAAGGUUACGUGUGUUGAGAAUGUUCGCUACUGGCUUUGCCCGUUUUGAUGAAGCAUCAGAAGACAGCGUUUUAUUUGGUGGGGGUGAAGUUUUAGUACAGGAAUUGGUCGGUCUGAAAUAUUUAGAGGUAUUGGAGUUGACCUUGGGAUGUCAUCAUGCUCUCCAAAUUUUUUUGAGAUCAAAUAAGUUAAAAAGUUGUAUUCGAUCUCUUCUCCUCCACUUGGCCGGAGAUACAACGUCGAUUAUCGAUGCUACGGCUUUCGCAGAUCUAAACCACCUCAAUGAAUUAUGGAUUGAUAGGGCUAAGGAGUUGGAAGAAUUGAAGAUUGAUUAUACAGAGAUAGUUCGAAAAAGGCGGGAACCUUUUGUUUUCCGCAGCCUUCACCGUGUUACUAUACAUAGCUGCCAGAAGUUGAAAGAUACGACAUUCCUCGUUUUUGCUCCAAACCUCAAGUCUCUCGAUCUAGACCGUUGCGAUGCUAUGGAAGAAAUAAUCAGCGUCGGAAAAUUUGCUGAGACUCCUGAGAUGAUGGGACAGAUAAGCCCUUUUGAAAAUCUCCAAAUGCUUGAUUUAGAAGAUUUGCCACAUUUGAAGAGCAUCUUCUGGAAGCCAUUGACUUUCACUCAUCUGAAAGAAAUAUCUGUGGGUUAUUGCCGUAAUCUUAAAAAGCUUCCACUCGAUUCCAACAGUGCAAAGGAGCGUAAAUUUGUUAUUCGUGGAGAAGAAGACUGGUGGAACCGACUUCAAUGGGAGAAUGAAGCCACUCAAAUUGCUUUUCGUUCCUGUUUCCAAUCUCUUUUUGAUUAACUCUUAUACAUUUUCUCGUCGUUUGCUUCGUGCAAAAAAGACUACGUCUUUUGUUCUCUGUUUUUAUUUCAGUUUCGUUUGUUGUCUCCUGCAAAUCACAAUUAAAUGUUGAAUUAUAUGGAAGUAACGCUUUAUAAAUUUUCCGGCACUGCCAUUUCUUUUUCCUCUUUUUUUUUUUGGGUCGAAUUGAUGCUCUGGCUUUUUUACUUUUUGUCAUCGAAUUUUGCUCUGUUUUUCAAAUUGAUGCUUGAAUAUGUGAAUUCAAUUAAUGCUCACAUAAUUUUGUUUAGUUGCCGUAAAAAGAAUAUAAUUAGACUGCAAUUCGCACUCCCAGAAUGAAUAGAAUCACAACAGAGAAAAUAUUAAGUAUGCUAGCCCUCUUUACAGAAAAUCAAAUGAAAAUAAAAUUUUUUGGAUAUUUGAUUUUCUAUGGUCUACUAUAUACAGUUUAUAAAUUCUUCUGUUCUAAGGAUAACCAAAUCCUUUGUUCAAGGAUUUUUAUUUGGGGUAUUGAUAAUAGUCCACCAAAAUAGUGAAUGCUUGGAUGCUGCUUAAGGAUCUGUAAUCAAUAAGCUGGAAGCAAACGAGAAGGCGGUCGCUACUCUGUACAAAGCCAUGCAGCAAUUGCUAUUCAUCUUAAAUUCUUAAUAAUUACGAAGCUUUGGUAAAAUUUCCGAACAAAGUUGACAUGUUAUUUUGAGAUUUGGUUCCUGAUUUUGUAUGAAUAUCGCUGUUUCGUUUGAGUUGGAUGUGAAUUCAAAUCCAAAUAUUCUUUGUUUUUCAAUUCUGAAAUCAAUUUCUUUUUCUCAAGAAUGUUAUUCAGAAAUGAUUUUUACUAAAUCAUUUUUGAUGAAUUGUUUAAAUUAAACAAUUGGAAUAAGAAUUGUAACGAUUUAUCAUAAGCGUGCUAAUAUGAUAACUUAUUUUACGAACGAUUAAUUAAUUAAUCAAUUAAUGUUAAAUUAUAUAUUAAUCAAUUAGCUAUGUGUUGCAUUUAUCAUGUUUUGUAGGUGAUUCUACAUAAUUUCUAAAAGAAUAUAGUAAAAACACGUUAAAAAUUAUUUAAUGAAGAAAAUUUUAUUAAAUAGGUGACACAAUAAUAAAUGGAUUUCUGUAAGAAUUGAGAUUCUUGAGAUAAUUAUUACAUAAGGAGAAGUUUAGUUGGUUCAAUUUUGACAUGAUAAGAAGACAACACAGCACAGAAAACCCAAAUUGCCACUUCCACUAAUAAAAGAUACCUGUUUGAAAAGUAAUUAUAAACUAUCUUCUUUGUGUUAUUUCUCAAAACUUUUGUGGCACAAAUGUUAUUUCCAUUGACAACAGUACGAAAUACCACCCCUUUCACUUGAGCAGGAGCAAAGCAAAGGUAUGAUGAGCUAUCUCUGUAUAAUUGAAACGCCAUUACUAAACGAUUCUUGAUGAUGGGAGCCACCGUGCCAGCUUUGUCGCUGAUUUGCAUGAUUUAUUAGUUGUCCAGAUGGCGGAUUUUGUACUGUUACCUUCGUUUCAUUCUUCAGAGCCAUGUACAGUUCUAGGAUACCAGAGAAACCAAGGUGGCAUUGAAGUUGCCCCAGUGGUUAGUUUUCCGAUCAUUUUUUUUAUUCAAUUAUUUAUGUUUGUAGAAAAAUGUAGGAAAUAUGUAGAAAUGUUGACAGCUAUGAUUUUGAAACUUUUGCCUAAAAUUGUUAUCAUUACUUCUUGUUUCUUAUUUAAAGAGAAAUUCUAGAAACAUGAAAUGAUUAUUCUACGCUUGUUUUAAUAUUAUGCUAUGAAGAUUAUGAAGGUUUGAUUAUAUGUCACUAUCAAUUGCCUUAAUCGUUUGUCGUAAAUCAAUUAAGCAUUUUGAUGCAAAUGAUUCCCUAUUAAAAAAUUCAAGUCAGAGCUGAAUUGCAAAUUAGUUAGUCGUGCUUGCCAUUCAAAUUAAGUAUUGUAUUUUCUCCCUGAUUUGGUUGAUUCAACUAUGUGCAUUUGCUUAUGAACGUUGUAGUACAGAAAUUGAAACAUCUUGUCUUUUGCUAAGCCCAGAAGCAAAUUCUUUGUAUUCUACUCAUCAGUUUUCUUCAUUCUCUUCGUUGAAAUUUUAUCCAAACAGCGGUUUCGAAAUUGUUUUCACCACAAUACCUUAGUCUUUCAGAUGCUCCCGUCACUGAGUUGCCAGAAGAGCUAAAAGCCUUGGUAAAUCUUAAGUGUUUGAACCGGAGUACACAAAUUAUCUCUCUACAAUUCCAAAACAACUGAUUUGUUACUUUUCGAUGCUACAUGUUCUGCGAAUAUUCAGUUGUGAUUAUCUUGUUCAAAUACCAGAAAAUAGCGUUCUAUUUAGUGGUAAUGAAUUCUUGGUUUGGGAGUUGCUUAGUUUAAAACGUUUAAAUGUAUUAAGCAUCAUCUUGAAAAGUUUUUCUGCCGUCCAAAAACUUAUGAGCUCCCAAAAGUUUCAAAGCUGUACACAAUGCUUGGAGCAUAUAGGCUGUGAUGAUCCAAAGUCAUUUGCCUUGGCAGAGUUGAAACAUCUUGAAAAACUAGGUUUUUCGAGUUGUGGAAAUUUGGAAGAGUUAAAGUUCUGCUGUGUCGAAGUUGCAAAGGCUCGAGAAUGUUUUCGUUUGAACGGCCCUUGCUGAGUUAAGAUGAAGGCUUGUCAUAAAUUGUGGGAAGCGACAGGUUAUUCAAAUAGAAAAAUGUAUGGAGAUGGAUGUUAAUCUUAAGGUUAUUCAAGCAGACAAAUUCGAAUAAAACUUAUGGUAAGUGCUUUUCCAUUUAUUGCAUAUUUAUAUCUAAUUUUUAUUUUCCUUUAUUGUUAAAUUUUGCUCUAUAUUUGUUGUUGUAUGGUGGCAUUCUUGUACAAUUAUUAGCUUUUCAUUUCUCUUCUCACAUUAACUGCCCUUCUGAUCAUGUAGGAUUUGCUGAUGCAAAGAGUCAUAAUUUGGGAUACAAAUGUAAGAAUUAGACAGAUGACGUGUUGUUUUGAAGCUCUCGAAGAAGAAGGACUAAUUAUGUCAUUGAAAGCCUCCAAUUUUGUGAUUGGUUUCUUUUUAUUUUAUUUGUUGUUUUCUCUAUUUUCAGAUCGCUUAAUUGUUAGUUGUUGUAAUGUAAUGUUUUAGUAUAGAAAAUUAUAUUCGGCCAAGACAGCGAUAGGAAGGCACAUUGUGCAUGCACACUAGUGGAUUUGGCAUGCCAACUCCAAUUAGGAUGGAUAACACUUUAUAAGCAUUAGGCUUCUCUCGUACUUGAGUAAUAUAGAAUAUGUUUAUAAGUUGUGAAUCACCCUUUAUAAGUGUUAGGCUUCUGCUAUACUCAGUGAUGUGAAAUAUAUUUAUAAGCACUAAACUUCUCCCAUACACUUUAUGUUAAAAAUAAUAAUAAUAAUAAUAAUAAUAAUAAAAUAAACCCAUUUUAACAGACUCUUUUUUCUUUUUCUAUAUGAACAAAUGCAUUCUUCAAAGCAAUUGUGGGUAGAAGAAGUGAGUAGAGAAGAACUGGGCCCCUUUCAUUCCCCUAAAACCUCACCAAAACCUCUCUUGUAAGCUUUUCGGAUUUUCUUUCUAUAUUUCUUAGGAACUCAUUUUUUAUUGAAUCACUUCUUUUGCAUGCUGCAUUUUUUGUUUGUCGUAUUUGGGUAUUAUCUUAUCUGGAAUACUGUUAUGAUUGAUGGAACAAGUAAUCGAUUUUUGGUCUAAUGGAAGUUGAUUUAUUUAUUUAUUGUUAUUUUUAUUUGAAAUUAUGUACAAUUGCAUUUCAUUCAUUUCUCUCUCUCUUUUUCUUUUUUUCCCCCCAUAUAUUUGUUAUGUAUAAUUGCGUUUCAUUUAAUAUUGAUCAUACUGUAGGUAACCAUGUGAUUGUAGAUUGGGAUUUCAAGUUUGUUGAAUAUUCAUGUAAGUGAAGUAACCGUCACAAUACUAGUGAAAUUGGGAGCUUUAUUCAUGAGUUUGUGGUUUUGAAAAGAACCACAGUUCAACUGAUGAAGGCUCCUUUUUGGGAUUCUUCUUUUUCUAGGCUGCAAUUAGGAUAUGUACAUGAUAGACAAUCUUUUGUUGGCUUGGCAUAUCUUCGCUGAUUUUUUCUUUUAUUCCCCAAUUUUAUAAUUACACACCAUGAAUGUUGGGUGAUUGUAUAGAAAAUUUGUGUUAUAACAAAAACAUUGUGAAGGAGUUUCCGUGCUAAUAGUUAGUGGCUUCUGUUUUAUUGGCAUUGAUUGGGUAGAUUACGUGUUACAGUGAUUCAAUUUGUGUUCCAAACUUUGCUUUAAUUUUCUGUUUUCCCCAACUAUUUAUGUCAAAUUUAAAUCCAGAAGCAUGUACUGAUUUUUUCUUUUUGUAUUAAUCUGUGAAGUUUAUUUGGAAUGGAAGUAACUGGGUCGGGUCUAAUGGAUUAAAUUAUGACAUUGAGGGGAAGGCACUAAAAGGGUUUGCUUGACACAUUUGGUUCUGUGUUUACUCUGCAAGAAAUAGCUUUUGCUUAUUGCAAUGCAGGGGGAAAUCCCGAUUUGGCUGGUGAAUUUCUCUGCAACAAACAGGCAAACACCUCAACCUCUUCUGUCCAUACUUCUGCUGGGGAGGCAAGGGGUAAAGAGUCUUCAAAAUCAUCAAAUAGUAACAUCUCUGAGAAUUCAUUUUAUGGAAAUGGAAAAUCUAGAGCUUCUAAUACAAAAUGGCAUCUGGUAUCAGGACGUACCGUUUCAAGUUUUCUUGGUAAAGAUUAUGUUAAACCUGCACAGCCAGCUAAUGGCACUUUUCUGGCAUCAAAGCCAUUGAAGUUGGAUCCAAAGGAGUUUCCCAUGUCUGCACUUUGCAGAGAAGAAUCUAAACCGAAACAAUCAAAGGAUGACCAUUUGCAGAAGGACAUGGAAGAUUUUCUGUUUAAAUUUCCAGGAGAAGGGUUCCAGCUGAACAGGGAUGUGAUUCAGGAGGUUCUCGGUAAUGUCUUAAAUAUAUUGAUGCCAAUUUAAUACAUAUUGUCCUUUUCAAUGUUCUUUCUUUCUUUCUUUCUCUUCUUUUAUUCUUCUUCUUCUUCUUUUUUCUUUUCGUGUGCAUGUGAUUGCUAAUUUUGUAUUAUUUUUAACUUGCAGAUAGUUGUGGAUAUGAUAUGCAAAAGGUAAGGACUAUAUCCUCCUGAUAGAGGCCUCUGCUUUUUCCCUUCUAUGUACGUAAUUUAGUAAAUCGCAUAUUCUAUAUAUCAUACCAAAAUCCUGUCUUAAAUGCUGCUGGCAUAUGUUAAGGUUCAACUUGCAUUUUGAUUAACGUCCAUUUGCUACGGCUUCCAAAAUUGAGAAUGAGAUACUUUGGUUAAUUUCAGUAGUUGAACCCAAUAGGGUACUUUAUUUAGAUCUUCAUGGUUCAAAGGCCCGAAAAAACUUGCAGGUAUUUGCAAAAUGACAUUCUGUGCUUUUAUUUAUACUUAUUAUUUAAGUGAUAAAAAUUCCCCAAACCUGCGGUCAAGAAAAUUUCAGACAGUUAAAGACUCCAUUUUGUUUCAGCCAAAAAUGUUUAUUUCAAUUAAAGAUUUGAACCAUUUUCAUUUAACCUGAUUGUGAUGCUUUACAUUGUGCACGUUCCUUUCGAUCAAUAAACGUUGAGGUCAUGAUUUUAUAUUCCUAUAUUGUAACCUAAAAUAAUAGUUGGUUUGCCUGUUUCUGUAGCUUGAUAACAUGAAUUUUCCUUCUGAAGUUACUUUGAUCAAUAAAGUUAUUCUUCGGAGAAGAUAUGCCCAUUCUAUAAUCAUUUUCUUAGCUAAUAUGUUUUUUUCACUCUUCUGAGCAUGUCUAAACUAAUUGAUCGCUCGGCAGAGACUGUGGGUAAGAAAACAAAAUUUCAUGGUAAAUCCUCUUAAAAGGUAUGCAUAAUUGAAAUGACCCGCCCCGAAUUCCCCUCAGGCGAGUCUAUCUAGUCUCAUCAAAACGGACUUGAUAAUAAUUCUAUUAGUAAAGACUCUGCCAAAAAUUCGGCAGAAUUUUUUUUUUUUUAUAUAUAACACUCCCAAUCUACAAAUAUGAAUAUAACACUCCCAAUACAAUUCAGUAUACAACAAACUCCAGUGAUCAACAUCUUCAACCAAAAUGCUGAGCUUUAUAUCUCCAGAGUCUCAAAAGAUAAUAUUAUAACUAAUAUUAAUAUCUUAGUUUAUUCUUAAUCCCAAAAGAAUAAUAUAACAAAAUUAUACAAUCCCAACAGGACGAGAUAACCAAGAUGUCCUAACAAAAAUAUUUAUAUCUUCUAACACCAUCACGUGGCCGAGAUUCAAAAUAUAUUUACAGUCGCUAGGUCGGUCUGGUGUACCUGCAACCUCCUGGUGAGGGGGGAAAAAUAUAAUAAAAACGGGGUGAGUUUAAAACUCAGUGAGAUCAGUGAGUGAAUAGUAGUUUUGAAAAUUAAUUCUUACUUUAAAAAAAAUAAUCGUAUCAUUUCCAAACACAAUUUCAUUAAACCAUAAGCGAGAAACCAAUAAUAAAUCAUUAAACAUUUAAAUCAUAUUACUAACCAUAGAAAUCAUAUCACAAUAUCAUAUAGAAUACACAAAUCUAAAAAUCAUCACCAAACAAGUACCCAGAGAAAUAAUCUCGUCAUAUCCGAACCUCAACAGACGGGCAAUGACGUACUAUCUAGGUAACGUCACACCCCGGAGCUACACGGAUAGACAGGGAAAUACCAUCUCAUAUCUCAUCAUAUAUGUGCAUGCAUAAUCUAGUCCCCAAGGGACAAAAGCGCCCAAGCACACGGCCCAAAGCCUCUGUGUAUACUCAGAGGGACCCCAAAGGCCUAUAUCUCAUAUGUAUCAUAUGUAUCAUUUGUAUCUCAAUUAUCUCAUAUCCGUAUAUCUGUAAUCAUCAUACCGCAUGCAUAUGCCCCCAAAAGGAAAAAGCGUCCAAACACACGGCCCAAAGCCUUUAUAUAUAUUCAGACGGGUCCUAAAAGCCUCUCAUCUCAUCUUAUCUGUAUCACUGUAUCUGAAGGGAAUGGUACUGUCUAAUGAUUUCAAAAACAAUCAUUAUACUCAUAUUCACAUACCUCUUAAUCAUAUUUUAAAUCAUACCACAUUUGAAUCCACUUUUCUUAUCUUUAAAAUACUAUCAUGCUUUAUUCAAAGUCGAUACGCAAAAUCAAUAACCAAACAUUUUAAUAAAAUACCAAUGCGUAAAUAAAAUCCAUUUCGAGAAAUCAUUAAAUCAGAACAUUUAAAAUACUUAUUUCGCAAACAUGCUUUACUAUCAUCGCUAACUAUGAAAAUAAGUUUUGUAUAUUCCACUCACAGUGACGGUGUUCACGGUCGGUUCUCGCUCGCGGAUCCUCCUAAAUCAACGAAACGACAUAAUUAUUUUCCGUAAAUCGGAAUUAUGACUAAAUUUUAUGCAAUAAAUUUAAAACGAACAUAUAUUCAUAAUUGACAACUCCUGUGUCCAUAAAAUUACUAAAAUGCCCUUGAGUCUGUAAAUCAUUAACAUGCUUCGAAAUCGUAAAUUACUGAAUUACUCUCGGAAUCGUAAUUACACUCAAUCCUCAAUUCUAGGAAUUACUAACAUAUCCACGGGCUCAGAAAUUACAAAUUUGCCCUCAUAGUGUGAAAUUACCAAAAACUGGAAUUUGGUCAACACUGGCUAGGAAGCUCAAAUCGUAAAGUUCCAAUCACGCUGAGUUCAAUGGUACCGGCGAUGAUCUCCAACGCGCGGCAACGACGCCGGAAUCUAGCUCGGCAGCCGUGAAUUCCACCAAUCGACCGGCGGCAAAACAGUGACUCUCGGUGCCUAUGGAUGGUCGGAAAUGGAAGAGGGAGUCGUGGGGAACAAAAUUCAACCGGUGGUGUAGCCAAAACCGGCGAAAAUCCCGGCGGAGCAAAGUGAAACAGUCGCGGGUUUCAAGCUUCGAUCGCCGGUGUUCCGAUUGGUUUUUGGCGAGGAGGAUGGCAAGGGAACGACGGCCGGCUUCUAAGCUUCAGAUUGGUACCAAGCUCGGCCGAAACGGUGGCCGGAAAUGGGAGAUAUGGCCGGGUCAAGGUCGCGGGUUCCGGGUCGGGUUUUCGGGUCUGUAGUUGGGUCGGUUUGGCAGCUUCUCUCUCACUCUCUGUUACACGUGCAUAUGUUUCCUCUGUUUCUAGCUUAUUCUUUUGCUUUUACUAACUUCUUAACCGCCUCAUACUUAUUCAUUUUUAAUUCACAUAUGUUACAAUAAUUCCCGAGUAUUAAAUAACCAGUGGUCAUAAUUUUUGUACACGACUCUUUUUUUUUUUGGAGAUCGUUAAAAGUGAUUGACGAUCCAUUUUGUAAUAUCAUAGAGGGAUCAUCAAUUCCUUUUCUUUUCUGUGGCUAGGCAACACUUUUUGGCCAAAGUAAGGAAAUCUAUUUUAGGUAAUGUAAAAACCAGUUGUAGGAUGUAAUAGUUUAUUAUGCACUGACAAUAACUUUUUGUAUAAUUGUCAGUUUAAUGAAUACAAGAGGAACUCUGUUGGCAAAUUCAUCCAAGAUAGAUGCUAAAAUUAUUUAUGCAUGCCAGUUGCCUUAACUAAGUUUUCUCAGCACUGGUUUUGAACAGGAAAAUGAAUAUGCAAUUUGUAGAUUGUGCCAUAGUGGAGAAUUUGUAUAUUCUUAUUUAAGUAACAAGGAGAUUAUUUACCUCAUCUUUAAACAAUGAAUCUUUGAGAGAUGAGGAGUGGGUGAUUGGCUGUGUCUUCAUGUAAUUGUUCAUUUAUUUGUAUUUUGAACUGUUAUGAAAAUCUUUAUAUGCCAAAUUAGUAAUACAAGUAUUCAGAUGAUUUUUCCUAUUGAUCAUGCAUUUGUAUCUGCCCACAACCAUUGUAUAUCACUUUAUUCUGAUGCGCAAGCAUCUGUAAUUUAGAAGAAAAGAAAUAAUAAUCAUAUUUUAUUGCUUGGUUCAUGAUUAUUAACGAUUAUGGCUUUAAAAAUCUACAAAUUUCUUGUGUUCAUGUAUGAAUGUGCCAAGUUUGCUGUAUCUUAGAUUACCUUCUUCCAAGAUAACAAGUUCAUAUAUAUUUUUUUUUAAAAUCCUUUUCCAUUACAGUUGAAUUUCAAGUGUUAGUUUUGUUAUUAGUACCUGGUUUCCUGUUAUUAGGAUCUAAUAAACAGUGUACGGAUAUGUGCUCUACUUUUGGAGGGCCUCCACGUGAAAGAAAAUUGCAACAAUUGAAUUCUUCCGGAGGGUAUGGUAAUUAAUUUAUUUUCUCAACUUGUUGUAAGACUAAUAUAUUUCCUUCAGUAGGCACGGCAUGGUGGGAAGGGUUUUUAUUGAAAGAAUUCUGAUAUUUCUUAGACUUUGUUUUGGAAGGGGGUGGAGGGAUUUCUCAUCCAUAUAUGGUUACUUGAUUAGCUUUUGACUGUAUUGUCUCCGUCGUGCAAAGGAAAAUCUAAAUACUAACGAUGGGGAAUUGCUUAGGCACCCAAAAGGCAGAAAUGAAUUACAGAAGGAAGUUUUUGCUGCUUUAUUUAGUGCUGCUGAGAAAUCUGAUGAAUUUCCUGAAAUUACGGUGAAGACCGAGUGGAGGUCCAAAGCAUUAGGAAAGGUGGUGAGUGAACUGCCGGAGGAAUUAGUACCAGAAUACAAGGCUAAUGUGGUGCACUUGCAGCAAGAUAACCAGACCGGUAUGUGCUCUUAUAUUAACUAUAUUGACUGGAUUUGUUAGUGUGUGCAUUUUUUUGUGUAUACUCACUUUUGUAUUUAUGCAUAUUAACAUGUGUAGGAUUCUUGAUUUCUGCCACUUACUGGAGAACUAGUGGAAAGCUUUAUACUGAUAUAUCUGCAAUAACUAAUGGAAACUAUGAUAUGAAUAUUUUCUCUCACCUGGGGAGCUGUGUAACAGAUAUACUUUGUGGCUCUGGAAUGCUGAAGAUUCUGCAAUAACUAAUGGAAAAUAUGAUAUGAAUAUUUUGUCUCACCUGGAGAACUUUGUUACAGAUACCCUUUGUGGCUCUGGAGUGUCUAAAGAAUGCUUCCGUUAGAUCAAAUAUCUUUUAGUUAGAAAAGAUAAAAUUCUCUGAGUCUGAAAGACUGAAACAUUUUGCAUAUUUUGUGAAAGGGAAAUAUCUGUUGAUACUAGCUCAUGCAUUGAGGUAAUAUCGAUGUUAAAGAAAAACAGCAAUGAUUUAUGAUAUAGAAUUGGGUUCACUUGCUUUAAAUGCUGGUCUGAUCAACCAUAUCAACCUGUAAUGAUUCUGCAGAAAUAUAUAUACAAGGAGAAAGUAGCUAAAUUUUUCUUUCAUUUAUGGGUUCGGUCUUUUUUCCCCUUAUUUUUCAGCUUUCCUUCUCCUGAAGUAUGUUAACAAUUGCAGAUAAUGAUGAAGAGGACAGCUUCCAGGCUCUCCUUGGAGCCAUGAUGGAAUAUAGGGGCACAAUGAAGGAAUAUUGUAAAGCUGUAGGUACUUUUUCUCCUGUCAUUUAUGUUUUCUCACACAUUUUGUAUAUGCCCUGAACAUGCACCUUUGUAUGUAUCAAUUGACUUUUAAAUUUUAAAAGCCAUAAAGUAAGAAUACGGUUCCUUGUCAGGCUACUGAUGACAUUCGCUCAGGGGGAUCAUGUUCGAGCAGGAAAAUUUCUAGAACAGGUAAGGUUUCCAUCUACAGCCAUCCAUUGACAGCAGAUAAAUUUUCAUUCAGCAGACUCUGUUAGCAUUCAAGAUGCUGGCAGAUUCACUUGAUUCUUAUUAGCUUGUUUAGUGGCAAAGCCUAUAACCUGUAUUUCAAAGCCAAGUUGUGCUAUUGAUUAUGUUAACUUUUUUGUUAACAUAAAAUGAUAUGGAGGAAAUAAUCAGUGUUGGAAAAUUAGGUGAAAAGAUGAUGUCAAAUCUUGAACCUCUUGCGAAACUCUAAGUUCUUUACUUGAAGAGGCUACCAAAUUUGAACAGCGUCUACUCGAAGGCCUUGCCAUUCCCUGAUGCAUGCAGAAUUUUUGUAUUUAAAUGCCCAGAGCUUAAGAAGCUGGCACUGGAUCUUGAAGGGGCAGACCAAGGUAAAAUUCUUAUCAAGGGAAAGGAAGAUUGGUGGAAACAACUUAAUGGGAGGAUCAAGUAACUCAGAAUACAUUGCUUCCAUUUUUUAAAUCGACUGACAAGUGAUUGAACGGGGCAUCAUCAAUAUCAUCAACAGGGAUGGAGAGAUGCCGGAGCAGAUCAGCAGGGUUUGAAUAUGACCUUCGGCGGUUGCUUUUUUUUUUUGUGAUUUUUUUUCAUUUUUUCCUUCCUGUCAUUUUAUCAUUUCUUUGGCUCUGUUUCUAUUGCGGGUGUUACUGCAUGCUUACUGUUGCUUGACAAAGUUUGCUAGCUUUUUGUUUGCAGCGCUGCUAUACGCCCCGAGUCAAGCCCCGAAAAUUUAUUAAACGACGCCGUUUCGACAGUAACAAUUCUUUUCUUUUCCCUUUGCCUGUUUCUUUCAUCUGCUGUUUCUCUAUCACUUUUCAUUUUUGAUUUCCGUGCUUCCCAGCUGCCCCUAAAUUGUUAUUCUAGCAAUAUACUUUCUCAUCUUUGAAUUUUCAUCCUUGAGUACUCCCACAGCCGUAAUUUCAUCAUUAUAGACUUCACUUGGAAUGCUAGAUUUUUUCGAUUCUUGAGCUACUUCAAUUACAUCUUAGUAUAGGAUCCUCAUCUUCCUUUAUUUCUUCAUCUUAUGAGGUAACAAAUGGAUUUCACAACUCAUCUACUUUUAAGCAAUUACAUAUUAUACCCUGAAUGAUUCAACUGUUCCGACAGUUAAAGAUUUUAUGCUCAACCUGCAGUGCUACGAACAUUGUCCAUGAAAGAUGAGUUUCAGCAUAUAAAAUGAAAUAUAGAUGUUUAAUCUAAAAUAACCCUUCACUGCCAGAAACCUAGGUCACAAAAUUCACAGAUAAUGAUAAAGAACUAAAAAAUUUGAAAAACUCUACAGAUCACACAUCAAGCAAGAUAUCAUGUUUUUUUCCCUCAUUCGGUGGUGAUUGAUUCGCUUUUUGAUGAUGGAUAUGGUAUAAAAGUUUUGACCCAAUUUCAAGCAAACACAAAUAGAAACACAAACACAAUCAGGACUAGAGUUGUGGGCGAUUAUCUCAGGUGUACAAGUGAAACGGUGGUGGCUGUCGAUGGUGGUAGUGGGGUGGUUGGGUAUGCGUGAUGGCUAGAUUUUAGGACAAUAAUGGUUGGAGUUGACCUCAAUCAACGAAGGAAAGUGACAACAAUUUUGACAUCAAAUGGUGCAUUUUUUAGCUUAGUAAAAUGGAACCGUUUUGAAUUUGGGGUUUAAUCCGGGGUUUGACUCGGUGCAAGUAUCAUUUUCCUUUUGUUUAUUAAAUUUUUUAUGGUCACAAAGUAUUACUCGUUCUAUUUGAGAGUGAUGUGAAUCAAUUUUUCAAUUUUAUAUUUUGUGGUCAAUGUGAAUUCAAUUUCAUUUGUCUCCUGCAAUUAUGAAAAAAUUGCAGUCAUAAUAUGGAAAAGUACACCGGCAAAGACUUUGUAAAACCUUCGGAGUGAUACGGGGAAUUCACUUACAACUAAGGACAAUUGGUGGCAAGUUAUUCCAUUCAUUUUAUGUCCAUGCAUCUAUUUAGUUAUUGAAGAUUAGUGGUCCAUUUGUAAAUUUCAGAUUGUCUCUCUCUCUCUCUCCCACUUGAAAUAACAAUAUUUAAUAUAUCUCUUAAAUUAUUAUAAAUUUUAAUUUACUCUCGAUUUAAAAUGGAGCAUGUCGAUAAAUUUUUUUUCUUCUUAAUAAAAUUGACGUAAUUUGUGUUUACAGUAGUUUGAAGUUUGAAAUAUUUUAAAGAUUAUUAUUCUAUAAGGGAGUAAUAUGAAAUGAAAUUUACUUUUCAUGUGUGAACUGAAAAAGGACGAAGCAAGUGUCCCUGCUUUUAUUUUAUUUCAAGGAGGAGUCAUCUCGCAUACUUUGGCUCUUAACAUUACAUUUUUUCUGGUUACAUUUUUUAUUUUUUUUUACACAUGCGUGUGGGUUGCUUUUCUGUAAGCUCCUUAAUAUAUAUUUAAGACAAAUCAUGGAAGAGAUGGGAUUAUAUCAAGAUGAUCAAAGCAUGUAAAAAAAGAAAAAAGAAAAAAAAAAUUAAGAAGUAAGACACUGAAAAUGGAGAAGAGAUGGAAGCAAAAGAUAUUCCAAAACAAAGCAAUCUAUCCCCCUUCGAGGGCAGACUUAUCAGGUUUAAAAAAGUACAUGCUUUGGAUUGGUAGUUGCAAUCAAGGGAAAAUAAAUAGGAUCCAAUGAAAUUUAAAUCUCGGAGAAAAUAAAUAAUCAUGCAGAUUUUCAAGAUUUUAAUAAGGGAUACUAAUAUCUUAUUUUGAUUAAUAACAUUCUUUUACUGUGUUAACUCAAAAAAAAUAUUAUAAUGCUUUACAAUAAAUACAAAUGUCCUAUUAAAUGAAUAUAUAAAAAAUUUAGAAAAUUAUAUAAAAUAAUUUUAAUAUAAUGCGUGAGAUAUAUUUUAUUAAUUUAAAAUGUCAUUUUACCUAAAAAAUAUGAUAAAUUAAUAAUUACAUAUUUGAAGUUAUUUCAAAUAUUAAAAAAAUUUAAUAUUAUUAAUCUUUUAGAUAGAUUAAAUUAUUUUUUAAAGAGAUAGAUUAAAUUAUUUUAAAAUACCUUAAUUGUUUUUACUUUAAACAUUACCGGCCUUUCUUUUAUUUUAUUACAAAUUAAUGCUAACAAGAAAAAGUUAGAUCAUAUUCCACAAAAGCAAAAGUGACAAACACAACCAGCUGGAAUCUUUUAUAAAACUACAAAUUAAAAUGGAUUUUUUUUUUAAAAAUUGUUAUAAAUUGGUGGCCCCUACAAUCCUCAAUAAUUGCACCGAUAUUCACAAGUUGGUGGCCCCUACAAUUCUGUUCCGAUAAUUUAACUGUGCAAGUGCUUAAUAAUUGUUUUGUUUUUUUCUGCAUUCCCUUUCAUGCUCUUAAUAAUUGAAGAGCAUACUUUUCAAAUGUGGAGCCGCAGCUAAUGUCGCUAAUUUAAUUUUGGAUUAAAUUAGGGGACCAUUAUAUUGUAGUGUGCACUAAUGAAUAUGUGAGAUAUUCAUAUUUUAUUAAUUUAAAAUACCAUUUAACCUAAAGAUUUAUUUAUGAUAAAUUAAUAAUUAUAUUUUUGAAAUUACUUCAAAUAUUAAAAAAUUAAUAUUACUAAUCUGUUAGAUAGAUUAAAUUAUAUAUAUUAUUUUCUAUUUAUUAAAAAAUUAAAAUUAUUUUUAAUUACUAUUCAAAAAAUAUAAUGAUAAAAAAAAUCUUAACAUCUUUAUUAAAAAUUUAAAAAUUUACAUGAUCAAUUCUCUAAAUAUUUAGGGUAUAUGUGAACCACGGUGGAGAAGCUUUAUUUAAUAUUAUUGAUUUAAAUAAUAUGUCAAUUAAAAAUGUACAGAGAAGGAAAUUUCGGUGGGUAUUUUAGUCUUUUCAGCAAUUAUCAUGAUCAGAUCAGCCUUUAGCCUUGAAACGUCGAUCAGAAAAGUUUUAAAAUGCUUAAUUGUUUUUCACUUUUAAAAAUUAAUGCUAACAAGAAAAAGCUAGGUCAUAUUCCACAAAAUCAAAAGUGACAAAACAACCAGCUGGUUUCUUUUACUAAACUACAAAUUAAAAUAGAUUUUUUCGAUAAAUUAUAAAUUAAAGUGGAUUCUUUUGAAUACAAGUGAGACAGACGAUUAGGCUCUUUUUAUUAAAGGCAAGUAAAAACUAGUCAAGAAUCGAAUAGUCUUUUUCAAAUUCUUGUUUUAUUAUUUUUCAAAACUAGUUUUUGGUAAUUACAAUCGGGUCAUUCAUUAAUCAUUAUUCAAAGUUACUGUUAUCUUCGGGGGCAGUGGGUAAAAGAUAAUUACUAACUGUUUUUCCUUCAAAAGUUACCGGCUCAUGUUUGCAAGUGUGAAUGUGCGAUGCUCUUUUCUUAAAGGCAAUUACAGUGGGGCCCGAAUCAGAGGUGCCUAAAUCUUUUUAAAAUUAAUAAUAAUAUGAGUAAUAAUUAAUAAUUACAGUGGGUCAACUUUUGAAAUUAGAGUCUAGUAUCUCUCUCCCUGUCAUUACUAAAUUUUCUCUUCCACAGCCUACAGCAGCUUCAGUUUAUCAAACUCAAUCAAUUUUCUUUCUUAACAAAAUUCCAAAGAUGUGUAGUAUUUUUCAGAUCACAUGCGAUGGUGCUCUUUUCAAUCGUUGCUUGGAUUGCUUUCUUGGAAAAGCAGCAUACAUACGUAACCUCCAAGAUAAUCUUGUAGCCUUGGAGACUGAACUGGGAAGACUAAUCGCAGCAAAGAACGAUGUGAUGAUGAGGGUUGUCCAUGCUGAACGGCAACAAAUGAGAAGGCUGGACGGAGUGCAAGUGUGGGUUUCGAGGGUGGAUUCUGUUAAAACUGGAGCCGACGAACUUAUCACAGACGGCUCUGAAGAAAUUGGCAAAUUAUGUGUUGGAGGCUACUGUUCCAAGAACUGCAGGUCAAGCUACAAAUUCGGAAAACAAGUGGCUAGAAAGCUACGACAUGUGGAGACUUUAAUCGCCGAGGGAGUUUUUGAGGCGGUGGCUACUGAGGUGGUGCCCGAGAGAGCUCCGGAACCUGUAGCAGAUAAAAGACCCAUUGAGCCAACAAUAGUAGGCUUGCAAUCACAACUUGAACAAGUCUGGAGAUGUCUUGCAGAAGAAUCAGCGGGAAUCAUUGGCUUAUAUGGUAUGGGCGGUGUUGGUAAAACCACACUAUUGACCCGUAUCAACAAUAAAUUUCUUGAGAAUCAAAACAACUUUGAUUGUGUGAUUUGGGUCGUAGUUUCAAAAGACCUGCGGCUUGAAAAAAUUCAAGAAGAUAUUGGGAAGAAGAUAGGUCUGUUUGAUGAUUCAUGGAAGAAUAAAAGUUUUGAAGAGAAAGCUGUGGACAUCCUGCGGAGAUUAGGAGAGAAGAGAUUUGUAUUGUUGUUAGAUGAUAUAUGGGAGCGGGUUGAUUUAACAGAAGUGGGCGUUCCACUUCCCAGCCCACAAAAUACUACAUCAAAAGUCGUAUUCACGACCCGUUUCAUUGAUGUUUGUGGUAGCAUGGAAAGUCACAGGAAGUUUAAAGUGGCAUGCUUAUCAGAAGAGGAUGCUUGGGGGCUGUUUCGAGAAAAAGUACGGCAAGAAACUCUUGAGAGUGAUCAUGAGAUCGUUGAGCUAGCCCAAACUGUGGCCAAAGAGUGUGAUGGUUUGCCACUCGCACUUAUUACUAUUGGUCGAGCUAUGGCCUACAGAAAGAAAGCGGAGCAGUGGAGACGCGCAAUUGAAGCGUUAAGAAGAUCAGCUUCAGAGUUUGCAGGUUUGGGAAAAGAGGUGUAUCCUCUUUUAAAAUUCAGCUAUGAUAGUUUGCAGAAUGAUACGGUUAGAUCUUGUUUCUUGUAUUGUUGUUUAUAUCCUGAAGAUUAUGGCAUUCUUAAACGGGACUUGAUUGACUGUUGGAUUGGUGAGGGAUUUUUGGGGGAAUCUGACAGGUUUGGUGCAGAAAACCGAGGAUAUGACAUUUUGGACACUCUUGUUCGUGCAUGUUUAUUAGAAGAGUUAGAAGAUGAUAAAGUAAAAAUGCAUGACGUUAUUCGUGAUAUGGCUAUAUGGAUAACCUGUGAAAUUGAGAAGGAGAAGAGAAAAUUUUUGGUUUGUGCAGGUGCUGGAUUAAAAGAGGCACCGGAUGUUAAAGGAUGGGAAAAUGUGAGAAGAUUGUCAUUGAUGCAAAACCAAAUUGAAACUCUGUCAGAGAUUCCUACAUGCCCUCAUCUCCUCACUUUAUUUCUUGACUUUAAUGAGAAGUUGGAGAUGAUCGCGGAUGGCUUCUUCCAAUUUAUGCCUUCUCUCAAAGUGUUGAGGAUAUCACACUGUGGGCAAUUAGAAGGUUUUCAAUUACCUAUUGGGAUGUCAGAGUUGGGUUCGUCACUAGAACUUCUUGAUAUUUCAUAUACCAGCAUAAGAGAGUUACCAGAAGAGUUAAAGUUGUUGGUAAAUCUGAAAUGUUUGAAUUUGAGUUGGGCACAUAGGUUAUAUAAAAUUCCACGGCAACUAAUAUCAAAUUCUUCAAGGUUACGUGUGUUGAGAAUGUUCGCUACUGGCUAUGUGUGUCUUCAUGAAGCAUCAGAAGACAGCGUUUUAUUUGGUGGGGGUGAAGUUUUAGUACAGGAAUUGCUCGGUUUGAAAUAUUUAGAGGUAUUGGAGUUGACCUUGGGAAGUUAUCAUGCUCUCCAAAUUCUUUUGAGCUCAAAUAAGUUGAAAAGUUGUAUUCGAUCUCUUUUCCUACAGUUGUUCAGAGAUACAACGUCGAUUAUUGAUGCUACGGCUUUCGCAGAUCUAAACCACCUCAAUGAAUUAUGGAUUUAUAGAGGUAGUGAGUUGGAAGAAUUGAAGAUUGAUUAUACGGAGAUAGUACAAAAAAGGAGGGAACCUUUUGUUUUCCGCAGCCUUCACCAUGUUACCAUAUAUAGUUGCACUAAAUUGAAAGAUUCGACAUUCCUCGUUUUUGCUCCAAACCUCAAGUCUCUUCAGCUACUCGAUUGCUAUGCUAUGGAAGAAAUAAUCAGCGUCGGAAAAAUUGCUGAGACUCCUGAGAUGAUGGGACAUAUAAGCCCUUUUGAAAAUCUCCAAAGUCUUUAUUUAAAUGAUUUGCCAAUUUUGAAGAGCAUCUACUGGAAGCCAUUGCCUUUCGCUCAUCUAAAAGAAAUGACGGUGCAUCGGUGCGAUCAGCUUGAAAAGCUUCCACUCGAUUCCAACAGUGCAAAGGAGCGUAAAUUUGUAAUUCGUGGAGAAGAAGACUGGUGGAACCGACUUCAAUGGGAGGAUGAAGCCACUCAAAUUGCUUUUCGUUCCUGUUUCCAACCUCGUUCCUGAGCGGUGGUCGCAAAAUUUGAUUUCUGGUGAGUGCGUUUGUCUUUUAAAAGAAGAAUUUAAAAGAAAUUUAUUCUUGUCGAUUGUUUUCUUCUCUGUUUUUAUUUGAUUUCUGGUGAGUGCGUUUGUCUUUUAAAAGAUGAAUUUAAAAGAAAUUUAUUCUUGUCGAUUGUUUUCUUCUCUGUUUUUAUUUGAUUUCUGGUGAGUGCGUUUGUCUUUUAAAAGAAGAAUUUAAAAGAAAUUUAUUCUUGUCGUUUGUUUUCUUCUCUGUUUUUAUUUGAUUUCUGUUUUUAAUGGAAUUAAUGCUUCAUAAAUUUGCCGGCACUGCCAUUACUUUUUUUUUUAAUACAAAUUGAUACUUUAUUUAUAUCUUCUUAGCGAUUUAAUUUCCUGUCAAUAGACGAACGAGAAGAACAUAUGACUUAAACCAAUGCUCGCAUAAACUUGCUGUAAAAAGAUAUAAUCUCACUGAAAUGCACACGUCUAGAAUGAAUAGAAUUAAAACAGGGAAAAUCAAUCAAUUCCACCUUUUGCAAUUUCUUCUGUUCUAACAAAAACCAAUUUCUUUGUUCAAGUAUUUUCGUUUGGGUAUUAAUAAUUCUCCACCGAAAGAGUGAACUCUUGCUCAAGGGAUCUCUAAUCAAUUGCCGGAAGGGCGCCGAGACCUGAUCGGACCUAGGCCCAAGUUUGGUCUUAAAGCCUGGGCUUGAGCCUGGCAAUUAAAUUAAAACAUUAAUUGAUUUCUUGGUUGAUUUGUCGUGUAAUUGAUUUAUGGGGGAUGACACAUCAACAUACUUGAAAAUACACUAAUCUCAGCAUCAUCGGUUAAUAACUUUUAGAUUUAUGCGUAAUCAAUAGUUAAGAUUAGUUGUCAUUAAUACUAAAUAUUUUUUACUUUUUUUGUCUCUUCUAGAAAAAUGCAUCCACAAUUAAAUUUAAUACUUUACAUAAUAAACAAAGCAUAAAUGUUAAAUUUAAGAAACUGCAUUGUAUUUCAGCUGAAGUUGACUUUAAUAUUUAGGGUAGAAAAAAAUUAAAUCCUUAAUGUGUUUAAUUUGUAUCACUUGUGUCAUUAAAAUUUUCUAGUCACCCUAACCAAUUACAUCUCAACCCACUUUGUUUUUGGAUGAUUUUAUUUUUAGACUAUUAUUUUCAUCAUUUUUUUUCCUUUUAACACCAACAUUAGUGUAUGUUACGUAACAUAAUUCAUAUUUGGAUCAUUUGAAAUUUGCUUGUGUUUUAUCUAAAAAUAGAGCUUCAAUCAAAUUGUACCUCAUAAAUUCACAAUAUCUAUGAGGGCUAAUGAGACCAAACUCUGGCAUAUUGUCAAAUGUGCUUAUCCUUUUGCUUGACAUGUCAUUUUAAAAUUGUCAUUCAAUGCCAAAAAAUCACAUCAACUGAUGGCCGACUACUUUAAUUUGAAAGCAUGCAUGCGAUCGCCAAUAAUUAUAACUUAAUUGUUAUUUUGAAAUUUUUUUCUUUAUAAUUUUUAAGUUUAAUACUACUACAUGUGCAGCACAUAAGUUGGAAAAUAUAACAUAAAAUUUGAAAAAUGUGUAGCUUUCGUUCCUUUUUUUUCUUAAAAAUGGGAAAAAAGAAUGUAGUUUUGUUUAAAUUACUGUUGUGAUUACAAUUAUUAUUUUAUUGAUUAAUUGGCAGAGAAUCGUAAUGGUUUUGCAUGGUUGUUAAAACAUUGGAAAAUCCACUACAUCAUCCGUUAAUAACUUUCAGAUUUAUGAUUAAUCAAUAGUUGAGAUUUGUUAUCAUUAAUGCUAAAUAUUUUUUUAAUAUUUUCUCUCUCUCUUAGAGGAUCAUCCAAAGUAAAAAUUUAAUAUUAUAAAUAGUAAACAAAGUAUCAACGUUAAAUCGAAGAAACUGCAUUGCAUUUCAACUGAAGCUAACUUUAAUAUUUAAUGGAGAAAAGUAAUUAAGUCCUUAAUGUGCUUUAUUUACCCAUAUAUAUGGCUAAUUUUUCAAGAUAAAGGGGAAGGAUGAUGCUCAAAAAUAUAAAUUAUAGAAUUAAUUGAACUCUCAAGUAAGUUUAAAGUUCAUUAUUUUUAAUUACUUGUUUAUAAUUUAUUUUUAUUUCGUAUUAAUCUAUGGAUCUAAAUCCCCUUUGGAUUCAUAUACAUAUAUAGACAUAAUGUGUAUGUUAAUCUAUAGGUCUGAAUUCACUUUAGGUCUAUAUAGGUAUUUUGACAAAUGUACUCCAAUCAUGCAUAUUGGCAAGUUCUAACUACUCUAUUGAUAUAUCAAUAUUAUUUCUAACUGCACUAUAGGUCCAAAAAUAAGUUAGAAAUACAAAUUAACAUAAAAUAAAAAUAAUUGGUAGAAAAUACAAAUUAUAAACAUAUAAUUGAAAACGAUAAACUUUAAAUUUACUUAAGAGAGUAAUUAAUUUCAUAGUUAAAAUCUUUAAAUUUUACCCCUCAUCUUAACUUAAGAAAAUUAAUCACUUAUUUUAUUUAAUAAAGAAGAGAUUUUUUUCCCCUAUAUUUCCCAAUUAUUUCUCUCCCUCUCGCUCCCGUAAGUUAUACAACUUGAAGUGAAAUAUGAGUGGUCUGAUUCUAGCUUAAAUAAUUUAUUGUGACAUGCUAUCUAAGGACAAUACAUUACCUAGCUCUACAUAUUUUAUUUAACCUCCGGCCCACCCUGUGCAAACUUGCCUUUCCCCUGCAAGACAAGAUUAAUCAAUGUAUCAAGUCUCAAAUUCAAUUUCGAAUAUGACCAUCGUACGCUCUUGUUCUUCCCUCUUUACGAGUGCAUUCCCCCCAACCUCAAGCUCCCUCUCUCGUCUUCAAUGUCACUGCUUAUAUCCUUAUGUUGUUCUAGUUUGAAAUAGUGGCUUCCACUAUUUCAGGGCCCCCAAAAAUCCAGAAACAUACUAUUCAUCACGAUGACAAAAUUUUUGGCAGGCAGGUGCUUCCUGACUUUCACACGGUAAUUCUCAAAUUCUGAUUUCACCAUAUUUUAAUUACUGAUUAGCAUAUAUUCAAGUGCUCUCCAUUAUAACGGAAGCCGCCGCCUCACUCGUGAUUCCAAACUUUUAUCUUUUUUUCCUUUUUUAAAUUAAUGCAAGUAGCCGCUGUCCUUUUUAUUAAUUAAUUAGUUCGGCCGCCCACAUUUCUUUUCCUAAUGUCUUCUACUGUCGAUUUUCUUUUAUUUUCUCUUUUUUCUUAAAAUAUACUUAUAAUAAUAAAAUAUAAAAAUAAAAAUUAACAUAUCAAAAUAUAAUUUAAUAGAAAAUUAAGAUAAAAAAUAAAAAAAUUAUGAGCAUAUCAAUCAAUAAAUGAAAAAUAAUAAUUUUUAUUUUUAUUAAAUAUAUAUUUUUUAAAAUUAAUCAAUUAUCUGAAUAAAUCAAAUCAUUUAAAAAUAAAUAAAUAAAUUAUUCUUAAAUAAAAAAAAGAAACUUUUUAUAACACUCACUAUGCUGGUUGUAGGGUAGACGCUUUGGGGACUGAAGCUGGUAACUUCUACAAGUAGUCUUAAGUUGACUGGCAACAACUAUAUUGGCAUUUAGACAUAAUGUACUGCAACCAUAUUGGUAUGUUCAAAUGUUCUUACUAUUGUAUUGGUGUAUCAAUAUUAUCUCUAACUGCCUUAUAGAUUAAAAAAAAUCUAAAUUUACAAUUUAACAUAAAUAAAAUAAUUGGUAAAAAAACAAUUAUGGUUUAUUUACUUAUCAGUAAUCAGAAUAGACUGAAAUCGAAAUGAGCUGUAUUACCGUUAAUGUGUUUAUGUUGUCCUUGAAUCGGAAUGAAUUAUUUUAAGUUACUAAAAUAUCAUUGGUUUGUUAUUCUAAUUAUUAUUAUUUAAUAUUUAUUAUAAUAUUUGUCAUAUCAUUAAAAAGAAAUAAUAAUGAUGAUAAUAUUAUCAUUAUUGUUUGUUACAUUAUUAUUAUUCAAAAAAAUUAUUGUUAAUAACAAUAAUUACUUUAUUUCAAUAAUAAUAAUGAUGAAAUUAAUAAUAACAAACAUGACAACAACAAUAAUUAUUUAUUAUGCCAAAAAUAACAAUAAUAAUAAGAAUAAUAAUCAUCAUCAUUUUUUUCCCAAAGAAGCAUUAUCAUCAUCAUUUAAAAAAAAAAUCAUCAUCAUCAUUUUUGUAGUUACUGUUUCAAUUUAGGAAGAAGCUGUUUCGUUGUGCUAACGAUGGGAGAUGUUGUGGCUGCGAUUCGGGGAGCUACUAGUUUAUUGCACUAAUGACGACAGGUGCGGCUGCUUGAUGCGAGGUCCAUGGCCAGUUGUCAGCAGUUCGACUUUGGUAUGGGCGUUGCUGGUUCGAUUUUAGGUGUUGUCUAAUUUCAUUUUCAGGAUUUUAAUUUUAAUUUUUUUUUAUAUUUUCAUUAAUUAAUCAGUGCAAAGUUUGAUUUUAGAAUUUGGAAUGAAGGUAAUUUUGUUAAUCAUGGAAAUGAGAUUCUGAUUGUCGAGAAUGAACUUACAAAAUUGCUGCAAAUUAAGUGAAAACAAAACGCUUUUUCUCUUUGUGUGAUUAAAACAUGAAAUGUACCAUAAAUAAAUAGGUAAAAAAUAAAUCAACACAAUUCAAAAUAGUAAACCAAUUACAAGAGGCACAAAUUUUUAUGUGAAAUACCGAAAAUGAAAAAAAACUAUAGCAUCCUAGUCUAAUAUAAUCUUCUACUAUAUUAAUGGGAUUACAGCACAAAUUCUUCCCUAUCUAACACUAGAGAUUAACAAUAUCAAAAAUCUCAAUAAUCUUAACUUACAAUACAACCUAAUAUAUGUCUCUCUAAUAAGUAGAUAUCUAAAAUAACAGUCUCUAAUAAGUAGGUAUCUCAAAUAAUAGUUAAUAAGAGGAUAAAACAAAAAUUAAGAUUAGUAGAAUGUGUAUAAGGCGAUGCUAUCAACUUAUCUUCUAAAUUUGAGAAAAAUAGUUAAAUUCACUUUUUCGAUUGUACGACCAAAGAUGGAAACCCUUGCCCCAAAACCAAAGGAAUCACCAUUGUGUUUUUUUUCUCUCUUUCUCUUUCUCGUUCUUCUCUUCUACUUUUCUUAAUGUUAGCCGCCACUUGCUUUUAUUCUUUAUAGCAUUUAAAAAGCUACUUUUAAUGGUAAAUUCAUCUAAGUCCAAAACUUAGUGAUAAUUGCACACCAAACAAUCCUUUUUGGACUAUGGACUUUUGGGCCUCCAAAUGAGAUGAAUACAACAAAUCUCCCCCUUCAGAUUAUGUGGGGGGCACUACAAGCCCGCUCUCUGCAUAUAGCUUUUCAGCUUCUCCUUGAAUAAUGACUUUGUCAUCAUACAUAACCCAUUCUUCGUUGUGUAAAUCUUCUCAAGCUAUAACUGUUCUUUCUCAAGCACGUCUCAUAUCUAAUGAUAUCUCACAUCAAUUUACUUAGAUUUCGAAUGGUAUAUCAAAUUCUUUGAACGGCACUCUGACUGUCGCAGUACAUAACAUAGUUGUCUCAUUUUAUAUCCAGCUCUUGUAGGAAAUUCUUCGUCCACAAUAUUUUUUUGCAACCUUCAAUAAUUGUAAUAUCAUUUGCUUUAGUGGUAGAAAAGGCAACUUAUUACUAAAGUUUAGAUUGCGAUGAGCUCCCCCUGCAAAAGUGAGCAAACAUCCUAGUACGAAUUUUUCGGAAUCAACAUCUCCUGCCAUAUCUAUACACUUGUAACACAGGUUUGUCACCACCAAAAUAUAAACAUGCUCUGGAAAUGCCUUUAAGAUAUCUGAGAAAUUUUCACUGUUGUCCAGUGCUCUUUACCGGGAUUGAAGAGAAACCACUGACUACACUAGCUGUAUAAGCAAUAUCUGGUCUUGUACAAAUUAUGGCGUACAAUAAACUGCCAACUGCUGAAGCAUAAGGAACUCCUCUCAUGGAGAAAUGGGUUUUGCUCUUGAGAAUUUUGGGAACAUAAAGAAUAAAGAUGUAAUUUCUUGGACUGCCAUUGUUUCGAGGUAUAUAAACAGAAGACAAGUCGAUAUAGCUUGACAAUGUUUUGAUCAGAUGCCAGAACGAGAUUAUGUCUUAUGGACUGCCAUGAUUGAUGGGUACCUUCGAGUGAAUAGGUUCAAAGAGGCUUUGACGCUUUUUCAGGAGAUGCAAACUUCAAAUAUAAUGGGAGACAAGUUUACCAUUGUUAGCAUUCUUACAGCUCGUGCCAAUCUGGGGGCACUAGAUCUGGGAGAAUGGAUAAAGACUUAUAUUGACAAAAACAAAGUCAAGAAUGAUAUAUUUGCGGGGAAUGCUUUGAUAGACAUGUACUGUAAAAGAGGAGAUGUUGAGAAAGCUCAAAAGGUAUUCAGGAAGAUGCUUUGAAAGGACAAAUUCUCAUGGACGACCAUGACUGUUGGCCUUGCCAUCAGUGGCAAUGGUGAUAAAGCUCUUGAUAUGUUUUCCCAAAUGCUUAGGGCUUCGAUCAAACCGGAUGAGGUAGCUUAUGUUGGUGUUCUGUCUGCCUGUUCUCACAAUGGUAACGAAACUUUUGUGAUAAAUAGUUGCAACUUAAGGUGAGAAUUGGAGGAAAGGAAAUAGACUGAAGUUGUUCAAUCAUCAGUGGUUGCUAUUUGGUUUUAAGUUGUUCAAUUAUCGGUCGUCUCUAUUUGGUUUUCUCCAAUAUCUCAUCUUCAGUUUUGACUCAGAUUCUAUCUUACCACUAUUGUUCUGUUCAUUCUAUUUGUUUCCUACAAAAUAUUUCUCCUGCCUAAAAUUUUUUGAAUCAGUAAGUUUUUAUCUUAUGCAAGAAUUGUGCUGAGAGUAAUUCCAUUUCUCAGUCUCGUUAUGUUUCAAUGAAGACGUAAAACUUGUGUUCUAGUGCACCAAUGUUUAUGCUUCUUACAAUUUGACUUUAAUUUACUUUGUAAAAUUUUUGUCAAAAAGUACUAAAAAGUAGUGCACCAAACACCAACUUUAUUAUAGAGAGGACUUUAGUUAAAUUUUAAGAAAACACUCAAAAGAAAGAGUUAUAAUUUAUUAUAGAAAUAUUUCACAUAAAUAAAAGCCAUCCCAUGCUGCAAAGAUCUUGCUAUAAUCACCAAAAACUAUCGGGAGCUUUUAGGGUUUCCAUAAAAAUGUCAUUUCGUUCCAAAAGUCAAUGGUGGGUAGAAAGUGGUGCAAAUGAGACUCAUUCUUAAUGGUAUAAGUUUUUGCUUAAUUAUGUCUUCCCCAAGAUGAUGAUUUAAUUUCCAUUCUCAAUUAAUUUUCAAGUUUCAACACUUUUCUAUGUAGCAUGACAUUGGAAAGAUCUUGUACAGUUGUACUACUAAAAGCUAGCAUCACACGUUAGUUAUUGUUAAGUUCUGUUUCAACGUGAAAUAAAGGAAGUAGUCCUUCAUUAAAACCAUUAUAGCCAAAUUUCACCUAAUUGGACACUUACAGACUUUCAUUUCAAGUUGGAUUUUGGUCCAACGUUUCAAAGUUUGGCCCAAUUAUUUUUGUCCGGUCAAGUCCUACGCAGCUAAGCCUCUCAAUGAAUGAGGGUGAGAUUGCUAAAAAUUACGACAGGUGAUAUUUUAUUAUUAUUAUUAUUAUUAUUUUUGGGGGAUAAAUCCUCACCAAAGUGAGGAGAUUUUAUCCAAAUCAAAAUAAAAAUAUAACAAGAACUGAAAGUCGGGCAGCCUAAAAGCUAGAUGAACUAAAAGUCAGGCGCCUAAAAACAACCUUAUGCAAAAGAGAAGCAAUAUGAGACCGAUCAAGUAAAAGAAUCCACCGCAACACCUAAAUUGGCCAAAUUAUCUGUUGGUAUUACAAGUUUCUUGUUAUAAAAGUGUAGAAUGAAGUAGGUGACGUAGUUUUAAGUUACAGCUGCAUGCCCAAUCGCAAUAUCAAAUAAUGCUUAAAUAUCAAAUAAUGCUUAAAGUAGUUGCCUAGGCCCGCCACAACUUAUAUUAACUCUUAAAUUUAUAAAUAAUUAAAUUUUUAAAAGUUUGGAUUUAUAUUAAAAAAUCUUCAUAUAAAUAAAUAAUAUAUGCACUUUUACAACAGUCUUUAAAUUUAAAUUUUUCAAAAAAAAUCUUCUGUAUAUCUUUUCUAUUAAAAAAAUUUCCAUAUAAAUAAAUAAUAUACCUAAUUUAAUUGGACCGAGCACAACGCACAUGCAUAGAACACAUUCCGAAAAGCCAUGCUAUUCAGAAAUUGACGAAUGAAAAGUGAGGAGGCAGCAGUCAAUGCUAUUUCGGCUUGGCCCAAAAUUGAUUUAUCAGUUUGACGUGUGCCAGGAAUGAAGAACUGGAAUAUCACCGUCAAGCAGCACCCUGUGGAGCAAUACCAUAGAAUGCACAAUCUGGCUUUGCCAGGUGACACUGGAGGCUUUUUGAAAAGUGCUUCAAAAAGCCUUUUCUGAUCGAGUCUGAGCACUCAAAUUUUGGUCCUCAGAUGGAGCUACAGCUUUCUCUCCAAUAACCAACAAUUUUCUAAACUCAGCUCCUAGUGUGAUGAGAGUUGUUGAUAUUUGUAAAUGGAGAUCCCCGUAUUUGCAAAUGGAGACAUUUACCAAAUCACCAACAUGCUUCAUCCAGUCUACGAAAUUCUGCAGCUGAUUCAAAUCCGGAACCUGAACCAGAGUCGGAGGUAAAUCUUGAGCCAUAUCUAAAGCAGUCUGAAGUUCAAGUACUUGAGCCCUUGACAAUGGUUUUGAAAUUGGAACAUCUUGGAUUACUGCAGACUUGUACCCCUUGGUUUCAAAGGUAAGGAAAGGCAUUGCUUGAGUACAAUUUGGAGGCAGCUUCUUCACCAAUUUUAUUUGGAGGCAAUUGGCAGCGGAUCCAGCUGCACCAAUUUCAGAGCAAAUACUGACACUACUUCAAACAGCACGCUGAAGAAGAGAUAUGUCUAUGGCAAAGACAAUGCAGUCCUCAUUUUGACUUGAGAUGCGGUAAUCAUCAAAGAGAGUUUCCUUGUGAAACUGGGCAACACAUUGAAUCCCUUCACCACUGAGAAGGUUGUGGAGGAAGCAAGCUUUCUCUCUAGUAAGGAAGAGGUGGCAUACCUUCCCCAUUUUGUCUAGGACAGGUAGGAAUCUUUUUUCUAAGAGAUUUACUCCAUUCUCUGUGAGAAAUGCUUUGAACUUCAUCCCUCUGUCUCUAUCCUCACUUAUCAGUAAAAUAGUUGAAAGCACUACAAGGAGAGAAAAGAAGAGUAUUAAGAUAUAUAUAGACAAGAAAAACAUUAGAUGUCGAUCUUACAAGCUAAUACUUCAAACAGUAUCCUAGAAAGCUAAAAACUGCAAAAUGGCUUGAAAUUUGAAAAGAACACAUGCUUUUCCUCCUUAACUUGAGAAAAUGUUUAAUAUAGUGCACCUUACAGAAACAUUUAAGCAAUUAGAACUUUGCACAAAAACAUUCAAGAAGACUAAACAAAUCAGAUGCAGUGUAUUUCUCCAAGCACAAAUGGCAUUGCAUUUUCUCCUCAACUGUAAUAUUUAUUGAUGAAAAUCAGUACAGGUCCCUCAUUUGUUAUGGAAAGCUUUCUUGUAGUCUGACCGGUUAAUUCACGGGUCUAUAAUCAUCUUGCAAAGUUACAGGCAUUUCUUUCGAUUUAAAGUCUUUGCAUCACCACCUCAUCACACACCAAGCCAAUAUUCCGUCUACCUCUACAACAAAAAGUUUUAAGUAAACGAUCCUAAUGCAUGCAGCCAAAUAAAAUGCAGUAAGAAUAUUCAACUUAAAACUCUGAAAGCCAUCUUGGUGAAUUGCCUCCUUAGGGGAAGUUCCAUGCUUUACUAUACUUGACAGGACUGAGCAAAAGCUUCCAUACGACAGAUUUUGACAAUAAUGAUGCCAACAGAUCCUCAUUAAAUCCAUUAAAACUCCAAAGGUUCAUUGUUCAUGGAUGUUUACAGAGUUUUGGUCAUCAAAUAGCUCAGACCACAAUCCCAAACAAAAAAGGAGUGAAAAUUAGAUCACCAGCAGCUAAUUGUAAAUUCUAACUUAACUCUUCAUCUCCUUUGUAAACAGGAGACAAAAUGGAGACACGCAAAAUGAAUAAGGAGAACAUUUGAACUCAAAUGAAAUGAGGGCACGAAAUCAAACAAAUGGCAUGCGCAAACAAACCAAGCCUCAAUCAAAAACUAAAUAACCAUUAAGAAAAAAAAACUGGUCAGAGAAUGAACUCCAAAUUCGGGAGUGAAGCAAGAAGCUUUCAUUAUUUCAGAAGCUCCUGUACAAAUUAAUAAGUUAUGCUCUUUGGAAACAAACCUAAAUUCCAAGAGAAACAGAACUCAAAAAAUUUGCAAUUAUACGCAAAGGAAGCGAAGCACAGCAUUCUAUCACACGUACAAAUUGUAUAACAAGAGAUCGACACAUCGAAUCAGAAGAAUUCAAUUCAAAUUUGUCUCAAAAAUCAAAAUUAGAAGAUUUCACAUUUCGAGAGGAACAAGCGACAGGUCAGAUGCACAAUUUUCAACCACAACAUGCCACAAUUAACGGUUUAUUUCCAUGGAUUUAGAGAGCUGACUGACCUUUUGGCUUUUGGAAUUGAGAAGAACGCGCGCCAAAAUGGAAGAGGGAAAGCGAAAGUGCGGGUUUCAAUAGGGUAUUGGAUUAGCAAAUUUUAUUAGUUUGCGAGGGUAAAAUAGGAAAGAGAUAUCACUAUUAACUUUUUUUUUUAUAAGAAAAAAGAAUAAUAAAGAAUAUUUUAUUGUCAUUUGCAGCAUUUAAUUUUUUUUAAAUGCUAUUAGAAAAAAACGACAAUAAAGAAAUGCUCUUUUUUUAUUUUUUUCUCGAAGGUAAAAUCAAUUAUUUAGCGUCUUAUAUGUAAUCUAACUCCAUUUCUUACUUUAAGUCAUAUCCAACUGACCAAUAAAGUAAUUGUUUUUUUUUUCAUUCAUUUUUACAGAAAAUUAAUAUUGAAAGCUAUUGUAAAAAUUUUUAUUAUCAACCUCAUAGUUUAAUUUUUUUGGGGAAGAAUUGAAUUUUUUUUUUUAAUUUCCAAGAAUUUCAUUCUCUAGUUUUUCCAUUAAUAUUACUUAUCUUGAUACCCAUCUUAAUUAAAAUCUGUAGUUUUAUUCAGGAGUCAUGCUAUUCAUUCACUCACAGACCAAAGGCUUUCCGCAGCAAUAUUAUUAUUUAAAUUACAACAAAGGGGAAAUCAAAUACGUCAUACAGAAGCUUAAAGCUGAAUCUACAAAAUCUAGAGCUCUCAACUACAAAAAUUACACUUGAUGAUCCUCUACAAGAUGAAACUUGUUCAAUAUCUCAUCCAAAGCUUGUAAAGUAACCUUGUAACGAUCUUGAGAUUGCCUGCCUUCCUCGACGACCUGCACGAUGCGUUUGUACAAAUCAUCAUACCUGUGCACCGGAUUUUUAAUAUCAACGCCACUGCAGCUGUGAUCAAGAACAUAAGAGCGUUUAACAUCUUUUCUCCAUCGAGAAAGAAUGUAGUGAGGUGGGAUCUCCUGCAUGCCACUCUGGUUUAGAACACAAAGAAUGUGUCUGCAUAAAUAUCCUCUGAAAUUGAACAACCCACAAACACAAAGCACCUCCUGCAUAAAUAUCUUUCUCGUUGCUACCAAUCUCAAAUUCUUCCUUCACUAUCUAUGUUAUAGGUCCAUCAGCACUGACAUGUUUUGUGCUAUAGCAAGAGUACAUAGCCUCCACCUCCGUCUGAAACUUCCUUAACAUUUCAUUUGUGUACAGUUUUGAGAGUUGAAAUUCAUAGUAACAUCUUGGUUUCUGGAUACAACUUGAAUUUCUUGAAUCCAUAUCUGCCAAGGCUUCCAGUUGAUAAUUCGCCUGCAGUGCUUGAUCAUACUUGUCUAAGAAUUCUUUCAAAGGAGUACUCUUAUCAAGAUAUCCUUCAAAGUAUGAAGUAGAAACCUCAUUCUGCAGGAAUGAAAACACUCCUGAUAAAAAUGCUUCCUUCAAAUAAACAGGAGCCCACCUUUUACGAUCUUCAUAUAAAGUUUGAAUCCAUCCAUGAUCCUUUAUUCCAUGACGUUGAAUCGUGUCCUCCCAAGCUGUCUCAAAUUCCUCAGGCCUAAGAGAGUGAUAAAUUGCUCUAUGCAAUGCAGCUCUAACAGCUUCAUAUUCAAACAAUCCUUGGAGUUUCUCUGAAAUUUUUUGCAUGACGCAUGACAAUGAAAAGCAAUGAUAAGCUCUUGGGAAAGCAUUGCUGACGGCAGUUUUCAAGAUUCUACAUUGGUCAGUGAUGAUUGUUUGUGGACAGCGUCCUAACAUACAUGUAAGCCACGCCCUAAACAACCAUGUAUAUGAUUCUAUAGUCUCACUGGCGAGUAAACCACAGCCCAACAGCACUGAUUGUCCAUGAUGAUUCACCCCAAUGAACGAAACCAGUGGUACAUCAUAUCUUUCUGUCAAGCAUGUAGUAUCAAUUAAGACUACAUCACCAAAGUACCUAUAUGCAACUCUUGACCUGGUAUCAGUCCAGAAGAGGUUUCUCAGGCAUCCCUUUUCAUUUAGAUCCACCACAUUAAAAAAGUUUGGAUCUGUCAACUGCAAACGACAAAAGAAACUCUGGACAGCUUGUGCAUCUCCUGGUUUAAGCUUCAAUUGAUUUGAGCUAUUAACAUCAUUUCCAAAUACUCCAUUAACAUCUAUAUUACCAUUUCCCUCGGUAUCAAGGAUAAGAGUUCGAAACAGUCUAAUUUUUUGAACUUCUUCAGCACCAUCUAAGAGCAAUGUUCUUUUGGUUCCAAUACCCAUGUGCUUAUGAGACUUGUAAAACUUUCCGCUUCUUGGGCUUAACAAACGGUUAUGCUCAAGCUUGACUUCAAUGAUUCUCCACCUUUUGGUUUCCAUCAACCUAAACUUUAUCAUUGCUGGACAGCCAGUUCUUGUUUCUGGUCUUGGGCGGUUUGCCUCGCUUUUCUUCUUUAAGCCUGCACUACUACAGCUCAGCUUUCCUCUAUACUUUUCUCUACUCUUUCGGUACCAUGUAUUGCUAACUCUAACACCAAAACCCUGUUCCUUGGCAUAGCAAUUAUAAAAGUAAUAUACGUCAUCAUACGUCUCAAACUCCAUCCCAACAGCAGGAGGCAAUGGAUUUUGGAUUAUCCCAGUUUGUCCAACAUAUUCAGUCAUCGCACAAUCUCCUAUUCAAAAUCAUCAGCGUCAUCAUCACCUACGGGUUCAGUAUUCAGAGAAACUUCAUCCAUCUACAAUAGAUGUUUAAUGAAGUGAGCUUUAAGGAGAAAAGGCAAAAUCAGUUCAAGGAAUGAUAAUAAAACCGUACAGUUACUUUCACAAAGCUUCGUAUUUCAUCACUACUUUAACAACAUGCAACUGCCUGAGAACAUACAGACAUGUCAUAGAUGCUUGAAUUAAGUAUUGAUACAAAUUAGCACACAUCAUGUGGGACACAAUUUCAGUCACUAAACCCAAUACCUUUUUUUUACAUCAUACCAAGAAACAGAUUAAACCCAAUACCUUCUUUUACGCCAUACCAAAGAACAGAUUAAAUCAUCAAUGAAAAAUUAAUCACAUAAUAAUUUAACUAGACAAUUGAAGAGCUCAAAACAGCACAAUACUUGAAUCUGAUUAUGAUAAUUGUUGAGUCCUUGUAUCGACAGCUUUCCUUCAAUGAGAAGAUUAUGAACAUAAACUACACACAAAAAAAAAAAUUAUUUAAACUGACAGCCCAUGAUAUAAAUCAAACAAAAUUAACUCCUUUUACAAAUCACAUCUUGUAUUCAUUUACAUCGAAACAUAAAAAGGAAGCAGGAGCCAAAAAAAACAACAGCACAGAAACUUCUUUCCAUAAGGUUUACGAAAUAAGGAAUUUAUUAAGACACAAAAUUUGAGGUCACCUAUAAUAAUUUGGUUCUCAUUCUCUUUUUCUUCAUUUUUCACUUAUUGAUGGAGUUAGCAUACAAUCCUAAAUGAUAAAACCCCAUCUCCAUUUUUGAACUAGAGCUAAAGCAAAGCAUUUUAGGAUUCAUCAUUUUUUUUUCUAAAAGACUCAAUAGUACAAUGUUUUUCAAUAUUAAAUACACAACUCAAUCUUCUCCUAAUUUACUCUAAUAAUCUCUUAACUUAGGAAGAUUAAGCUCCACUUGUAAGCUAAAACAAUUUUCUUAAAUCAAGCCCCAAUGCUCUAUACUAUUCAACAAGGCCUCAUAAAUGAUAAAACUACCUCUACAAAGAUACCCAUUUUAGUUUCGCAAACUAAAAUCAAACUCCUGAAACGUAACGAGCAUUAAAACAAACAAGUCCGAACAAGAACUGAAAAAUCAUACAUAAACUCGUUUACACGCUUCGAAAAACACUUUGAAAUUCAAACGAAACAUACCUUAGGUUGAUAAAUUAGUAGCGCAAAAGAAAUUUUAGUGAGAUAUGGGAUCAGGGUUUUUGCCACGGUGAUGUUAAUUGCGACAUUGGGGUGACUCAGCAGCCUUCGAGGCUGAAACUUUGAUUGACCAAAAGCUUCCCGUUCGUUGAUUAUCUAAUUGCAGAAACGAAACUCGCAGUGUACAGAAGAAGUACGCUGAUUUGAUAAUUCUGUGAAAAUCAUUGUUUUUUUGAGAUUUUUAAUGUGUUCGGUAAAUAUCAAAAUCUCAAAAACUUGUCUUUCAUUUUGGGGGGAAAAACCCAUUGAGAUCCUUAUGUUUUUUCUUAUAUAAUCUGGCUUAAUAAUUUGCAAAGUCUAUUACUUUGCACCCAUGCAUGCUGCGUUUCAAUUUUACAAAAUUGUACGUGAGUGCAUCCAGCUAAAAUUUGUAAAAAGAAAAUAACAAUAACAUGUUAAAAAUGUGAUGAUUAUGAAGAAAUUUUAAUUUAGUUAAAUAGGUGACGAUGGAUAGGUAUAAAAUCUGAGAUCUUUUAUGAGAUUAAUAAGUAUGUUGAGUUUGGAUUAGUUCAAUUUUGACAUAAUACAGAAUAAACACAAUCUGCUAAUCUAAGUUAUCAUCUUUUCUCGUCAUCAGGUACCUGUUUGAAAAAUAAUUAUAUACAAUUUUAUUUGCGUUGUCUCUCCAAAAAUUUUGGACUCGAAUGUUAUUUUUAAUUGCUAAAAGUACGAAAAUGCCCCCUUUCUCUUCAGCUAAAGGAGUGCAAAGUCAUCUGUAUAAUUGAAUCUGCAUCAUCAGUUUCUAUUGCUGGCUGGUGUUACUGCAUGCUUACAGUUGCUUGACAAAGUGAGCCAGUUUUUUGUUUAUUAAUUUUUUUUCUUGUCGAGACAGUCACAAAGUAUUACUUGUUCCAUAUGAGAAUGAUGUGAAUCAAUUUUUCAAUUAUGCAUUCUGUGGUAAUUAUUGUGAAUUUAGUUUCAUUUGUCUUGUCUCCUGCAAAUUUUGAAGAAAAUGCAGACAUACAAACUUACAAUAUGGAAGAGUUCACUGGAAAAAACUUUGUGAAAGCUUCCAAGUGAAACAGGGAAUGGGCUUACUAGUAAAGGACAAAUUGGUGGCCAGCUAAUGCAUUCAUUCUAUGUCCAUUCAUCUUUUCGAAUUAUUGAAGACAAGUGGCUCACCACUUUUAGUAUUGGUAAAAUUCAGAUAAUCUCUAUUCCGAAAUAAUAAUAUUCAAAAUAUCUCUUAAAUCAUUAUAAACCUGAAAUCUAUUUUAAUUUUAUUUAAAAGAUAAAAGAAAAAUAGGUUAUGUUGGUGAUUUUUUAUUAUCUUUUUAAUAAAAAUGAAAUAAAUUGAUGUUUAUAAUUAUUUAAAGUAUUUUAAAGAUUGCUAUUUUAUGAGAGAAUAAUAUUUCACUUUUUUAGUGUGAAAGAUUGAAAAAGGACAAACCAAGUUUCCCUAAUUUUUAUUUUAUUUGAAAUUGGUCAUCUCACAUACUUCACCCUUCAACAUUAUAAUUUUUUUGGUUAUAAUUUUAUUAUUUUUUCUCUUUUACACAUGCAUGUGAAUUACUUUUCUUUAAGCUCCUGAAUAUUUAAGACAAAUCAUGGAAGAGAUGAGAGUAUAACAAGAUGAUCAAAAUAUGUAACAAAAAAAUUUUAGAAGUGAAAAAUAUGUUAGAGUCGAAGUAAAACUCUGAGGUGAUGUUUGAUUUGAAGAAAAUGGAGGAGAGGAAAAGAGUGGAAUGGAGAGGAAAAUAGAGAAAAGGAGAGGAGAGGAGAGUGAAAUUUUUUUCUAAUGUUUGGUUUGUCACAUAAUUAUACAAAGAAAAGAAAUCUCUAAUUUUUUAUUUAGACAAUUUUAACCUUAAUAAGUAUUAAGCUUUCAAUAUUUAUCAUGUGUAUAAUUUAAAAAAAGUAAAUGGUAGAAAGCGGUUUCUGAUUCCGGCCACAUCGCCGGCAAUGGAAGGUACUUAUCAGAACAUCAAGAGCCGACCAUCAUUCCCUAGCCAUCACUGCUGUCAGAACACUGCCAGAAAGCUGCCGAUUGAACCGCAAAAAGUCGUGGAAAUCGCUGCCUCAAAUCGGUGAGUUUCGCCUUUUUCUGGUCACGCCGUCACCUUGGCUUUGUCCAUCAAGGCUGCCACUUCCAUUUUCAACCAUCCAUAGCCACUAUUAACGGCCAAAUCGCCGCCGAUCAGCGGGAUAUGUGGAAGUUAAAAAGUUUCUAAAUUUUUUUGACUGGAUUUGAACAACAUACGACCAUUUUUUGAUCUCGAUAACGACGUAGUAAUGUUGAUCAUUGAUCGGCAAGUCGAAUGGUAGUGGCGGUGAGUAACAUGCGCCAAUGACAUCGGCGGCGGCACUAUCCGGCGACUGUUAAAAUUAAUAUUUUAUAUUUUUAGAUUAAAUAAAUUUAUUUUAUUAAACUUUUUAAAUCAUUAUUUAAAUUUAAUUAAUUUAAAAUUAUCUAUAAUGUUGAAUUGAUAAAAUAAAUUUAUAAAUAAUAAUUAUGUGAUUACAUUAAAUAAGUUAAAAAGUUGAAAGGUUAUUUUUGGAAGAUUUAGUUUCCAACACAAAGGGAAUUUGAAUUCUUCACUUCUUAGUGUGGAAUUCAAAUUCUAUAUUGUAAUGGAUAUUAAAUUCCAAUAGAAAUUAAAUUCUUAUAAAUUAUGUCAAACCAAACAACGGAAAUAAAAAAGGAAUUUAAAUUACUUUCCUUUCCUCCAUUGUCUCCUUCCAACCAAAUACAUCCUGAAAAUAGAGAUAUUGAUUAAUUUAGAAGAGAUGCAAGCAAAAGAUAUUCCAAAAAAAAAAAAAGCAAUAUGUCCCUUUGGAGGGCAAACUUGUCAGUUUUAAAAAAGUACAUGCUUUGGAUUGAUAGUUGUAGGAUAUUUGUUUUGUCACUAUGUAUUAGUUGGAGAAGUCAAGCCUUGUGAAGAAUGUUAUGAAAGAGCAAAAGAUAUUCCUGAUAGCUGAUAGAGCUAUAUUUGAUUAUGUAUCCAACGAAUGGAUGUGUUGUUGGAAGAUAUCUGAGUGCAUUAGUUCAUAUGUGUAUGUCAAUGUGCUUUUAAUGAUUUUUCCACUUGUUUGUUGUAAAAGAUUAUUGUAAAUUGAAAUGAACUUGAUGUUGUAAUAUUUUUUCCUUAGUGGAAUUUCACCUAGUAUGUAUUCAGUUGUGUUCUCUAUAAUUUUGCAUUCGAAUAGUUUCACCUAAAUAUAUUAGCAUGAGUAGUGGCCCUUGAAACUUUGGUCAAAAUUAUUGUUAUUAUUUCCGACUAGAUGUAAAUUUUUUAUUAAAUCUCGUUAACACAAUUCUUAAUUAAAAGUAUAGGUUAGUGUUGGUGCAAGAUUUGCCACACCAAAUUCUGCCUAGCUGUCAAAAGUGCAAAAUAAAUGAAGAGAAAGCACAAAUACACGACUUGAAUAAGGAUACAACGAAACUUAAAUUCAAGAGAAAAUGAUAGCUAUAUCUCAAGAUUUGAAAAAAUGAUCAUGUAGAUUUUUAAGAUUUCAAUAAGCGACUGAGAUUCAAAUAAUAUCCUUUAAUUCUAUUAACAAAAAACAAAGACUCAAAUAUUUUAUGAUAAAUAAAAAUAUAAUAUUAAAAUAUAUGUGAUAAUAUACACAUUUUAAAUACUUUCAAUCCAAAAAAAUAGUUAUGUUUUACAAUCUAUUAGACAUAUUUUAUUAAAUUAAUAUAAAUUUUCUAUAAAAUAAGAAUAUAAUAUUAAAAUAAAUUCACUAAACUUUAAAGAAUUUUGAAUGUAAAAUAAUUUUAAUAUAUUAAUACGUGAGUUUUUUUAUUAAUAUAAAAAUUAUUUAACUUUAAGAUUUUUUAAAAUCUUUACAAUAAGUAUAACUAUAUUAUUUACAUUUAAAAAUAUUUAAAUAUUAUUAACCUACAAUUAUAUUUGCAUUUGUUAGAAAUUUUUUAAGUAAAAUAUUUUGCACUUCUAUAUUAUUAGAAUUAUUGCACACAAAGAAAGAAACAUAUACCUUUAGAAAUUGUUUUCUUUUAAAAUAGAGAUGAUGAUUAGUAUAAGGAUGAAAAAAAGGAUAUUAACGAAAUCUCUAUACAAAUUGAUUUUAGUAGGAAAAGAGUGAGAUGAAUGAUUCUUUUACAAUUAGAAACAUAGAUGAUGAUUAUUAUAACGAAGAAAAAAAGAUAAAGAAUAUUAAUUAUUAAUGGAAUCUCUAUGCAAAUUGAUUUUAGUAGGAAAAAAAUGAGUUAAAUGAUUUAGAGUGCGUUUGGAAUUGAGAUUGGGCAGCCAUAGAUUUUAAGUUACAACACUGAAGUGUUUGGUAAAUACUAGCUGCUGCAGAUUGAAAGUUAUGUUGAUAUGAUUUUUCACAUGUAUCAUAGAAAAUAUAUUACAUCUUUAAUAAUUUUUUUAAAAUUUAUAUUUGCUAUAUAUUAUUAUUAUUUUUUUUAUAGUUAUAACUUUUUUUCCACAGCAGCUGUAGCUUAAAAGCCACAGCACCUCAAUUUCAAACAAGUCCUUAGACAUUCAUAGUGUGUUUAUUUUUUGGAUUGGUGAAUAAAAAUUAUUGACAACGCUAACUUCAUCUUCACCGUUCGCAAUCCAACAGCAGCAAUUGUCACCAAUAAUGAUAUCUCCAAUGAUGAUGACAAUUAUUAUUAUUAUUAUUAUUAUUAUUAUUAUUAUUAUUAUUAUUAUUAUUAUUAUUAUUAUUAAUAAUUAAUUAAUUAAUUAAUAUAUUAAUGUUAAGAUUAUUAUUGUUAAGAUUAACAAUAAUUAUUAGUAAUACAAUUUUUUGAAUAAAAAUAAUCACAAUAAUUAAAAUACAAAUUAAUAAUUAUGACAAUAGUUAAUUAAUGUCUUUUUAGUGAAUCAAAAUUAUUGACAACGCUAACUUCAUCUUCACCGUUCGCAAUCCAACAGCAGCAAUUGUCACCAAUAAUGAUAUCUCCAAUGAUGAUGACAAUUAUUAUUAUUAUUAUUAAUUAAUUAAUUAAUUAAUGUUAAGAUUAUUAUUGUUAAGAUUAACAAUAAUUAUUAGUAAUACAAUUUUUUGAAUAAAAAUAAUCACAAUAAUUAAAAUAAAAAUUAAUAAUUAUGACAAUAGUUAAUUAAUGUCUUUUUAGUCAUUUAUAGUAAACAAAUUAUUAUGAUUCCUAUUCUCCUUUCCCAUUUUAGCUCACUUUGAUUUCAGUCUAUUCCGAUUUCUAUCUAAUAAAUGCACCAUUAGUGCUAAAGUAAUAUUUCAUACAUAGAAAAGUAAAAACUACACCUAAGGUUAAGGGAAAGGACUUCAAAACUCUCUUUUGAUUAUAAUACUAGGAAAUAAAACCGCGCUUCGCGCGGCUUUAGAAAAUAAAUUUAGUAUUAUCAAUUUUCUUUCUUUACACUCGACAAAACUGAUAAAAAAUAUAAAUUAAUUUUUUUUAAAUGAGCCAGCGUUAUAAAACUAAUAUUAUUUAUGAAAGUUAACUAUUUUUUUGUUAACUUUAAAAAUAUAUAUUAACGUGUAUAGUUUAAGUGUACAGACUUUAUACCUUUUGUAGUUGAUAAGUUCCAAAUUAAAUUUUGUAAUUGAGGAUCCUUAGCAUUGAAGUAUAAAAGAAAUAAGUAAAAUACAUGUAAAGACUUUUGUAAUUUAUUUCGCAUCGUUUGUAGCUGCGUAGGUGAGCAGUUGUUUAUAUCAAGCUUGCAGCUAUGGCAAGUUCCAAUGGGGAUCAGCAACACCUAGUGCCAAAAUGUUCUUUAUCUGUAUAUAAACCAUGUCUCCAUGGAUUAGAGAGAAUGAAAGGAGAAACAGUUGAUGUAAAAAAGAAUGCUUCUUCACGUACUAUGUUCUUUGGCGAUUAAAUCCUCCAUAACAGCUUGGAAAACUCAGCCAAAUUACCAUUUUGUUGUCUCGAUAGUUCCUUUGAUUUAUCCAUUUGUCUACUGAAUAAUUAAAACACAUAAUAAAAAUCAUUAUUAUAGGGUGAAGUAAGAGCUUGCAAUGUAUAAAUUAAAUUUUAAAAUAUAAUCUAAAAAUGUGAUACCUUGAUUUUGUGAGCUAAUGUGUGAAUAUUUUGAAAUACUUCUUUGUAGACAAUGUUUUUUAUGAAGGUUCGGUCUUCUACCUCUUGAUCGGCAUUUAGUAUGGUCAAUCCUUCUCUUGAGGUAACUCGAGACACGGCGACAUAUAAUUGACCAUGUGUGAAUACUUGCUUAGGGAGAUACAAGCCAACAUGUUUAAGAGAUUGUCCUUGGCUUUUGUUGAUCGUCAUGGCAAAACAUGGUGCUAAAGGAAGUUGUCGUCUGUUAAGCUUGAAUGGCCAUCUUGAUUCAUUAGGAGACAUAAUAAUUCUUGGAAUUGUGACAUUUUGUCCAAUAUUUGUUCCAGAAAUGAUGUCACCUCUAAUGGACCAUUUACCAAGAUGAGUGACAAUUAAUCUUGUGCCGUUGCAUAGGCCUUCUAUUUGAUUUAGAUUUCUGAGAAGCAUUACGGGAGCACCUUCCUUAAGUCGUAUGUCAUGAUUAGGGAUGCCAUUGAAUUUCAAACUAUUCAAAAAUUCAGUUGGAUAUAGAACAUCUUCAUCAUUUGUGUUUGCGCUUGCUUUGCAUAUACUGUCUGAGCUAAAAUAGGUUCUCCCUUGACCAGGUAUUAUAUUCAUAAUCAUCUCGUUCAAUUCAUGCACCAUUUCAUUUUUUGGGGUUAAUAUUGCUCUUUCUUUCAAAUAUGUUGGAUCACUGUAGUUAUGCUGAAUUGAUGGGUAGAUAGUGUCGACUAUUGAUUUUAUCAGAUUUUCUGAUGGUUUCUUACAGAUAUCAGAAGGUAGUUUAACUAAAUCUCUAUCAAUGUCAUCAUAUAAUGAACCAUCUCCAAUCUGCAAUAACCAUUUGUCAAAAGAAGCUAUUUUAGCAGCCUAAGAGCCACUCACACUUCCAUUAUAGAGCCUCAUAUUUUUUUUGAGGUCAUAAAUUUUGAAAAAUGGCCACAAGUAGGAUGAGUUAAGUGAAGCAUCAACAAUGUCUGCUCUUGUCCUCUUUGGCACAACUGGCAAUAUUUGUCGGAAAUCGCCACCACAUACUAUUGUAAGUCCUCCAAAAGGUUUGAUAGAACUAUUUUCAUACAUUGUUCUUAGAAUAUCUCUCAAGGUCCUAUCCAAAGCUUCAAAGCAGAACUUAUGUGUCAUAGGCGCUUCAUCCCAAAUGAUCAAAGAAGUUUUCAUAAGAAGUCCAGCUAAUAAGGUGCCUUGUCGGAUUUCACAAGUGGACUCUGCUGUCACAUCCAAAGGAAUAUGAAAUCGCGAAUGAGCUGUCCUACCAUUAGGCAAUAACAAAGCUGCUAUACCUGAAGUUGCAACAGGCAAGACUAUUUUAGAAUGUGAUCUGAGCUUUGCAAUAAUUGUAUUCCACAAAAAUGUUUUACCAGUACCACUGUGUCCAUUGAUAAAAAAUAAACGCCCUUCUUCAUUGUCAACAGAAUGCAUUAUUGCUUCAUAGGCUGAUUUUUGGCAAGCAUUUAGAGCAGCAAACGAUUUCUCAUGCAACUUCUUUAAUUGAUCACGAUCAUAAUCAAGCUCUUCAUUGACCAAUCGGUUACCUGAAUCUCUUAUCAAAGAAGAAUUAGGAAGUGGCAUUCCAUCUAUGUCUCUCAAACUUUUUCCCAUUUUCAACAUGAUAGUUUAAAUCUCCAACAAUGUGUAUGCUUCAACUUGUUGCUCGGUUAACUGAAGAUCUUUCAAUCUGAAUUUUUUCCUUUGCAAUGAAGUUAUGUCUUCUGAUAAAGUAGUAUAAUUAGAUUUCCAAAGUUGGGGUGCAUCAGAAACCUGACAAUGAAUGAGUAUCGUGACAAAAAGAUGUCUUAAUUCAUUUCCAGUCGCCCAUAUUGCAGCUUCAGUCAAGCAGUCGAUCCAUUCUUUAUCAUCGUCUAAUAAUCCCAAAGCAUAGCACGCAGCUUUAAAAGUUGGAUAUGUCACUCCAUUUACUGUUCUAAUACUUUCAAAUGAAGUGCUUCCUUUUACAAAAUUGAGCAACAUUCUCAUAUAAAAUCGUUCUCCACUUGAAGGAUGUGCAAAGUAAAUUCUUCCGAUUGCUAAGCCAUUUUUUCUCCUAGUCCAAGUUUUGUCUUUUGAAUUCCAUACCCAACAUGUAGGGAAAUCAGAAUAAGUUAACUCUCGUGCAUCAUCAUAAUUCUUGUUUGCCUCCAACCAUUCUGUGAACUUUGUUUUUUCUAUUCCAGGUAUGGUAAGCACAUUUUCUAAGCACUUAGAUUCUUCGAAUAUUACUGUAUGCUCUCCCGGUAAAUGGAACGGCAAUCUUUCAACUGCUGGCUUUCUGUAAUGUAUGUCAAAUUGGAAGAUUCGCCAGCAAGCUUCGGUUGCUGAUAUAUAUCUGCAGUCCAAAUAUGUUUUGAUCUCGUCCAUUUCUUGGGUAGUGUCAAUAGAUUCCAUUGUUGCAGUUGUUCUAUCAGACCCUUUAUGGACAUACUUGAAAAGAUAUUUAACUGAUCUCGAGUAAUUACAAAUCUCAACAUUAAUAUGUGCAUCAAAUUUGACAAUUAAAUUCCUGUGAUAAGGGACCACAUAUCGAUUAUCCAAGAAGACACCUUUCUUUUCGACAUGAAUACCUGUAUUUCUCCUUUUAUAGAUUGGAAAACCAUUUGUAUCCACUGUUGUCUGAUCAUUAAAUUUUUUUGGAAAAUGUUUUGUGCACUUGUCUUGCAUCAUGCAUGGAGAGUGAGAAUUGUGUUUUCCACACGGUCCAUGAAUCAUAAAUUUGUUAACUGCAUUAUAACCAUCAGGAUCAACAUUUAAGUCAGGGAUUUCUGCACUUAUUAUUUUAUCAAUAUGGUCUGCAGAAGGAUUUUUCAUUGUUGGAUGCAAAAAAAGCAGUAUGUGUGCAUAGGGCAAGCCUCUUUUUUUAAACUCAAUUGUAUAUAGACCUGCCACAAAAUAGAGUAAAAUUUAAAAGUUAGAAAUAUUGAUUUUAAUUGUGAAAUUAUUGUUUUUCCCUACACUUUUCAAUAACAAAUGAGUUGAAUUUGUUAUGGAUACGAAUUUGAAGUGAACUUACAUGCAAUUAUUUUUCCAAACGGUUGAUCUUUUUUCAAAUCUUGCAUUAGUUGGAAUAAUUUUAUCUCGAAAACUCUGCAUAUGAUAUCGACUCGAUUGUCAUCAUUAUUUUGUCCAACUAAUCGGAGCAUGUUAUUUAUUUCUUGCCACUUUGGGUUGCAAGUGAAAGUAAGAAAUAAAUCAGGAUAUCCUGCCCAUUUACAAAUUGCCAUAGCAUCUUGAUAAUUUUGUAUUCUAUAUCGUGGUCCCCCCGUGUGUGAUGAAGGUAGAAUAAUCGAUUUUCCAACUUUCGAACAAUCAGAAUCACCUCGAUGAACAGCAUCCAUCAAACCAGAGAAAAGGUCUGAUCGAAGUUUUUGUUGAUUAUUCCGGAUCCAACGAAAUCUUUCUUCUUCAACUGCCAUGUAACAAUCAACUAUAUAUUGUUGGAAUAGUCUACCAGUUUGAAGUAGAGUGUGUCCCUCAUUCAAUCUUUGUUGCAACCUAAAGCAAUAAUAUUGCCUCAUUGUCAGCUUUUGCCUCUUAAAAGGGCUAUCAGUUAUGUCUCUUAAAGAUAUGUCAGGUCUAUAUCCAUCUUCGCCAUAAGGAUAUAUUAACGGGUAUGUCAUGGGCAUGAAGCUUGGAUGCAAAUCUGUGAUUCUCCGAAGUCCCUUUGUGCGAUGCUCUAUAAUAACAUCGCGUUGAAAGUUUGCUUCACUGAAAUCACCAACUAUUAAGCCUGCAACUUCUGAAACUGUUGGUAUAUUGUAUCGACGACCAUCUCUUGUUCUACUAUUAAGGAGUCGUAAACGGAAUGUAGAUUCUGGUUGUGUUUUGUAUCUAUCCCUCGCCAUUCUAAAAGAUUUGACCAAAUUAUUAUGUUGGUCCAACAUUUUAGAUAGUUCAUGAAGAAUUUCGUGAUCAAUUUCUGUCUUCAUUCCAUGUUUUAAUAGAGUGUUGAUUCUAUUGUCUAUCUCAUUUUCAGUAUCAUAGAUAUAGAGCUGAGCAAACUGUGGUUUUUUCCCAACUUCUGGCAACAAAGAACCAAUGUGAUGAUAAUUCUGACCGCUCAUCCUGAAAACAUAAGGACCUUUUGAUCGAUUGAUUGAUGCAUCAACUCGACCUCCCAUAGAUGUGAAAGCAAACAUGGAGUUAUAAGCCCUGAUAUUUUUUCGAAAUUUGGAACCCUUUUGUCCAGACUCUGCCCCGAGAAGAUAUUUGAGUAAAGGAGGUGUUUCUUUCAUGAAUGGAAUCUGCACACGACCUUCCAUACAACAAAAUGUGAAUUUGGGAUGUGAGACCUUUUUGGUUUUCUUGUUCCGUUCCUCGUACCAUAAAAUGGCACCACAAUAUUGACAUGUGUAUGUAGGGGGUCCAAAAUUCCAAGGCGUUGUGUAAUGAACUGUCAAAUUCAACCAAUAAUAAUAUUGUAACAAAGUAUCUUAUUUCGUCUAAGUGAAUAUGGUAAGAAAAAAUAUUACUAAAUAUAUUAAUAUUUUCAUUGUACAUGUAGUUUCAUGCAAAUAUGUACCAUUAUUUGAUGUUACACCAUCCAAUGGAAAGCUUGUGGACUGAUCUAUAUUCUCAUCAAAAGAGAGACACGCUCUUUUUAGUUGUCCAUGUUCAACUGUAUAUUUUUAAAGUUCCAAAAGCAAUGAAUAAGUUAUUAGUUUCAAGUAUUACAAGCAUGAUGAAUAACUAAUAAAGCUCGAUAAAUUUAAAUAUAUAUACGUACAUGUGUGAAGAAGGCGCUUUCCUCUGUUUGUUUGACUCUUUGGAUUUAUAUGUAAUGAUGUUUUAUUAUUAUCAUAUCCAGCUUUACCAGGAGAUUGAAGGAAAUUCCCAAUUGAAAUAUGUUAGAAAUAUAUAUAUUUGUUAAUAUAUAUUAACAUAAAUAAUUUAAAUUAUAUAGGGAUAAUUUUUGUAAUUUGUAUAGUAGGAAUAAAAAUCAUAUUUUCAAGAAUCACAUACCGUUUGAGUGAAGCAAUUUAUUGUCACUUCUAAUGACUUCCAACUUCAUAAAUUUUGUGUAAAAAUUCACAAUUUGUAGCAUCAAAAUGAUUCUCUUUUUUAAAUCAUGUUUGUAUCUAUUAUGAAUAAUCAUAAUUUUCCGCUUAAAUCUUGCAUGCUUGAAUAUGGCCUUCUGCACGACAACAUAUCCAUUGUUUAUUGUGUCACACUGGAAAUUUGAUGCAUAUUUCCUAAGUUUUAAUUUCAUAAUCCUUUCGUGCCGAGCUAAAGAUGAAAGUUGAUGCCGCAAGAGACAAACUUCUGGCGGAAUAUUCCUUGAGUCACCGAAAUCAUUAAUAGUUGCAGAAAUCAAUUCCAUUUACUCUGGUGAACAAUAAAGUGAAUUCAAUAUCACAAAAUAUUCUAAAAUUAACAAAACGUUUUAUUACAAAUCAUAACAAGAGAAACCGAAAAUAUAAAAUGUUUUUUUUCAAAAGAGAGAAUUUUUUUUUCAAUUAUUGAAAUAAGAAUUGCAAUGAAUUUUUCGAACGAAUAUAUACCAUAUGUUAGAAAGAACAAAAAAAAAAUCACUAAAAACAAAACAAAAUAAAAUGGGAUUUAAUUUAACCAAUUCAAUUUAAUUUUAAACUCAUGCCAGUGUCACACUGGCAUUAAUUUUUGUUGUGCUUAUAGCCACGAACAGAGGCUUUUAGAUUACUUCUUUAUUAGGUUAUUAUUCUUCGAAUUUGGUGGGUAAAUUGUGAGCUUUUUCUGUUGUGAUAUUAUCAAAUCAAUCCAUGCAAAAUAAUCAUUAAUGUAAUGUUUUUGUUAUUUUCAAACUGAUAAAUAAUUAUGAAUUGUUUCCAUAAUUGUGUAUUUAGAAACAACGUUAACACAUUUUUUCGGAACAAACUUCUAAGUUUGAUUGAUUUUACGUCUAAUUACGAUACCCUAAAUUAAUAUAGAAAGUCAACAAAAAUCCACUUUAACAGUUCUAAUGUAAAUUUAAAGGCAAUUAAUUUUGAGUAAAUAUGAACUAAAACAAAACUUGAACAAAAUCUGAAUUUAUAUAUAAUAUUAAGGUAGCCACAUUGCAUUUGAAAAUGUCAAUUAGUGGGAUCUAAAUAAAUAAUCACCUUGGAAUUUUUUAAUGGUUGUAGGAGUUAAUAUUACAUACACGGACUAUCAUCUUUGUUGUACAAAUUUCGAUCAAACAUCUCCCCCAACUUUUUUCAUAAAGUAAUCUUUGAUAUCACCGAGCUAUCCAUAAAAAUUGCCACAAGUGAAUAAUGUAAAGAGAAAAACUCAUUAUAAGGAUAUCAUAUUAUCAUUAAAUUCGAAAGUUUCGAAUUACGUUAUUAUACAAUUGGUUACUUUUUAAUUCUAAAUCACCAAUAUUAUUAUUCCCUAUCUCAAUAUGAAUAUUACCACUUGACUUUUUUAUUUGUGUUUAUGAAGAGGUGGGGUGUGAGGAAAAGGAAAAAAUGUUUUUCUUAAGAAUUAGAACAAAUAAUUAGGCAAUAAUUCAAGGAAUUGAGGUUGUUCAUUCUACAUUCCAUUUGGAUUUACAGUGAUUUUCAUAAAUUUUUUCUUUUAUUAAUUAUGCUAACUGCCAUGUACUGUUGUUUAUUCUACUGCGUUUGGGAGAAGAUGCUUGGGCUGCCUAGAACAUAUUUUCUAAUUAAUUUUUCUUGUGAAUACAUUGAAUAAUCUCUAAGGGCUAUAUCCUUUUUCAUUUUACUUUAACGGUUUUUCUUCAACAAAUAUUGGAUGUAUUUAGUGAAAAAGAAAAUUAAAAAUUAGGAAAGAAUUAAUAAAAUUAGUGAAGUCAAAUUGUCAAUCAAUUCUUAUGAUAAAACAAUAAUUAAAAAAUAUAGUCAUAGUUUUCUUGAUUAUAUUCGACUUAUUAAUCUGUUAAAACUUUUUAUAUCUUUUUUUCCAACUUCCCCAUUUGGUGAACUAUAAAAAUGAUAUGUUUUUUUUCCACUCUUUGUCUCUAUCUUUUUUCACUCACAAAGAGUUAAUAGUUAUUAAUCAAUUAAUUUUUUUUGUUUGCAUAAGAAUUAAUAAUGUUGCACACAUGUAUUGUGAAAUAAUUGUUUGUUCAUAAUUAUUUUUUGCAUUUUUUUAGAAGUCAAUAGUCAAAUUAAUGAUAUUGAAUUAAGACAUUUCGAAGUUUGCUAUUUUGUACUUCUAAUAGAAAUGCUUGCAAAUGGGAGGCAUUAAUUUUUCUGUUUACUUUAUCGAAUUUCAUAAAAUUCAAUUCAAACAAAAAAUUGAAGGUUAGAAAAGCAGUUGGAUAGUUUCAUAAAAUUAUUAUUUUAUCAUUUAAAAGAUAUGUACCACAUCAAUUAGGACUAAAUAUUAGAAUCAUUAGCAUUGUUCCAAUCACACAUGCAAAAUCUAUCACUCAAUAGUCAAGUACAUUGUACAAUGCAGUCGAGAACAACUUCAACAUUUAGUUAAACCUUUUCUAUCUGUUUAUUUCCACAAAACACCAAAUAUCCAGAUUGAUACUGGAUCCUCCGAGUCAAAUAUAGCUAGUUCACGUUCAGAAAAGACCCGCCUCUUUUAAUUGUACCUCCUGCAUGCGAAUUAUAUAACAAUUAAAUAAAACUACACCAGAGAUUAAUUAGUCAAUAAAUAUAAACACGAGCUAAAACAUGUGUUUACUAAUAAUUCUUAAACAGGUCUAAGCUUUCAAAGUUUGCAUUGAAAAAUUAAAGUGAAAAUCUUCAAUACCUCCAUGUGUAAAUCGCAUAAAUUAGACAACCAAAGAUUAUUCAAAGAUUUUUCUUUCUUACCUUAUGCUUUUUCGCAAACAAGUAGAUAACAACAAUUGUAAAGACAAGUGAGCAGUAAUCUGUUAAAACAAAGUAAUCCAGUGUUAAUGAAAAUAAGAACAACAUAUUAUAUUUAAAACUAAGUUUUCAUAAUAAUGAAAUCGAGUAAACUUAUUCGAUAAGGAUAAACAAAUAGAACGCAUUGACAAAUUGACAUCAAAUUAAAUUGAUCCAAAGAAAUUGAGAUGCUCAAAUUUGAUUACGUACACAUUAAUUUUCAAAUAAUUAAUCCACACAUUGUUUUAUUCUUCAAACAUCUUUAAACACAGGAGCCAACACUUUCACUCUUAUAUAUUACUGCCAUAGUAACUUGAACUUGGUGAUCAGCUUUUUAAUUGAUUUGCAGUAGCUCACAAUUAAUUAAGCUUGAUCAUCAGUAGCUAUUAUUGAUCAUAAAAAUAUUUGUUUAAUUUACAAUCUAAAGUUACGCUCCAUACUCUAUAUAUGUGAAUUAUAUAUUUGCAUCAUCAACAUUAACAUUAUAAAAUAAUCUGUGCAAUAGGAUGCUCUUGGAGUAUUUUAUUUUCAUCACAAAAUAUAUUAAAAUUAUAUUAGUCAGAGAAUAUAUCUAACACUUUCUAAACACUAAUAUAUAAUAGUUUCUACAAAAUUAUGAAAUAUUUGUACUAAAAUACCAAAAUAUAAAUAUAUAUAACCUAAUUGGAAUCAAUAAUCAAACUUCAAACAUGUCAUACUCUAAAGAAAUUAAAGCAUGAUAGUCUGUGUGUUUGACAUAUUCAACUAAAUGUUUGAUGAGAAUCUGUGAUUGUUAACAGCCAAUAAUGGUUUCUUUAGCAACUCAACUCAACUCAGCAAAACCGCAACCAAUUACAUUUACCAACUCAACUCUUCGCUUCCCCAAUUUCCAACAUUCUCUUCACAUUUACAAAUGGUAGGUGGUCCUAUAAAUCCCAUUCAAGAAUGAACAAUUUUUUUCAGUUCCUAGUAGGUGAAGUUUCUUCCACAUUUACAGAAAUUUCGACAGCAUCUCCCCAUAGUUCUCCAAGUACACGACCUAGAUUUAUGCAUUCAUCUAGUAUGUACCCAGAGAACAUGAGGAGCAGCUAUCGAAAUUUCCUUUUACGUGAAACAAAACUUCACCUACUUGGAACUAAAAAAAAUUAUGCAUUCCCAAACUGUCCAAGUUGGGACAAUUCAAGAAUUAUUAAUAGACAUAUCAUCCUCUUGUCAUCCUAAGAUGACACUGAUAAAACAUGUGUCUACUAAUAAUUCUUAAACGGGUCUUAGCUUUCAAAGCAUGCAUUGAAAAAAAAAACGUAAAUCAAUAUAUAUAUAUAUAUAUAUAUAUAGUUGAGUUUAUUAACAUUACCUAGGUUUGGCGGAGAAAAUAUGAAGAAGAAGAAGUAGUUUGGGCAAAAAUCAAAGGGUUUUGAUUUUCAUUAUUGAUCAAUUGAAAUAGUAGAGUAGUGGACCUUCUCAGCUAGUUCCAUGGAUGUUAAUAAAUCUAAAAUUUGUUAGCACUUAACAUUUGCUAAAGAAACCGUCUUAAGUUUCAAUUCUUUAAAUUAAUGUUAAUUAGAUUUGACAUUGAAGAUUAAUUAUUCACUAAGGCUUAUCAUAUUUUAAAAAAACGAAUAUAAAAGGUUGCAUAUUAAAUAUGGGAUUAUGCAAUUAAAAUUAAACCCUAGUAAUGGCAUUGGUGAGGGAAGAUGAAAGAAUUCCUUCCUAUAUUAAUUAGUUGAUAUAUUUUAAGCCACUAAAGUUUAAUUGUUGGCUUAAUAAAAUAAAUGAAUGUUUCAAGACUUAUAAUUAAUUAUUAUUAAUGGUUAUAUAUUGUUGAAUUUAAAUAGAAAUAGGAAAAGACAUGUAAUCUUUUGUAAUCUAAUAAUCAUUUUCUAUUUAUUUUCUAUUUUUAAUAUUUUGUAAUGUAAUUAUUUUUUAAUUUAAGCUAAUAUAUUAGAUAUUAGAGAAUAUAAAGAGAUGAGAAAUAAUGAUGUCACAAAUCUUAAAUACUUAAUAUUUAUAGAAUUUGAAGAAGCCAAAAAGCACUAAACAAAAGGUUGAAUAAUUAAAUAUGAAAUUAUGACAUUAAAAUUAGGCCCUAGUGGCAUUGUUGAGGGAAGAUGAAGGAACCUUCCUUUCUAUAUUAAUUAAUUGAUGCUUUUUAAAGCCAUUAAAGUUUAAUUAUUGGCAUAAUAAAAUAAAUGAAUGUUUCAAGACUUGUUGAAUUUAAAUAGGAAGAGGAAAAGACAUGUAAUCUUUUGUAACCUAAUAAUUAUAUUCUAUUUUUACUAUUUUAUAAUGUAAUUAUGUUUUAAUCUCAACUAAUAUACUAGAUAAUAAAGAAUAUAAGAAGAUGUAAAAUAGUGAUGCCACAUCACCUCUUGUAGUCAAGGCUUAUAAUUAAUUAAGAGACAUGGAUAGGGAUGGCAAUUUCCGGGUCCGGGUCCGGGUCCGGGUUUGGCUGUUCCGGAUCCGGACCCGGACAUCAAAUUCUCAUAACCGGACCCGCAUUAAACCCGGAUUUUUUAAAUCCGGAUCCGGUCCGGGUUCAACCCGGAAAAAUCCGGGUUUCCGGAUUCCGGGUUUGGAACCCGGAUUGCUUUAUUAUUAUUUUUUUUAGAGACCAUAUGGCUUACUUUAACAAGGCACAGGGGAUGGUGGUUUAAUGUUUUAAUGUUUUCCCCAACAACACAUUACAGAAUACUUCCUAGAAUUGGUUCAAUAAAAUUUGAUGGAUAUUGUUGUUGAGUUCGAAUUUUCCGUCUCUUUUGGUGGAGGUUUCACAUAUUUUCCUAUUACUUUUUGGCAUCUCUUUCUCUUUUGUCUGGUUUGUUUGUCUUUACUUUGCUGCUUCCUUUUCUCCUUUAGCUUAUUCCGAAGAUGCCUUUCUUUCUCAAAUACACCUUGCCAAACGACCUCACCUGUUGACGGCCAUAACCACCGUCUUCUAGGGUGAUCAGAAUCUGCCUCCUCGGCCAUGUCCUCAUCCAUGCUUUUUAAAGUGCUGUAUGAGAACCAUCUGACCCACAUUUGACCUCUCCGACUCUUAAAGUGCCACGCCGCGAAGGAUCUGAUCUGAUCUGAAGAAGAGAUUACAGGAGAGUUGCAGAGAGAGUGAGAGAUUAAGUGACGACGGAGGACUGAGGUGAGGAAUGAGUCACGGCUCACGGGUGAUUUUCCUUGAGAGAGGAACGGAUUACGGUUUACGAAUGAGACUUGAGAGAUUGAAAGGAGAAAUUAUAGAUUUACAGUAAUUUUUAGGUUGAAGGAGAAAUUUCGAGAGAGGAUCAGACGAACGAGACGAGAGAGAUCUAGAUUCUAGGGUUCACUUUUGUUUUUGUUUUUUUUUUAAUUUUUCUAUUUAUAUUUACGGAUUUACGGAUCAAAAUUAAUAUUAAAAUAAAUAAUAUCCGGGUCCGGGUUCCGGGUUUGCGGGUUCAUCUGAAACCGGAUCCGGACCGGAAAAAUGCGGGUUGUCAAAAACUGAUCCGGAUUCCGGAUAAAAACUAUGCCGGUGCGGGUUGAACCCGGACCGGAUUUUCCGGGUUCAAUCCGGGUCCGAUCCGGGUCCGGGUUUGGUUGCCAUCCCUAGACAUGGAUGAAACUAAUGUUAUUUAAGUAACACAUAGUUGAUUUAUAAGCUUAAUGUGUCAAAAUUGUUUAAACCUUUCCAAGAUUAACUAUUGUUUUCUUAUUAUUUCUUUUAUCUAGGUUUAAAUUUUAGGAGAAAUUUGUCAAUUUUCAAUUAUUGGGUGAUAUUGGUAUGCAAAUGAUGUGUUUUAUAGCAAUUUGAAUCUUUCUCAUCUUCAAGACUAUCAUUAGUCGAUAAUGUUGCUAUUACCUCAGGCUCUCGUGAGUCUAAACAUUUUCUAAUUAAUUGAAAAUGAUAUAAUGAUUAAUUAAUUGUUGAUAAUAAAACCAAUUUAAUACGACGUCUCCCCAUUUCUUUCUUUAUUUCUUUUAAACCUCAAUCAUUGUCAAAACCGUUAAUGGGUUGCAAUUAAACACUUAACAAAUCUUAAACUUGUUGUUAGCAAUUAACAUUUGCUAAAGGAAUCGUCUUAAGUUUCAAUUCUUUAAAUUAAUGUUAAUUAGAUUUAAGACGAAAAUUAAUUAUUCACUAAGACUUAUCUAUAAAUAAAAAGUAGAUACAAAUGUUGUAUAAUUAAAUAUGAGAUUAUGACACUAAAAUUAGGCCUUGGUAGUGGCAUUGUUGAGGGAAGAUAAAAGAACCUUCAUUCCUAUUUUAAUUAAAUUAUAUGUUAUGACGUGAAAAAAUAAACAAUCCAUUUUUGUAUUUUGUAGUUUGUGAAGAUUUGAAACAAUGUGCUUUCUUUUCAGAGUGAUAACAAUUGGAUCCAUUGCUUUUUCCUUUUAAUGUUUUAUAAACAUAUAUUGUCUAUUUGCAUCAAAUAAGUCCCAAUCUCUUUUACAAUCACUAAUAAAACACCUUUCAAUUAUUAAACUAUAAAUAUGUGUCAUUCAAAAUUAUGAUGGAAGAUAGAGAAUUUAGGGUGGGUUUCUUCACUGAAGAGUUAAAAAAAAUUGAAAUUUAAAAUUUUUCAAUAAAUACAAAUAUAAGAUGAAUAGUUUCAUUUGUUCAAUAGACUAAUCAUAUUAAAAUAAUGUUAGUAAGGAAAAUAAUUUAAAAAAUAUUCUUAAUUAAAAUAAUUUAAAAAAUGUAAAUUACCUCUCUCACCUCAUUUUUUAAGCAAAAAUAAAAAUAACUUGAAGUUUUAAAAAAUAAUUGAAGUAAUUUAAAAAUAAUCAAUUUGGAAUAAUUCAAAAUUUACCCAAGAGAUUAUUCACAAUAUCAAUCAAUGAAUUAGAAACAUUAAAUGGUAUAACAUAUAACUAUUAUUUUUAACUUAUUGAUCUCAAUCUUGAGCGUUCGGAUUAGAUCUUUGGGGUUUCAUUUUUUAGAUUUCAGUGAUUGAAAGUAUGAAACUCAAAGUAACAAAAAUUAAAUUUAUAUUUUAUCGCAAGUGAAGUGUAGGGAUUAAUCCAAUUAUUUGCGUCUAGCGUUUCUUUUUGUUGCUAUCACUCUUGUUGAUGAUGAUAAGCCUUUUUUUUUUUGCAUUGUCACUACCAAUUUAUUAUCUACAUUCAUCUAUAGAACGAAGCAAGAUGCCAAGAAAGAAAUAUAACACAAGAAAAAUAAGUUAUCCCAAUCGUUCAAAACAAAUACAUACAUAGCCAGAAAAAUAAGACAUAUCAUAUCACACUUAAAUAUUACCACUCUAAAAAGAAAAAAAGGUCAAAAGACUAACACACAUGUAAAAAGAUGACCAACAACAACACUAAACAUGUUUUGUGUAUUGAUUACUUCCACCAUCACUAACUUCAUCAUCAUCAAUAAUUUGGUUUUUUCUCUUUCUAUUCUUACUGGCAUUAGUAACAUGAAAAUCUCCCACAGAAUCUUCCAAAUUAUUUGAUAAGAUAUCAUGAGGAUCCUGUAAUUUUUUAAUCAAGGAAAUUAAAAUUAUGAGUAAACUGAACAUGCUAAUUUUAAUCAUAAAGGAAAACAACUGGGAAAUAAGAGUAAAUAAAAUUACCAUUUCUUGGGAAUGUUCUUCCUUUCUUUCAUAUAUUUCCACAUUUUCAUGAUCUGUAUUGUUUUUUUUCCUACAAAAAACAACAAUUAAAUAAUUUUUUUAACAUUACAUAUAUUGCCUACAAAUUGAACCUAGCACAGGUAGAUAAUACCUUCUUCAAUUCUUGUUCGAGCUCCAAUUUCUCAUCAGGGGUGAAAAGCUUUGACACAGUAAAAUUCUCAAGUCCCUCUUUCAAAUUGUAAUCAUUCAAUUUCAGUUUGUAAUCAUUCAAUUUCAGUUUGUAAUCAUUCAAUUUCAGUUUGUAAACAAAAUCUUUUCCACAAAGGCUUUGAAUUUCUGCAGGGACAUCCUUACUAUAUAAAGGUAGUCUAUUAAACAACUUGUGGGCUGAUGUAUCAAGUAACUUCUCAGCUACAUGAUUGAAUAAGACAAAAGUUGUCUCUGCCGUUUUAUCCAUGACUUUUAUAUGUAUUUUGUACCUACAUUAGAAUAAUGAAUUAGAAUGAAAAACUAACAACAUAAUGAGCAAUUUUUUUUAAAAAUAAUAUUAUUUUUCUUACAUCACAAGAGGAUAGUCACAUUCCUUUUUGCAAGUGCCACACAUAUAAAUACCAUUUGUAGGUAUGACCUUUUUUAUGCAUGUUUUGCACGAAACAUAGUACCAUCCAAAGGAGUUGUCUAUUUCACUAAUCUUGCCCCGCACAGUAACAAUAUAUUCCUACAAUUAAACAAUAAACAUUUAAAAAAAUAAUAAGGACAUUCCAAUAUUUAGGAACAAAUAACACAAAUGGAUGAGCAGGAAAAAAAUAGAAAAAUCACCUUCACUUGAGAACUCCAAUCAGCCUCCAAUAGUUCUUUAAUGCUCAUCCUGUUAAGGAACAUCUCUUCCUCAAAAGUAAUCUUAUUCACAUUCGAACUUUCAAUAACUUGCACAACGUUGGAGACGGUGGAAAAUCUUUCAAUUAAUGAUGCUACAUAAUCUAUUUGAAGAUUUAUAUAGAUUUUUCUUGCACUUGUGGUAGAGAAAUUAACCUCACCUGUUUAGAGCAAAUGUAACGUAAAACGAAACUUGAACAAAAUCUAAAUUUGUGUAUAAUAUUAAAAUAGCCACAUUGCAUUUGAAAAUGUUAAUUAGUGGGAUCUAAAUAAAAUAAUCACCUUGGAAUUUUUUAAUGGUUGUAGAAGUUACUAUCACAAUACAAGGACCCUCGUCUUUCUUGUACAAAUUUGAAUCAAACAUCUCCCCUAACUUUCCCCAUAAAGUAAUCUUCAUUGUUACUGAACUAUCCAUAAAAAUUAACAAAAAUUAAUAAUGUAAAGAGAACCAAUAACUAAAAAAUAACAUAAAUAACUAAAAAAAUAUAAAGUCAUAGUUUUCUUGAUUAUAUUCAACUUACUAAUCCAUUAGAAUUUUUAUAUCUCUUUUUUUCCAACCAGCUCCAACGAUCUCAAUAUCACCCACACCACAUAAACUUCCAAUAACAUCUGUAAUAUUAUGGAAAAAUAACAUAAACAUGUUAAAACAUAAGGAUUAAUAAUUUCUAAUAUACACUUAAAGAUUAACAAACAUUAAUAAUUAAAAAAAUACCUGAGAGGAUUGUGUUAUCAUUCACACGUAAAUCAAUCAAAUUCGAAGAUACGAAUUGAAAUCCAUUAAUCGGAAUCUUGACAGUUCCUUCUUCUAACCUCUUAAGAGAAGUUAUACCAAGAAAAUAAUCUUAUACUGAUUUGAAAGUGGUCUGUACUCGCCUGUAGUUGAAACAACUUUCAAAUUCUUGACAUUGUACAAAGAACCCUCACUCAACAUGUGCUUAAACCUUGUCACUAAGGUUUUCCUGAUUGUUGCAUGCAUUAGAUUUUCCUACGAAAAAAAAAAAACACAUACUACAUUCAGUGUGAAACAAUUGGGAAAAAAAAUUAGAGAAAACAAUGGGAGAAUAAAUUUUUUAUACAACCUUUUCAUCAAUAAAAAUCAUAUCAACACUAAUCAAUUCUCCAUUUUUUUUAGUAUUAGUAGACUCCCACAUCCUACAAAGCCUAACCCUUAUCAUCCAACUAUCUUUAUCAUUGUUCAACUCAUGAAGAAAAGAGUACUCCAUGAAGCACACAAUAUCAAAAAUUCAAAUAAAUCAAACAAUAAAAAUAUAAGUAUUUUUCUAAAGAGGGCGUUGAUUAAAUAAAUAAAAAAACCCUAAACAUAACAAAUCUUAAAUAUUUAGUGUUUAGAGAGCUUGAAGAAGCCAAAAGGCACUAAACAAAAGGUUGCAUAAUUAAAUAUGAGAUAAUGUCAUUAAAAUUAGGAUCUAGUGGCAUUGUUGAGGGAAGAUGAAAGAACCUCUCUUCCUAUGUUAAUUUAUUGAUUAUUUUAAGCCACUAAAGUUUAAUUGCUAGCAUAAUAAAAUUUGAAGGAGCCAAAAGACACUCAACAAAAGGUUCCAUAAUUAAAUAUAUGAUUAUGACAUUGAAAUUAGGCUCUAGUGGCAUUAUUGAGGGAAGAUGAAAGAACCUCUCUUCCUAUAUUAAUAAAUUCAUGUAUUUUAAGCCACUAAAGUUUAAUUGCUAGCAUAAUAAAAUAAAUGAAUGCUUCAAAAUACUUAUAAUUAAUUAUUAUUAAUGGUUACAUAUUGUUGGAUUUAAAUAGAAAGAGGAAGAAACAUGUACAAAGAAUAUCCACUAAUAUUUUAGAUAUUUUAGAUAAUAGAAAAUAUAAAACGAUGAGGUUGAGAGAAUGUGAAAGAACCUCUCUUCCUAUGUUAAUUAGUUGAUGUAUUUUAAGGCACUAAAGUUUAAUUGCUAGCAUAAUAAAAUUUAAAGAAGCCAAAAGGCACUCAACAAAAGGUUGCAUAAUUAAAUAUGAGAUUAUGGCAUUAAAAUUAGGCCCUAGUGGCAUUGUUGAGGGAAGAUGAAAGAACCUCUCUUCCUAUAUUAAUAAAUUCAUGUAUUUUAAGCCACUAAAGUUUAAUUGCUAGCAUAAUAAAAUAAAUGAAUGCUUCAAAAUACUUAUAAUUAAUUAUUAUUAAUGGUUACAUAUUGUUGGAUUUAAAUAAAAAGAGGAAGAAACAUGUACAAAGAAUAUCCACUAAUAUUUUAGAUAUUUUAGAUAAUAGAAAAUAUAAAACGAUGAGGUUGAGAGAAUGUGAAAGAACCUCUCUUCCUAUGUUAAUUAGUUGAUGUAUUUUAAGGCACUAAAGUUUAAUUGCUAGCAUAAUAAAAUUUAAAGAAGCCAAAAGGCACUCAACAAAAGGUUGCAUAAUUAAAUAUGAGAUUAUGGCAUUAAAAUUAGGCCCUAGUGGCAUUGUUGAGGGAAGAUGAAAGAACCUCUCUUCCUAUGUUAAUAAAUUCAUGUAUUUUAAGCCACUAAAGUUUAAUUGCUAGCAUAAUAAAACAAAUGAAUGUUUCAAAAGACUUAUAAUUAAUUAUUAUUAAUGGUUACAUAUUGUUGGAUUUAAAUAGAAAGAGGAAGAAAUAUGUACAAAGAAUAUUCAUCAAUAUUUUAGAUAUUUUAGAUAAUAGAGAAUAUAAAAAGAUGAGGUUGAGGGAAGAUGAAAUAACCUCUCUUCCUAUGUUAAUUAGGUGAUGUAUUUUAAGGCACUAAAGUUUAAUUGAUAGCAUAAUAAAUUUUGAAGAAGCCAAAAGACACUCAACAAAAUGUUGCAUAAUUAAAUAUGAGAUUAUGGCAUUAAAAUUAGGCUUUAGUGGCAUUGUUGAGGAAAAAUGAAAGAACCUCUCUUCCUAUGUUAAUUAAUUCAUGUAUUUUAUGCCACUAAAGUUUAAUUGCUAGCAUAAUAAAAGAAAUAAAUGUUUCAAAAGACUUAUAAUUAAUUAUUAUUAUUAAUUACAUAUUGUUAAAUUUAAAUAGAAAGAGAAAAAAAGUACAAAGAAUAUCCACAAUAUUUUAGAUAUUUUAGAUAAUAGAAAAUAUAAAAAGAUGAGGAAUGAUAUAUAUUAAUAAAGUUACUAUCUAUUAAAUGAGUUAAAUACAAUCAAAUUAAUUAUGAGAAGAUGAAAAGCCAAAUUUAAAAAAAAAAUAUCUAUUUAUUAGAUAAUAGAGAAUAUACAAAGAAGCAAAAUGGUGAUGCCACAUCAUCUCCUCAAGUCCUAGCUUUAUAUAGAUACUAGGAAAUAGAACCGCACUUUGUGCGGCUUUAAAAAAAGAAUUUAGUAUUAUUUUUUUUAUUACUUUACACUUGAUAAAACUGAUAAAAAAAUAUGAAUUGAUUUUCUUUUAAAGAUGACGCAGCCUUAUAAAACUAAUGUUAUUUAUGAAAGUUAAUUAUUUUUUUGUUAACUUUAAAAAUAUAUAUUAAUGUGUAUAGUUAAAUGUAAACAACCUUUUCAUCAAUAAAAAUUAUGUUCACACUAAUCAACUCUCAAUUCUUCUUGGUAUUAACAGACUCCUACAUUUUACAAAGUCUAACCCUUAUUAUCCAACUAUCUUUAUCAUUGUUUAACUCAUGAAGAAAAGAAUACUCUAUGAAGCACACAAUACAAAAAAAUUAAAUAAGUCAAAAAAUAAAAACACAAGAACAUUUCUAAAGAGGAUGUUGGUUAAAUUAAAAAAAAAUCCAAACAUAACAAAUCUUAAAUACUUAAUAUUUAUAUAGUUUGAAGAAGCCAAAAGACACUAAAUAAAGGUUGCAUAAUUAAAUAUGAAAUUAUGACAUUGAAAUUAGGUCCUAGUGGUAUUGGUGAGGGAAGAUGAAAGAACCUUCCUUCCUAUAUUAAUUAGUUGAUGUAUUUUAAACCACUAAAGUUUAGUUGUUGGCUUAAUAAAAUAAAUGAAUGUUUCAAAACUAUAAUUAAUUUAUUAUUAAUGGUUACAUAUUGUUGAAUUUAAAUAGAAAGAAGAAGAGACAUGUAAUCUUUUAUAAUCUACUAAUUAAUUUCUAUUUUUAAUAUUUUGUAAUAUAAUUAUUUUUUAAUCUCAACCAAUAUAUUAGAUUAUAGAGAAUAUAAAAAGAUGAGAAAUAAUAAUGGCACAAAUCUUAACUACUUAAUAUUUAUAGAGUUUGAAGAAACCAAAAGGCACUAAACAAAAUGUUACAUAUUAAAUAUGAGAUUAUAGCAUUAAAAUUAGACCCUAAUGGUAUUAUUGAGGGAAGAUGAAAGAACAUUCCUUCCUAUAUUAAUUAAUUGAUAUAUUUAAGCCACUAAAGUUUAAUUAUUGGCAUAAUAAAAUAAAUUAAUGUUUGAAAAUUUAUAAUUAAUUAUUAUUAAUGGUUACAUAUUAUUGAAUUUAAAUAGAAAGAGGAAGAGACAUAAUCUUUUAUAAUCUAAUAAUUAUUUUUUUAUUUUUAAUAUUUUGUAAUGUAAUUAUUUUUUUUAUAUCAACUAAUUUAUUAGAUAAUAGAGAAUACAAGAAGAUGAGAAAUAGUGAUGCCACAUCACCUCCUCUAGUCCCAACUUUAUAUAUAUAUAUAUCAACUAUAUAUAUAUAUAUAGAUAUAGAUUUUUAAUAUUUUGUAAUGUAAUUAGUUUUUAAUCUCAACCAAUAUAUUAGAUAAUAGAGAAUAUAAAAAGAUAAGAAAUAAUGAUGCCACAAAUCUUAAAUAUUUAAUGUUUAUGGAGUUUGAAGAAGCCAAAAUACACUAAACAAAAGAUUGAAUAAUUAAAUAUGGGAUUAUGACAUUAAAAUUAGGCUCUAAUAGCAUUGUUGAGGGAAGAUGAAGGAACAUUCCUUCAUAUAUUAAUAUUAAUUAAUUGAUGUAUUUUAAGCCACUAAAGUUUAAUUGUUGGCAUAAUAAAAUAAAUUAAUGUUUGAAGACUUAUAAUUAAUUAUUAUUAAUGGUUACAUAUUGUUGAAUUUAAAUAGAAAGAGGAAAAGACAUGUAAUCAUUUAUAAUCUAAUAAUUAUUUUCUAUUUUAAUAUUUUGUAAUGUAAUUAUUUUUUUAAUUUCAACCAAUUUAUUAGAUAAUAGAGAAUAUGAGAUGAAGAGAAAUGGUGAUGCCACAUCACCUCCUCAAGUCCUACCUUUAUAUAUAUACUAGAAAAUAGAACCGCGUUUCACGCGGCUUUGAAAAAGAAUUUAGCAUUAUCCUUUUUUCUUACUUUACACUUGAUAAAACUGAUAAAAAAUAUGAAUUGAUUUUUUUUUUUAAGAUGAGGCAGUCUUAUAAAAAAAUAAAAAAAGUUAUUAACCAGUAAUACAAAUAAAGAAGCAACGCAAGAUAAAGAAUAAAAUGAGAGAAUAUUGUAUAAUGAUUUUAUUCAUUACAAUUGUGUGUGUACAAAACAAAAAGAUGAGCUCUCCUUUGAUAGUUACAUAAUCACUCCAUGAAAUUAAUGAAAAAUUAUGGAUCAUAAUUCCUUGUGAGAUAGUGGGAGUUAUAGGGAAGCUAAAGGUUGCUAAUGAGAGAUAGUGGGGAGACUAAGAGAUAUAUGUUAUGAACAUCUACAUUUAUUUUAAUAAAUUCAUAACACUCCUCCUUGAAUGUUUAUUACAAAGAAUAUGUCUCAUUAAAAUCUUUACAUAAUUGUUAUUGUGUAAUAACAAUCAAAUUAAUUAUGAGAAGAUGAAAAAUCAAAUAUAAAAGAAAAUUUCUCUAUUUAUUAGAUAAUAGAGAAUAUACAAAGAUGAGAAAUGAUGAUACCACAUCACCUUCUCAAGUCCCAGCUUUAUAUAUAUAUAUAGAUAUAUAGAUAGAUAGAUAGAUAGAUUAAUUCAUGUAUUUUAUGCCACUAAAGUUUAAUUGCUAGCAUAAUAAAAUAAAUAAAUGUUUCAAAAGACUUAUAAUUAAUUAUUAUUAAUGAUUACAUAUUGUUGAAUUUAAAUAGAAAGAGAAAAAAAAGUACAAAGAAUAUCCACCAAUAGUUUAGAUAUUUUAUAUAAUAAAAAAUAUAAAAAGAUGAGGAAUGAUAUAUAUUAAUAAAGUUACUAUUUAUUAAAUGAGUUAAAUACAAUCAAAUUAAUUAUGAGAAGAUGAAAAGGCAAAUCUAAAAAACAAAAAUCUCUAUUUAUUAGAUAAUAGAGAAUAUAUAAAGAAGCAAAAUGGUGAUGCCACAUCACCUCCUCAAGUCCUAGCUUUAUAUAUAUAUAUAGAUAUAGAUAUAGAUAUAGAUAUUUUGUCCUAAUUAACUUAAAGAUUUUGAAUCUAAUAUUUUAUAAUAAAUAAAAAUAUAUUCCUAAAAUAAAUAUAAUAUCAAUAUUUAAAAUAUGUUUUAAUAUUUUACAAUCUAUCAUACACAUUUUAUUAUAGUAAAGUAGAUUUUAUAAUAAAUAUAUAAAAAAUUUAGAAUAUGUAGAAUAUUAUAUAAAAUAAUUUUAAUAUAAUGUGUGAGAUAUAUUUUAUUAAUUUAAAAUGUCAUUUUACCUAAAAAAUAUGAUAAAUUAAUAAUUACAUAUUUGAAGUUACUUCAAAUAUUAAAAAAAAUUAAUAUUAUUAAUCUUUUAGAUAGAUUAAAUUAUUUUUUAUAAGAGAGAUUAAAUUAUUUUAAAAUGCCUUAAUUGUUUUUACUUUUAACGUUACCGGCCUUUCUUUUAUUUUAUUGCAAAUUAAUACUAAUAAGAAAAAGCUAGAUCAUAUUCCACAAAAGCAAAUGUGACAAACACAACCAGCUGGAAUCUUUUAAUUACUAUUCAAUAAUUCGAGACGAUUAGGGUCUUUUAUUAAACUACAAUCCUCAAUAAUUGUUUUAAAUUGGUGGCACCUACAAUCCUCAAUAAUUGUACCGAUAUUCACAAGUUCGUGGCCCCUACAAUUCUGUUCGCAAGUGCUCAUUCACAGUCUUCCAGGCCCCUACAAUUCUGUUCCGAUAAUUUAACUGUGCAAGUGCUUAAUAAUUGUUUUGUUUUUUUCUGCAUUCCCUUUCAUGCUCUUAAUAAUUGAAGAGCAUACUUUUCAAAUGUGGAGCCGCAGCUAAUGUCGUUAAUUUAAUUUGGGAUUAAAUUAGGGGACCAUUAUAUUGCAGUGUGCACUAAUUUUUGUGUUUAUCUAAACUCCUUAAAUUUAAGACAUAUUACGGCAUAAAUAAGAAUAUAACAAUAACAAAAGAGUUAGAAAGUGUAGAGAAGAUCUUGCAGAAAUAUAAAUAAUAUCAAUUUUAAAAUAAUUUUUAAUAUUUUAUGAUCCAUUAAAUAUAUUUUAUUAUAUUAAAAUAAAUUUUAUAAUAAAUAAAAACAUCCUAUUAAAAUGAAUAUAUAGAAAAUUUAGAGUAUUUUAAGUAUUAUAUAAAAUAAAUUUAAUAAAAUAUGUGAGAUAUUCAUAGUUUAUUAAUUUAAAAUACCAUUUUAAAAUUAAAGAUUUAUUUAUGAUAAAUUAAUAAUUAUAUUUUUGAAAUUACUUCAAAUAUUAAAAAAUUAAUAUUACUAAUCUAUUAGAUAGAUUAAAUUAUAUAUAUUAUUUUCUAUUUAUUAAAAAAUUAAAAUUAUUUUUAAUUACUAUUCAAAAAAUAUAAUGAUAAAAAAAAUCUUAACAUCUUUAUUAAAAAUUUAAAAAUUUACGUGAUCAAUUCUCUAAAUAUUUAGGGUAUAUGUGAACCACGGUGGAGAAGCUUUAUUUAAUAUUAUUGAUUUAAAUAAUAUGUCAAUUAAAAAUGUGCGGAGAAGAAAUUUCGGUGGAUAUUUUAGUCUUUUCAGCAAUUAUCAUGAUCAGAUCUAGGGAUGGCAAUGGAGAGGGGAGGGGAGGGGACCGAUCUCCCCGUACCCAUCCCCGAUAUUUUGCGUAUGUCCCCGUCCCCUCCCCGUCCCCAUCAGAAUUACUUGAGAGAAUCACCAUCCCCUCCCCGAAUAAUAACAGGGGAUCCCCGAUGGUCCCCGAUCCCCGAAUAACUAAUACAUUUUUUUUCAAUUUUGAGUUAAUCAUAUUAAAAUAAAAAAUUCAAAUAAAAAUAAAGUUCGAAAUAUAUCUUACAUUAAUAUCUAUUACAAAAGUCACAUACAUUAAAUUAGUAAGUAACGCAACAUGCAAGGAAUACAAACUUCUUUUACAAACUAUCAUGAACAAAUUAAUAGUUUAAUACAAAAUUGUUACAAAUAAAAUCGAAUUUAGAUUCAAAAUUAACUUUUUCAAUGGUGGCGUGGGCACUUUAUAAAUGUGGAUUAUUCCCUUUACAACACAAUAGUUAAAUCGGAGCAAAUCAAAAGUAAAUAUUAGAUUGGAUUAGAUUAGAUUAGAUUAGAUUAGAUUAGAUAUUAAAAUUGUGAUUCGCUGUGGACAAUUAUAACAUCUAAAAAUAAAUAAAAAAUAGAUUUAAGUUUAAAAUAUUUAAAGAAUAUUAAAAUUAAAAAAAAAUGUUUGGCUAAUAGAAUCUACUUGGUCUUUUUAAUGUCGUAAAUAAAAAUUUAAGACUUUAAUUAGUUAAUUAGGCCUAAAAAUUUAAUAAUAUAAAUAUUUUGAUAUUUUUUAUUUUUACCAAUAUUUAUAAGUGGAUUCUUUUACUAAACUAUAAAUUAAAAGUGGAUUCUUUUGAAUACAAGUGGGACAGACGAUUAGGCUCUUUUUAUUAAACGCAAGUAAAAAGUAGUCGAAUAGUCUUUUUCAAAUUAUUGUUUUAUUAUUUUUCCUUCAAAAGUUAGCGUGGCUCAUGUUUGCAGGUGCGAAUGUGCGAUGCUCUUUUUUUAAAGGCAAUUACAGUGGGUCCCGAAUCAUUACUAAAAUUUCUCUUCCUCAGCCCACCGCAGCUUCAGUUAAUCAAACUCAAUCAAUUUUCUUUCUUAACAAAAUUCUAAAGAUGUGUAGCAUUUUUCAGAUCACAUGCGAUGGUGCUUUUUUCAAUCGUUGCUUGGAUUGCUUUCUUGGAAAAGCAGCAUACAUACGUAACCUCCAAGAUAAUCUUGAUGCCUUGGAGACUGAAUUGGGAAAUCUGAUCGCUAGAAAGAACGAUGUGAUGAGGAGGGUUGUCGAUGCUGAACGGCAACAAAUGAGAAGGCUGGACGGAGUGCAAGUGUGGGUUUCGAGGGUGGAUUCUGUUAAAACUGAAGCCGAUGAACUUAUCACAGACGGCUCUCGAGAAAUUGAAAAAUUAUGUGUUGGAGGCUACUGUUCCAAGAACUGCAGGUCAAGCUACAAAUUCGGGAAAAAAGUGGCUAAAAAGCUACGGGAUGCGCGGACUUUAAUCAGUGAAGGAGUUUUUGAGGUGGUGGCUGACAGAGCUCCAGAGUCUGUAGCAGAUGAAAGACCUACUGAGCGAACAGUAGUAGGCUUGCAAUCACAACUUGAACAAGUCUGGAGAUGUCUUGUAGAAGAAUCAGCGGGAAUCAUUGGCCUAUAUGGUAUGGGCGGUGUUGGUAAAACUACACUACUGACCCAUAUCAACAACAAAUUUCUCGAGAGUCCAACCAACUUUGAUUGUGUGAUUUGGGUUGUAGUUUCAAAAGACCUGCGACUCGAAAAAAUUCAAGAAGAUAUUGGGAAAAAGAUAGGUUUGGUUGGUGAUUCAUGGAAGAGUAAAAGUGUAGAGGAGAAAGCUGUCGACAUCUUCCGGAGUUUAAGAGAGAAGAGAUUUGUAUUGUUGUUAGAUGAUAUAUGGGAGCGGGUUGAUUUAACAAACGUGGGCGUUCCACUUCCCGGACCAAAAAAUACUACCUCAAAAGUCGUAUUCACAACCCGUUUCAUCGAUGUUUGUGGUAGCAUGGAAGUUGACAGGAAGUUUCAAGUAGCAUGCUUAUCAGAAAAGGAUGCUUGGGAACUGUUUCGAGAAAAAGUUGGGGAAGAAACUCUUGAGAGUCAUCAUGAUAUCGAUGAGCUAGCCCAAAUUGUGGUCAAAGAGUGUGGUGGUUUGCCACUCGCACUUAUUACUAUUGGUCGAGCUAUGGCCUACAGAAAGAAAGCGGAGCAGUGGAGACGUGCAAUUGAAGAGUUAAGGAGAUCAGCUUCAGAGUUUGCAGGUUUGGGAAAAGAGGUGUAUCCUCUUUUAAAAUUCAGCUACGAUAGUUUGCAGAAUGAUAGUUUGCAGAAUGAUACGGUUAGAUCUUGUUUCUUGUACUGUUGUUUAUAUCCUGAAGAUUAUGUCAUUCCUAAAUGGGACUUGAUUGAUUGUUGGAUUGGUGAGGGAUUUUUUGGGGAAUCUGACAGGUCUGGUGCAGAAAACCAAGGAUAUGACAUUUUGGACACUCUUGUUCGUGCAUGUUUAUUAGAAGAGGUGGAAGAUGAUAAAGUAAAAAUGCAUGACGUUAUUCGUGAUAUGGCUAUAUGGAUAACUUGUGAAAUUGAGAAGGAGAAUAGAAAAUUUUUGGUUUGUGCAGGUGCUGGAUUAAAAGAGGCACCGGGUGUUAAAGGAUGGGAAAAUGUGAGAAGAUUGUCAUUGAUGCAAAACCAAAUUGAAACUCUGUCAGAGGUUCCCACAUGCCCUCAUCUCCUCACUUUAUUUCUUGACUUUAAUUAUAAUUUGAGGAUGAUCGCGGAUGGCUUCUUCCAACUUAUGCCUUCUCUCAAAGUUUUGAAGAUGUCACUCUGCCGGAAUUUAACUUUGAAAUUACCUUUGGGGAUGUCAAAGUUAGGUUCACUGGAACUUCUCGAUAUUUCAUAUACCUACAUACAAGAGUUACCACAAGAGUUAAAGUUGUUGGUAAAUCUGAAAUGUUUGAAUUUGAGGUGUACACACAGGUUAAAUAAAAUUCCACGGCAACUAAUAUCAAAUUAUUCAAGGUUACGUGUGUUGAGAAUGUUCGCUAGUGGCUGGUUCAAUUUUCAUGAAGCAUCAGAAGAAAGCGUUUUAUUUGGUGGGGGUAAAGUUUUGAUACAGGAAUUGCUCGGUUUGAAAUAUUUAGAGGUAUUGGAGUUGACCUUGGGAAGUUAUCAUGCUCUCCAAAUUCUUUUGAGCUCAAAUAAGUUAAAAAGUUGUAUUCGAUCUCUUUACCUCCAUUUGACCGGAGAUACAGCGUCAAUUAUUGAUGCUACGGCUUUCGCAGAUCUAAACCACCUCAAUGAAUUAUGGAUUGAUAAUGGUAUUGAGUUGGAAGAAUUGAAGAUUGAUUAUACGGAGAUAGUACGAAAAAGGCGGGAACCUUUUGUUUUCCGCAGCCUUCACCGUGUUACCAUAUAUAGUUGCAGUAAAUUGAAAGAUGUGACAUUCCUCGUUUUCGCUCCAAACCUCAAGUCUCUUACGCUAUUCAAUUGCGGUGCUAUGGAAGAAAUAAUCAGCGUCGGAAAAAUUGCUGAGACUCCUGAGAUGAUGGGACAUAUAAGCCCUUUUGAAAAUCUCCAAAGGCUUAAUUUAAAAGAUUUGCCAAAUUUGAAGAGCAUCUACUGGAAGCCAUUGCCUUUUACUCGUCUGAAAGAAAUGGCGGUACUUGGGUGCGAUCAGCUUGAAAAGCUUCCGGUCGAUUCCAACAGUGCAAAAGAGCGUAAAUUUGUAAUUCGUGGAGAAGAAGACUGGUGGAACCGACUUCAAUGGGAGGAUGAAGCCACUCAAAUUGCUUUUCGUUCCUGUUUCCAACCUUAUUCCUGAGCGGUGGUCGCAAAAUUUGAUUUCUGGUGAGUGCGUUUUUCUUUGAACUCUUGUACAUAUUCUUGUCGUUUGCUUCACGCAAAACACUAGGUCUUUUCUUCAGUCCGUUACCUACACGCAAAACACUGGUUCUUUUCUCUGUUUUUAUUUCAGUUAGUUUCUCUCUCUCUCUCUCUCUCUGUGUCUUCUGUAAAUCACAAUUAAAUGUUGAAUUAAUGGAAUUAAUGCUUCAUAAAUUUGCCGGCACUGCCGUUACUUUAUUUUAGGGGGGUCGAAUUGGUGCUCUGGUUUUUUACUUUUUGCUGUCAAAUUUUGGCCUUUUUUUUUUUUUUAACAAGUUGAUACUUUAUUUAUAUCUUCUUAGCGAUUUAAUUUCCUGUCAAAAGAGGAACGAGAAGAACAUAUGACUUAAACCAAUGCUCGCAUAAACUUGCUGUAAAAAGAUGUAAUCUCACUGAAAUGCACACGUCUAGAAUGAAUAGAAUUAAAACAGGGAAAAUAUUAAGUAUAUUAGCCCUCUUUACCGAAAAUCAAAUGACAAUAAAUUUUUGGAAGUUUUGAUUUUCUACGGUCAAUUCGACCUUUUGCAAUUUCUUCUGUUCUAACAAAAACCAAAUUCUUUGUUCAAGUAUUUUCGUUUGGGUAUCAAGGAUCUCUAAUCAAUAGCUGGAAGCAAUUCAGAGGGCGCCGAGACCCGAUCCGACCUAGGCCCAAGUUUGGUCUUAAAGCCUGGGCUUGAGCCUGACAAUUAAAUUAAAACAUUAAUUGAUUUAUUGAUUGAAUUGUCGUGCAAUUGAUUUAUGGGGGAUGAAAAUUCAACAUACUUGAAAAUACACUAAUCUUAGCAUCAUCGGUUAAUAACUUUUAGAUUUAUGGGUAAUCAAUAGUUAAGAUCAGUUGUCAUUUAUUUUUUGAAAUGUCCAUAUUCAGUGUACAUUUGAAAAAGACCCAAUAAUUUCUCAUAAAUUUCAAUUAAAAAUAUUCAAUUUGUUAUUUCAGUUCUUUUAUUUUUUAUUUUUUCCAACAUGAAAGCGACUUAAUGUUACUAAAUUGAAGCCGCUGCCCCGCCUGUGGUUCCAAACUUUUAUCUUCCUCCUCCUUUAAAUUAAUGCGAGCAGCCUCCGUCCUUGACUAGUUGACUUCUUUUCUUCUUUUUUAAUUAAUUAAUUAAUUAAUUCAGCCGCCCACCUUUCUUUUCCCAAUGUCUUCUACUUUCGAUUUCCUUUUAUUUUCUCUUUAUUUUUAAAAUAUGCUUAUAGUAAUAAUAAAAAAUAAAAAUAAAAAUAAAAAUAAAAAUGAACAUAUUAAAAUAUAAUUUAUCAGAAAACCAAGAUAAAGAAAUAUUAUAAGCACAUCAAUCAAAAAGUGAAAAAAAAAACAAUUUUAAUUUACAUUAAAUAUAAACUUUCAGUGUUAAUCAACUUUUCUAAAUAACUGAAAUUAUUUAAAAUAAAAAUAAAUUAUUCUUCCCAAAAAAACAAAAAUUACACCCACUCUUGGCUGUAUGUCAAGAUUCGCUUUAAGGACUGAAGUUGGUAACUUUUGCAAGCAGUCUUAAAUUGAAUGGCAGCAACCCACGCUUUCAGAUUUAUGGUUAAUCAAUAGCUGAGAGUUGUUAUCGCUAAUGCCGUGUAUUUUUUUUAAUGUUUUUUCUCUCUCCUACAGCAUCUUCUAGGAAAGUGCAUCCGUUGCUAAAAUUUAGUAUUGUAAAUAAUAAACCAAGAAUAAAUAUUAAAUUUAAGAAACUGUAUUGCAUUUAAUAUUUAAGGGAGAAAAAUAAUUGUAGUGUCUUUAUUAAUCAGUAAAAAGAAAAGAUUAGAAUCAUAAUAAAUUGUAUUGUUAUUGAUGUAUUUAUUUUAUUUUAUACUCAAAAUAAAUUAUUUUAAAUUAUUAAAAUAUUAUUAUUGUUAUUCUAAUAAUAAUUAUUAUUUAAUAUUUAUUAAAAUAUUUGUCAUAUUACUAAAAAAGCAAUAAUAAUAAUGAUAAUAUUGGAAUUGUUGUUUUUUAUCUUAUUAUUAAUCAAAACACUUCUGGUUAGCCCAUUCAUACGUGAAGACCAAAACCAAAUCUCUUCUUCUCCUUCUUUUCUUAAAAUACGGGAUGUGUGUGCUCGGACUGCUCUCUCAUUCUUAAAACAAGACUUUUUGAAUUAUCCAAUUAAGUUAAAUUCUGUGGCAUCUGGUAUUUUCAUUUCUUGUUUAUUUCGCAAGUUAUUAUUGCCUAAUGCUAUGUCAACUCUAACAUUAGCAUAUAUAUUUUUUUUUUGGUCGUCUUUUAACACCAAACAUUAGUGUAGGUUAAGUAACAUAAUCAGUACUGGGACAAUUUGAAAUCCCUUUGUGUUUUAUUCACAGUAUCUAUGAGGGUUUAUCCUUUUGCUAGAACAAACUCUAGCAAAUUGUCAAAUGUACUUAUCCUUUCGCUUGAUGACUCAUUUUAAAAUUGUCUUUCAAUGUACACACACAGAGAUAACCACCGACAUCAAGCACCAAGUUUGGAAUUUAAUUGAUAAGCAUACAUUUGAUAAAUUAAUGAAAAGUUUGGGAGAAUAGUUUUGAUCACCCUCGAUUAGGAUGGUAUCACGAAAAAGAUCAAAAAGAAAACAUCGUCUCUUCUUCAACAAAAAUAAAUAUUUUCCGUUAGAAUUUAAAUAAAAUAAUUAUUUUUUUAUUUUUUGAAUUAAAAUUUAAUUAAAUACACAAAUAAAUUAUAUAUUUUUAAAAAAAAAUUUACACCCAGUCACAAGGCUGGCUAUUAAACUUAAAGGGAAGCUUCGGAGACUAAAGUUGGUAACAUCUCCAAGUGGUCUUAAGUUGACCGGAACUACCCCGACUUUAUGUUUGGUAGCCUAGACCUGAUCGGACCUAGGCCCAAGUUUGGUCUUAAAGUCCACAAUUAAAUUGAUUUGUUAAUUUAAUUGUUGUGUAAUUGAUUUAUGGGGAAUGAAUCAGCAUCCCUAAAAUUACACUAAUCUUGACAUAAUGACAUCAUCGGUUAAAAACGUUCAGAUUUAUGGCUAAUCAAUGGUUUGAGAUUUGUUAUCAUUAAUGCUAAAUAUUUUUUAACAUUUUUUCUAUCUCUCUCUCCUGAAGGAAUUUUCUAAGAAAAUGCAUCCACAACACAAAUUUUAAGGAUCACACUAUGUUACGUUAAACGUAACGUACACACACUCACAGCAACAGUAACAGGUCACGUCUUGUUACUGUUGCUGUGAGUGUGUGUAUAUUACGUUUAACAUAACAUAGCAUAGGCCAAAUUUUAAAUUGUAAACAAUAAACAAAAUAUAAACGUUAAAUUUAAGGAACUGCGUUGCAUUUCAGCUGAAGCUAACUUUAAUAUUUUACGAAAAAAAAUAAUUAAAUCUUUAAUGUGAUUUAUUUAUUAAUAUAUAUGACUAAUUUUUUAAAAUAAGAUGCAGGAUGAAACUUAAAAAUAUAAAUUAUAGAAUUAAUUUCUCUCUUCAAUAAAUCUAAAGUUUAUUUUUUUUAUUACAUGCUUCUAUUUUAUUUUUAUUCCAUGUUAAUGAUUGGAGAUUUAAAUCCAUUUCGGAUUUAUAAAUAUGUUUAGAUAUCUAAAUCCACGUGUGAUUCCAAACUAUAACCUUUUUUUUUUUCUAAUUAAUGCAAACAGCCGCCUCUUUGGACUGCUUUUCUUCUUUGAUUAUUAAUUAAUUAAUUCAGCUGCCCACCUUUCUUUUCCUAAUGUUUUCUACUCUCAAAUUUUUUUAAGGACAAGGCUACGUUGCAGACGCUGUACCUAACAGCUGCACCUUAGCCAGCUUCACAAAGGGUGCAUUUGGUAAGCAAUUUUUCUUUCCUGUGCAUAUGUGUCCUUCCACCAUUGGGUGUACGUAACAGAUAAUGUACCGUAACAAGCUCCUAUUUUUAAAUAUGUUUAUAAUGAUAAAAUAUAAAAAUUAAGAUUAAAAUGUAAUGUAAUAUAAAAUUAAAGGUGGAAGAGUAUUAAAAUAAUGUAUAAGAUAUGAAUAAACAAGUCAAUAAGAAAACAAACAAACGGCAAGAGAAAAGGAAUGGUCAUGCAGAUUUUAAGGUGGCAGUGACAAUGAGAUCUCAUUUUAACCGAUAAAGUCUUUUGAAUUUGUCAACUCAAAAAAAUAGAUUCAAAUGUUUUGUAAUAAAUGAAAAUAUAAUAUUAAAAUAAAUGUGAUAAUAUAUAUUUUAAAUAAUUUCAAUACAAAAAACAUUUGAAUGUUUUAUAAUUUAUUAGACAUAUUUUAUUAUAUUAAUAUAAAUUUUCUAAGAAAUAUGGACAUAAUAUUAAAAUAAAUUUAUGAAAAAUUUAAAUUAUUUUGAAUGUAAAAACAUUUGAAUGUUUUAUAAUUUAUUAGACAUAUUUUAUUAUAUUAAUAUAAAUUUUUCUAAAAAAUAUGGACAUAAUAUUAAAAUAAAUUUAUGAAAAAUUUAAGUUAUUUUGAAUGUAAAAACAUUUUAAUGUUUUAUAAUUUAUUAGAAAUAUUUUAUUAUAUUAAUAUAAAUUUUCUAAGAAAUAUGGACAUAAUAUUAAAAUAAAUUUAUGAAAAAUUAAAUUAUUUUGAAUGUAAAAUAAUUUUAAUAUUAUUAAUCCAUUAAGUAUUAAUUAUAAAAAUUAUUUAACCCAAAGAUUAUUUAUAUCCUUACAAUAAAUAUAAAUAUAUUAUUUGCAUUUAAAAAUUUAAAAAUAUUUAAAUAAUAUUAAUCUACAAUUAUAUUUUCAUUUAUUAUAAAUAUUUAAAGUCAAAUCUUUUGCACUUGUAUUUUAUUACAAUUAUGGCGCACAAAGAAAGAGCCAUAUAUGCUUUAUAGCGUUAGAAAUUGGUUUCUUUUAAAGCUGGAAACAGAGAGGAUGAUUAUUAUAAGGAGAAAAGAAAAAGGGAUAAAGAAUAUUAAUGAUUAACAAAAUCUCUCUGCAAAUUGAUUGCAGUAGAAAAAAAGUGAGCUGAGCAAUCUAAUUUAGUGGUAGAGUGAUAUUUCAUUUGUAGCAAAUUACAUCUCAAGGUUAAAGGAAAGACUUAAGAUCUCAGCUUUUGAUCAUAAUACUUUUUUUAAAGAAAAAAAUUAAUUUUAAUAUUUUAUAAUAAAUAAAAAUAUAAUCUUAAAAUAAAUACAAACACACUAUUAAUAGUACAUAUUUUAAAAUAAUCUCAUUAUUUAAAAUUGUUUUAAUAUUUUGUAAUUUGCCAGACAAAUUUUAUUAUUUUCAAGUAAAUUUUAUAAUAAAUACAAACACACUAUUAAGAUAAAUAUAUGAAAAAUUUAAAGUAAUUUGAAUCUUAUACAAAAUAAUUUUAAUAUUGUUAAUAGUGAGAUAAUUCUAUUAAUUUAAAAUGCUACUUAACCUUAAGAUUUAUUUAAGAUAAAUUAAUAAUUACAUUUUUAAAUUAUUUCAAAUAUUAAAAAUAUUUUAAUAUUAUUUAUCUAUUAGAUAGACUAAAUUAUUUAAAUUAUUUUGUAUAAAUUAAUUCUAUUUAAAGGAUAUUAUGAUAAAAAGAUCUUAGUGUUUUUAUUAAAAAUUUAAAAUUUAUAUGACUAUUUCUUUAAAUAUUUAGGGUAUAUAUGAACCACCGAGGAGAAAAGCUUUAUUUAAUAUUUUUGAAUAGUUUUUGAUCAGUACAAUUGCGUCCUUAUUCAGAAUUAUUGUUCUCUUCCGCAACAGUUUUUGUUUAUCAAAGUCAUCAAUUAAAAUUUUAGAAUUCUUAUCAUCAGAAGUAGUCGUUUUAGAAGUUGGGUCUUGGAUCAAAUUUCUACGAGUGCAUGAAUUAACAAUAAAAAAAAUUUCAUUACACACGGUUUAAGCUACAAAACUACUAUUUGCACAGUUGACUAUAAAACUUACCUCCAAUUACACUAAACCUCUCUAUUUGGUAACGUUGAGACUAAAUUAAUUUUAUUAGCAUGAAAAGAUAAUAGAAAUAUUAUCAUAAAUAUAAUUGUUGUUAAUCAAUUAGUACAUGUGAUAUAAAGGUUAAAUGUGCACUAUAUUUAAUAAAUAAUUAAUGGAACAUGUUAAACAAAAUGUUAAUGUAUAUUUAUAUAGUGUUAGGAAUAUGCAAAGUCAAGUCCUCAAUUUGCAUUAUCCUGUAUAGAAUAUUACUCUAAAAAUGUUUUACUAUAAUUGGCUUAGAACAUUUGUAAAGAAAAUAAUAAUCGUAAUAAUAAAUAACAUACACCGUCACAUAGCAUCUAGACAAUGAUAGAAAAUUAUUAAAGGGAGUGCAAACAAUUAAUUAGAAAUUUUUAUGAUAACUUUUAAUAUUCAUGAUAAUAACAAAUAAAUACAUGUACCACUUUUUAAAAAUAUUAAAUUUGACGUGCUCCAUUAAUAAAUUAUUAUUGUAAUUCAGACUCUAUCUAUAUAUCCUUGCAUUAAGAAUAAUUAAGUCAUAAUAAAAAUUUUCGUAACUACAUCUCAUUUCUUCCUCAUAAUAAUAAUUAGAUUGGUUCGAAUAUUAUAACUAUAUAGAUUUAGGGCGUGUUUGGUGCAUGGGAUUAUGUGGUAUUACACUACUAUUCACAUUAGCUUAUUUCCAAGAAGAUGUUUGGCAAACUUUGACACCUCAUUAUGCUGCAUUAUAAUGCAGCAUAAUGAGGCAUGGGGCCGCAUUACGCAAACCCGAGGGAACCUCGGGUUUGCGUAAUGCAGAAGCUUUUUGCCUCAAUUGAGGCAACAGUUAAUGCCUCAAUUGAGGCAAAUUUAUUUUAUUAAAAUAUUAUAAAAAUAAAUUAUUUUAUUAUUAAAUACUAAUAUAAUGAAUAAAAUAUAAAAAUAAAUUAUAUGAUAAUAUUAUUUUAUUUAUUAAUGAUUCAUAUAAAAAUAAUAUAUUAAUAUUAUAAUAUUAUUUACAUUAAUAUUAAUUUUAAAAUUAAUAUUAUUUAAAUUUAUAAUUAUUUAUGUUAAAUUAUAAAUUUAUUAAUAUAUUAAAAUGUAAAAAUAAUAAUAUAUUGUAAAUUAAAAUAUAAUUGAAUAUUAUUGAAUAAUAAUUUAUUAAUUUAUAUUAACAAUUAUAAUAUUAAUUAUAAUCUAAAUUUAUUAUUUACAUAUAAUAUUAAAUUUUAUAAAUUUAUUUUAUCAUAAUUAUAAUACAAAUUUUAGAAAUUUAAUCAUUAAUUUUUAAUAUUUACUAAAAAAAUUGUUAAAUUUCUACAAUUAAGAUUUCUAUAUUUAUUAUUUUUCUAAGUAUUAAUAAAUAUUAAUUUUUAAUUAUUUAAUUUAAUUAAUUAUAAAAAUUAAUACAAUACAAUGUAACACCAAAUAUAGUUUAAUUAAAAAUUAAUACAGUACAGUGUAGCACCAAACAUUGUACAGCAUUAUUAUAAUACAAUACUAACGCAAUACAGCAUAAUACAAUACACCAGCAUUAAAAUAAUGCAAUACAACAUAAUACAAUACAAUGUACCAAACGCACCCUUAGUGUAUAGCCACAUCCAAUUUAAAUAUUGACCCAAUUGGGAUGGUCCCCAAAAAAAAAAUUCGUUAAAGGAUAAUUCUAAUUAUUUUUACUUCUCAAACGUUAGUGGGACGUUUCUAUUAGCGCACUCGUAAGCCAAGUUGUCAAAUAUUUAUAUUAAACUACAAUUGCUGACAAGAAAAAUCAAGAUCGUGUUGCGCAAGUGGGUCCCGAAUAGGACGUGCCUAAAUCUCUCGUAAGCCAAGUUGUCAAAUGUUUAUAUUAAACUAACAAUUGCUGACUAGAAAAAUCAAGAUCGUAUUACAAGUGGGUCCCGAAUUGGACGUGCCUAAAUCUUUUUAUAAUUUUCCCAGUGUAGCGGACAGAGGUCAUUACUAAAUUUCUCUUCCACACGCCACAGCAGCUUCGGUUAAUCAAACUCAAUCAAUUUUCUUGGCUUCUCCGCUUAUCAAUAUUACAAGGUAUGGGUAGCAUUUUUCAAAUCACAUGCGAUGGUACUAUUUUCAAUCGUUGCUUAGAUUGCUUUCUUGGAAAAGCAGCAUACAUAAGUAACCUCCAAGAUAAUCUCGUUGCCUUGGAGACUGAACUAAGGAAACUAAUCGCAGCAAAGAACGAUGUGAUGACGGCGGUUGUCAAUGCUGAACGGCAACAAAUGAGAAGGCUGGACCAAGUGCAAGUGUGGGUUUCGAGGGCGGAAGCUGUUAAAACUGAAGCUGAUGAACUUAUCAGAGGCGGCUCUCAAGAAAUUGAAAAAUUAUGUCUUAGAGGGUUCUGUUCCAGGAACUGCACGUCAAGCUACAAGUUCGGAAAACAAGUGGCUAAAAAGCUACGAGCUGUGGAGACUUUAAUCGCCGAAGGAGUUUUUGAGGCGGUGGCUGCCGAGGUGGUGCCUGAGAGAGCUCCAGAGCCUGUAGCAGAUGAAAGACCUACCGAGCGAACAGUAGUAGGCUUGCAAUCACAACUUGAACAAGUCUGGAGAUGUCUUGCAGAAGAAUCAGCGGGAAUCAUUGGCCUAUAUGGUAUGGGCGGUGUUGGUAAAACUACACUAUUGACCCAUAUCAACAAUAAAUUUCUCGAGAGUCCAACCAACUUUGAUUGUGUGAUUUGGGUAGUAGUUUCAAAAGACCUGCGACUUGAAAAAGUUCAAGAAAAUAUUGGGAAAAAGAUAGGUUUGGUUGAUGAUUCAUGGAAGAGUAAAAGUGUAGAGGAGAAAGCUCUCGACAUCUUCCGGAGUUUAAGAGAGAAGAGAAUUGUAUUGCUGUUAGAUGAUAUAUGGGAGCGGGUUGAUUUAACAAAAGUGGGCGUUCCACUUCCAGGACCACAAAAUACUACCUCAAAAGUCGUAUUCACAACCCGUUUCAUCGAUGUUUGUGGUAGCAUGGAAGCUGACAGGAAGUUCCAAGUAGCAUGCUUAUCAGAAAAGGAUGCUUGGGAACUGUUUCGAGAAAAAGUUGGGGAAGAAACUCUUCAGAGUCAUCAUGAUAUCGUUGAGCUAGCCCAAAUUGUGGUCAAAGAGUGUGGUGGUUUGCCACUCGCACUUAUUACUAUUGGUCGAGCUAUGGCCUACAGAAAGAAAGCGGAGCAGUGGAGACGUGCAAUUGAAGAGUUAAGGAGAUCAGCCUCAGAGUUUGCAGGUUUGGGAAAAGAGGUGUAUACUCUUUUGAAAUUCAGCUAUGAUAGUUUGCAGAAUGAUACGGUUAGAUCUUGUUUCUUGUAUUGUUGUUUAUAUCCUGAAGAUUAUGGCAUUCUUAAAUGGGACUUGAUUGAUUGUUGGAUUGGCGAGGGAUUUUUUGGGGAAUCUGACAGGUCUGGUGCAGAAAACCAAGGAUAUGACAUUUUGGACACUCUUGUUCGUGCAUGUUUAUUAGAAGAGGUGGAAGAUGAUAAAGUAAAAAUGCAUGACGUUGUUCGUGAUAUGGCUGUAUGGAUAACCAGUGAAAUUGAGAAAGGGAAGAGAAACUUUUUGGUUCGUGCAGGUGCUGGAUUAAAAGAGGCACCGGAUGUUAAAGGAUGGGAAAAUGUGAGAAGAUUGUCAUUGAUGCAAAACCAAAUUGAAACUCUGUCCGAGGUUCCUACAUGCCCUCAUCUCCUCACUUUAUUUCUUGACUUUAAUGAGAAGUUGAAGAUGAUCACGGAUGGCUUCUUCCAAUUUAUGCCUUCUCUCAAAGUUUUGAAGAUUUCACACUGUGGUAGGAAUUGGAAAGAUUUGAAAUUACCUGUUGGGAUGUCAAAGUUGGGUUCACUAGAACUUCUUGAUAUUUCACAUACGCUGAUAACAGAGUUACCAGAAGAGUUAAAGUUGUUGGUAAAUCUGAAAUGUUUGAAUUUGAGGUCGACAGAAUUGUUAAUUAGAAUUCCACGGCAACUGGUAUCAAAUUCUUCAAGGUUACGUGUGUUGAGAAUGUUCGCUACUGGCUGGUUAAAUUUUCAUGAAGCACCAGAAGACAGCGUUUUAUUUGGUGGGGGUGAAGUUUUGAUACAGGAAUUGCUCGGUUUGAAAUAUUUAGAGGUAUUGGAGUUGACCUUGCGAAGUUAUCAUGCUCUCCAAAUUCUUUUGAGCUCAAAUAAGUUAAAAAGUUGUAUUCCAUCUCUUUUCCUCCAGUUGGCCGGAGAUACAACGUCGAUUAUUGAUGCUGCGGCUUUCGCAGAUCUAAACCACCUCAACGAUUUAUUUAUUUAUAAAGGCAUUCAGUUGGAAGAAUUGAAGAUUGAUUAUACAGAGAUAGUACAAAAAAGGCGGGAACCUUUUGUUUUCCGCAGCCUUCACCGUGUUUCUAUUGGGGGGUGCGAUAAAUUGAAAGAUGUGACAUUCCUCGUUUUUGCUCCAAACCUCAAGUCUCUUUGGCUAUUCGAUUGCGGUGCUAUGGAAGAAAUAAUCAGCGUCGGAAAAUUUGCUGAGACUCCUGAGAUGAUGGGACAUAUAAGCCCUUUUGAAAAUCUCCAAAGGCUUGAAUUAUGGGAUUUGCCAGCUUUGAAGAGCUUCUACUGGAAGCCAUUGCCUUUCACUCAUCUGAAAGAAAUGGUGGUACAUGGGUGUCAUCAGCUUAGAAAGCUUCCACUCGAUUCCAACAGAGCAAAAGAGCGUAAAUUUGUUAUUCGUGGAAAAGCAGACUGGUGGAACCGACUUCAAUGGGAGGAUGAAGCCACUCAAAUUGCUUUUCGUUCCUGUUUCCAACCUCGUUCCUGAGCGGUGGUCGCAAAAUUUGAUUUCUGGUGAGUGCAUUCGUCUUUUAAAAGAAGAAUUUAAAAGAAAUUUAUUCUUGUCGUUUUCUUCUCUGUUUUUAUUUCAGUUUCUUUCUCUCUCUCUCUCAAGGAUCUCUAAUCAAUAGCUGGAAGCAAUUGAGAGGCGCCGAGACCCGAUCGGAUCUAGGCCCAAGUUUGGUCUUAAAGCCUGGGCUUGAGCCUGACAAUUAAAUUAAAACAUUAAUUGAUUUAUUGAUUGAAUUGUUGUGUAAUUGAUUUAUGGGGGAUGAAACAUCAACAUACUUGAAAAUACACUAAUCUUAGCAUCAUCGGUUAAUAACUGUUAGAUUUAUGGGUAAUCGUAAUCAAUAGUUAAGAUUAGUUGUCAUUAAUACUAAAUAUUUUUUACUAUUUUUGUCUCUACUAGAGGAUCUUCUAGAAAAAUGCAUCCACAACAAAAUUUAAUAUUUUACAUAAUAAACAAAAUAUAAAUGUUAAAUUUAAGAAACUGCAUUGCAUUUCAGCUGAAGCUGACUUUAAUAUUUAGGGUAGAAAAACAAUUAAAUCCUUAAUGUGUUUAAUUUCUAUCACUUGUGUCAUUAAAAUUUUCUAGCCACCUUAACCAAUUACAUCUCAACCCACUUUUUUUGGAUGAUUUUAUUUUUACACAAUUAUUUUCAACAUAUCAUGAUGUAUUCGUCAAAAGCUGGAAAUGACUGUUGCCCGUCAAAAUUCACAUUUUUUCCUUAACGAUAAAGUUUUAAUAUAAUUUUGAAGUUAUAACGUCAUAAAUAUAUUGCAUAAUAAUAAGAAAAAGGACCUAAAUGGUAAAAGUGAUAAAUAAUAAGAUCGAAGUAUCAUUUUCCAAUGUUAAAUGAGGCAAUGCCAUUCUCCGGUUCUCUUCUUUAAAUGCGUGAUGUGUGUGCUCUGUUUUCUCUAUUAUUCUUUUUCUCUUUUAGAUUUUGAGAACGUAAAGGGUGCAGGAGUCUUUAUCUUGUUAAAACAAGUCUUUUCGAAGUAUUCAACUAAAUUAAAUCAUGGCCUAAUGCUGUGUCAAUUCCAUCAUCAGCAUUUUUUUUUUCCUUUUUAACACCAACAUCAGUGUAUGUUUGGAUAAUUUGAAAUCUGUUUGUGUUUUAUCUCAAAGUAGAGCUUCAAUCAAUUUGUACCUCACAAAUUCACAAUAUCUAUUAAGGAUAAUAAGACCGAACUCUGGCAUAUUGUCAAAUGUGCUUAUCCAAUUCCAAAUUAAAAUGUUGACAGUGUUUCAUCAACCAAGAACUUGUCUUCGAUAGUUAAUCGGAUUAAAGGGAAUAAUUAAUGAGAGCAAUUAAUUAAUAUUAGCCGGCAUCGUCUGUUUCAUAGGUACUCGUGGUUCACUAACAUAAGCGUUGAAUUUGUAUAGUAGCUUGUUCCUUUCCUUCGGUUUUACUUAAUGAAAACCUUGGCUAGAUCGUACACCAAUGUAAAAUCGAAAACCCUUAUGCCACGAAGAGUUCUUAGUGCAAUUGAGAUCAAUGAUAAUCAGCUGAUAGGGAAAACAUUGUCUGAUUGUCAUAAACAAACUUCUUGAAAAUGCCAUCAGUAACAUGGAAGAUUUGGAGGUUAUUCAAAUGCUGACUUCAGGAAUGCAGAUUAAUAUAUUAUGGAGACAGAUUGAGUGCAAUGGCUAAUUGUAACAGGGAAUUUUUAUUGUACAAACAGACCAGCCAGCAAAGAAUAUUCCAAAUCUAGGACUAAACAAGUCAAUAAUAAAAUAAACAAACGGCAAGAGAGAGUGAUUAUAUCUACAACACCAUCGGCUACUACAAAUUCAACUUUUCAACAGUUGUUACUCACCAUGAACAGAAAAAAGAAAAUUACAACAAAAAAUUGGUUGCUAAAAGACGUCUAUUCAUGGUAAUGCCUCUCAAAUGGGUUCAAAACAUGGAAGAAAAGCAUUUAGUGUGGCUUCAUCGUCCCAUUUCAGCUCACUCCACCAGUGUUGCAGGGGCUUAGUCAAAGUGGCUUUCAAGAAGUUUUAUUACCACCUCAGUUCAAAUCCUAAGAGAGGUAGGAGGAUAAAAGAAUUAAUUUGGACUUUACCUAGCCCUCUACCUUUGUUAAAUUUAUGUUAAAAAAAAAAAUAGAUUUGAGAUUGGUAAUAUCCUUAUUUUUUGUUUUCAAAGGAAACUGAUUUAGGACCAAUGAGACUUUGAUCCAAUGGGAGAAGCCUUUCACUUAUAAUGUUAAGUAUAAGGGUUCGAUCCUCCAUAAGAGCUUUAUGAAGGUUAAUUUCAGUACUUCCUUAGUUAUCAGUUAAUUGAGUGGAGACAGUCUCUCCCUUACGAAAUGUGAGUGGAGUAGGCACCCCUCGAAUAUUAGAGAAGGUUUAAAGUAUCUGAGCAAGUGCUUUAGUGGGUUAAUAUAUGGCGGUAGUUCCAGUUGUUUAGUAUGAUUGUAGUACGAUUGUAUAUAUUAAUUGUAAUAUCUAAUGUAAUAUCAAUAACAAUCUGUGCAUAACAGAAUUCAAAAAAAGAAAAGAAAAAAGAAAACUGAUUUAGGUGGUUUCUUGGUUAAGACUUUUUCUUUAGCAUACUUAGUUCCACGUGCUAUUUAGAUAUUUUUCGACAUACUUAUUACUUAGUUCCACAUGCUAUUUAGAUAUAUUUCGACCAAAUGAACAAGCGCAAGCCAUUGACACUUAGCUUAAUUUCAGGGUCAAGCUAUAUUUGAAACUCAAAUAUUAACCUAUUAAUAUUUUCAAUUCAUUCAAUUAUAAAUUAGAGAUGAUAGAAAUUCUCAUAGGAACAGGGGCCCUAGGGGAUUUUAGAGGAUUUUUCCCAUUCGGGAAGGGUAGGAGACAAUUUUAUAUCAAGUUUCUUAUUCCCAGAGACUAUAAUAUUUUUUUACCUAAUUUCUUAUUCAGGGAAGAUAUGGAGAUGAUGUGGACUUUCCAUCCCCUCCCAAUUCUCCAUUUUUAUUUUUAAUUUUUAUAUUAUUUUUCUAGAAUUAUUAGUGAAAAUAAUAAAAUUUAAAUUGUAAAAAUUUUAUUAAUGAAUAAAUAAAAAUAAAAAUUUUAGACACCUUUUUCCCAAACUUGUAGCUUGACUUGCAGUUCUUGGAGCAGUAGCCUCCAAGACAGUUUUUCAAUUUCUCGAGAGCCGUCCCUUGUCAAUUCACCAACUUCAGCUUCCACAGCCGCCACCCUUGAGGUGAUGUUUGGUUGGGAGGAGAGAAUGGGGGAGAGGAAAGUAAUUUAAAUUCUACUUUUAUUUUUAUUGUUUGGUUGCACGAAAUAUAUAAGAAUUUAAUUUCCAUUAGAAUUUAAUAUCCUUUAUAAUCUAGAAUUUGAAUUCCACACCAAAGAGUGAAGAAUUCAAAUUCCUCUUAGGUUGAAAACCCAAGUUUCCAAAUUUGUCCUUCAACAUUUUAACUUGUUUAAUGCUAUUAAUAAUUAUUAUUUAUAAUUUUAUUUUAUCAAUUUAAUAUUAUAAAUAAUUUAAUAUUAAUUAAAUUUAAUGAAUGAUUUAAGACAUUUAAUAAAAUAAAUAAACUUAUUUAUUUAUUUAAUAUGCAAAUAUAUAAAUAUAAAUUAACUAUCGCCGGAACUUCGCUGGACCGUCGCCGGAAGCUGUCGAAAUUUCACCGAAAAGUCACCAACCACUGUUGAUCGGCGUUGGCUUAUGUUGACCGCUACUGUUGACCGGCUUUUAUUUAUAUUAAAUUAUAUUAAAUAGUUUAGUAUAUUAAAUUAUUUUAUAUUUUAUAUUAAAUAUAAAUCAUGAAUUGUUUCAUAACUUUUUGAAAUUAAAAAAAAUUGGUAUUAAUAUUAAAUUAUAUUUUAUUACUAAUAUAGAUAAUUUAGUAUUUAAGGUAAAGGAUAAAUUUGUCCAAAGAAAAAAAUUAUAAUUUCUUUCCUUAUCAAAUUUGAUGUCAAACCAAACAUUGAAAUUUAAUUUUAUUAAUCUCUUCCACUCAUUUCUCCUCCAUUCCACUUUUUUCUUCUCCUCUCCUUUUUUAAAACCAAACACCACCUGAAAGCCAACCUUGCACUUUGUUCAGCCGUCUCAGUUGUUGCUGCUCAGGAUUGGCGACCCUCAUCAUCACAUCGUUCUUUGGUUCAAUUAAUUUCUGCAAUUCGGUCUGGAUGGCAACCAGGUUAUCUUCAAGCUGGCUUAAAUAUCAUGCUUUUCUGCGGGUACAAUUUAUGAAGCCAGUGAAAAUUACGCAUACAAUAGGAGUGCAACACAGUGUGUAUUCGGUUGUGGUGUCUAUGAUUUUGCAGUCGCAGAAGCUUAUUCACCUUAUGAAGACUGAUCAGGUGGGCACCGUCGCUCUCCUUACAUUCUUAUGGAGAGCGAUAGUCCAUGUAGUCAGAUCUCACUGAGAGAACUAGCCGAGUGGGCAAUCGCUCCGCCUGAUCAAAAUUUGUCAUCUUAUAAUAAUAUCUUGAGUAGGUCUUGAAUUUUUUUUCCAAUUUUAAUCUUUAAAAGGUAGAAGAGGUGAAAAAAACCUAAAUAGUAUUUGUGUCCUCCUAAAUAACAUUUCUUGAACAUCAAUGGAUCUUAAAACUUAAUUAAGAAAAUAUUAUAGAUUUAUAAAUUAGUGGCCCUUAAAAUUUAUUUGCAAGUAACAAUUAGAGAAAAGUCGUCAGGCCCAAAAGACUUAGAGCAUCACCAAAAGACUCUUCAAAUAAGAUUUUAUUAAUUAUUUGAAGAGCCAUCUCAAUAUUUAAGACUCCAAAAGACACUCCAAUUAAGAUUCUUCAAAUAAGAAAUAAUUCUCUCUCUUCAAAUUUGGAGAGUUGAUUUCUCCCUCUUCAAUUUAUACUUUAUUACUUUCCAUUGGAGAAAAAGAGAGAAGUGCUUUAAUUGCUAUUGACUUUUUCUUUAAAAAAAUAAUUAUUUGAUUAAAAUAAUAUUAAGUUAUUUCUAUUUGAAGAGUCUUUUGGAGAAUAUUAUUUUUUUUUACUCUUCUAUUUGCCACAUAGAUAAGCAAAUAGAUAUUUGAAGAGUAAAAUUUAUAGAGUCUUUUGGAGAUGCUCUUACUAAAAGUCGGCAACUCGUCAUGACCAAAAUUCUUCCGAGUGUGAAAUACGGCAUGCGCAGAUGCAUUAAAAACAAAAGCCAGCUAAGAUAUUCUUUGUAUACUUGCAUUCCCUAUCAUCUUAUUAAUAAUUUCAGACACGUCGUUCGUUCCCUGUGACUUUUCAUAUGCAACAGCACAGUCAGUGUUACAAUUUACAUUUCGAAUUGGGUGUCAUCUAUAUACUCUACCUAGAUCUAACAUGAUAUUGCAGUAUUGCACUGAUUUUUUUGUCGCAGCGUUUCUCUAUGAAUUCCUUAAACUUUAAACACAUCAUGGAAUAAUUAUUUUCUUAAAGACCAAAUUAACAUAAUUCUUAAAUCAUUUAUAAAACAACAUUUAUCAUAUAACAGAUCGUACACGAAUCAAUUUUCCUUGAACAGUAGCAAACAAACAAGAAUCUCAACCACAUCACGAGAUCGCCCACGUCAAACCAAGUAUUCUUAAUGAGUGGACCAGCUAAUAUAUUCAAAAUUGGAAUUAAUUGAGGAUAAUGAUUAGUGCUAAUACAUUUGCAAAGAAAAAUCAUGCCUAUUGAAAAACUCAUCUUAUUAGCAGCAGCGUUAUAAGUAGCAUCCAAUCAUAGUUUCACGCAAGAUUUUGAGAUUAUUCAAAUGCUGAUCCCGGGAAUGGAGAUUAAUAGAUAAUGGAGACAGGUUGACUGCAAUGGCUAAUUGUAAGAGGGAUUUUUAGCCGUAAAAACAGAUCAACUAGCAAAGCAAAUUCCAAAUCUUGGAAUGCAGUAGCAAAAAAACGAAACAAACAAAUGGCAAGAGGAAGUGACUAUACAACAAUAACAUCGACUUGCAAUUCAACAUUUAUACAGUUUUACACACCAAGAAAAGAAAAAAUUACAAUAGAAAUUUGGCCACUAAAAGAUGCUCGUUCAUGCUUAUGCCUGUCAUAUGGAUUUGAAACAUGGAGUAAAAGCAUUUAGAGUGGCCUCAUCCUUCCACUGCAGCUCAUUCCACCAGUAUUGCUCUCCCCUAAUAACAAGUUUUCGUUCCUUGGCGCUGUUGUAAUCGAGUGGAAGCUUCUUGAGAUUCGGGCAGCCAGAUACAAACAAUUCCAAGAGAUUUGGAAAGGGCAAUGCAUUCAAACAGAUCUUCUUCAGAUUUCUUACAACUUGCAACCGAAGAUAUUGGAGUUUCGAAAAAGUUUUUUGCACUGGAACUUCUGGAACUUCUUCCAAUUUCCAAACACUGAUUAUUUCUUCCAUCUCAUAACAACGUUCUACAUGGACCAUCUUGAGAUUUGGGGCAAAAACAAGCCAUGUCAUCUCCCUCAAUUUACUGCAAUAGUCUAUGGUAACACUUUGAAGGCUGUUGAAACCAUAAAGUUCUCUUGUUGUUUGAAUUUCUGCAUAGUCAACCUUUAGCUCUUCCAAACUUGUACAAUACACAAAAUCUAGUUUGUCAAGAUACUUGAGAUCUGCUAUGGACAAAAUAUUCCAUGACCUUGAAUCCUCACAGCGGCGAAGCUCUAAAGCAUAUUUACAACUCUUGUACUGUUGGCAGCUCAAAAGUCUUCGUAGAGCAUAAAAACUUCUUAACGUGACGCUUAAUACAUUUAAAUGUUCCAAAGUAAUCAACUCCUCUACCAAAAUUUCACUACCACCAAAUAGAACGCUAUCUUCUGGUACUGUAUUAGCAGAGCCACAAUCUAGCAUCCUCAACACCUUUAACCCAGAAAAAUUACAAAGCAGUUGCCGUGGAAUCGUAUGGAGAUAACGCAUGUACUCCAAGUUCAAACACUUUAGAUUUUUCAAGGCUUUUAAUUCAUGUGGCAACUCUUUGAUGAAAGUUUCUGAAAGAUUAAGAUAUUGUAGUGAAACCAAUUUUGAAAUUCCUGAAGGCAAUUGACUCAAGGAGCGAUUCUUUGAUAGGUUUAAAACUUUAAGAGAAGGCAUAAAAUCGAAGAAAUCACUAGGGAUAGUAUCUAACAUAUUAAUGCCGAGGAACAAAGUUAUAAGAUGAGGGCAUAUUGGAGUUAUUGGUAAAAUCACAAUUUUAUUUCUCAUCAACGAUAUCCUUCUCUUAUCUUCCCAUUGUUUAACUUCGGGUGGUUCAGUUAAUUCAAUACCGGCAGAAACCAAAAAGUUUUCAUUCUCCACUUCACAGGCUAUCCACAAGGUCAUAUCACGAAUCACAUCAUGCAGUUUUACAUAAUCUGAUCCUGCUUCUUCCAAUAGGCAUGCAUGAACAAGAACACCAAUAAUGUAGUAUCCUUGGUUAUGUACUCCAUUAAUUCCUUCAUAUUCCUUCAGAAAACCCUCACCAAUCCAACACCCUAUCAAUUCAAUUUUGCUAAUUUGAUAAUCCUCAGGAAAUAAACUACAGUAUAACAGACAAGAUCUAAGGACGUCACUAGACAAACUAUCAUAACUGAAUUUUAAAAGACGAAACACCUCUUUCUCCAUACCUGGAAAUUCAUAAGCUGAUCUCCUUAACAUCUGAAUUGCAUAGCUCCAUUCUUCGGGUGUCUUCUUGCUGCUCAUGGCACGACCGGUGGUAAUAAGUGCAAGUGGCAAACCACUACACUCCUUUGCCACAGUUUGGGCUAACUCCGGAAUAUCGGGAUGACUUUCAAGAGUCUCUUCUCCGACCUUCUUUAGGAACAAUUCCCAAGCAUCUUGAUCUGCCAAACACUCCACCUUGAACUUUUUUUGAGCUUCCAUGAGGCCACAGACGUCCACAAGACGAGUUGUAAAGACUAUCUUUGAUGCAUUUCUUGAACUCGCAGGAAAAGGGACACCCACUUUGGCUAAAUCAAUUCUUUCCCAUAUAUCAUCUAACAAUAGCAGAAAUUUCAUUUUGCUCAAUAAAUUGAAUAUGCCUGAUGCUUUCUCUUCAAAGCUUCUAUUCUGAAGCCAUCCUAUUCUUUCUCCGAUUUUCUGUUGUAUUCUCUCAAGUUGCAUGUCUUUUGACACCACCACCCAAAUCACAAUAUCAAAAUAAUUUGGUGUAUUAAGGAACCUGUUGUUGAUUUGGGUUAAUAGUGUAGUCUUGCCGACUCCCCCCAUGCCAUAAAGUCCGAUGAUUCCAAAUUGUCCUUCUACAAGACAUCUCCAAACUUUAUCAAAUGUUGAUUCUAGGCCGAUUAUUGUUGGCUGAAGAGGCCUUUCAUCCACUGCUGGUUGUGGUACCUUUUCAGCUACCACUGCAAAAGCUCCAUCAUCUAUUAAAGUAGCCACAAGCUGCAGCUUUUUAGACACCUUUUUCCCAAACUUGUAGCUUGACUUGCAGUUCUUGGAGCAGUAGCCUCCAAGACAUAGUUUUUCAAUUUCUUGAGAGCUGUCCCUUGUCAAUUCACCUACUUCAGCUUCCACAGCCUCCACCCUUGAAAGCCAACCUUGCACUCUGUUCAGCCGUCUUAGUUGUUGUUGCUCAGCAUUAGCGACCCUCAUCAUCGCAUCGUUCUUUGUUUCGAUUAGUUUCUGCAAUUCGGUCUGGACGGCAACCAGGUUAUUUUCAAGCUGGCUUAGAUAUGCUGCUUUUCUGCGGGUACAAUUUAUGAAGCCAGCGGAAAGGGCAUCACAUAUAAGUUGGAUUCCCAAAAUAUUACCCAUAGUUUGUAUGAGAUUCAGAGUACAAUAGAAGGAAUGCAACACAGUAUGUAUUCGGUUGUGGUGUUUAUGAUUUUACAGUCGCAGAAGCUUAUUCACCUUGUGAGGGCUGGUCAGGUGGGCACCAUCACUCUCCUUACGCUUUAUAGAGAGCGAUAGUCCAUGUGGUCAGAUCUCAUUCAGAUAACUAGCCAAGUGGGCAAUCGCUCCACCUUAUCAAAAUUCUUCAUCUUAUAAUAAUAUCAUGAGUAGGCCUUGAAUUUUUCUUUUAAUUUUAACAUUUAAAAGGUGGUGGUGAAAAAGUCUAAAUAGUAUUUUUGUCCUCGUACUUUAAUAACAUUUCUUGAAAGUCACUCGAUCUCAAAAUUUAAUUAAGAAGAUAUUAUAGAUUUAUAAGCCCUUAAAAUUUAUUUGCAAGUAAGCCCAUAAGACUUACUAAAAGUCGUCAACUCGUCAUGACCAAAAUUGAAAAUUCUUCCGCGUGUGAAAUACGGCAUGCACAGACGUAUUAAAAGCAAAGGCCAGCUAUGAUAUUCUUCGUAUACUUGCAUUCCCUAUCAUCUUAUUAAUAAUUUCAGACACGUAGUUCGUUGCUUGUGAUUUUUCAUAUGCAAAAGCACAGUCAGUGUUACAAUUUACAAUUACAAUUGGGUGCCAUCUAUAUACUCCUUCCUUGUUUUCAAAAUAUGUUGUAGGAUGGGUAAUUGUAACAAAAGUGAUUUUUAAAAAGAUUUAUUAUAAUAUUAAAAUUAACUUUUAAUUUUUUUAAAUUAUUUUUGAGCUUUCUGAAAAAAAAAUCCUAAACCGGUCUCAGAAGUAUAAUUAGAACCACGAAUUUAUAAAAUGAUCAAAGGAAUCCAUCGCCUAAUAUUAUAGUACGCAAUGGAUUGCUAUAAACUAAAUUGCUAUGAUCUCACUUCAUAAUAAUUUAUUUUCAAUCUCCAUCAUGGUAGAAAAAUUUCAUCAAUCAACAUACCCUACCACCACCCAAUAGUCGACCAUUUAUCAUCUUCUAUCCGUAAAAAAACGAAAAAAAAAAAAGAGAAAAGGAAAAAUUUAGUCCACAAAAGAAAAUAUCGCAAGACCAAACAGAGAGAGAAAAUAGAAAAAGCAAAGAGCUGUACUGAAUACCGGCGGUGAUGGCUCGGUACUUGACCAUUUAGGUUUGAUUCUGCAUUAACAUAAUAUUUUUUCUGCACUGCAUUCACAUCACAACCAUUGAAUAGUCGUGAUCUAUUUUUCUAAAGCGAAUAAUAUUAUCUUCUCGUGUCGGUGGCUUGAUCAUAUAACAAAAUAGACUAAUAAUGUUUCAAUAGACAUUUUGGUAAAUGGAAGAAGUUAUGAUCUGUCCAUUUUUAUGUUACUUUAUUUUAAUUUGUUAAUUACUAUUAAUAUCUUUGAGUGGGGCAGAAUCUUGACCUAAGAUAUAGGGAUGGCAAUGGGGCAUAUAUGGGUUGGAUUUACUCUGCUCCAUAUCCAAAUCCAUAAUAAAAAUUAAGAUCCGUAUCUGCUCCAGAUCCGUCAUGAAUCCAUAUUUUUCGGUCCAUAUUCAGAUCCAAAAAAGAAAUAAAUAUCUAUAUCUACUCCAAAUCUGAAAAAAAUUAAAAUCCAAAUCUGCUCUAAAUCUGUCAUGAAUUCUAAAAUUCAGUAAUAAAAAAUUAAUAAUUUUUUAGAUUGAAAAUUGAAGGCUAAAAUGUAUUGAUAACAAAUAAAUUAUAUAAUUUUUCUCAAAAAUAUAAUAAAUAUUGUAUCUUAUACUUUUUCACCAAAACAACAAAUAAGAAAGAUAAUAAAAUAUCAUUUAGAAGUAAUUGCAGGAGUAAGAUCAAUCUAAUAUUAUAUUGUCUCCUUCAUCAUUCUAAUAUCCACGAUACACCUACCCUCAUUCCUACAACAUUAGAUAAUGACAUAUAAAUUAAAUAUGAUUUAUAUUCAGUCCUUUAUUAUUUUUAUUAUGACCAUAUUUGACUAAAUAUAUGAAUAACUAUAUUUCUUAAAAAUUAUUUGGCCAAUAUAAUAAAAUAAAUUGCCAAGUUAUAUUACUUGGCUUACAAUUUAAAUAUUGCAUGUACAUGCUUUGGGGUUGGCUGGCCUUUAAAUUUACAAAACUAACUUUUAAGUUUUAAGAGUUUAAAUGCAUGGUAAAUACUACUAAUAUGCUAUGAAUAAAAUUUAUUAUCAUUAUAAUUCCACAAUUGUUAAGAAACUUUUAAAAUAAAAUAAAAUUAAAAGAUGAGUGGAUAUGGAUAUGGAUUUAGAUAUUAAGAUAGAUCCAAAUCUGCUCCAGAUCCGUCUUAGAUCCGCACAUCGAUAUCCAAAUCCGAUCCAAAUCUAUUUUAAACCGAUCCAAAUCCGAUCCGAUUGGAUUUGGAUCACGUGGAUCUUGGAUCAGAUCCAAUCCAUUGCCAUCCCUACUAAGAUAUGACUAGGCUCCACAUGUUAUAUAUUAAUUUGAUUAAGCCCAGCUAAUUGUUAAUUAUUAAUUUGAUUGCGGCUUUUUAUUUUACCCACAUUUUUUACGCGUGAAAUCUUUCUUAGUGAAAAACUACACGUAUUUGCAAAUAUUCGGAAUGGACAUUUUCGAAAAAACAAGUAAAAGAAAAUGACUAAAAAGUAAAAGAAAAUAGACACCCAAUUGUAAUUACGAGUACAAUAGAAGGAAUGCAACACAAUACCGAUUUUGCAGUCGCUGAAGCUUAUUCACCCUAUGAGGGCUGAUCAGGUGGGGGCCGUCGCUCUCCUUACACUCUUAUAGAGAGUUAUAGUCCAUGAUCUCAUUGAGAGAACCAGCCAAGUGGGCAAUCGCUCCACCUGAUCAAAAUUCUUCAUCUUAUAAUAAUACCUUGAGUAGGCCUUCAAUUUUUUUUUUCAAUUUUAAUCUUUAAAAGGUAGAAGAGGUGAAAAAGUUAAAUAAUAUUUUUGUCCUCCUAUAUAACAUUUUUUGAAAAUCACUCGUUCUUAAAACUUAAUUAAGAAAAUAUUAUAGAUUUUUAAGUUAGUGGCCCUUAAAAUUUAUUUGCAAGUAACAAUUAGAGAAAAGUCGUCAUGCCCAAAUGACUUACUAAAAGUCUGCAACUCGUCAUGACCAAACAUCUUCCGAGUGUCAAAUACGGCAUGCGCAGAUGCACUAAAAACAAAGGCCAGCUAUGAUAAUCUUUGUAGUAUUAAUAAUUUCAGACGCGUCGUUCGUUGCCUGUGACUUUUCAUAUGCAAAAGCGGAGUCAGUGUUACUUGCAUUCACUGUCACCUUAUUAAUAAUUUCAGACACAUCGUUGGUUGCCUGUGAUUUUCAUAUUCAAAAGCACAGUCAGAAUUACAAUUUACAUUUGGAAUUGAGUGCCAUCUAUUUAUUCCAGCUAAAUCUAAAAUGAUGUUGCAGUAUUGCACUGAUUUUUUAGUCACAGCGUUUCUCUAUGAAUUCCUUAAACUUUAGACCCAUCAUAGAAUAAUUAUUUUCUUAAAGACCAAAUUAACAUAAUUCUUAAAUCAUUUAUAAAACAACAUUUAUCAGAUAACAGAUUGUACAUGAAUAAAUUUACCUUGAACCGUAGCAAACAAACAAGAAUCUCAACAACAUCAAUAUCAUAAUCCCUUCUGACCUUAACAGUAAUUUUAUUCGUCCUUAAUUCAUAGGUAUAAGUAUCCCAAUAUAUACUUGAUGUCAACCUUUACAAUUCUUUACAGAAUUGCAGCAGACCAAAUUUGUAUGCAAAACUGAAAUCAUACAGUAAUUGAAUACAGUGAAAAUAGACAUGAUGGGAAUUAGUAUAUAUAAAUAUCUUAAUAAUUUAAAAGUUUCUUAAACUGAUUUUACAUAUCUGAAAAAUUAUAGAAAUCGGAACUGCUGCAGAAAUCAUAAUUUUCCAGCGAAUGUGUUACAACUUCAGAAACUCAUAAGAAAUUAAAUUCUUGGGAUCACAAAAUAAUUCAUCAAUUUAAGAGAUUCAGCAGUACUUUUAUUACAUCAAUUCUUCAAACAAUCACCAAUCUAACAUUCAUCAAAAUUAAGUCAUAAAAGUCAUGUGGUUUAUAAAAAGAAUUACCUGAAAAAGAUUAGCCUUCCCCUUUCAAAAGCAACGAGAAACUCCAAAAACUCUUCUUCCAUUGCCUAUUCAAACAUGAAAAAAAAAAAUUAGUAUCUCUUCUUUAAACGCGCGAUGAGUGUGCUCUGUUUUCUCUGUUCUUUUUCUUUUUUAGAUUUCGAAAACGUAAAGAGUGUUGGAGUCUUUAUUUUCUAAAAACAAGACUUUUCCAUGUAUUCAGUUAAAUUAAAUUAUGUCCUAAUGCUAUGUCAGUUCCAUCAUUAGCAUUUUUUUUUUCCUUUUAACACCAACAUUAGCGUAUGUUAAGUAUCAUAAUCCAUAGUUGGACAAUUUGAAAUCUCUUCGUGUAGUUGACUGGCAACAACUAUAUUGGCAUUUAGACAUAAUGUACUGCAACCAUAUUGACAUGUUCAAAUGUUCUCACUAUUGUAUUGGUGUGUCGAUAUUAUCUCUAUCAGUCCUAUAGAUCCAAAAAUAAUCUAAAUUUACAAUUUAACUUAAAAUAAAAUAAUUGGUAGAAAACAAUUAUGGUUCAUUUACUUAUCAGUAAUUAAAAUAGACUGAAAUUAGAAUGAGUUGUAUUGACGUUGAUGUGUUUCUGUUGUCCUCGAAUCGGAAUGAAUUAUUUUAACUUACUAAAAUACCCUUUGUUUGUUAUUCUAAUUAUUAUUAUUUAAUAUUUAUUAUAAUAUUUGUCAUAUUAUUAAAAAGAAAUAAUAAUGAUGAUAAUAUUAUCAUUAUUGUUUGUUAUAUUAUUAUUAUUCAAAAAAAUUGUUGUUAAUAACUAUAAUAACUUUAUUUCAAUAAUAAAAAUGAUAAAAUUAAUAAUAACAAACAUGACAACAACAAUAAUUAUUUAUUAUGCCAAAAAAUAACAAUAAUGAUAAGAAUAAUAAUCAUCAUCAUUUUUUUCCCAAAGAAGCAUUAUCAUCAUCAUUUCAAAAAAAAAAAUCAUCAUCAUCAGCAUUUUUGUAGUGGCUGCCUAUCGGCUGCUGCUUUCAUGUGAGAUUGACUUGCGACGCUUCAACUACUAUUAUUUCUGGCAAUGUCAGGUGUUGUUGUUUCAAUCUGGGGAGAAGCUGUUUCGGUGAGCUAACAAUGGGAGGUGUUGCUGCUCGAUGCGAGGUCCAUGGCCAGCUGUCUUGUUUUACACCCAGCUCUUGUAGGAAAUUAUUCAUCCACAAUAUUUCUUUGUAACCUUCAAUAAUUGUAAUAUCAUUUGCUUCCGUGGUAGAAAAGACAACUCAUUACUAAAGUCUAGAUUGCGAUGAGACUGCCUUCCCUACAAAAGUGAGCAAAUAUCCUCAUAGGAAUCUUUCAGAAUCAACAUCUCUUGCCAUAUCUGUUAAGAAUAACAUAUGCUGAGUCAGCUACUGAGUCAUCAAGCCACGCUGGAAGUCAGUUUUGCAGUUAGUUAGAGAGCUUAUCAGCUUCUCUCCAAAAGUUUGUUAUGUGUAUUAGAAUAUGUGCUCACGAGUUUUGUGAGUUUGUAACCUUGAAAAGAUUCUCACACUACUAUAAAUUGUAUUGUGACUCAAUUAAUAAAAGUUGUUGAAGCUUUGCAUUUUCUCUCAGUCAAAAUUUUCUCUCUAUUUUUCUAAGUAACCAAACAAAAUCUACAGAGCAUUUUGUAUUUUAACUUGGUAUCAGAGCUUGAAUCCAAUGGCCUUAAUCGGUUCCAAUCAACAGUCGAGCAACACUUCCAUAACUUCUUUCACCUUCACAAAUCCAAUUAAGCUUGAUCGUGCAAACUAUACGAUCUGGAAACAGCAAGUACUUUCUUCAAUUCGUGGCAAUGGUCUUGAAGGCUAUAUUGAUGGAUCAAGGAUCUGUCCUAGUCAAUUUCUUUCUCCAGAGGCUAGAUCUGAAGGUUCUUCUUCUUCUAACAUCGAAGGUCAAGAGAAUCCAGAGUAUGCAGCCUGGAGACGUCAAGAUCAGCUCCUGCUCAGCUGGAUUCUGUCGUCCAUGAAUGUAGAUAUUCUCAGUCUUGUGGUAAGCUCUAAGACUUCUUUUGAGUUGUGGAAAAAUCUAGAAAAACAAUUUGGAUAUGAAUUUAUGGCUAAGAAGGUUCAUCUGAAAAUGCUUUUGAGUAACCUGCGAAAAGGAUCUCUAACCAUGUCUGAGUAUUUUACAAAGCUUAAGUCAGUUACAGAUGGUCUUGCUUUAGUUGGUAGCCCUGUGCAUGAUUUGGAUUUAAUCACUCAUCUUAUUACUGGUCUAGAUCAGUCAUAUUAUCCUGUAGUAGUCUAUAUUGAGGCAAACAUGUUGAAAAUGGAUCUUAGUGAGGCUUAUGCUAUGCUUCUCACACAUGAGGCUAGACUUGAGAAUAAUAAGCUUCAUGAUAGUAAAGAAACCAAGAACAAUUAUGCAACAAAUGUAGCUCAGGUUGGAAAUUUUUCAAAGAAAGGUAAUAACAAUAAUCAAAACAACUGGAAGGAUGGAGGAAACAAUUGGAAUAAUAACUCUGGUGGAAGAGGUGGUUACCAAGGGUUCAAUCCAGGAAGAGGAAACUGGAAUAAUAAUAAUUUCAGAGGUGUUGCUGGUGGAUUUAACAGUGGAUUUCCUGGUCUCGUGGCUUCAAUAACAAUUAUGGCAGAGGUGGUUUCAACUCAGGCCAAAAUUUGGUGGUUGUUGAAGCCAACAAAAAUAAAUUCCUACUCUAAAUAAAUUGUGUAUAGUGAUUGAGCAGGGUCGUGUCCACAGAGAUCGGUAAUUAUUUAAAUCCUUUUGAAACGUAAAACGCAAAAUGGGGGAAUUGUUGACAAUAAUAAAAAUCAAAUUAAAGUAACAAGAAUGCAAAUUAAAGUUGUAAUUCAAAUUGGAGAAAGCUCUGGUUGAAGGAAUUAACUCAGCUUGAUUCGACUACUGAUCAUUGAUUCAAAUAUAGAUUAUUAUUACUCAUGAAUAGACCGGUUAUAGCUACUGAGACCCUCUAAUAGCCAAUCUCUCCUUAACUAGUCGAUAACCAAGGUACGACCGUUGGUUAUUUCCCUAAUCAAUAGACAACCCUAGAUACGAUCAUAGAAUUUAAUCAAUUGACAGCCUGAAAAACCAGAGAGACCCAAAUCCUAAUCAACACAUAUGAUGAUUCAUUUAAAUUAGAUUGUUUAUUCUCACAACACAACUCUCUGCUAUGUUAUUUGUCACAAGCAUUAAAUUCUUCAUACGAUGAAUCCUUUAAUUGACAAUAGAUUAAGUUGAUAAUUAAAUAGUGGCCAAUUACCUAAUUAACAAACAUAAUCAUGAAACUAAUUCAGAGAAUAAACAAAUACCCAAAAAGCAAUAAAACAAUUAAAGCACAAGAAAGAUCUCAUAGUAGUGAUGAAUCAAAGCUUCAUUAACCUUCAACCAGAAAAAUAAGUUUAGUUCUUCAUAGAGAGAAGAGAAAAAUUAAAUCUAGGGUUUCUUUCUUUUUUUUUUUUCCAAUCCAAAAAAUCCCCCUUUUUCACAAUAGAUUCCUCCCUUAAAUACUCUCUCUCUCUUCUCCUCUAGAAUUUUAUUUAAAAUAAAAUACUAAUAUCUGAAAUAUUAAAUUCGUAAUUACAAAAAUAACCAAAAAUACAAAACACGUUAAACUAAAAACUGCAGGUCCGCAGUUGACAGCACGCGCCCACGCCUUAUCAAUAAAGUUCUUCUGACGCUCAUAAUUUCUCCAAGAGAACAAUCAUCCUUAAACAUCAUCUUAUAGCUCAAUUUUAUCACCAACCAAUAGAAUUGCACCUACAAAAGUAAAUCACUAUUAUUAAGUGCAAAACAUCGAUAUUAAAAGAAGUAAACAAUGCAAAACUAGUGCAUAAAUUGCACUCUAACAGAGGUGCUGGAAAGAAUUUUGCUCAGGGAACUGGUGCUGCUUGUCAGAUAUGCUUCAGGUUUAAUCACACAGCAGCUGAUUGCAGAAACAGGUUCAACAGAAAUUUUAUCCCAAAUUUUCCAGCUCCAGCUCCAAAUUACUUCUCUAAUCAGCACCAAGGACCAAGAGCAGCCUUCAUAACAACAUCUGAAGGAGCUGCUGAUCAGGGAUGGUUUCUGGAUAGUGGUGCAACUCACCACUUAACCAACACAGUUCAGAAUCUGAGUGAUGGUAAGAUCUAUUUUGACUCAAACUUACUUACUGUUGGUAAUGGCCAAGGUUUUAGAAUUACUCACAUAGGUUAUACACAACUUCACACUUCUUUUGGCACCUGCUUACAACUACAGAAUAUUUUGUGUGUUCCUCAAAUUACCAAGAACCUCAUUAGUAUUUCCAAACUCCUCACUGAUAAUGAUAUAAUCAUUGAAUUUUUCUCUGAUGUUUGCUUUCUAAAGGACAAGGUGAAGGGCACUCUGUUGGCUUAGGGGAUUGCUAGAGAUGGCCUAUACAAGCUACUGUCAAAAAAGGAAUCUCUCUCUUCUUCCACUUCUGUUCUGCCAGUGUCUCAUCCUAGUUCUAUGAUGUCAACUCUUUCCUGCAAUAAUGUAAUUACUUCUGUUCAAAGUUCAAAUAAUGACUUCUGUUUUAAGUUUACAUUUCCUGUAAGCUUUCAAACUUCAAUUUCUGUGUCAGCAAAUAUAUUGCACAAUAGACUUGGUCAUCCAAGUAAGCAUGUCAUACAAACUAUUCUCAGAAACAAUUGUUUAAUGUCAGCCAAUGUUAAUAAAUCAAAUUUUCUUUUCUGUGAUGCCUGUCAACUUGGAAAGUUACAUCAAUUACACUUUCCCGCUACUAAAAUCAAAACAAAAUAUCCCUUAGAAUUAAUACACACAUACUUAUGGGGACCAGCUCCAGUUUUAUCACUAGAUGGUUAUAGAUACUAUAUUUCCUUUGUUGAUGACUUCACCCGAUAUUGUUGGAUCUUUCCCUUAGUUUUAAAAUCUGAUGCCCUUACUACUUUCAAAAACUUCAAGAGCUUAGUUGAGAAACAAUUCAAUCUGCCCAUCAGAAUUUUACAGUCUGAUAUGGGAGGUGAAUUCAAAGCUUUUCAGUCAUUUCUUCAACAAUAAGGUAUCCAAGCUAGAUUUAGUUGUCCCUAUACUCACCAUCAAAAUGGUGUUGUUGAGAGAAAACAUAGACACUUAGUAGAAACUGGAUUAACACUCCUUGCUCAAGCAAAAAUGCCUAUUUCUUUCUGGUGGGAGGCUUUCCAUACAACCUCUUAUCUCAUUAAUAGAAUGCCUACCACUACACUGAACAACUUAUCUCCCUAUCAAAAGCUUCAUAAUCAGCCACCAAACUAUCAACUUCUCAGAGUUUUUGGUUGUGCUUGCUAUCCUUUUCCCAGGCCUUAUAAUGACCACAAGCUUGAUUUUCAUUCCCAAAAAUGCUUGUUUUUAGGUUACAGCCCUCUUCACAAAGGAUAUAAGUGUCUAACAAAGUCAAGCAAAGUAUAUGUUGCUGUUCAUAUUAUUUUUAAUGAGUCUGAUUUUCCCUAUUCAGAGUUGUUCGCUUCAUCUGAAUCUUCUUCCAAUUCUCUGUCAUCAUACUCUCCAUCUAUUUGUAUCCUCAAUGACAGUGGCUUGCAUCAGUCAUCAGCUAUAUCUCCUGCUUUAGCAGAGUUACCAACUCACAUUCACCUCAACAUCCUCACCAAGCCCCACACUCUCCUUGUCCCUCUCCAGUCUCAAAUUCCUACGGCUCAUCAUCACCACAUUCUUCAUCACAUAAUGCUUUAGCCAAUCCCUCUGAUGAAUUACAACCAUCAUCUCAACCUGUCAUUUCAACUCAUCAGAUGGUUACUCGAGCCAAAUCUAGUAUUUUUAAACCAAAGACCUACCUUACAGCUACCGAAGACCUUGAACCAGUGAGUGUUAAAGCAGCCCUGAUUGAUACAAAGUGGAAAAUGGCUAUGCAAGAAGAGUAUAAUGCUUUGCAGAAGAAUGACACCUGGACAUUAGUUCCAGCUGAAACCGCUACAAAACUCGUUGGAAAUAAGUGGGUUUUUAGAGUUAAAUAUAACCCAGAUGGUAGCAUUUCCAAGUAUAAGGCUCGGUUGGUUGCAAAAGGUUUUCAUCAAACUUAUGGAGUAGAUUUCUUUGAAACCUUUAGUCUAGUUGUUAAACCCUACACUGUUCGUAUUGUUCUCAGCUUAGCAGUCAUGCAUUGUUGGCCAGUUCGGCAAUUGGAUGUUAACAAUGCCUUUCUUAAUGGCAUGCUUACUGAAAAUGUGUUUAUGCCUCAGCCAGAAGGCUUUAUCAGCUCUCAGUUUCUCAAUCAUGUCUGCAAAUUACAAAAAGCCAUUUAUGGUCUUAAGCAGGCUCCAAGGGCUUUGUAUGAUAGAUUGAAAGGGUCUUUAGUUCGGUGGGGUUUCAGAUCUUCAAAGUCAGAUACUUCACUGUUUUUCAAGCAUAUUGGCAAUAAUGUUCUCAUCAUCCUUGUUUAUGUAGAUGAUAUCCUGAUAACAGGCUCUAGUGCUGUUUAUAUUUCAGAGGUUAUCAGUCUACUUAGCUCAGAAUUUGCACUUAAAGAUUUAGGAGAUUUUAACUACUUUCUUGGGGUAGAAGUGACUCCAUCUGCUGAAGGAUUACAUCUAUCUCAAACUAAGUAUGUUGGUGACAUCUUAAGAAAAGCUCAUAUGCUUGAGAGUAAAGGCUGCAAUACACCUAUCAGUAUUGUUGAUAAGUUGCAGAAGGACAAAGGUUGCUCAUUUACAAAUCCCUCACUUUACAAAAGCAUCAUUGGUUCUCUGCAGUAUCUGACACUGACCAGACCAGAUAUCGCAUUCACUGUAAACAAAUUGAGUCAGUUUUUAGCUGCUCCAACUAUCUUGCAUUGGCAGGCUUGCAAGAGGGUAUUACGAUAUCUACAAAGCACAACACAUUUUGGACUGCAGUUCUUCAAGUCAGGUCCUCCAAGUCUCAUAGCAUAUUCUGAUGCAGAUUGGGGGUCUGAUCCAGAUGAUAGAAGAUCUGUUGGAGGGUAUUGUGUUUAUCUUGGAUCCAAUCUUGUGUCUUGGUCAUCUAAGAAACAGAACAUUGUUUCCAGGUCAUCUGCUGAAUCUGAGUAUAGAGCUUUGGCCUUAGCUACAUCUGAGGUUUUGUGGAUUACAUAUCUGUUGAAAGAGCUCAAAGUAUCACUUCCCAAACCUCUUGUUCUUUACUGUGACAACAACAGUGCAGAAGCUUUGGCUAGCAAUCCUAAGUAUCAUUCCAGAACUAAACAUAUAGAACUGGAUUUACAUUUUGUCAGAGAACACAUUGCCAACAAGGAUCUCUUCAUUGAACAUGUGUCUAGUUCUGAUAAGUUAGCUGAUGUGCUUACCAAACCUCUGAGUUUUGAUAAUUUUGCCUAUAUGCGAACUAAGCUCAAUGUCUGCCCACGACCUUGAGCUUACGGGGGCAUGUUAAGAAUAACAUAUGCUGAGUCAGCUGCUGAGUCAUCAAGCCACGCUGGAAGUCAGUUUUGCAGUUAGUUAGAGAGCUUAUCAGCUUCUCUCCAAAAGUUUGUUAUGUGUAUUAGAAUCUGUGCUCAUGAGUUUUGUGAGUUUGUAACCUUGAAAAGAUUCUCACACUACUAUAAAUUGUAUUGUGACUCAAUUAAUAAAAGUUGUUGAAGCGUUGCAUUUUCUCUCAGUCAAAAUUUUCUCUCUGUUUUUCUAAGUAACCAAACAAAAUCUACAGAGCAUUUUGUAUUUUAACUAUAUCUACACACUUAUAACACAAGUUUGUCACCACUAAAAUAUAAACAUGUUCUGUAAAUGCCUCUAAGAUAUCUGAGAAUUCAUUUCACUACUGUCCAGUGCUCUUUGUCCAGAUUGGAGAGAAACCGACUGACUACACUAACUGCGUAAACAAUACCUGGUCUUGUACAAAUCACGGCGUACACCAAACUGCCAACUGCUGAAGCAUAAGGAACUCCUCUCACGGAGAAAUGGGUUUUGCUCUUGAGAUCUUUGGGAACAUGAAGAAUAAAGAUGUAAUUUCUUGGACUGACAUUGUUUCGGGGUAUAUAAAUAGAGGACAAGUGGAUAUAGCUCGACAGUAUUUUGCUCAGAUACCAGAACGAGAUUAUGUCUUAUAGACUGCCAUGAUUGAUGGGUACCUUCGAGUGAAUAGGUUCAGAGAGGCUUUGACACUUUUCCGGGAGAUGCAAACUUCAAAUAUAAGGCCAGACGAGUUUACCAUUGUUAGGAUUCUUACAGUUUGUGCGAAUCUGGGGGCACUAGAACCGGGAGAAUGGAUAAAGACUUACAUUGACAAAAACAAGGUCAAGAAUGAUAUAUUUGUGGGGAAUGCUUUGAUAGACAUGUACUGUAAAUGCGGAGAUGUUGAGAAAGCUCAAAGGGUACUCAGGAAGAUGCUUCGAAAGGACAAAUUCACAUGGACGGCCAUGAUUGUUGGCCUUGCCAUCAGUGACCCAUUUCCUACGAUCAGACCGGAUAAGGUAACUUAUGUUGGUGUUCUGUCUGCCUGUACUCACAAUGGUAACGAAACUUUUGUGAUAAAUAGUUGCGACUUAAGGUGAGAAUUGGAGGAAACGAAAUAGACUGAAGUUGUUCAAUCAUCGGUGGUUGCUAUUUGAUUUUAAGUUGUUCAAUCAUCGGUCAUCUCUAUUUGGUUUUCUCCAAUAUCUCAUCUCCAGUUUUGACUCAGAUUCUGUCUUACCACUAGUAAUUAAAAGUGAGGAGGCAGCAGUCAAUGCUAUUUCGGCUUGGCCCAAAAUUUCACCAGUUUGUUAGUGUUCUGCAGCUCUUGCUGCUUUCCUAGAGAUUCUGCAUCUUUUGCAAUUUGAUUGAUUAAAAAAAAAAAAAUUAGUGGCCAUUUAGAAUGAAGGAGAGAUUUGUGUGAAUGGUAUAGGUGAAAAAUUGGAUGAAAAUAAACAGGCAACCGUCCGUAUAAAACAACAAUAACAAUAUACAAAAAGAUAAGUAGACACUUCUGUAAUUCACGAAAGGAAAUUUAUGGUUGUUUCUGAAAAACAUACAUAUUAAUUUCACUUAUACUCUAAGGUGGGAUAGAUGUCAACUAGCUAUGCUAAUGAUACCUUGCCAUCAUGACUGGACUUGUGAGGAAUUUGGAAACAUGUAUGAUGAUUGUUACUUACACAAUUGUAGAAAGAAAUGCUGAGGUGGCUUGAACCAGAUGGUGAAAUCGUCUAACACACUUAAUUGUUAGAUGUGUUUUGGAUAUUCACAGUUAGGUUGAAAUUUGUAGUUUUCACUUGAAAGAAUUCAGUUAAAAAUUGAUUGGUAGAAUUGUAAAAUAGUCUAAAUUUUUAGUUCAAACCCAUUGCAUAUUUAAGAACAUCUUAAAUGAAUUGCUUAUUGCUAUCAUCAUCAUUAUUGUCCAUAUAAUAAUAAUAAUAAUAAUAAUAAUAAUAAUAAUAAUAAUAAUAAUCAAUAGAAAUGUUAUCUUAUCCACUAUUUUAUAUAUGUUUCCACUAAAAUCUAUUUAAUUAUUCUUUAUUUUUUUUCAACUGUUGCAUGUUAGAUUUAUUCGAUUUCCUAAGUUAUAUCAAUAGAAAUGUUAUCUUAUCCAUAAAAAGUUAGAUCUAACAAUUAUGAAAAUUACUAUAGUGCUGCUUUGAAUAAUUUUUUAAAAAUACCACAAGUAAAUAAUAAUUAGUUUAAAUAGUGGAGACUAAAAAGCAUUCACCCUUAUUUUUUAUCUGUUAUUAGUUUUUUUUAAUCUGUUAUACAUUUGAAACAUUCCAUUAAUUGCCAAUUAUGUAAGCGAGAUAGUAAUUAAUUUUUUUUAUUUAAAAAAAGUGAAAAUUAAUCCUAUGCAAUGUGAAUAAAUUUCUUUCCUUUUUCCUUCACUCUUUUUAUUUGAUAAUUAAGUUUCAAUCUAUGUACGCAAAAUUUCUGCAACAGCUGCAAAACAUAAAAAUAUAUGAUUGUUAAGGGAAACACGCAGAAGUUCAUCACUUCAAUGUUCAGUAUUUCCAAUUUUGGCAUUAAGCUCUUACGAAUAUAUUCCACUUAGAAAGCAAAAUAUUAGAAUUGUGAUUUUAAUUCAUUCAUCAUAUCUCAUUUCAAUCCCAAAAUAUUCAAGUGGAUCCAAGUUACCAUAAGGCUUCAGAGGCUCGAGCCUUAGCCAGAGAUGGUUAAUUGAUAGACUAGGUAAGAGAAACCAAGGUUGAAGUAUGUAGAAAUGUUAUUUCAUUUAUUUUUAUUUAUGAUUUUUUGUAAAAUGUAAGAAAUAUGUAGAAAUGUUGCCAGCAAUGAUUUUGGAACUUUGCAUAAAAUUUUUAUCAUUAUUGUUUUUGGUAUUAAGAAAUCCGAGGCGGUGAUUAGACGUAUGUUGCAACAAUUAAGAAAUUUCUUAUUGGAGAUAAUUUGGUAGGUUGCAACAAUUAGAGAAUCAUUUUCCUGUCAGUUAAUCAAUCAAUAAUAAAUUUCAAAUUGCAGAAAAUAAAAUAAUACUGUCGCACUUAGAAUCAUCUUUUCUAUCUCUUUCAAUUGUGACAAUCAUUUGUAACAAAUAAAUCAAUUUGAUGCACAUCAUUUCCCCAAUUCAAAGUUCAAGUCACUGCUCAAUUGCAGAGUAGUUAGUAGACAUGCAUGCAUGUUUAAUUAAGUACUGCAUUGUAGUAUCGAAAAUCAUAACAUCUCACCAAGCCCGGAAGCAUAGCUCUUUAUCUUGUAAAUGUUGAAAUCUUAUGCAAACUAUGGGAACCAUGAGCUCACUCUCAGUGUCACUUGAUUCCAUUUUCUGUUCUUGCCUUGAUUUCGAUGUUGGGAAUGUGACGUCUGAGUCUAAGGUUGAAGAUAAUCUCGAUGCCUUGCGGACUGCAAUGGAAAUAAAAUAUUUGUGUGUUGAGAAAUGAUGAAAUGAUGCAAUGGAAAUAAAAUCUCAAUCUCUUGAGAAAUGAUGUGAUAAGAAGAGUUACUGUUGCUGAAGGACAACAUCAAAUGCAACGAAUGGAUCGAGUGCAGGGCUGGCUUUCAAGGGUAAAAUCUGUGGAAAAUAAAGCUGAUGAUUUGAUGAGACACAGCUCUCAAGAGAUUGAGAAGUUAUGCCUUGGAGGCUUCUGUUCCAGGAACUGCAAAUGAAGCUACAGCCGUGGGAUAGAAUUUGCAACAAUGCUACGAUUGUGGAGAGUUUAAUGGGUGAAGGAUCAUUUGAAUAGGUGGCUGAGAGGGUGCCAGAAGAUGCAGCAGAGGAGAUAAAUUGUGAGCCAACAAUAGUGGGCAUGUUGUCGACUUUUGAGAAAGCCUGGAGAUGCCUUGAAGAAGAAUCAGUUGGAAUUAUUGGCCUAUAUGUCAAUGGGGGAGUUGGAAAAUAUUUACUCAAAUCAACAACAAGUUCCUUGAUAGUCCAAAUAAUUUUGAUGUUGCGAUCUGGGUAAUGGUCUGCCAAGAUUUGCAACCCCAGAAGUUUCGGGAAAAGAUUGGGAAAAAGAAAGUCUUGUUCGAUGAGUACCGGAUUGAACUAUAUUAGAUUAUAUUUAAAUAAUAUUAAAUAGUAUUUAAGUUGGUAUUCUAAUAUAAAUAUCAAUUAUCCAUGAAAUUUUAUAAUCAUAAUUAAAAUAAAUUUAAAAAGCAAUUACUAGGAAAAUUAAAUAUAUUGCAAAAAGUUAUUGGGUAGUCAUAAUAUAAUAGGCAAAUAAAAUUAAAUAAAACAAAUUACAUAUUUAAUUAUAUUUAUCAAAUAUUUAAAAAUAUUAUAUAAAAUAUUAUAUAAAAUCAAUUAAUUAAUGAUAUUAUUAAUUUUCAUGAUUAUUUUUAAUAUUAUAUUACUGAUUAUUAAAUUUAAUACAAUCAAAUAAUGCAAUAAAUAAUUAAACAUUCAAUUUUAUUGAUUAAUUAUUAAAUAUACAAGUAAUGAAAAUUUUAUCUCAAGAGUUGGUAGAAGCGAAAGUACUAAUUUAAUUAGAUCAUAGAUAAUAAAUAAAAAUAAAUUUUAAGUAAAUCAUAAUAAAAAAUUAAUUAAUUAAUUCAAUCAAUCAAUAUUAGGUGUAAAUAAAAAAAUGAUAUAAAUAAAAAUCUCAUAAAUGUACAACUUUUAUCUUUAAUCUUAUCCUAAAAGAACAAAAAGCAGAAUAUAUAUUGAAGUGUUUUUCACACCUUUUCAUUAACUGGAAUGCAUGUAUUUAUAUACAUCAUUUGUAACUAAUAAAGAGAAAAUAAAGGAAACUAUACAUGAGAGUAUCAAGGAGAAUAAUGGAAGAGAUUGUUGUCCGUAACUUGUGGAGAGUAUCAUGGAGCUUGAGAUUAUCUGAUAUGCCCCCGCAAGAGGGUGUUGCCAUUGGCGACACCCAUCUUGAACCUUAAUUCAGAAAAUGGUCGCUUAGAGAGGGGCUUGGUUAGGCUAUCAGCAAGUUGAUCUGCUGUAGAUACAUAAGAUACGCGCAAUAGCCCUUUGUUGACCCAAUCACGAACAAAAUGAUAAGCAAGAUCAAUGUGUUUUACCCUUGAAUGAAAGACUGGAUUGCGACACAAAUAGGUAGUUCCAAUAUUAUCACAAUAGAUGGUAGGAGUUUGACUCAAUUGAAGGCCAAGUUCUUGAAGUAGAUUCUGAACCCAUCGAACUUCAGAGGCUGCAUUUGCGACAGCCAAGUACUCAGCUUCUGUUGUGGAACGAGCUAUUGAUUUUUGUUUGUUCGAGCGCCAUGAGAUAGGAUUGCCGCCUAGAUAAAGCAUAUAGGCUGAUGUAGAAGUAAUGAAAAUUUAAUCUCAAGAGUUGGUAGAAGCGAAAGUACUAAUUUAAUUAGAUCAUAGAUAAUAAAUAAAAAUAAAUUUUAAGUAAAUCAUAAUAAAAAAAUUAAUUAAUUGAUUCAUCAAUCAAUAUUAGGUGUAAAUAAAAAAAAUGAUACAAAUAAAAAUCUCAUAAAUGGACAACUUUUAUUUUUAAUCUUAUCCCAACUAAACACAUGUGUAAAUUAGGAUUAUUAAUUCCAUAAUUUUCGGAUUAAAUUCAAAUUUAUUCCCCCUUAAUCCAAUUCAACUAAACUUGUCAAACAUGGGAUAAAAAUUUAAUUAUAAAAUUAGUCCAAUUCCAUACUUAAUCCUAGCAUCCAAAUAUAGCUCAAGUUCUUUGCUUAAAGAAGCUACCAAAUUUGAAGAGCGUUUACGGGAAGGCCUUGCGUUUCCCAGAUGUAUGCAGAAUUUUUGUAUCUAAAUGCCCAGAACUUAAGAAGCUGACGCUGGAUUUUGAAAGGGCGGGCCAAGGUAAAAUUCUUAUCAAAUGAAAGGAAAAUCGAUGGAAACAACUUCAAUGGGAGGAUCAAGCAACUCAGGAUGCAUUGCUUCUGUUUUUCAAAUCAACUGACAAGUGAUUGAAGGGGGCAUCAUCAGCCUGGAUGGGGAGAUCCUGGAGCAGAUCAGCAGGGUUUGAAUCUGCAUCAUCAACAUCAUCAGGAUCUCUAUUUCUAUUGCUGGUCGUAAUGCCUGCCGACUGUUGCUUGAAAAAGUGAUUAAGUGAGCCAGUUUUUUGUUUAUUAAAUUUUGUUUUGUAGAGACAGUCACAAAGUAUUUUUCUUAGUUGUUCUAUAUGAGAGUGAUGUGAACCAAUUUUUCAAUUAUAUAUUCUGUGGGAAAUUGCAAGUAUUUUUAAAAUAUGAUCGUUAUUAAAGGAAACAAAGGAAUCAACACAGCAUACUGAACCUCAGCAGUAUGAAGCUAAUGAUUAAACUCCUCACACAAUUCAUAACAUGCAAAACCAUUCACAAAAUCAUCCACAGCAACCAUAAUUGGCGUCCAAUAGAAAUUUACAAGAAUUACUUUUCUGUUCAUGCAAUCGGCGUCUGAACGCGGCUGAUCGGUCACCGGUGUUGGCGUUUACUGUGAUUAGACAAAUUGUAGCACUUCAAAAAUAACUUCUAUAGGGGUAAUUUCGAUUUCACAUAAUUAAUUUUAUUUACAAUAUUUUAUUCCUGCAAGGUCAACUGAGAUUCUUUCCACCGGGCACACCCUUCAUGUUCUUUUAUUUUCUGUCUUUUAUUAGCCGUUGGAUUUUACUACUCUUAUAUCCAACGGCUUGCCACAACAAGACAAAUGAGGUGGUACCUUUCAACCGCUGAAAGGUAGUUUUGGCCCCAAGUGAAAGAGGGAAAUAGGGAAUUGAUGCUAUAUUUUAUAUUUUCUAUUUUACUACUCUUGUAUCCACCGGCCUUUCUUAUAUUUUAUUGCAAAUUGAUGCUAACAAGAAAAAGCUAGAUCAUAUUCCACAGAAAAGUGAGAAAACAACCAGAUGGAUUCUUUUAUUAAACUACAAAUUAAAAUGGUAUCACAAAUUCUCAUCAAUUUAUUUAAAUAUAUUCUUUUAACCCUCUUUUUAAUUUCACAAAUUCUCAUCAAUUUAUUUAAAUAUAUUCUUUUAACCGGAAACAAUUGAUAUCACUUAUUAAGAAUAACAAAAUUUACUAUUUAAAAAUGAAGAUCAAUAAAUUUUUAUCAAUCAUGAAAGUUAAUGAGUGUCAAGAAAUUAAUUUUUGCUAAACAUACAAGCUAAUAACUAUUAAAAAAAUCUUAUAUUAUAGAGAUCAUAUAUAUUAAGAAAGACCAAAAAAAAAAUUAAAAAAAUAGUUAAAUUCAGUGUAUAGUUUAUAGGAUGUGAGAGUGGUAAAAGAAUAUAUAAUUGUAAAAUAGAGAAAAAGAAAAAGAGAUUAGUAGAGAAUAAUUUUGAGAUUUUUUAAUUUUUAAUUUUUAAUAAUAAAUUUAUUUUAAAAAAUAGGUGUGGAGAAAAAUUUGAUGGGUUCAAGCAAUUCCACCUAAUUUUAUAUUAUCAAUACGCAAAUGAAAGUACAAAAAUACCUCUAAUAGAGUGAAAUAAAGAGUUCUCUAAUCUCUAGGGUUUCUCAUUCCAAUUUUGAAAUUUCCCUACUUUAUUUUGAAUUAACCCUCUUUGUUACCAUUGAAUUGUAACAUUCAAAAUUUGAAUAUGUUUUUACAAAUAGAAGAUUAUUGGGACAAAAACAAUAAGAAAUAGAAAACCUAGUUGAAAAAGGAUAUUACAAAAAAAGAAAUUGCCAUUACCAUUCAAACAUUUACACAGUAAAGGCAUUAACAGCAUAAGGCGGCAAUAAAACUUACUCAUAAUUAGGGGUGGCAAAAAAGUCCGAGCCGGCUUAGGCCCGGCCAAGCCCAGUCUAGAUCCGUGGACUUAAAGUCCGACCCGUAAGGAUGUGGGCUUAGAUAUAGACCUAAAAAUUACAAAACCCACAUAUAUUAGACCUAAACAAGAACUUAGCAAAAAAACCCAAACUUUCUAAAUUUAUGAAUAAAAAAUAAAUUUAAUUUAAAUAAAAAAAAUUAAAAUAUUAAAUUAAUUGAAUUUUUUAUAUUAAUAUUUAUUAUUUUAUUAAAUUAUAUUGUUAAUAUUUAAUGUAUUUGACUAUUAUUCUAUUUAUAUAUUAUAUUAUUAUUUUUAAUUUAAAUAUUUUUCUUAAUUUAAAAAAUUUUUAUAAUUAAUUUAAAAAGUUCAGGCCCAGCCCGAGUUCGGUCCAUCCAAAUUUAACGGAUUUUUGAAGAACCUGAACUUCGUUUGAAUGAUAUGGGUCCGGCCCAAGCCCGCAAAUUGCCAUCCCGUGAUAAUAACAAACAGAUAUGGCCCAGCCCGAGUUCGGUCCAUCCAAAUUUAACGGAUUUUUGAAGAACCUGAACUUCGUUUGAAUGAUAUGGGUCCGGCCCAAGCCCGCAAAUUGCCAUCCCGUGAUAAUAACAAACAGAUAUAGAUAGAUCGAUGGAUGGCAUUUUUUAAAUGUACCUUAAAAACCAAAACAAAAGCAAAAAUAUUAAAAUAUUACACCAACUGCUAACUAAUUAAUCUAAUAAAACGCCUCGCUUAAUCAUUUCCAGUCCACUAAACACGCUGAACGGAUUCCAGCCUCUGAAGUCUCAUCUCAUUGUUAAAUUCAUUGAUGAAAGCUUCAACUCGCCGAUUCAACUCAUCUUGACUCAUCGAUUCCUCCCUCCUCAGCGACGUUCUGUCACUGAACGUCUCAGAUUUCCUCAGCUCACGUUUCGCCCAAGCCGUCGGAUCAUUCUCAUCAUUAUCACUACCACAGGCGAUGGUGAUGAUGUGGAAGGUGGAAGAAGCGGCGAUGGUGAUGAUGAUGAUGAUGAUGAUGAUGAUGAUGAAGUUGACUAUGAUGUAAUUGUACGGCGGCGACAGCCAGAACCUCAAAGAAAUGAAGAGGCUAGGGAUUGUCGAUACCGUGAAACAAAUGUACGGGAUUAUUGCUACCUUAAACAGCAUGAAAGUUGAAACAAACCCGGCUGACAAAAAUAACAACUUUGCUACCCGCGUUACUGUCUCUAAUCUGCUUGAUUUUGGGUCGAAAUUUUGAAAAAGAUCCCCCAUUUUUCAAUUUUCACACACAAUAAAGAAGGAAAAAGAAAGGUAGCUAGAUUUUUUUUUUGUUUUUCAACAAGGGAAGAAAUAAGAAAAGAACAUUAAAAGGAUUUUUCAGGCUUUGAUGGUCAUUAAAAUGAGACCCAGGAAACCAUUGAAGCUAAAAAAAAAACGAGAAGCCAUGUAUUUAUAUAUGCUGCUUUGCUUUACAAAAUCUGACUGGCAUCAGGGUGAAAAAAAAGUGCCAUUUGUUGGUACAGAGAGACAGAGGAGAGUAGAGAGGCAGAUGCAGGGGCAGGGGCGAAGUCAAGGGACCAUUGAAUGGGCAAGCGAGGUUUCAAUUUAUGUAACGAGGGACGAUUAAAGUUCUUGCAACUUUCCUGCCGUCUGAUGAAAUCUUGACCGUUCGAUGGUACAAUAAUGGUUAUAAUGAUCUUGAAAGUGUUGGAGAGAUAAGUUUGUACAGAUUAUGUACGCUAAAUAAAAUCACAUUUAAAAUGGUUUUUGAUUUUAUUCUAUUACAGAUUACUUUUAUUAAAUAAAUGAAGGUACAUUGAGUGAGUGAGUGAGUGACUUCACGAUUUUGCACUAACGCCGCUGUGUUAUCCUCCGCGGCACUUGUCCUCAUCAUUUGUAAUUGAAAAGCUGAUUUAAGAUUUUAGAAUAGUGCCUUUUGGAAAAAAAAUAUAUAUAUAUAUCAACGGCCGAUUGAGAUUUCUUUUUUGAAGAUUUAAAAUUAAUUUUUUAAAAAAUUAAAAAUUAAUUUUAAUAUUUUAUAAGUUUUAAAAAAAUUAUUUUUAAUAAAAUCACUUCAUAGUAGAUUCCGGAAAGUAGAUAUCUAUGCUUUUUAAAUUUUAAUUUUAAGAAUUAAUUUUUUACUUAAUAUAAUCCUUGCAUAUAUUAUAAAAUUUUAAAAUCAUCUUCAUUAAUUACAAAAUAAGAUCAUUAAUUUUAAGGAGAUUAUAAUCAUUAUCAAUUAUAGGGAGAUUAAAUGCUUAAAGUGACAAGUGCAAAACUAUUUAAAAAUAGUCAGUAAAAGUAUAGGUGGGCAAUUAGUUCAAUUCUAUUUGAAUCAACUAAAUUAAAUUAUAUCGUGUUUCAUAAAUUUUUAAAGCAACUGAUUUUUUGUUUGGUUUAGAUAAAAAUUAAACUAAACCGAAAAAUCAAACGGUUCAAAGAAAAAAAAGUUAAAAACAAAUUUUAUAAACUGAUCGGUUUCCGUUAGAUUCAAUUCCAAAUCUAAACAAACCAAUCCAAAGUGAAAAUAAACAUUUUUGUUGAAUGCACUUUUAAUUUGUUUGGAUACGUCUCGACCCUCCAGUCUCUUGAUUAAAGUUCAUUUAUUAGGGUCCGCUUGUAAUACAGCGUCUGUAUCUCAUACAGUCAAAUUUAAUAUUUUAUUAAGAAAAAGGGCAACCGUUAGAUAGAAGUAGAUACAUCCAAUGGUUAAUAUCUGUGAUUACUCAUUUUGGUGACCGGAUAUGCCAAUUAUUAUUUCAUCAAUUAACUUACCUAAAAAAUCAUAGCCGUUGGAUUGAGAUGCCUCUCUCUCCCUCAAAAUAACAGCCUUCGUAUUCUCUCUGCUAUUGUUUUGUCCUACAUCUAGAAUUUUGGAUGAAUGAACUUGGUAUUCAAGAACAUUCACCACCCAUCACAGCAAAGAGCAAAGAUAUAGUCGAAGGAGUGCCAUUUAUUCAGGCUUACUUGAUCUGUCAGUCUCGCUUCAAUUCGUCACUCAUUUUCUUGCGCUCAGCUUCAAUCUAUCACUCUCAGCUUCAGUUCGUCACUCAUAGCUUCAAUUUUUUCACUGUCGUGAAUCAUCUCUCUUGCUGUAUCUCUCUCUUAUGUCUUCCAAUAAUUUCGGUGAGCUCUCUCUCUAAUUUAAUAUAUGAUUAAAAAUCUUAUCAUCUUAUCAUGUCAUUUAAAUAUGCUUGAAGUUUCAAUUUAGUUUAUGAAUAUUACUUGAAAUUUUAGAUUCAAUAAUUUUAGUUUUUUUUUUCUCUAUCAUCAAUCAUAUAUUUUUUCUUGCUCUUUAACUUCUUAUCUUCAACUAAAUGUGACCUUACAUUUAUUUAGUGUAUGAUCAAUUUUUAAAUGCACAAUAAGCAUUGCAAAGUUGGCGUUAUGCAAAGGCUAUCACAAUGUGAGCGUUCAAUUGGACAGAGUGUCAUGAUCAUACAUCCUUGAACCCAAUAUUUAUUCCAAUAACAAAUGUAGAUACGUAAACUACUUUUUUUUUUUAAAUAAAAAUAAAAAACUUCAAUGAAUCAAUCAAUUAUUUUCUGAAAUGUUAUGCGAAUUGUGAUUGUGAGAUUAAAAAAAAAUAUCCAUGCAAAUCAAAUUGUAACCGCCCUCUCAAGAUAAACCAAGUAACACAAAGCAUCAUUAACUCUUUCUUGUUUCAGCCACAGUACUAUUUUUUGCUUGAUGAGAAUAUAUUUAAAUAGUAUUUAAGUUGGUAUUUUAAUAUAAAUAUCAAUUAUCCAUGAAAUUUUAUAAUCAUAAUUAAAAUAAAUUUAAAAAGCAAUUACUAGGAAAAUUAAAUAUAUUGCAAAAAGUCAUUGGGUAGUCAUAAUAUAAUAAGCAAAACAAAUUAAAUAUUUAAUUAUUUUUAUCAAAUAUUUAAAAAUAUUAUAUAAAAUCAAUUAAUUAAUGGUAUUAUUAAUUUUCAUGAUUAUUUUUAAUAUUAUAUUAGUGAUUAUUAAAUUUAAUACAAUCAAAUAAUGGAAUAAAUAAUUAAAUGUUUAAUUUUAUUGAUUAAUUAUUAAAUAUACAAGUAAUGAAAAUUUAAUCUCAAGAGUUGGUAGAAGCGAAAGUACUAAUUUAAUUAGAUUAUAGAUAAUAAAUAUAAAUAAAUUUUAGGUAAAUCAUAAUAAAAAAAUUAAUUAAUUGAUUCAAUCAAUCAAUAUUAGGUGUAAAUAAAAAAAUACAAAUAAAAAUCUCAUAAAUGUACAAUUUUUAUUUUUAAUUUUAUUCAAACUAAAUACAUGUGCAAAUUAAGAUUAUUACAUCCUUGAACCCAAUAUUUAUUCCAAUAACAAAUGUAGAUACGUAAACUACUGGGAAGCAGCACACGUGUCCUGAAGAGAGAAAAAAAUCGAGCAAAUGCAGACAAUGGGAGUUGGCUAAAAGUUGGAUCUGCAAUUUACAAAAUCUGUAACUUAUUAGCCAGCUCCCAAAUUGUGUAGUCUUUUUUCAAAUUGUACAGACAUUUAUAAAUUGGUGGCCCCUUGAAAAUUUAAUGCCAAGCAGAUAAAAGUCAUCAAGCACAGUCCUCAAUAGUUGUUUCGUGUAUAUUUAUAAAUUGGUGGCCCCUACAUCUUUAAUAAUUGGGAUUGAAUUACGGUAUAAUUGUAGAAUCAUGUCUCAAUUACAUUCAAUUGUUAGAUAUAUUUACGUUGGUAAAAUUUACUGAUAUCUAAUAAUUAAACGUAACUAUAACACAAUAUUAUAAUUACACCACAAAUUUUCUCUAAUAAUUAUUCCGAUACUUAUAAAUUGGUGGCCCCUUAGUAAUUUAACAGCAGCCUGCAAGUGUCAACUAAUGAAAAGUCAUCAUUCACAAUCUUCCAAGUGAAACAGGAAAUAUACAAAAAUUAAAACAUGUCAUUCUUUUUUUUUCAUUCCCUGUCAUGUAACUUACACCCAAAUACAUAAAUAAUAUAAAAUGAAUGGAGAGAUGCCAGGAGCAGAUCAGCAGGGUUUGAAUAUGACCUUUGGCGCUUGCUUUUUUUUUUUUUUGUGAUUUUUUUUUCAUUUUUUCCUUCCUGUCAUUUUAUCAUUUCUUUGGCUUUGUCUCUAUUGCGGGUGUUACUGCAUGCUUACUGUUUCUUGACAAAGUUUGCUAGCUUUUCCUUUUGUUUAUUAAAUAUUUUUAUCGUCACAAAGUAUUACUCGUUCUAUUUGACAGUGAUGUAAAUUAAUUUUUCAAUUUUAUAUUUUAUCGUCGAUGUGAAUUCAAUUUCAUUUGUCAUCAUGCACAAUCCUCAAUAAUUGUUUCGAUAUUUAUAAAUUGGUGGCCCCUACGUCCUCAAUAAUUGUUCCGAUACUUAUAAAUUGGUGGCCCCUUAAUAAUUGGUGUUUGAGGAAUUAAAUAGAGCGAUCAUGAUCUUUUCCAAAUGAAAGUGAGCAAAUGGUUGAGCAGGUCACCUUGAUCAGGUGGUAUGAGUUUGAUCAAAUCACCUCGACCAGGUACAAUGAGGUUGAGCAGAUCAUCUUGAUCAGGUGGUGUGAGCUUGAGCAGAUGACCAUGUGGUAUGAGCUUGAGCAAAUCACAUCGACUAGGUGCUAUGAGGUGGAGCAGAUCACCUCGACUAGGUACUAUGAGGUGGAGCAGAUCACCUCGACCAGGUGCUAUGAGCUCGAGCAGAUCACUUCGACCAUGUGCUAUGAGCUUGACCAGAUCACCUCGACCAGGUGGUCUAAACUUGAGCAGAUCACCUCGGCCAAGUGAUGACUAGGAAUAAAGACUCAGUUAAAAUAAACCACCACAAAGCUCCUCCGAAAAAUCAGGGCACGAAUCUGAUUAAUCAAUGGUUAUUGUCACGAUCUAAGGUCGUGGGUGUGGGGUGUUUUAUAAAAAUCCCGAGAAAAUCACACCAAGGGAAGGCUCUUUUUCUCUGGAUCUGACGGAGAAAUCCUUUCUGGAUACUCUAUUUUACUUUUCUGCAAAUUAUUCAAAAAGCUUUUGGUUUUAAAAUAAUGUUUAUUUAGCCAUAUGAAAAAUGACAUAUUUGGUUUUUCCUGUAAACCCCAUAACUGACUUGAGCGUUGGAGGGUUUACGCCAGAAAAACUUCCGGCACCUCUGACCAUUCUCUGUAAUUUCAGGUACUUAUUGAUCGUCAGCUUGAAGAUUAUAUGCUCAUGAAUGUUCUGCUCAUAGUCAGAGAAUAUUCUGACUAUAUUAGCCAUGACAUUUUAGUAAUUUCAGGUACUAAAAAAAAAUUAAAAUUGUUGGCGUGAAAAGCACAAAUCCUAUUUUUUGACAAUUUUAUCUUUGUCAAUUUCAAAGAUUUACAAUAUCAUAGGUAAAGAUUAUAACUAUUUCAUCUUCAAGUUUUUAAUUUUAUAUUUUUUGUAGGAACUUUAAGAAAAUAUCAAUAAUUUAAAGAGAAUUUUUGAAAUUUUUAAUUUUAUCUUUCUUGUAGGAAUUUUAAGAAAAUAUCAAUAAUUUAAAGAAGGUAAAAUAACCAAUAAUUUUAUUUUUUUUUUAGUUAUUUCCGUUUAAAAACUGUUCUUUUAUUAGCCGUUGGAUUUUACUACUCUUAUAUCCAACGGCUUGCCACAACAAGACAAAUGAGGUGGCACCUUCCAACAGCUGAAAGGUCGUUUUGGCCCCAAGUGAAACAGGGGAUGCACUUACUAUUAAGGACAGUUGGUGGCCAGCUAAUGCACUCAUUUUAUGUCCUUUUAUCUUUUUGAAUUCCUGAAGACAAGUGCAUUCAUUUUGUGUCCUUUCAUCUUUUUGAAUUACUGAAGACAAGUGGCCAGCUAAUGCAUUCAUUUUUUGUCCUUUCGUCUUUUUGAAUUAUUGAAGACAAGUGGCUCAUCGCUUUUACUGUAGGUAAGAUCUUGAUAAUCUCGAUUAUCAAAAUAAUAAUAUUCAAAAUAUUUCUUAAUUUUAUUUAAAAGAUAAAAGAAAAAUAAGUUAUGCUGGUAAAUUUUUUUAUUUUUUUAAUAAAAAUAAAAUAAAUUGAUGUUUAUAAUUGUUUCAAAUACUUUAAAGAUUGUAAUUUUAUGAGAGAGUAAUAUUUCACAUUUUUAAUGUGAAAAGUUGAAAAGGGACAAAGCAAGUUUCUCUGUUUUUCUUUUUCUUUUUUUAAAUUUGGUCAUCUCAAAUACUUCACCCUUCAACACUACAAUAUUUUGGUUAUAUAUAUAUAUAUAUAUAUAUAUAUAUAUAUUUUACACAUGCAUAUGAAUUACUUUUCUUUUAAGCUCCUGAAUAUUUAAGACAAAUCAUGAAAGAGAUGAGAAUAUAAUAAGAUGAUCAAAAUAUGUAACAAAAUUUUUUUAGAAGUGAAACAUCGUUAGAGUUGAAGUAAAACUCUGAAAAUAGAGAUACUGAUUAAUUUAGAAGAGAUGCAAGCAAAAGAUAUGCCAAAAAAAAAAAAAAGCAAUAUGUCACUUUGGAGGGCAAACUUGUCAGUUUCACAAAAAUACAUGCUUUGUAUUGAUAGUUGUCACUAUGUAUUAGGGUGCGUUUGAAAUUAUAGUGCUGUACCUUUUAAACUACAGUUGUUGUAGAAAAAAAUAAAAAAUAAAAACUACACCUAAGAUUAAGGAAAAGUACUUCAAAACUCUCUUUUGAUCAUAAAACCUUUUGUCUUAAUUAACUUAAAGAUUUUGAAUCUAAUAUUUUAUAACAAAUAAAAAUAUAUUACCAAAAUAAAUAUAAUAAUAUCUAUUUUAAAAUAAUAUCAAUAUUUAAAAUAUGUUUUAAUAUUUGACGAUCUAUUAGACACAUUUUAUUAUGUUAAAGUAAAUUUUAUAAUAAAUACAAACAUACUAAUAAAAUGAAUAUAUACAACAUUUAGAGUAUUUUGAAUAUUAUAUAAAAUAAAUUUAAUACAAUGCAUGAGAUAUAUUUUAUUAAUUUAAAAUGCUAUUUAACCUAAAGAUUUAUUUAUGAAAAAUUAAUGAUUAUAUUUUUGAAAUUAUUUAAAAUAUUAAAAAAAUUAAUAUUAUUAAUCUAUCAGGUAGAUUAAAUUAUUUAUAUUAUUUUGCAUUUAUUAAAAAAUUUUAAAAUCAAUCUUUUUAAUUACUAUUCUAAGGAUAUAAUAAUAGAGGCAACUCCGUUGCGUCAUGGUUUUGGUACCCCGUCGUUUGUCUUUUAGCACAGUCAUCGUUGGAUUUUAUCUCACGGCUGCAGAAGAGACACAGAGACGCUAGGGAGCAACCUGACAAAAAGGUCAUGGGCCGGUAAGCUGCAGGGAAAAUAUUUAAAAUACAAAAUCUUCCCUUAAAUUUUUUUUAAUAUUUAACAUGUUAUAGUUUCUAAUCUCAUGAAUAGUAGAGGAUAAAGUUUUAUCUUAAAAAAAGUAAUCCCAAGGGUCUCCUUGGGAUGAAAUUUUGCCUCUAUUAGAAUUAAGUGGUGGGCUCAUUAUUGUUACUUUUAUUUUUUUUAUACCAAACAUGAUAUAGGAUUAUUUUAUACUAAAAUUAUCCAAUCCUAUGAUAUAUAACUAAAACUAAACAGGCACUUAGGGUAUAUAUGAGCCACGGUGGAGAAGCUUUAUUUAAUAUUAUUGAUUUAAAUAAUAUCUCAUUAAAAAUGUACUGAGAAGAAAUUUCGGUGGGUAUUUUAGUCAAUCACAUGAUCAGCCUUUGGACUUGAAACGUCGGUCAGAAUGAUUUAUUCUAACAAGAAAAAACUAGGUAAUAUUCCACAAAAGUAAAAGUGACAAAACAACCAGCUGGAUUCUUUUAGGAAAUUACAAAGAGUAAUGAUACAGUCAUAAAUUUUUAUAUAAAUUUAUUUUAUAUAAAUUGAUGUGGUAUUAAUUCAUUAGUUGAAUGAAAAUAUAAAUUAAUAAAAAUAAAUUAUAUGGACCAAGUAAUAUUUAAUUCAAUCAAUCUUAUUAUGUCACAUCAAUUUAUAUAAAAUAAAUUUAUAUUUGUAUUAUUACUCAACUAUAAAUUAAAAUAAAUUUUUUCGAUAAACUACAAAUUAAAGUGGAUUCUUUUGAAUGCAAGUGGGACAGACGAUAAGGCUAAAAAUUAGUCAAGAAUCGAAUAGUCUUUUUCAAAUUCUUGUUUUAUUAUUUUUCAAAACCAGUUUUUGGUAAUUACAAUCGGGUCAUUAAUCAUUAUUCAGAGUUAUUGUUUCCUUCAGAAGUUAGUGGCUCAUGUUUGCAAGUGUGAAUAUGCGAUGCUCUUUUUCGAAAGCGCAAUGACAGUGGGUCCCGAAUCGGACGUCCCUAAAUCUUUUUAAAAUUUUUGCCGUAUAACGAACAGAGGUCAUUACUAAAAUUUCUCUUCCACAGCCUACAGCAGCUUCAGUUUAUCAAACUCAAUCAAUUUUCUUUCUUAACAAAAUUCCAAAGAUGUGUAGCAUUUUUCAGAUCACAUGCGAUGGUGCUCUUUUCAAUCGUUGCUUGGAUUGCUUUCUUGGAAAAGCAGCAUACAUACGUAACCUCCAAGAUAAUCUUGUAGCCUUGGAGACUGAACUGGGAAGACUAAUCGCAGCAAAGAACGAUGUGAUGAUGAGGGUUGUCAAUGCUGAACGGCAACAAAUGAGAAGGCUGGACGGAGUGCAAGUGUGGGUUUCGAGGGUGGACGCUGUUAAAACUGGAGCCGAUGAACUUAUCACAGACGGCUCUGAAGAAAUUGGCAAAUUAUGUGUUGGAGGCUACUGUUCCAAGAACUGCAGGUCAAGCUACAAAUUCGGAAAACAAGUGGGUAAAAAGCUACAAGAUGUGAAGACUUUAAUCGCCGAGGGAGUUUUUGAGGCGGUGGCCACUGAGGUGGUGCCCGAGAGAGCUCCGGAACCUGUAGCAGAUAAAAGACCCACUGAGCCAACAAUAGUAGGCCUGCAAUCACAGCUUGAACCAGUUUGGAGAUGUCUUGUAGAAGAAUCAGUGGGAAUCAUUGGCCUAUAUGGUAUGGGCGGUUUUGGUAAAACCACACUAUUGACCCAUAUCAACAAUAAAUUUCUUGAGAGUCCCACAAACUUUGAUUGUGUGAUUUGGGUCGUAGUUUCAAAAGACCUGCGACUUGAAAAAAUUCAAGAAGAUAUUGGGAAGAAGAUAGGUCUAUCUGAUGAUUCAUGGAAGAAUAAAAGUUUUGAAGAGAAAGCUGUGGACAUCCUGCUGAGAUUAGGAGAGAAGAGAUUUGUAUUGUUGUUAGAUGAUUUAUGGGAGCGGGUUGAUUUAACAAAAGUGGGCGUUCCACUUCCCAGCGCACAAAAUACUACCUCAAAAGUCGUAUUCACAACCCGUUCCAUUGGUGUUUGUGGCAGCAUGAGAGCUAGGCCGGUUAAAGUGGCAUGCCUAUCAGAAAAGCAAGCUUGGGAACUGUUCCGCGAAAAUGUUGGGGAAGAAACUCUUGAGAGUGAUCAUGAGAUCGUUGAGCUAGCCCAAACUGUGGCCAAAGAGUGUGGUGGUUUGCCACUCGCACUUAUUACUAUUGGUCGAGCUAUGGCCUACAGAAAGAAAGCGGAGCAGUGGAGACGUGCAAUUGAAGAGUUAAGAAGAUCAGCUUCAGAGUUUGCAGGUUUGGGAAAAGAGGUGUAUCCUCUUUUAAAGUUUAGCUAUGAUAGUUUGCAGAAUGAGACAAUUAGAUCUUGUUUCUUGUAUUGUUGUUUAUAUCCUGAAGAUUAUGGCAUUCUUAAAUGGGACUUGAUUGAUUGUUGGAUUGGUGAGGGAUUUUUUGGGGAAUCUGACAGGUUUGGUGCAGAAAACCAAGGAUAUGACAUUUUGGACACUCUUGUUCGUGCAUGUUUAUUAGAAGAGGUGGAAGAUGAUGAAGUAAAAAUGCAUGACGUUGUUCGUGAUAUGGCUAUAUGGAUAACUUGUGAAAUUGAGAAGGAGAAGAGAAACUUUUUGGUUUGUGCAGGUGCGGGACUAAAGGAGGCACCGGAGGUUAAAAGAUGGGAAAAUGUGAGAAGAUUGUCACUGAUGCAAAACCAAAUUAAAACUCUGUCAGAGGUUCCCACAUGCCCUCAUCUCCAUACUUUAUUUCUUGACUUCAAUGACAAUUUGAAUAUGAUCGCGGAUGGCUUCUUCCAACUUAUGCCUUCUCUCAAAGUUUUGAAGAUGUCAAACUGCGUGAAUUUAACUUUGAAAUUACCUUUGGGGAUGUCAAAGUUAGGUUCACUAGAACUUCUUGAUGUUUCGAAUACCGGCAUAAGAGAGUUACCAGAAGAGUUAAAGUUGUUGGUAAAUCUGAAAUGUUUGACUUUGAGGUGGACAUUUGAGUUAAAUAAAAUUCCACGGCAACUAAUAUCAAAUUCUUCAAGGUUACGUGUGUUGAGAAUGUUGGGUACUGGCCUUUUGAAUUUUCAUGAAGCGUCAGAAGAAAGCGUUUUAUUUGGUGGGGGUGAAGUUUUGAUACAGGAAUUGCUCGGUUUGAAAUAUUUAGAGGUAUUGGAGUUGACCUUGCGAAGUUAUCAUGCUCUCCAAAUUCUUUUGAGCUCAAAUAAGUUAAAAAGUUGUAUUCGAUCUCUUUUCCUCCAGUUGGCCGGAGAUGCAACGUCGAUUGUUGAUGCUACGGCUUUCGCAGAUCUAAACCACCUCAAUGAAUUAUAUAUUAAUAAAGGUUUUGAGUUGGAAGAAUUGAAGAUUGAUUAUACGGAGAUAGUACGAAAAAGGCGGGAACCUUUUGUUUUCCGCAGCCUUCACCAUGUUACUAUAUGGCGGUGCGCUAAAUUGAAAGAUUCGACAUUCCUCGUUUUUGCUCCAAACCUCAAGUCUCUUGUGCUAGGUAAUUGCCAUGCUAUGGAAGAAAUAAUCAGCGUUGGAAAAUUUUCCGAGGUUCCUGAGAUCAUGGGACAUAUGAGCCCUUUUGAAAAUCUCCAAAGGCUUCAUGUAGAAGAUUUGCCAGAUUUGAAGAGCAUCCACUGGAAGCCAUUGCCUUUCACUCAUCUGAAAGAAAUGGGGGUAAGAGCAUGUGAUCAGCUUGAAAAGCUUCCACUCGAUUCCAGCAGUGCAAAAGAGCGUAAAUUUGUUAUUCGUGGAGAAGAAGACUGGUGGAACCGACUUCAAUGGGAGGAUGAAGCCACUCAAAUUGCUUUUCGUUCCUGUUUCCAACCUUAUUCCUGAGCCGUGGUCGCAAAAUUUGAUUUCUGGUGAGUGCGUUUUUGUUAACGCUUAUGUUUUAUUCCAGUGUAUUUUUCUUCUGUCUUCUGCAAAUCACAAUUAAAUGUGUGAUACAUGUUACGGGUAAUAUACAUGCAGUAUUUUUGGUACACUGCAAAUCACAAUUAAAUGUGUGAUACAUGUUUACGGGAAAUUUAUAGACAUGCAGUAUUUUUGGUGGGGUCGAAUUGAUGCUCUGGUUUUUUUUUGUUGUCAAAAUUUUCUCUGUUUUUUCAAAUUGAUGCUUUAUUUAUAUCUUCUUCGUGAAAAGUGAUUUAAUUUCCUGCCAAAAGACGAACGAGAAGAACAUUAGAGUCAAACUAAUGCUCACAUAAAUUUCCCGUAAGAAUAUAUAUAUAAUUAGACUGGAAUAGUAGCCCUCUUUACAGAAAAUGACGCGAAAGUUAAUUUAGAAAGAUAUAUUCUUGAUUAAUCCAUUUUCUGAAGCUUUUAUUUUGUAUGGUCAAUUAUACCUUCAUACUAAAAAUUUCUGAAUUUAUAAAUUAGUGCAACUUGACAAUUUUUACUGAUGAUAUCUUCUAUUUUUCCUUUCUUUCUUUUUUUUUUUUACUCUCAUUGAAUGUUACUGUCAUUUUACUUACAAAUAGGUUUGAAUUUUAUUUAGUUUUCUCAUAGUAUUUGUGCAAGUACUAGAAGGUCAAACCCCGCAUACUUUGAUUGCCAAACCACCGUCCAAUUUAAAAAAAGAAAAAAAGAAAAAAAAUGUGUAAUCCAUGAAUCUGGUUAAUUUUGUUUGUUUGUUUUUUUUUUUUUAAAUAUCAUUCUUUUUCGGCCACCCAAAAUAUCAUUGAUGACUUUUCUGGUCUAAUGCUAUGUAAAUAGUAUGUUAAGUAAAACAUAAUCAAUUAUUUGUGUUUUAUCUCUAAUUAGAACAUCAAUCAGUUCAGUACCUCACAAAUAAUUCGCAAUAUCUACAAAAUACUAUAAUGGCUACAAAACAAAUCCUGCUUGCAAAUUGUCAAGGAUACCUAUCCGUUCGCUUGACAAGUCAUUUGAAUAAAUAUUGUUCACAUUCCUUACUCUGUCAAUUAUCCAAAGCACCAUCAACUUUAGUUUGAAUAGUAUACAUGCCAUCACCAUUACCAAGAAUCAAGCAUGAAAGAGUCAUUCUAUAGAGUGCAGAACAUGACUCUAUGCGGUAGUCAAUUUGACACACGACGAACAACAUAUGCUGCAUAACAUACAAAUUAAUUUCCCAUAUGUGAUGCAAUUUUCUCCUCAACAUAUGCGCAAUUCUUUCCAUUCCGGCCGUUGAUUGAACCCUUUGGCAACAAGACGAGCUUUAAGCCUGUCAGCAGAACCGUUGGAAUGUCUUUUAAUACAAAAAUCCAUUUGCAGCCAACAAUAUUGGAAGGGAUGGGAGGUGGAACAAGCUUCCAUGUCCCGUUACGAACAAGAGCAUCAUACUCUUCUGACAUAGCUUGACGCCAGUGAGGAUUUUUGAUAGCUUGCGUCACAGUUGUAGGUUCACAAUCAGAAGAAGGGCUAAAAUGAGCACGGAGGUUAAGUUUUUGUAACGGCUUGUGAAUCUUAUUUUUAGCUCGGGUAGUCAUAUCAUGAUGAUUUGUGGGGCAAUGAUGUAGUGGAGUUUGGGAAGAUGAUUGAAGAGGAAGUGAAGAAGUGCUUUGUGUAGAGGUAGAAGUAGGUUGGGAGGAUUGCUGCGGAGAUGUUACCGGUAGAGAAGAAGGAGCAGUACACGGUGGCAACUCCAGAGGGCCCAUAGUGAAACACUUGCGUAAUUAGGAGUGGUAGAAGAGCUUGUAAUGAUUUGUAUGGAAAAACAAACUCUACAAAUUUAACGAGACGUGAAAUGAAAAUUUGAAAGGUGGAUGGGUCAAAACAUAAAUAAGCACUUUGAGAUAAAGGAAUAUCCUAUAAAAACACAAGGCUUAGAGGGUGGUUCGAGUUUAUAUGAUGAAACACAAACAUUCAAAAAUUUUAAGUUUAUAUUAAUUAGGAGUGGUACCAAAAAUUAAUUAGGAGUGGUCCGCGGGACAUGUAGCUAUGGGGUUGUUGGAUGUGUUUUGGAUAUUUACAGACAUGCUGAGUUUGAGUUUAUAUCUCAACUUAAAAUUUGUAGUUUUCACUUGAAAAAAUUCAGUUAAAAAUUGAUUGGUAGAAUUGUGAAAAAAGUUUAAAUUUUUAGUUCAACCCGAUUGCAUAUUUAAGAACAUCUCAAAUGAAUUGCUUACUGCUAUCAUCAUCAUUAUUGUCCAUAUAAUAAUGGAUCUUUAUUAUAUAUAUAUGUUUCCACUAAAAUAUAUUUAAUUAUUCUUUAUUUUUCCAUUGUUGCGUGUAAGAUUUAUUUGAGUUCUAAGUUAUAUCAAUACAAAUGUUAUCUUAUCCAUUAAAAGUUAGAUCCAACAAUUAUGAAAAUUACCAUAGAGUUGCUUUCAACUAUUUUUUAAAAAUACCAGGAGUAAAAAAUAAUUAGUUCAAAUGGUGGAGACUAAAAAGCGUUCACCUUUAUUUUUUAUCUGUUAUUUAUUUUUUUCAUUAAUGCACAUGCUAUACAUUUGAGACAUUCCAUUAAUUGCCAAUUAUGUAUGUGAGAUAGUAAUUUAAAUUAAAAAAAUAAAAGUGAAAGUUAAUCCUAUGCAAUGUGAAUAAAUUUCUUUCCUUUUUCCUUUACUCUUUUUAUUUGACAAUAAAGUUUCCAUCUAUCAUCUAUCAUCUAUGUACGCAAAAUUUCUGCAACAGGUACAAAACAUAAAAAUAUAUGAUUGUUAAGGGAAACGCGCAGGAGUUCAUCAUUUCAAUGUUCAGCAUUACCAAUUUUGGCAUUAAGCUGAAUAUAUUCCACUUAGAAAGCAAAAUAUUAGACUCGUGAUUUUAAUUCAUUCAUUAUCUCUCAUUUUAAUCCCAAAAUAUUCAAGAGCAUCCAAGUUACCAUAAGACUUCAGAGGCUCAAGCCUUAGCCAGAGAUGGUUAAUUGAUAGACUAUGUGCCUGGGUCGAGCACUGGAAGCCUGCAAUGCAGACUGAUUGAUUUAUCAGUUUAACGUGUGCCAGGAAUGAAGAACUGGAAUAUCACCGUCAAGCAAGCACCCUGUGGAGCAAUACCGAAGAAUGCACAAUCCAGCUUUGCUAGGUGACACUGGAGGCUUUUUGAAAAGUGCUUCACGCUCACUUGCACAGAUUGAGCAUCCCCUCUGGAUAUUGCCCUCUCUGAUCGAGUCUGAGCACUCAAAUUUUGGUCCUCAGAGGGAGCUACAGUUUCUCUCCACUAACCAACAAUUUUCUAAACUCAGCACCUAGUGUGAUCAGAGUUGUUGAUAUUUGCAAAUGGAGAUCCCCAUAUUUGCAAAUGGAGACAUUUAACAAAUCACCAACAUGCUUCAUCCGGUCCACGAAAUUCUGCAACUGAUUCAAAUCUGGAACCUGAACCAGAGUCGGAGGUAUAUCUUGAGCCAUAUCUAAAGCAGUUUGAAGUUCAAGACCUUGAGCCCUUGACAAUGGUUUUGAAAUUGGAACAUCUUGGAUUACUGCAGACUUGUACCCCUUGGUUUCAAAGGUAAGGAAAGGCAUUGCUUGAGUACAAUUUGGAGGCAGCUUCUUCACCAAUUUUAUUUGGAGGCGAUUGGUAGCGGAUCCAGCUGCACCAAUUUCAGAGCAACUACUGACACUACUUCGAACAGCACACUGAAGAAGUGAUAUGUCUACGGCGAAGGCAAUGCAGUCCUCAUUUUGGCUUGAGACACAGUAAUCAUCGUAGAGAGUUUCCUUGUGAAACUGGGCAACACAUUGAAUCCCUUCGCCACUGAGAAGGUUGUGGAGGAAGUAAGCUUUCUCUCUAGUGAGGAAGAGGUGGCAUACCUUCCCCAUUUUGUCUAGGGCAGGUAGGAAUCUUUUUUCUAAGAGAUUUACUUCAUUCUCUGUGAGAAAUGCUUUGAACUUCAUCCCUCUGUCUCUAUCCUCACUUAUCAGGAAAUAAGUUGAAAGCACUACGAAGAGAGAGAGAGAGAGAGAGAGAGAGAGAAUUAAGAUAUAUAGACAAGAAAAAUAUUAGAUGUUGAUCUUACAAACUAAUACUUCAAGCAGUAUCCUAGAAAGCUAAAAACUGCAAGAUGGCUUGAAAUUUGAGAAGAGCACGUGCUUUUCCUCCUUAACUUGAGAAAAUGUUUUAUAUAGUGCACCUUACAGAAGCAUUUAAGCAAUUAGAACUUUGCACAAAAACAUCAAGAAGACUAAACAAAUCAGAUGCAGUGCAUUUGUCCAAGCACAAAUUGCAUUUUGUCCUCAACUUUAAUAUUUAUUGAUGAGAAUCAAUACAGGUCCCUCAUUUGUUAUAGAAAGCUUUCUUGUAGUCUCACCAGUUAAUAUGGAUAUUAGAUAAGGAAACUUUAUUAGGUUGCGAGGGUAAAAAAGGAAAGAGAUAUCAUUAUUUUAUUAUCGAUAAUUAUUAAAUUUUUUUCCAAAAAAAAGAACAAGCAAUGAUAUUUUAUUGUCAAUUGCAACCUUUAAUUUUUUUAAAUGCUAUUAGAAACACAAGAUAACAAAGAAAUACUUAUUUUUUCCUAAAACUAAAAUCAAUUGUUUAACUUCUUAUUUCAUAAUCCAACUCCAUUACUAAGUUAAAAAAAAUUGUUUCAAAAUUACUUGAGUCAUAUUCAAUGGACCAACAAAGUAACCGUUUUUAUUUUUAUUGAUUUUUGCAGGAAAUUAAUAAGUUAAAAAUAAUGAAAGCUAUUGUAAAAAAAUUUAUUAUCAACCUCAUAAUUUUUUUUUUUUUGGGGAAGAGAAUUCAAACAUUUUUUUUUUUUAAUUUCCAAGAAUUCUUGACACCCAUCUUAAUUAAAAGCUAUAUUUUUAUUCAAGAGUCAUGCUAUUCAUUCACUCACAGACCAAAGGCUUUCCGCAGCAAUAUUAUUAUUUAAAUUACAACAAAGGGGAAAUCAAACACGUCAUACAGAAGCUUAAAGGUGAAUCUACAAAAUCUAGAGCUCUCAACUACAAAAAUUACACUUGAUGAUCCUCUACAAGAUGAAGGUUGUUCAAUAUCUUGAGAUUGCCUGCCUUCCUCGACGACCUGCACGAUGUGUUUGUACAAAUCAUCAUACCUGUGCACCGGAUUUUUAAUAUCAACGCCACUGCAGCUGUGAUCAAGAACAUAAGAGCAUUUAACAUCUUUUCUCCAUCGAGAAAGAAUGUAGUGAGAUGGGAUCUCCUGCAUGCCACUCUGGUUUAGAACACAAAGAAUGUGUCUGCAUAAAUAUCCUCUGAAAUUGAACAACCCACAAACACAAAGCACCUCCAAGUCGGAGGCAUUGUACAAAACAUCGAAAGCCCUUGAAUCUUUCUCGUUGCUACCAACCUUAAAUUCUUCCUUCACUAUGUAUGUUACAGGUCCAUCAGCACUGACAUGUUUUGUGCUAUAGCAAUACAUAGCCUCCACCUCCGUCUGAAACUUCCUUAACAUUUCAUUUGUGUACAGUUUUGAGAGUUGAAAUUCAUAGUAUCAUCUUGGUUUCUGGAUACAACUUGAAUUUCUUGAAUCCAUAUCUGCCAAGGCUACCAGUUGAUAAUUCGCCUGCAGUGCUUGAUCAUACUUGUCUAAGAAUUCUUUCAAAGGAGUAUUCUUAUCAAGAUAUCCUUCAAAGUAUGAAGUAGAAACCUCAUUCUGCAGGAACGAAAACACUCCUGAUAAAAAAGCUUCCUUCAAAUAAAUAGGAGCCCACCUUUUAUGAUCUUCAUAUAAAGUUUGAAUCUAUCCGUGAUCCUUUAUUCCAUGACAUUGAAUCAUGUCUUCCCAAGCUGCUUCAAAUUUCUCAGGCCUGAGAGAGUGAUAAAUUGCUCUAUGUAAUGCAGCUUUAAUAGCUUCAUAUUCAAACAAUCCUUGGAGUUUCUCUGGAAUUUUUUUGCAUGAUGCAUGACAAUGAAAAGCAAUGAUAAGCUCUUGGGAAAACAUCACCAACAGCAAUUUGCAAGAUUCUACAUUGGUCAGUGAUGAUUGUUUGUGGAGAGCUCCCUAACAUACAUGUAAGCCACGCCGUAAACAACCAUGUAUAUGAUUCUAUGGUCUCACUGGCAAGUAAAUCACAAGUCCACAACCCAACAACACUGAUUGUCCAUGAUGAUUCACCCCAAUGAAUGAAACCAGUGGUACAUCAUAUCUUUCAGUCAGGCACGUAGUAUCAAUUAAGACCACAUCACCAAAGUACCUAUAUGCAACUCUUGACCUGGUAUCAGUCCAGAAUAGGUUUCUCAAGCAUCCCUUUUCAUUUAGAUCCACUACAUUAAAAAAGUUUGGAUCUGUCAACUGCAAAUGACAAAAGAAACUCUGGACAGCUUGUGCAUCUCCUGGUUUAAGCUUCAAUUGAUUUGAGCUAUUAACAUUAUUUCCAAAUACUCCAUUAACAUCUACCAUUUCCCUUGGUAUCAAUGAUAAGAGUUCGAAACAGUUUAAUUUUUUGAACUUCUUCAGCACUAUCUAAAUGCAAUGUUCUUUUGGUUCCAAUACCUAUGUGCUUAUGUGACUUGUAAAACUUUCCGCUUCUUGGGCUUAACAAGUGGUUAUGCUCAAGCUCGACUUCAAUGAUUCUCCACCUUUUGGUUUCCAUCAACCUAAACUUUAUCAUUGCUGGACAGCCAGUUCUUGUUUCUGGUCUUGGGCGGUUUGCCUCGCUUUUCUUCUUGAAGCCUGCACUACUACAGCUCAGCUUUCCUCUAUACUUUUCUCUACUCUUUCGGUACCAUGGAUUGCUAACUCUAACACCAAAACCCUGUUCCUUGGCAUAGCAAUUGUAAAAGUAAUAUACAUCAUCAUACAUCUCAAACUCCAUUCCAACAGUAGGAGGCAAGGGAUUUUGGAUUAUCCCAGUUUGUCCAACAUAUUCAGUCAUCGCACAAUCUCCUACGACCUCAAAAUCAUCAGUGUCAUCAUCACCUACUGGUUCGGUGUUGAGAGAAACUUCAUCCAUCUACAAUGGAUGUUCAAUGAAGUGAGCUUUAAGGAGAAAAAGCAAAAUCAGUUCAAGGAAUGAUAAUAUAAUCAUACAGUUACUUUCACAAAGCUUCAUAUUUCAUCACUGCUUUACCAACAUGCAACUGCCAGAGAACAAACAGACAUGUCAUAGACGCUUGAAUUAAGUAUUGGUACAAAUGAGCACACAUCAUGUGGGACAAAAUUUCAGUCACUAAACCCAAUACCACUUUUUACAUCAUACCAAGGAACAGAUUAAACCCGACACCUUCUUUUAAACCAUACCAAGGAGCAGAUUAAAUCAUCAAUGAAAAAUUAAUCACAUAAUAACUUAACCAGACAAAUGAAGAGCCUGAAACAGCACAAAACUUGAAUCUGAUUAUGAUAAUUGUUGAGUCCUUGUAUCUACAGCUUUCCUUCAAUGAUAAGACAAUGAACAUAAACGAGACACAAAAAAAUUAUUUUAAACUGACAGCCCAUGAUAUAAAUCAAACAAAAUCAACUCCUUUUUUUACACAUUACAUCUCAUAUUCAUUUACAUUGAAACACAAAAAGGAAGCAGGAGUGGGAAAAAAACAACAGCAGAGGAACUUAUUUCCAUAAGGUUUACGAAAUAAGGAAUCUAUUAAAACCCAAAACUUGAGGUCACCACUAAGAAUUUGGUUCUCAUUAUUUUUUUCUUCAUUUUUCACCAAUUGAUGAACUUAAAAUACAAUCAUAAAUGAUAAAACCCCAUCUCCAUCUUUUUGAACUAGAGCUAAAGCAAAGCAUUUUAAGAUGUUUCAUCAUUUUUUAAAAAAAAAAAAAACUCAAUAGUACAAUGUUUUUCAAUGUUAAAUGCACAAUUCAAUCUUCUCCUAAUUUACUCUAAUAAUCUCUUAAUUAAGGAAGAUUAAGCUUCAGUUGUAAGCUAAAACAAAUUUCUUAAAUCAAGCCCCAAUGCUUUAUGCUAUUCAACAAGGGCUCAUAAAUGAUAAAACUACUUCUAUAAAGAUACCCAUUUUCUAAAUUAAUUUCACAAACUGAAAUCAAACUCCUGAAACGUAACGAGCAUUAAUAUAAUCAAGCCCGAACAAGAAUUGAUAAAUGAUACAUAAACUCGUUUACACAUUUCGACAGACACUUUGCAAUCAAUGAGCAAAAAAUUAAUGGAGAAGAUAAAAUUCAAACGAAACAUGCCUUACAUUGAUAAAUUAGAAGGGCAAAAGAAAUUUUAGUACGAUAUGGGAUCAGGGUCUUGCCACGGUGAUGUUAUUUGUGAAGUUCGAGCGACUCAGCAGCCUUCGAGGUUGAAAAUUUGAUUGACCAAAAGCUUCCCGUUCGUUGAUUCUCUAAUAGUAGAAACGAGACUGGCAGUAUACACAACAAGUUCGCCGAUUUUAAAUUCCGUUGUUUGAGAUGGAAAAUUUUUUGAAAAAAUUAAUGUGUUCGAUGAAAAUCAAAAUCUCAAAAACCUUUUGUUUUUCAUUUUUUUGGAAAAAACCAUUGAGAUCCUUACUAUUUUUUCUUAUAUCAUCUUGCUUAAUAAUUUGCAAAGUCUAUCGCAUAGCACCCAUGCAUGAUGUAUGCUGCGUUGUAAUUUACAAUAUUGUACAUGAAUAAAUCCAGCUAAUAUUUGUUAAAAGAAAAUAAUAAUAACAUGUUAAAACUUUAAAAUUUGAUUAUUAGAAGAAAUUUUAAUUUAGCUAAGUAGGUGACAUGAUAAUAAAUAGAUACGUAUAAUGUCCGAGAUUUUUUAUAAGAUUAAUAAAUAUGAUAAAUUUGGAUUAGUUCAAUUUUGACAUAAUUGCAAACAAUUUAAUUUGUGUUGUUUCUCUAAAAGUUUGAGACACAAAUGUUAUUUCAAAUUGAUAAAAGUACAAUUUAAUCCCACUUGCUCUUCAACUAAAAAUUAAACAUGCAAAUACACACACUAAUUUAAAGUCAUCUGUAUAAUUGAAACGCCAUGCACUAGUAGUAGGUCAGAGAAACCAAGGUUGAAAUGUGUAGAAAUGUUGAAACGCCAAUAAUAAUUGAAACGCCAUGCACUGUUCGUUUAUUUUUAUUCAUGAUUUUUUGUAAAACGUAAGAAAUGUGUAGAAAUGUUGCCAGCAAUGAUUUUGGAACUUUGCAUAAAAUUUUUAUCGUUAUUGUUUUUGGUAUUAAGAAAUCCGAGGCGGUGAUUAGACGUAUGUUGCAACAAUUAAGAAAUUUCUUAUUGGAGAUAAUUCGGUAGGUUGCAACAAUUAGAGAAUCAUUUUCCUGUCAGUUAAACGGUUCAUUUUCAGCCAUAACAUGCUAAAAAUGCUACACUUAACGGUUCAUUUUCAUGGAUUUUCUCGGGAAACAAACAGAAAAUUACGGUUUAGAGAGUUGACUGACGUUUUGGCUUUUGAAAUUGAGAAGAUCGCGCGCCAAAUUGGAAGAGGGAAAGUGAAAGUGCGAGUUUUAAUAUGGGCAUUAGAUAAGGAAAUUUUAUUAGGUUGCGAGGGUAAAAAAGGAAAGAGAUAUCAUUAUUUUAUUAUCGAUAAUUAUUAAAUUUUUUUCCAAAAAAAGAACAAGCAUGGAUAUUUUAUUGUCAUUUGCAACCUUUAAUUUUUUAAAUGCUAUUAGAAACACAAGACAACAAAGAAAUACUUAUUUUUUUCCUAAAACUAAAAUCAAUUGUUUAACUUCUUAUUUCAUAAUCCAACUCCAUUACUUCGUGCUGGUUUUUUCAGGUGAAUAACAGCUAAAAAUAAUUUUAAAAGCUGUUACCAAUUCUCAUGAACUGUUACAAUUAAAAAAAUCAAGCAUGCAUGGAUGGUUAAGUGUGUAGAGAGAACCUCCAUCCUUAUAAUUCUUACUUAUGCAUGGUUAAGUGUUUAUAUUUAAACACUAAUUUCUAGGCUUCUUUUUCCCAUGUGGGAUAAGCCUCAUUUCCUUUCAAAUUUCCAACUUCAAGGGUGAACUUUGAGAGACAAUUUCUCAUUCACCCAAGCACCAUUUUGAGAAAAUAAAAUUAUACUUUUGAAGUAUGAACGGAAUAGAAUCCGAAUCUCACAAUAUUUCCCACUUUAGUUAAAUAGGACCCACUCAAAAUGUGCUCUCAAAAUAACAUGUUAUGCUAUUUUUUCAACAAAAUUGUGGGCCAACAAUAGUGGGCAUGGUGUCGACUUUUGAGAAAGCCUGGAGAUGCGUUGAAGAAGAAUCAAUUGGAAUUAUUGGCCUAUAUGUCAAUGGGGGAGUUAGAAAAUAUUUACUCAAAUCAACAACAAGUUCCUUGAUAGUCCAAAUAAUUUUGAUGUUGCGAUCUGGGUAGUGGUCUGCCAAGAUUUGCAACCCCAGAAGUUUCGGGAAAAGAUUGGGAAAAAGAAAGGCUUCUUCGAUGAGUCAUGGAAGAUAUGAAGUUUUGAAGAGAAAGCACUCGACAUAUUCAAGAAUUUAAGCAAGAUGAAGUUUGUAUUACUGUUGGAUGAUAGAUGGGAGCAUGUUGAUUUAAUUAAAAUUGGUGUCCCUCUUCCAAGCAGAAAAAUUACAUUCAAGAUAGUCUUCACAACUCGUUCUAUUGACAUUUGUGGCCUCAUGGAAGCUCACAACAAGAUUAAAGUGGAGUGUUUAAAUGACAAAGAAGCAUGGGAAUUAUUCUGCAAGAAGGUUGGAGAAGAUGUGGCGACUCUGUCCAAGUGCUAAGGAGAUCAGCCUCUAGGUAUGUAAAAACAAGUAUAUCCUCUUUUGAAAUUCAGUUAUGAUAAUUUACCAAGCGAUAAAAUUAGAUCGAGUCUGUUAUACUGUAGUUUGUUUCCAGAAGACUUUCCAAUUAGCAAAAUGGAAUUGAUACUGAGAUACGAAAUCAAGGAUACUACAUUAUUGGUGUUCUUGUUCCUUUAUGUUUAUUGGAAGAAGAGGCUCCACUGUUUGUAAAAGUGCAUGAGGUGAUACGCGAUAUGCUUCUGUGGAUAGCUGUGAAGGUUUUUUUUUUUUUUUUUUUUUUUUUUUAUAGGGAUAGCAUGUGAAGUUGAGAAGGAGAGAGAGAAUUUUGCAAGGAUUAACUGAAGUACCAGACAUUUGGAAAUGGGAAGGGUUGAGAAGGGUGUCUUUGAUGAUCAACAAAACUGAGAAGGUAUCAGAAAUUCCUUCAUCUCACGAUCCACUAACUUUGUUGCUUCAACAUAAUUAUUUAGAGGUGAUCAAUAAUGACUUCUUCCAAUCUAUGCAUUCCCUUAGAGUUUUGAACUUAUCAUGUAAUCAUUCUCUAACUGAUAAUUUCAAAGUUAGUUUCCCUACAUACGAGAGUUGCCGAAUGAGUUAACGUUCGUAGUGAAUCUUAAGUUUUUGAAUGUGGAGUAUGCACGGUUUCUUCAUUCAAUUCCAGGGCAAGUGAUAUCCAGUUUUACGAUGUUACAAGUUUUGAAGAUGUUUGGUUGUGGCAGGUCAUCUUCUGAUCGUGAGCCACACCAGAAGAUAGCGUUUUAUUUGGAGGCAGUAAAUUUUUGAUUGCGGAGUUGUUUGGUUUGAGAGACAUUUAGAUGUGUUGACCAUCAUCCUAAGAAGCUCCCAUGCUCUGAAAAGAUUUUUGAGCUCCAACAAACUUCAAAGUUGUUGAUGCCGAAAUCCGGAUGAGUUGAUCGAAUCUCAGAUCCCUGCAUCAGCAUUGAAUUUGUUUGGUGGGAAGCUGAUGAUUAGUUAGCACCAUGAGCAGAUUUUCUAUGAGCAGAUGUUCUGUGAGCAGAUCAGAUGUUCUCCUCGUUCUACGACCAGGGUCUCUGCUCGAUCAACUUCACCACGACCAGGAUCUCUCCUCGUAAAGCUUCUUCUCCAGAGGUUCCUGCGCACACAGACAAGUCAGAGUACGCCGGUUGUUUUCCCGGCGCAAACCCUCCGACGCUCAAGUCAGAUAUGAAGGUUCGGGGAACGCUUGCCACAGAUCUUAUGGCUUUUGUGUAGUUUUCUUUAGAAUUGCUUUUAUCUCUCUUCUAAUCUCAAAAUUGCUAACCCUUUUACCUUCGUUGGCUACCUUUUUAUAGGCUUCCUCUCAAUCCCAGUUUUCCGCAGUCUAUGCCGUUAUCCCACGUUCUCCUUCAAUUUUCAUCCCUCCUUUUUCGGGUAGUGGCCUUUAAAUGCUUUUAAAUGCUACAUCAUGGGAAACGUGGGGUAUCGCAUCUCUCGUAACGGUUCUGGGAAGAAUGUAAACGCCAUAAUUCUGUGGGAUCGUGUUCCUGCUUUUCCAGGAGAUGGGUAUCAGCUCGGGAUACACCUUUUGUCAGUAUCCGUCUCUGAUCGGUUCAUGUUGCCCUCUGCUCUGCUCGUACAGUUACACUUGGCUGAGGUGAUUCAUGCCGGGGGUGAUUCAUGCCGAGGUGAAAACAGUACUAUGGCCGACCUGGUAUCAUUAUUGGCUCAACACCAGUCCCCCAGUUUCUGGUCUUGUGAGUGAAAUGAGUCAAGAGUAGAAACUGAUAUUCAAAUCUUACCAAUCCGGGGGCUUCUCCUCUGGUCUUUCAUCUAUCGGGAUGGUCCUGAGGUAUCAUUUUUCUUCAAGGGAGAUUUUGACCUGAGUAUGGAAUAGGAAGUCAUCUGCUCAAGUUUAGACCACGUGGUCGAGGUGAUCUGGUCAAGCUCAUAGCACAUGGUCGAGGUGAUCUGCUCCACCUCAUAGCACCUGGUCGAGGUGAUCUGCUCCACCUCAUAGCACAUGGUCGAGAUGAUCUGAUCCACCUCAUAGCACCUGGUCGAGGCGAUCUGCUGAAGCUCAUACCAUCUGGCCAAGGUGACCUGCUCAACCAUUUGCUCACUUUCACUUGGAGGAGAUCAUGGUCGCUCUAUUUAAUUCCUCAAACACCAGUCCCCCAGUUUCUAGUGUUGAGAGUGAAACAAAUCAAGACUGGAAACUUUAGUGGUCUGCUCGUCUUCGCUUGGUUGAGCAGAUCCUGGCACGCUUGGCUUCUGUCUCGCCAUAAAACAGGCUUUGAGACUUUGUCGAGCCUUUGCAUGCCUUCGAUUCUUCAAGGAUUGGGAUUCUGCUCGCCUUCUCGUGGCCGAGCAGAUCCUAGCACGCUUGGCUUCUGUCUCGCCAUAAAACAGGCUUUGAGACUUUGGUGAGCCUUUGCGUGCCUUUGAUUCUUCAAGGAUUGGGAUUCUACUCGCCUUCUCGUGGCCGAGCAGAUCCUGGCACGCUUGGCUUCUGUCUCGCCAUAAAACAGGCUUUGAGACUUUGGUGAGCCUUUGCGUGCCUUUGAUUCUUCAAGGAUUGGGAUUCUGCUCGCCUUCUCGUGGCCGGUGGCCGAGCAGAUCCUGGCACGCUUGGCUUCUGUCUCGCCAUAAAACAGGCUUUAAGACUUUGGUGAGCCUUUGCGUGCCUUUGAUUCUUCAAGGAUUGGGAUUCUGCUCGCCUUCUCGUGGCCGAGCAGAUCCUGGCACGCUUGGCUUCUGUCUCGCCAUAAAACAGGCUUUGAGACUUUGGUGAGCCUUUGCGUGCCUUUGAUUCUUCAAGGAUUGGGAUUCUGCUCGCCUUCUCGUGGCCGAGCAGAUCCUGGCACGCUUGGCUUCUGUCUCGCCAUAAAACAGGCUUUGAGACUUUGGUGAGCCUUUGCGUGCCUUUGAUUACUUCAAAGAUUGGGAUUCUGCUCGCCUUCUCGUGGUCGAGCAGAUCCUGGCACGCUUGGCUUCUGUCUCGCCAUAAAACAGGCUUUGAGACUUUGGUGAGCCUUUGCGUGCCUUUGAUUCUUCAAGAUUGGGAUUCUGCUCGCCUUCUCGUGGCCGAGCAGAUCCUGGCACGCUUGGCUUCUGUCUCGCCAUAAAACAGGCUUUGAGACUUUGGUGAGCCUUUGCGUGCCUUUGAUUCUUCAAGGAUUGGGAUUCUGCUCGCCUUCUCGUGGCGAGCAGAUCCUGGCACGCUUGGCUUCUGUCUCGCCAUAAAACAGGCUUUGAGACUUUGGUGAGCCUUUGCGUGCCUUUGAUUCUUCAAGGAUUGGGAUUCUGCUCGCCUUCUCGUGGCCGAGCAGAUCCUGGCACGCUUGGCUUCUGUCUCGCCAUAAAACAGGCUUUGAGACUUUGGUGAGCCUUUGCGUGCCUUUGAUUCUUCAAGGAUUGGGAUUCUGCUCGCCUUCUCGUGGCCGAGCAGAUCCUGGCACGCUUGGCUUCUGUCUCGCCAUAAAACAGGCUUUGAGACUUUGGUGAGCCUUUGCGUGCCUUUGAUUCUUCAAGGAUUGGGAUUCUGCUCGCCUUCUCGUGGCCGAGCAGAUCCUGGCACGCUUGGCUUCUGUCUCGCCAUAAAACAGGCUUUGAGACUUUGGUGAGCCUUUGCGUGCCUUUGAUUCUUCAAGGAUUGGGAUUCUGCUCGCCUUCUCGUGGCCGAGCAGAUCCUGGCACGCUUGGCUUCUGUCUCGCCAUAAAACAGGCUUUGAGACUUUGGUGAGCCUUUGCGUGCCUUUGAUUCUUCAAGGAUUGGGAUUCUGCUCGCCUUCUCGUGGCCGAGCAGAUCCUGGCACGCUUGGCUUCUGUCUCGCCAUAAAACAGGCUUUGAGACUUUGGUGAGCCUUUGCAUGCCUUUGGUAAUUUCUUCGAAACUUGGGAUUCUGCUCGCCUUCUCGUGGUCGAGCAGAUCCUGGCACGCGUGGCUUCUGUCUCGCCAUAAAACAGGCUUUGAGACUUUGGUGAGCCUUUGCGUGCCUUUGAUUCUUCAAGGAUUGGGAUUCUGCUCGCCUUCUCGUGGCCGAGCAGAUCCUGGCACGCUUGGCUUCUGUCUCGCCAUAAAACAGGCUUUGAGACUUUGGUGAGCCUUUGCAUGCCUUUGAUUCUUCAAGGAUUGGGAUUCUGCUCGCCUUCUCGUGGCCGAGCAGAUCCUGGCACGCUUGGCUUCUGUCUCGCCAUAAAACAGGCUUUGAGACUUUGGGGAGCCUUUGCGUGCCUUUGAUUCUUCAAGAAUUGGGAUUCUGCUCGCCUUCUCGUGGCCGAGCAGAUCCUGGCACGCUUGGCUUCUGUCUCGCCAUAAAACAGGCUUUGAGACUUUGGUGAGCCUUUGCGUGCCUUUGAUUCUUCAAGGAUUGGGAUUCUGCUCGCUUUCUCGUGGCCGAGCAGAUCCUGGCACGCUUGGCUUCUGUCUCGCCAUAAAACAGGCUUUGAGACUUUGGUGAGCCUUUGCGUGCCUUUGAUUCUUCAAGGAUUGGGAUUCUGCUCGCCUUCUCGUGGCCGAGCAGAUCCUGGCACGCUUGGCUUCUGUCUCGCCAUAAAACAGGCUUUGAGACUUUGGUGAGCCUUUGCGUGCCUUUGAUUCUUCAAGGAUUGGGAUUCUGCUCGCCUUCUCGUGGCCGAGCAGAUCCUGGCACGCUUGGCUUCUGUCUCGACAUAAAACAGGCUUUGAGACUUUGGUGAAUCUUUGCGUGCCUUUGAUUCUUCAAGGAUUGGGAUUCUGCUCGCCUUCUCGUGGCCGAGCAGAUCCUGGCACGCUUGGCUUCUGUCUCGCCAUAAAACAGGCUUUGAGACUUUGGUGAGCCUUUGCAUGCCUUUGGUAAUUUCUUCAAAACUUGGGAUUCUGCUCGCCUUCUCGUGGUCGAGCAGAUCCUGGCACGCGUGGCUUCUGUCUCGCCAUAAAACAGGCUUUGAGACUUUGGUGAGCCUUUGCGUGCCUUUGAUUCUUCAAGGAUUGGGAUUCUGCUCGCCUUCUCGUGGCCGAGCAGAUCCUGGCACGCUUGGCUUCUGUCUCGCCAUAAAACAGGCUUUGAGACUUUGGUGAGCCUUUGCAUGCCUUUGAUUCUUCAAGGAUUGGGAUUCUGCUCGCCUUCUCGUGGCCGAGCAGAUCCUGGCACGCUUGGCUUCUGUCUCGCCAUAAAACAGGCUUUGAGACUUUGAUGAGCCUUUGCGUGCCUUUGUAGUAAACUUUGACUGGUUUCUUAACUCUAGCCUAGCUCUCUUUUCUUAAAUCAUUCUCAUAUUGAGUAACUUUCAAGAAAUCAAGUUAACUAAGUUAAACAGUCAGCCCUAAUAUAAGCACAAUUAGUUGAAUGAAUAUAAGGCAUCCUCAUAUCACAUAGUAGGAUUUAGAGAAAUAAUUAAAUUUUCAUGAGAAAAUUGUUUGUAAAUAAAAAUUUAACUUCUGACCUGUUCUGAUUUCUGCAAACGUCUGCCUUCAUUGUGCUCUCAUUUAAGGGUUUUGCUACCUUGUUUAAGCACGCUCAUCCAUUUAUGUACUGUAACAUUCUGAUUUGCUUCGACUAGAUGAAAAUUGAUAGAAACAAAAAUUUGGCUUCUCGUACCGGUCCCCACAGACGGCGCCAAAUGUUGAUGCCGAAAUUCGGAUGAGUUGAUCGAAUCUCAGAUCCCUGCAUCAGCAUUGAAUUUGUUUGGUGGGAAGCUGAUGAUUAGUUAGCACCAUGAGCAGAUUUUCUAUGAGCAGAUGUUCUGUGAGCAGAUCAGAUGUUCACCUCGUUCUACGACCAGGGUCUCUGCUCGAUCAACUUCACCACGACCAGGAUCUCUCCUCGUAAAGCUUCUUCUCCAGAGGUUCCUGCGCACACAGACAAGUCAGAGUACGCCGGUUGUUUUCCCGGCGCAAACCCUCCGACGCUCAAGUCAGAUAUGAAGGUUCGGGGAACGCUUGCCACAGAUCUUAUGGCUUUUGUGUAGUUUUCUUUAGAAUUGCUUUUAUCUCUCUUCUAAUCUCAAAAUUGCUAACCCUUUUACCUUCGUUGGCUACCUUUUUAUAGGCUUCCUCUCAAUCCCAGUUUUCCGCAGUCUAUGCCGUUAUCCCACGUUCUCCUUCAAUUUUCAUCCCUCCUUUUUCGGGUAGUGGCCUUUAAAUGCUUUUAAAUGCUACAUCAUGGGAAACGUGGGGUAUCGCAUCUCUCGUAACGGUUCUGGGAAGAAUGUAAACGCCAUAAUUCUGUGGGAUCGUGUUCCCGCUUUUCCAGGAGAUGGGUAUCAGCUCGGGAUACACCUUUUGUCAGUAUCCGUCUCUGAUCGGUUCAUGUUGCCCUCUGCUCUGCUCGUACAGUUACACUUGGCUGAGGUGAUUCAUGCCGGGGGUGAUUCAUGCCGAGGUGAAAACAGUACUAUGGCCGACCUGGUAUCAUUAUUGGCUCAACAAAAGUUGUACCUGAUCUCUCUAUCCUAAAUGCUUUGAUUCGAAGUCAGUUGAUGUUUUUGGCUAGGCUGAUCUGAAGCAUCUCAAUAGGCUAUAGAUAUUGCGAGUUGUAAGCUUUUGGAAGAAGUGAAGAUUGACUUUGUUGGGAAAGCACAAUGAACCCAUGGUUUUCACAGCCUUAUGUCACGGAAGUUGUCUAAAUACUGCACGGGUUGCUGCGCAAAGUAACCAUCCUAUGACAUUGAGCCAUGUUGAAAUAUCAUUUUGCUGUAAACUGAGGGAUUUGACAUAGCUUGCUUUUGCUCCAGACCUUCUUGUUGUUUCCAGAAAAUGUUGCCAUGAUAUAGAGGAAAUACUCGGUGUUGGAAAAUUAGGUGAAGAGAUGACGUCAAAUCUGGAACCCCCUGCAAAACUCCAAGGUUACGUUUGGCAUAUAGGAUUGGAUUAAAUUGGGUUCUAUUUAUAUUUUUAUGUUUGGUACAGUUCCGGAUUGAACCAUAUUAGAUUAUAUUUAAAUAAUAUUGAAUAGUAUUUAAGUUGGUAUUUUAAUAUAAAUAUCAAUUAUCCAUGAAAUUUUAUAAUCAUAAUUAAAAUAAAUUUAAAAAGCAAUUACUAGGAAAAUUAAAUAUAUUGCAAAAAGUUAUUGGGUAGUCAUAAUAUAAUAAGCAAAUAAAAUUAAAUAAAACAAAUUAAAUAUUUAAUUAUUUUUAUCAAAUAUUUAAAAAUAUUAUAUAAAAUCAAUUCAUUAAUGGUAUUAUUAAUUUUCAUGAUUAUUUUUAAUAUUAUAUUAGUGAUUAUUAAAUUUAAUACAAUCAAAUAAUGUAAUAAAUAAUUACACGUUUAAUUUUAUCGAUUAAUUAUUAAAUAUACAAGUAAUGAAAAUUUAAUCUCAGGAGUUGGUAGACGCAAAAGUACUAAUUUAAUUAGAUCAUAGAUAAUAAAUAAAAUAAAUUUUAAGUAAAUCAUAAUAAAAAAAUUAAUUAAUUGAUUCAAUCAAUCAAUAUUAGGUGUAAAUAAAAAAAGAGUAACGAUAUAUCCACAAACUCUUACACAAACUCAUGUGUCAUGAUAAGAUUGAUUGAAUUAAAUAUCACUUGGCCCACAUAAUUUAUUUUUAUUAUUUUAUAUUUUCAUUCAACCAAUGAAUUAACGCCACAUCAGUUUGUACAAGAUAUGUUUGUACAGGAAUUUGUGGCUGUAUCAUCACUCAUAAAAAAAAGAUACAAAUAAACCUCUCAUAAAUGGACAACUUUUAUCUUUAAUCUUAUCCCAACUAAACACAUGUGUAAAUUAGGAUUAUUAAUCCCAUGAUUUUAGGAUUAAAUUCAAAUUUAUUCCCCCUUAAUCCAAUCCAACUAAACUUGUCAAACAUGGGAUAAAAGUUUAAUUCUAAAAGCAUCACUAAAAGGCUCUUCAAAUAAGAUUUUAUUACUUAUUUGAAGAGCCAUAUCAAUAUUUAACGCUCCAAAAGACACUUCAGUUAAGAUUCUUCAAACAAUAGAUGAUUCUCUCUUUUCAAAUUUCGAGAGUUGAUUUCUCCCUCUUCAAUUUGUAUUUUAUUAUUUUUCAUUGGAGAAAGAGAGAGAAGUGCUUUAAUUGCUAUUGACUUUUUCCUUAAAAAAAUAAUUAUUUGAUUAAAAUAAUAUUAAUUUAUUUCUAUUUAAAGAGUCUUUUAAAGAAUAAUAUAUUUUUUUAUUUUUUUUAUUUAUCACAUAGGUAAAUAAAUAAAUAUUUAAAAAAUAAAAUUAAUAGAGACUUUUGGAGAUACUCUAAAAUUAGUCCAAUCCCAUACUUAAUCCUAGCAUCCAAAUAUAGCCCAAGUUGUUUGCUUAAAGAAGCUACCAAAUUUGAAGAGCGUUUACGGGAAGGCCCUGCGUUUCCCAGAUGUAUGCAGAAUUUUUGUAUCUAAAUGGCCAGAACUUAAGAAGCUGACGCUGGAUUUUGAAAGGGCGGGCCAAGGUAAAAUUCUUAUCAAGGGAAAGGAAAAUCGGUGGAAACAACUUCAAUGGGAGGAUCAAGCAACUCAGGAUGCAUUGCUUCUGUUUUUCAAAUCAACUGACAAGUGAUUGAAGGGGGCAUCAUCAGCCUGGAUGGGGAGAUCCUGGAGCAGAUCAGCAGGGUUUGAAUCUGCAUCAUCAACAUCAUCAGGAUCUCUAUUUCUAUUGCUGGUCGUAAUGCCUGCCGACUGUUGCUUGAAAAAGUGAUUAAGUGAGCCAGUUUUUUGUUUAUUAAAUUUUGUCUUAAUUGGCGUCCAAUAGAAAUUUACAAGAAUUACUUUUCUGUUCAUGCAAUCGGCGUCUGAACGCGGCUGAUCGGUCACCGGUGUUGGCGUUUACUGUGAUUAGACAAAUUGUAGGACUUCAAAAAUAACUUCUAUAGGGGUAAUUUCGAUUUCACAUAAUUAAUUUUAUUUACAAUAUUUUAUUCCUGCAAGGUCAACUGAGAUUCUUUCCACCGGGCACACCCUUCAUGUUCUUUUAUUUUCUGUCUUUUAUUAGCCGUUGGGUUUUACUACUCUUAUAUCCAACGGCUUGCCACAACAAGACAAAUGAGGUGGUACCUUCCAACUGCUGAAAGGUGGUUUUGGCCCCGAGUGAAACAGGGGAUGCACUUACUAUUAAGGACAGUUGGUGGCCAGCUAAUGCAUUCAUUUUAUGUCCUUUCGUCUUUUUGAAUUAUUGAAGACAAGGGGCUCCUCGCUUUUACUGUAGGUAAGAUCCAGAUAAUCUCGAUUAUCAAAAUAAUUAUUUUAAAAUACCUUAAUUAUUUUUUUUUUUAUGUUGCGUUUAUUAAACUAGAAUAAAAAUGAGUUGAAAUCGGAAUGAGUAGGAACAAGAAUGAAAAUGAAAAUAAUGAAUGGGAAUCAAAAUAAGUUGUUUACUUGAACUAUAGAAAUCAAAAUCGUAAUGAGUUGAGUUACCAUUAAUGUGUUUAUUUUGUCUUGGAAUCAGAAUCGAAACAAAUUAGAUUGUAACAAAUUACUAAAAAGUACUUAAUGGAUUAUUGUUAUAAUUAUUAUUAUUAUUAAUUAAUUAAUUGUACAAAAUUUUAAUUAAUUAUAAUAACUAUAAUAAAAUUAUUAUAAAAAUAUAUUAACUAAUAAUAUUAAUAUAAAUUACUUAAUUAAAAUAAUAUAUUAAUUGUGAUUAUUUAUUCAAAAAAUAUAAUUAUUAAUAAUUAUUUUUAAUAAUAUAUUAAUUCAUAGUAAUAAUUAUAUAUAUAUAUAUAUAUUUAUUUAAUUGUAUUAAUUUUAUUUAUUUAUUAUUAAUAAUAAAUGAAUUAAUUAUUAUAAUUAUUGUUAAUAAUUAUUAUAAUAGUAUAUUAAUUAAUUAAUUACAAUAAUAAUAUAUUAAUUAAUGUGAUAUUUAUUUAGGAACAAUAAUUAUUAAUAUAUUAUUGUUAAUAAUAUAUUAAUUAUUGUGAUUAUUUAUUCAAGAACUAUAAUUUUUAAUAAUUAUAGUUAAUAAUUUAUUUAUUUAUUUAUUUAUUUAUUAAUCAUAAUAUAUUAAUUAAUUAAUUAUAAUAUUAUAUUAAUUAAUUAUAAAAGAGGAUAAAGUGGAUAUUUUUAAUUUUGGGAAGGGCAAAAUAGUUAAUCCUAGGAAUGAGAGACUCUUUCUCACCUCUGCAUGGGAAUCAAUCUCUCAUUCUCUAUUCUCAAAUAGUAGUAGACCCCAUCAUUUCGAUUCUAAUUCUUACUCCAUAUUUGUGAAGUAAACAUCAUCAAUCAUUCUGAUUCUGAAUUUUUGUGAAUGGAGAGAUGCCGGAGCAGAUCAGCAGGGUUUGAAUAUGACCUUUGGCGCUUGCUUUUUUUUGUGAUUUUUUUUUUUCAUUUUUUCCUUCUUGUCAUUUUAUCAUUUCUUUGGCUUUGUCUCUAUUGCGGGUGUUAUUGCAUGCUUACUGUUGCUUGACAAAGUUUGCUAGCUUUUCCUUUUGUUUAUUAAAUUUUUUAUGGUCACAAAGAAUUACUUGUUCUAUUUGAGAGUGAUAUGAAUCAAUUUUUCAAUUAUAUAUUUUGUGGUCAAUGUGAAUUCAAUUUCAUUUGUCUCCCGCAAUUAUGAAAAAAUUACAGUCAUAAUAUGGAAAAGUACACCGGCAAAAACUUUGUAAAAGCUUCGGAGUGAUACGGGGAAUUCACUUACUACUAAGGACAAUUGGUGGCAAGCUAUUCCAUUCAUUUUAUGUCCAUCCAUCUAUUUAGUUAUUGAAGAUAAGUGGUCCAUUUGUAAAUUUCAGAUUGUCUCUCUCUCCCUCUUGAAAUAACAAUAUUUAAUAUAUCUCUUAAAUUAUUAUAAAUUUUAAUUUACUCUCGAUUUAAAAUGGAGCAUGUCGAUAAAUUUUUUUUCUUCUUAAUAAAAUUGACGUAAGUUGUGUUUACAGUAGUUUGAAGUUUGAAAUAUUUUAAAGAUUAUUAUUCUAUAAGGGAGUAAUAUGAAAUGAAAUUUACUUUUCAUGUGUGAACUGAAAAAGGACGAAGCAAGUGUCCCUACUUUUAUUUUAUUUCAAGGAGGAGUCAUCUCACAUACUUAAGCUCUUAACAUUACAUUUUUUUUUGUUACAUUUUUUUUUUAAUUUUUUUUUUUACACAUGCGUGUGGGUUGCUUAUCUGUAAGCUCCUUAAUAUAUAUUUAACACAAAUCAUGAAAAAGAUGGGAUUAUAUCAAGAUGAUCAAAGCAUGUAAAAAAAGAAAAAAGAAAAAAAAAUUAAGAAGUAAGACACUGAAAAUGGAGAAGAGACGGAAGCAAAAGAUAUUCCAAAACAAAGCAAUAACAAAGCAAUCUAUCCCCUUUCGAGGGCAGACUCAACAGGUUUAAAAAAGUACAUGCUUUGGAUUGGUAGUUGCAAUCAAGGGAAAAUAAAUAGGAUCCAAUGAAAUUUAAAUCUUGGAGAAAAUAAAUAAUCAUGCAGAUUUUCAAGAUUUUAAUAAGGGAUACUAAUAUCUUAUUUUGAUUAAUAACAUUCUUUCACUGUGUUAACUCAAAAAAAAUAUUAUAAUGCUUUACAAUAAAUACAAAUGUCCUAUUAAAUGAAUAUAUAAAAAAUUUAGAAUAUUUAGAAUAUUAUAUAAAAUAAUUUUAAUAUAAUGCGUGAGAUAUAUUUUAUUAAUUUAAAAUGUCAUUUUACCUAAAAAAUAUGAUAAAUUAAUAAUUACAUGUUUGAAGUUAUUUCAAAUAUUAAAAAAAUUUAAUAUUAUUAGUCUUUUAGAUAGAUUAAAUUAUUUUUUAAAGAGAUAGAUUAAAUUAUUUUAAAAUACCUUAAUUGUUUUUACUUUAAACAUUACCGGCCUUUCUUUUAUUUUAUUGCAAAUUAAUGCUAACAAGAAAAAGCUAGAUCAUAUUCCGCAAAAGCAAAAGUGACAAACACAACCAGCUGGAAUCUUUUAUAAAACUACAAAUUAAAAUGGAUUUUUUUUUUGAUAAAUUACACAUGAAAGUGGAUUCUUUUGAAUAUAAGUGGGGUAGGCUCUUUUAUUUUAUUUUUGAAUAUUGUAUAACGGGACUGUAGACUCUUUUAUUAAACUACAAAUUGUAUAGUCUUUUUAAAAUUGUUAUGAAUUAGUGGCCCCUACAAUCCUCAACAAUUGUACCAAUAUUCACAAGUUGGUGGCCCCUACAAUUCUGUUCCGAUAAUUUAACUGUGCAAGUCCUCAUUCACAAUCUUCCAGGUCAUGCUCUCAAUAAUUGUUUUUUUUUUUUUUUUUUUUUUUUUUUUUCUGCAUUCCCUUUCAUGCUCUUAAUAAUUGAAGAGCAUACUUUUCAUUUUCAAAUGUGGAGCCGCAUCUAAUGUCGCUAAUUUAAUUUGGGAUUAAAUUAGGGGACCAUUAUAUUGCAGUGUGCACUAAUUUUUGUGUUUAUCUAAACUCUUUAAGUUUAAGACAUAUUAUGGCAUAAAUAAGAAUAUAACAAUAACAAAAGAGUUAGAAAGUGUAGAGAAGAUCUUGCAGAAAUAUAAAUAAUAUCUAUUUUAAAAUAAUUUUUAAUAUUUUAUGAUCCAUUAGAUAUAUUUUAUUAUAUUAAAAUAAAUUUUAUAAUAAAUAAAAACAUCCUAUUAAAAUGAAUAUAUAGAAAAUUUAGAGUAUUUUAAGUAUUAUAUAAAAUAAUUUUAAUAAAAUAUGUGAGAUAUUCAUAGUUUAUUAAUUUAAAAUACCAUUUUAAAAUUAAAGAUUUAUUUAUGAUAAAUUAAUAAUUAUAUUUUUGAAAUUACUUCAAAUAUUAAAAAAUUAAUAUUACUAAUCUAUUAGAUAGAUUAAAUUAUAUAUAUUAUUUUCUAUUUAUUAAAAAAUUAAAAUUAUUUUUAAUUACUAUUCAAAAAAUAUAAUGAUAAAAAAAAAUCUUAACAUCUUUAUUAAAAAUUUAAAAAUUUACAUGAUCAAUUCUCUAAAUAUUUAGGGUAUAUGUGAACAUCGGUGGAGAAGCUUUAUUUAAUAUUAUUGAUUUAAAUAAUAUGUCAAUUAAAAAUGCGCGGAGAAGAAAUUUCGGUGGGUAUUUUAGUCUUUUCAGCAAUUAUCAUGAUCAGAUCAGCCUUUAGCUUGAAACGUCGGUCAGAAAAGUUUUAAAAUUAAUGCUAACAAGAAAAAGCUAGGUCAUAUUCCACAAAAGCAAAAGUGACAAAACAACCAGCUGGUUUUUUUUACUAAACUACAAAUUAAAAGUGGAUUCUUUUGAAUACAAGUGGGACAGACGAUUAGGCUCUUUUUAUUAAACGCAAGUAAAAAGUAGUCGAAUAGUCUUUUUUCAAAUUAUUGUUUUAUUAUUUUUCCUUCAAAAGUUAGUGUGGCUCAUGUUUGCAGGUGCGAAUGUCAGAUCACAUGCGAUGGUGCUUUUUUCAAUCGUUGCUUGGAUUGCUUUCUUGGAAAAGCAGCAUACAUACGUAACCUCCAAGAUAAUCUUGAUGCCUUGGAGACUGAAUUGGGAAAUCUGAUCGCUAGAAAGAACGAUGUGAUGAGGAGGGUUGUCGAUGCUGAACGGCAACAAAUGAGAAGGCUGGACGGAGUGCAAGUGUGGGUUUCGAGGGUGGAUUCUGUUAAAACUGAAGCUGAUCAAUUUAUAAGAGACGGCUCUCGAGAAAUUGAAAAAUUAUGUGUUGGAGGCUACUGUUCCAAGAAUUGCAUGUCAAGCUACAAGUUCGGGAAAAAAGUGGCUAAAAAGCUACGGGAUGUGCGGACUUUAAUCAGUGAAGGAGUUUUUGAGGUGGUGGCUGACAGAGCUCCAGAGUCUGUAGCAGAUGAAAGACCUACUGAGCGAACAGUAGUAGGCUUGCAAUCACAACUUGAACAAGUCUGGAGAUGUCUUGUAGAAGAAUCAGCGGGAAUCAUUGGCCUAUAUGGCAUGGGCGGUGUUGGUAAAACUACACUACUGACCCAUAUCAACAAUAAAUUUCUCGAGAGUCCAACCAACUUUGAUUGUGUGAUUUGGGUUGUAGUUUCAAAAGACCUGCGACUCGAAAAAAUUCAAGAAGAUAUUGGGAAAAAGAUAGGUUUGGUUGGUGAUUCAUGGAAGAGUAAAAGUGUAGAGGAGAAAGCUGUCGACAUCUUCCGGAGUUUAAGAGAGAAGAGAUUUGUAUUGUUGUUAGAUGAUAUAUGGGAGCGGGUUGAUUUAACAAAGGUGGGCGUUCCACUUCCCGGACCAAAAAAUACUACCUCAAAAGUCGUAUUCACAACCCGUUUCAUCAAUGUUUGUGGUACCAUGGAAGUUGACAGGAAGUUUCAAUUAGCAUGCUUAUCAAAAAAGGAUGCUUGGGAACUGUUUCGAGAAAAAGUUGGGGAAGAAACUCUUCAGAGUCAUCAUGAUAUCGAUGAGCUAGCCCAAAUUGUGGUCAAAGAGUGUGGUGGUUUGCCGCUCGCACUUAUUACUAUUGGUCGAGCUAUGGCCUACAGAAAGAAAGCGGAGCAGUGGAGUCGUCCAAUUGAAGAGUUAAGGAGAUCAGCUUCAGAGUUUGCAGGUUUGGGAAAAAAAGUGUAUCCUCUUUUAAAAUUCAGCUAUGAUAGUUUACAGAAUGAUAGGGUUAGAUCUUGUUUCUUGUACUGUUGUUUAUAUCCUGAAGAUUAUGGCAUUCUUAAAUGGGACUUGAUUGAUUGUUGGUUUGGCGAGGGAUUUUUUGGGGAAUCUGACAGGUUUGGUGCAGAAAACCAAGGAUAUGACAUUUUGGACACUCUUGUUCGUGCAUGUUUAUUAGAAGAGGUGGAAGAUGAUGAAGUUAAAAUGCAUGACGUUAUUCGUGAUAUGGCUCUAUGGAUAACUUGUGAAAUUGAGAAGGAGAAGAGAAACUUUUUGGUUCGUGCAGGUGCUGGAUUAAAAGAGGUACCGGGUGUUAAAGGAUGGGAAAAUGUGAGAAGAUUGUCAUUGAUGCAAAACCAAAUUGAAACUCUGUCAGAGGUUCCCACAUGCCCUCAUCUCCUCACUUUAUUUCUUGACUUUAAUCAGGAGUUGGAGAUGAUCGCGGAUGGCUUCUUCCAACUUAUGCCUUCUCUCAAAGUUUUGAAGAUGUCAAACUGUUCGAAUUUGAAAUUACCUGUUGGGAUGUCAGAGUUGGGUUCAUCACUAGAACUUCUCGAUAUUUCAGAAAACAGCAUAACAGAGUUACCGGAAGAGUUAAAGAAGUUGGCAAAUCUGAAAUGUUUGAAUUUGGGGUGGACAAGGGAGUUAAAUAAAAUUCCACGGCAACUAAUAUCAAAUUCUUCAAGGUUACGUGUGUUGAGAAUGUUCGCUACUGGCCGGUUCAAUUUUCAUGAAGCACCAGAAAACAGCGUUUUAUUUGGUGGGGGUGAAGUUUUGAUACAGGAAUUGCUCGGUUUGAAAUAUUUAGAGGUAUUGGAGUUGACCUUGGGAAGUUAUCAUGCUCUCCAAAUUCUUUUGAGCUCAAAUAAGUUAAAAAGUUGUAUUCGAUCUCUUUUCCUCGAGUUGACCGGAGAUACAGCGUCAAUUAUUGACGCUACGGCUUUCGCAGAUCUAAACCACCUCAAUGAAUUAUGGAUUGAUAAUGGUAUUGAGUUGGAAGAGUUGAAGAUUGAUUAUACGGAGAUAGUACGAAAAAGGCGGGAACCUUUUGUUUUCCGCAGCCUUCACUGUGUUACUAUGAUUUCGUGCCGUAAAUUGAAAGAUUUGACAUUCCUCGUUUUUGCUUCAAACCUCAAGUCUCUUCGGCUACGCAAUUGCUAUGCUAUGGAAGAAAUAAUCAGCGUCGGAAAAUUUGCUGAGACUCCUGAGAUGAUGGGACGUAUAAGCCCUUUUGAAAAUCUCCAAAUGCUUGAUUUACAAGGUUUGCCACAUUUGAAGAGCAUCUUCUGGAAGCCAUUGCCUUUCACUCAUCUGAAAGAAAUGGAGGUACUUAGGUGCGAUCGGCUUGAAAAGCUUCCACUCGAUUCCAACAGUGCAAAGGAGCGCAAAUUUGUUAUUCGUGGAGAAGAAGACUGGUGGAACCGACUUCAAUGGGAGGAUGAAGCCACUCAAAUUGCUUUUCGUUCCUGUUUUAAAAGUGAUGCUUUAUUUAUAUCUUAUUCGUGAAAAGUGAUUUAAUUUCCUGCCAAAAGACGAACGAGAAGAACAUUAGAGUCAAACUAAUGCUCACAUAAAUUUCCCAUAAGAAUAUAUAAUUAGACUGGAAUGCACACCUCUAGAUUGAACAGAAUUAAAGCUGAGAAGAUAUUGAGUAUAGUAGCCCUCUUUACAGAAAAUGACACGAAAGUUAAUUUAGAAAGAUAUAUUCUUGAUUAAUCCAUUUUCUGAAGUUUUUAUUUUGUAUGGUCAAUUAUACCUUCAUACUAAAAAUUUCUGAAGUUAUAAAUUAGUGCAACUUGACAAUUUUUACUGAUGAUAUCUUCUAUUUUUCCUUUUUUUUUUUUUUUUCACUUUCAUAGACUGGCAGCGGAUCCUGCGGCACCAAUUUGAGAGAAUAUACUGACACUACUUCGAACAGCAAGCAGAAUAUGUCUACGGCAAAGGCAAUGCAGUCCUCAUUUUGGCUUGAGAUGCAGUAAUCAUCGAAGAGAGUUUCCUUGUGAAACUGGGCAACACAUUGAAUCCCUUCGCCACUGAGAAGGUUGUGGAGGAAGUAAGCUUUCUCUCCAGUGAGGAAGAGGUGGCAUAUACCUUCCCCAUUUUGUCGAGGGCAGGUAGGAAUCUUUUUUCUAAGAGAUUUACUUCGUUCUCUGUAAGAAAUGCUUUGAACUUCAUCCCUCUGUCUCUAUCCUCACUUAUCAGGAAAUAAGUUGAAAGCACUAUGAAGAGAGAGAGAGAGAGAGAGAGAGAGAGAGAGAGAGAGAAUUAAGAUAUAGAGACAAGAAAAAUAUUAGACGUUGAUCUUACAAACUAAUACUUCAAGCAGUAUCCUAGAAAGCUAAAAACUGCAAGAUGGCUUGAAAUUUGAAAAGAGCACGUGCUUUUCCUCCUUAACUUGAGAAAAUGUUUAAUAUAGUGCACCUUACAGAAGCAUUUAAGCAAUUAGAACUUUGCACAAAAACAUCAAGAAGACUAAACAAGUCAGAUGCAGUGCAUUUGUCCAAGCACAAAUUGCAUUUUGUCCUCAACUUUAAUAUUUAUUGAUGAGAAUCAAUACAGGUCCCUCAUUUGUUAUAGAAAGCUUUCUUUCUUGUAGUCUCACCAGUUAAUUCACAGGUCUAUAAUCAUCUUGCAAAGUUAAGGGCAUUUCUUUCGAUCUAAAGUCUUUGCAUCACCACCUCAUCACACGCCAAGCCAAUAUUCCAUUUACCUCUACAACAAAAAGUUUUAAUUAAACAAUCCUAAUGCACGCAGCCAAAUAAAAUGCAGUAAGAAUAUUCAACUUAAAAAUCUGAAAGCCAACUUGGUGAAUUGCCUCCUUAGGUGAAGUUCCAUGCUUUACUAUAGUUGACAGAACUCAGCAAAAGCUUCCAUACAACAGAUUUUGAAAAUGAUGAUGCCAACAGAUACUUAUUCAAUCCAUUGAAACUCCAAAGGUUCAUUGUUCAUAGAAGUUUACAGAGUUUUGGUCAUCAAAUAGCUCAGACCUAAUCCCAAACAAAAAACGAGUGAAAAUUAGAUCACGAGCAGCUAAUUGUAAAUUCUAACUUAACUCUUCAUCUCCUUUGUAAACAAGAAACAAAAUGGAGACACGCAAAAUGAAUAUGGAGAAAAUUUGAACUCAAAUGAAAUGAGGGCACAAAAGCAAACAAAUGGCAUGCACCAAAAAACCAAGCCUCAAUCAAAAACUAAUUAACCAUUAAGAAAAAAAUUGCCCAGAGAAUGAACUCCAAAUUCAGGAGUCAAGCAAGAACCUUUCAUUAUUUCAGAAGCUCCUGUACAAAUUAAUAAGUUAUGCUCUUUGGAAGCAAACCUAAAUUCCAAGAGAAACAGAACCCAAAAAAAUUUGCAAUUAUACGCAAAGGAAGUGAAGCACAGGAUUCUAUCACACAUAGGAAUUGUAUAACAAGAGAUCGAUAUAUCGAAUUAGAAAACUCAAUUCGAAUUUGUGUCAAAAAUCAAAAUUAGAAGAUUUCACAUUUCGAGAGGAACAAGCAACAGAUGAAGUUCAAAAUUUCAGCCAUAACAUGCUAAAAAUGCUGCACUUAACGGUUCAUUUUCAUGGAUUUUCUCGGGAAACAAACAGAAAAUUACGGUUUAGAGAGUUGACUGACCUUUUGGCUUUUGAAAUUGAGAAGAUCGCACGCCAAAUUGGAAGAGGGAAAGUGAAAGUGCGAGUUUUAAUAUGGGUAUUAGAUAAGGAAAUUUUAUUAGGUUGCGAGGGUAAAAAAGGAAAGAGAUAUCAUUGUUUUAUUAUCGAUAAUUAUUAAAUUUUUUUCCAAAAAAAAAACAGGCAAGGAUAUUUUAUUGUCAUUUGCAACCUUUAAUUUUUUUAAAUGCUAUUAGAAACACAAGACAACAAAGAAAUACUUAUUUUUUUCUAAAACUAAAAUCAACUGUUUAGGGCCCGUUUGGUAUUGUUUCUAAAUUUAUAUUUUCUGACAAUAAAAAUGAAAAUGAAAAUGAUGUUUUGCAGUUGCUGUAUUUUAAAUUUAAGUAUACGUUUGGUAUCAUUUUCUAUAUCCUAUAUUUUAAAAUUAAAAAUAAUAAUAUGUGUUUGGUAAACACAUUUGAAAAUAAUAAAAACAGAGAAUAUGCGUUUGGUAAUACUUUUUUUAAAAAGAGUUUUUACUAGUAUUUACGUCAUAUUUAUAGUUAUAAAAUAAUUAUUUAGCUAAUACAUACACAAAUACAACAUAAUAAUUUAAACAAAAUUAUUAUAAAAAAAUUACAUGAUAAUAAAGUUUUAGAAUUAGCAUUAAUUAAAAAAAAGUUUUACAUUGUCAUUAUUUUUACACCAUAAUUAAGAUAUAUAUUACAACACAUGAUUUAAACAAAAUAAUUAUAAAAAAAUUACAUGAUAGGCAUUAUGCAUUACGCAUGUAAUCAUGCCACAUAAAAGCUGCAAUUCUAUCUCUUAUAGCAUUCAUCUUUGCGACACUUGAAGGAGAUAAAUCAAUAUUAGUAAGUGACCUACUAGUGUCUCCUUCUUCGUUGGUAACCAAAUCUUGCACAUCAAAGUCUCCAAAUAACCUAUCACAGGCAAUAAAUUCAAAUUGUGAAUCCCAUCUAAAGCAAUAAAUUGAAAUUACAGAUUGUUUGAUUGGAUUGAAUCCUAUCCUGGGCAAAGCUUGAAAAAACUUUAUUUCUCUCUAGUAACAAAAGUCCUAUUUGCCUAAUGCAUUUUCUCUGUAAAAAAAAAAAAAAUUGGAGUGACAUGCAAUAAAUUCAACUUGUGCAUCAUCAACAAAAUGGAAUUUGGAGUAAAAUCAACAUCAUGGCAAUGACAAUCGUGAACAAUAUCAUCUUUACAUGCUAUUAAAAACAAUUAAAAUCACUCAAAUAAUUUCUGAAAUUUUUAUUAAAUUCUCAGGUUUUUUUUUUUCAUUCUAAAUGUCAUAUAUACAAAUUCAUUACUGUCCAAAAACAUCCUACUUUAAGAAAUAUUUAAAAGUUAAUUAAGUAAAAAAUCUUGUAAAUUAUAAUGUCUUUUUUUUUUUUCGUUUUAAAUUGGUUUCCAAAGAAUGAUGUCUAUGCUUACAGAAGCAAAACAUGCCAAACAGCAGCAGCGACAUUUUGUGAAUUGUUUUUAACUUAAACAAAACAAAUACCGGCAAGUGACAGAUCCGAGAGAGCAACAGCAGCUGGCGUGAAGACGAGCAGCAACGGCUGAGCAGAGCAACAGCGGAAACAGAGCAGCAGCGAAGACGAGCAGCAGCGGAGCAGAGCAGCAGCAGAAACAGAGUAGCGGCGGCUAUGGCGGAAACACAGCAACGACAGUGGUUGAGAGUGCAGAUUUGCUGAGGAAAGGGAGAGAGUGCAGAUUUAUUGCAACUGAAUCAAGAAGGCUGCGGGGGAAAGGGGAAGAGAGAGAGGCAAUGAAGAGAUAAGGAGGAGAGAGUGGAUCGGGAGAAAUAAAGAGAGAGAAAGAUGUUGGAUGAAGAUAAGGGGAGGGAGAGAGUGCAGAUUUGCUGCAACUGGAUGAAGAAAGUUGGGGGGAAGAGAGAGCGGCAGUGAAGAGAUAAGGAGGAGGUCACGAUUUUUCUUUUGUUUUUUAAUUCAUUUUUAGGUUUAGGUGGCGUUUGUUUUUUUGUCUGAAAUCUGAAUAGACUUGAAUUAGUCUGAAUUCUGAAUAGGUCUGAAUGUCUGAAUCUGAAUAAUAUGUUUGUUUUUUCGUCUGAAUCUUGAAAAAUAAGUAUUAAGUUGUUUGUUUUUUUCAACUUAAAAAGCUGAAAAUAUAUACUUUUACAUUUGUAUCCUUAUUAAAUUUGAAUGUCAAAUAAAUAAUAUAUUAAAUACCACAAUAUUUUAACAUUUAUAAGUAAAACUAUAUUCAAGUGAAUACAUAAUUAUUUUAGAAUUUUAAUAUAUAAAAUACCAUAAAUUUCAAAUUUUAUCGUAUAUAAUAUAAGAAAGAAAAAACAGGGAUAUUUUUAUGUGGGGUAGAUAUCUAUGGGUGAGUUUUGGGAUAGACAUGAAAAAUAAAUUAUAAAACAUGGAUAUUUUUGACAUUAGCAAGUAAUUGACUUAAUUUAGAUUUCUCCAUUAAGUAAAAAGCCAAAAAAAUUAGCUUAUUUUAUUAAGUCAAAAUUAUUUAAAAAUUCUCAUUAAGUUAUAAAAACAAACAACUCUAAUUAACUUAAUUAAUUAAGUUAAGUCACUUUAAGUCAUUAAGUUAAAAAACAAACGCAACCUUAGUCUGUAAAAUUUGGAGAACAUGUUUAACUUGUUUUCAGUUGUAUAGUUAUAAUAAUGAAUCCGAAUUUUGUGUUUUGUAAUUUGUUUUGUGAAAAAAAUCCACCAAACAUGUUUUAUGUGUGUAUUAUAAAAAUGAAAACGCAAAUAUGGCUUGAAAAACGGUACCAAACGGGCCCUUAACUUCUUAUUUCAUAAUCCAACUCCAUUACUAAGUUAAAAAAAAUUGUUUUAAAAUUACUUGAGUCAUAUCCAAUAGACCAACAAAGUAAUCGUUUUUAUUUUUAUUGAUUUUUGCAGGAAAUUAGUGGCUUAAAAAUACUGAAAGCUAUUGUAAAAAUCUUUAUUAUCAACCUCAUUGUUUUUUUUUUUUUUUGGGGAAGAGAAUUCAAUUUUUUUUUUUAAUGAAUAUCGCUGUUUCGUUUGAGUUGGAUGUGAAUUCAAAUUCAUUUGAGUUGGAUGUGAAUUCAAAUUCAAAUAUUCUUUGUUUUUCAAUUCUGAACUCGAUUUCUUUUUCUCAAGAAUGUUAUGUAGAAAUGAUUUUUACUAAAUCAUUUUUGAUGAAUUGUUUAAAUUAAACAAUUGGAAUAAGAAUUGUAACGAUUUAUCAUAAGCGCGCUAAUAUGAUAACUUGUUUUACGAAAGAUUAAUUAAUCAAUUAAUAUUAAAUUAUAUAUUAGUCAAUUAUAUAUGUGUUACAUUUGUCAUGGUUUGUGCGUGAUACUACAUAAUUUCUAAAAGAAUAUAGUAAAAACACGUUAAAAUGUUAUUUUAAUGAAUAAAAUUUUAUAAUUUUAUUAAUUAGGUGACACAAUAAUAAAUGGAUUUCUGUAAGAAUUGAGUUUCUUGAGAUAAUUAUUACAUAAGGAGAAGUUUAGUUGGUUCAAUUUUGACAUGUUAAGAAGAGCAUCACAGCACAGAAAACACAAAUUGCCACUUCCACUAAUAAAAGAUACCUGUUUGAAAAGUAAUUAUAAACUAUCUUCUUUGUGUUAUUUCUCAAAACUUUUGUGGCACAAAUGUUAUUUCCAUUGACAACAGUACGAAAUACCACCCCUUUCACUUGAGCAGGAGCAAAGCAAAGGUAUGAUGAGCUAUCUCUGUAUAAUUGAAACGCCAUUACUAAACGAUUCUUGAUGAUGGGAGCCACCGUGCCAGCUUUGUCGCUGAUUUGGUAUUAUUCUUAACUUGCAGAUAGUUGUGGAUAUGAUAUGCAAAAGGUAAGGACUAUAUCUUCUUGAUGGAGGCCUCUGAUUUUUUCCCUUCUAUGUAAUUUAGUAAAUCGCAUUUUCCUUUGUGAUUGAUAUAUCAUACCAAAGUCAAGUCUUAAAUACUGCUGUCAUAUGUUAAGGUUCAACUUCCAUUUUGAUUAACGUCCAUCUGCUGCUGCUUCCAAAAGUGAGAAUGAGAUACUUUGGUUAAUUUCAGUAGUUGAACCCAAUAGAGUACUUUAUUUAGAUCUUCAUGGUUCAAAGGCCUGAAAAAACUUGCCGGUAUUUGGAAAAUGACAUUCUGUGCUUUUAUUUAGACUUAUUAUUUAAGUGAUAAAAACUCCCGUAACCUGCUGUCAAGAAAAUUUCAGAUUGUUAAAAGACAACAUUUUGUUUCGGCCAAAAAUGUUUGUUUCGAUUAAAGACUUGAACCAUUUUCAUUUAACCUUGAUUGUGAUGCUUUACAUUAUGCAUGUUCCUCUCAAUCAAUAAAAGUUGAGGUCAUGAUUUUAUAUUUCUAUUUUGUAACUUGAAAUAAUUGGUCUGCCUGUUUCUGUAGCUUGAUAACAUGAAUUUUUCCUUCUGAAGUUAAUUUGAUCAAUAAAGUAAUUCUUCGGAGAUGAUAUGCCCAUUCUAUAGUCAUUUUCUUAGCUAACAUGUUUUUUCUUCACUCUUCAGAGCAUGUCUAAACUAAUUGAUCGCUCAGCGGAGACUUUGGGUGAGAAGACAAAAUUUCUUAGUAAAUCCUCUGAAAAGGUAUGCAUAAUUCUCGAGUAUUAAAUAACCAUUGGUCAUAAUUUUUGUUCUUUUUUUGGAGAUCGUUAAAAGUGGUUGAUGACCUAUUUUUUACUAUCAUAGAGGGAUCAUGAAUUCCUUUUCUUUUCUGUGGCUCGGCAACACUUUCGGGCCAAACUAAGGAAAUCUAUUUUAGGUAAUGUAAAAACCAGUUGUAGGAUGUAAUAGUUUAUUAUGCCCUGACAAUAACUUUUUGUAUAAUUGUCAGUUUAAUGAAUACAAGAGGAACUCUGUUGGCAAAUUCAUCCAUGAUAGAAUAUAGAUGCUAAAAUUAUUUAUGCAUACCAGUUGCCUUAACUAAUUUUUCUCAACACUGGUAUUGAACAGGAAAAUGAAUAUGCAAUUUGUAUAUUGUGCCAUUGUGGAGAAUUUGGAUAUUCUUAUUUAAGUAUCAAGGAGAGUAUUUGCCUCAUCUUUAAACAAUGAAUCUUUGAGAAAUGAGGAGUGGGUGAUUGGCAGUGUCUUCAUGUAAAUGUUCAUUUAUUUGUAUUUUGAACUAUUACGAGAAUCUUUGUGUGCCAAAUUAGUAAUACAAAUGUUCAGAUGAUUUUUCCUGUUGAUCAUGCGCGUGUAUCUGCACACAACCAUUGUGUACCACUUUAUUCUGAUGCGCAAAUAUCUGUAGUUUAGAAGAAAAGAAAUAAUAAUCAUAUAUUAUUGCUUGGUUCAUGAUUAUUAAACGAUUAUGGCUUUAGAAAAUCCACAAAUCCUUUGUGUUCAUAUAUGAAUGUGCAAAGUUUGCUAUAUCUUAGAUUACCUUCUUCCAAGAUAACAAGUUCAUAUAUUUUUUUUAAUCCUUUUUCAUCACAGUUGAAUUUCAAGUGUAAGUUUUGUUAUUAAUAGCUGGUGUCCUGUUAUUAUGAUUUCAUAAACAGUGAGCGGAUAUGUGCUCUACUUUUGGAGGGCCUCCACAUGAAAGAAAAUUGCAACAAUUGAAUUCUUCUGGAGGUUAUGGUAUUUAAUUUAUUUUCUCAGCUUGUUGAAAGACUAAUAUAUUUCCUUCAGUACGCACGGCGUGGUGGGAAGGGUUUUUAUUGAAAGAAUUAUGAUAUUUCUUAGACUUUGUUUUGGAAGGGGGUGGAGGGAUUUCUCAUCCAUAUAUGGUUACUUGAUUAGCUUUUGACUGUAUUGUCUCCGUCGUGCAAAGGAAAAUCCAAAUACUAACGAAGGGGAAUUGCUUAGGCACCCAAAAGACAGAAAUGAAUUACAGAAGGAAGUUUUUGCUGCUUUAUUUAGUGCUGCUGAGAAAUCUGAUGGAUUUCCUGAAAUUACGGUGAAGACGGAGUGGAGGUCCAACGCAUUAGGAAAGGUGGUGAGUGAACCGCCGGAGGAAUUAGUACCAGAAUACAAGGCUAAUGUGGUGCACUUGCAGCAAGAUGACCAGACCUGUAUGUGCUCUUAUAUUAACUAUAUUGUUGGAUUUGUGAGUGUGUACAUUUUUGUGUGUAUACUCACUUUUGUAUUUAUGCAUAUUAACGUGUGUAGGAUUCUUGAUUUCUGCCACUUACUGGAGAACUAGUGGAAAGCUUUAUACUGAUAUAUGUGCUAUAACUAAUGGAAACUACGAUAUGAAUAUUUUCUCUCACCUGGAGAACUGUAUAACAGAUAUAAUUUGUGGCUCUGGAAUACUGAAGAUUCUGCAAUAACUAAUGGAAAAUAUGAUAUGAAUAUUUUUUCUCACCUGGAGAACUUUGUAACAGAUACAUUUUGUGGCUCUGGAAUGUCUAAAGAAUGCUUCAGUUUAGAUCAAAUAUCUUUUAGUUAGAAAAGAUAAAAUUCUCUGAAUCUGAAAGACUGAAACAUUUUGCAUAUUUUGUGAAAGGGUAGUAUCUGUAGAUACUAGCUCAUGCAUUGAGGUAAUAUCAGUGUUAAAGAAAAACAACAAUAAUUUAUUAUACAAAAUUAGGUUCACUUGCUUUAAAUGCUGGUCUGAUCAACCAUAUCAACCUGUAAUGGUUCUGCAGAAAUAUAUAUACGGGGAGAAACUAGCUAAAUUUUCCUUUCACUUAUGGGUUUGGUCUUUUUUUCCCCUAUUUUUCAGCUUUCCUUCUCCUGAAGUAUGUUAACAAUUGCAGAUAAUGACGAAGAGGACCGCUUCCAGGCUCUUUGUAGAGCUGUGAUGGAAUAUAGGGGCACAAUGAAGGAAUAUUGUAAGGCUGUAGGUACUUUCUCUCUUGUCAUUUAUGUUUUCUCACACAUUUUGUAUAUGCCCUGAACAUGCAGCUUUGUAUGUGUCAAUUGCCUUUUACAUUUUAAAAGCCAUAAAGUAAGAAUACAGUUCCUUGUCAGGCUAUUGAUGCGUUCGCUCAGAAGGGUCAUGUUCAAGCAGGAAAACUUCUAGAACAUGUAAGGUUUCCAUCUACAGCCAUCCAUUGACAGUGUCAAAGUAUUUGGCUGCAGCUUCUAGAAGCUACAUCUAGAAGCUUUGAUGCAGCAAAUGUUGAAGGCACCGCCAAGGAGAAAAAGAAGGAAGAAUGAAGAAGAUGUUGCAGAAGUUGAUCUUGACAAAUGAUGGUUGGAACGCCAAAAUGGAAGAAAGAAAAAAGGUUGGAACACGGCUUUGAAGAAGCCACGAGAAGAAUAAAGAAAAUAUUAAAAUAAUAGCUAAUUUUGGCUAUAUAAAGGAAGCUCCCCUUUUUUUGGUUUGUGUAUCCAAUCCUCAGUUUCUCUUCUUCAUUCAGAGAGUGUUUCUUUGGGGUGUAUUUGGGGAUUAGGUGAGAGAAAAUUAUUUCUGAAAGAGUGGUUGUAAUAAUUUUCCACAUAGUGAAUAUUUUUUCUCUGGUUGUCUUUUUGACAACGGCCGUGGUUUUUCUCCAUAUUUGGAGUUUUCCACGUAAAUCUUGUGUUGUGGGAUUGAUAUUAUUUUUCAUUUAAUUUUUCUUGUUAAUUUGUUAAUUGAAAAAUUGCUUGGAGAGAUCCUGGGAGGAAGCUCAAUUUCCUAACAGUGGUAUCAGAGCCAUUGAUUGAAGUUUUUUGGUGUCGGGGCACUGCUCACGUAUACGGUACUGUUUACGUAUACGGUACUAUUCACGUGAAGCAGUGGGAGCCAAUCCAAACAGUUCGUGGUGAAGAGUAAAAGCUUAUCUGCAAAGCAAAUAUGUCAGGAUUGAAAUUUUCAAGUCCGGUGAAAUUUGAAAUAGAAAAAUUCGAUGGGAGAAUUAACUUUGGCUCGUGGCAAGUUCAAGUCAAAGAUGUGUUGAUUCAAUCUGGGUUACACAAGGCAUUGAAAGGGAAGCCAUCCCCUGCUUCCAGUAGUGGCUCUGGAAAAGCUAGUAUAAGUGAUGAAGAUUGGGAAGAAUUAGAUGAUCGAGCUGCAAGUGCCAUACGACUAUGUCUAGCAAAGAAUGUUCUUGCAAAUGUAGGAAAAAUUCCUACAGCGAAAGAACUUUGGGAGAAGCUAGAAAAGUUGUAUCAGACAAAGAGCAUCUCAAAUCGAUUGUACCUGAAGGAGCGAUUUCACACACUGCGAAUGGCUGAAGGUACAAAAAUUUCUGAUCACCUCAGUGUUCUCAAUGGUAUUGUGUCAGAACUAGAAGCCAUUGGAGUUAAAAUUGAAGAUGAGGACAAGGCGCUUAGGUUACUAUGGUCACUUCCAACUUCCUACAAACACUUGUUACCUACUUUGAUGUACGGGAAGGAGACAGUAGAUCUUGAAGAAGUUACUAGUACUUUACUCUCAGAAGAAAGAAGACUGAAUGGUGAAAGUACUAAAACUACAGAUGUCUCGGCUUUGGCAGUUGUAGGGAAUUGGCAGAAAGAUAAAUCUAAGAAGAAAGGAGUCUGCUGGGGGUGUGGACAAUCGGGGCACUUAAAAAGAGAUUGUCAUAGUAGAAAUAGAGUAGGAUCGGCAAGUGGCUCCAGAUUAGAUAUUGAUAGUAUUGCUAGUGGUAAGUCUCUCAUCAUCGUGGGAGACGAUGAUCCCUUAUAAAAUGGAUGAUGAUGACAUCCUCAUGGUAUACCGCUAGUACCAUGAAAGGGGAUAUGUUACUACUAGCGGGUCCACAAGAUUUACACACAAGGCAUGGUUGGCAUUGAUGCAGGGUGUGUGGUGGAAUUUAUGUCGAUGGCUGACAAACUUCCAGGAAGACCAACAUGGAAGUUGCACCAUAAAUUUCAGCAAGAUAUUUCGACAUGUGCCGAUGUAAAAUUCUUAGAAUUGUUAAUUAAUUCUAAGUGGUAUACUCUUUAUGGUGGAGUAUGAUAAUUCUCUAUGGUGAGGAUUAUGACUAAGGUGAAAAUAGUAAGGUUAGUGUGGAGAUUGAUUGAUUCUCAAUCAAAACUCCAAGUGGGAGAAUGUCAAAGUAUUUGGCUGCAGCUUCUAGAAGCUACAUCUAGAAGCUUUGAUGCAGCAAAUGUUGAAGGCACCGCCAAGGAGAAAAAGAAGGAAGAAUGAAGAAGAUGUUGCAGAAGUUGAUCUUGACAAAUGAUGGUUGGAACGCCAAAAUGGAAGAAAGAAAAAGGUUGGAACACGGCUUUGAAGAAGCCACGAGAAGAAUAAAGAAAAUAUUAAAAUAAUAGCCAAUUUUGGCUAUAUAAAGGAAGCUCCCCUUUUUUUGGUUUGUGUAUCCAAUCCUCAGUUUCUCUUCUUCAUUCAGAGAGUGUUUCUUUGGGGUGUAUUUGAGGAUUAGGUGAGAGAAAAUUAUUUCUGAAAGAGUGGUUAUAAUAAUUUUCCACAUAGUGAAUAUUUUUUCUCUGGUUGUCUUUUUGACAACGGCCGUGGUUUUUCUCCAGAUUUAGAGUUUUCCACGUAAAUUUUGUGUUGUGGGAUUGAUAUUAUUUUUCAUUUAAUUUUUCUUGUUAAUUUGUUAAUUGACAAAUUGCUUGGAGAGAUCCUGGGAGGAAGCUCAAUUUCCUAACAGACAGCAGAUACAUUUUCAUUGAGCAGACACUGUUAGCAUUCAAGAUGCUGGCAGAUUCACUUGAUUCUUAUUAGUUUGUUUAGUGGCAAAGCAUAUAACCUGUAUUUCAAAGCCAAGUUGUGCUAUUGAUUAUGUUAACUUUAUUGUUAACCUAAAGUGAUAUGGAGGACAUAAUCAAUGUAGGAAAAUUAGGUGAAGAGACGAUGUCAACUCUUGAACCUCUUACAAAGCUCCAAGUUCUUUACUUGAAGAAGCUGCCAAAUUUGAAGAGCGUCUACUGGAAGGCAUUUCCAUUCCCAGAUGUAUGCAGAAUUUUUGUAUUAAUGCCCAGUUCUUAAGAACCUGCCACUGGAUUUUCAAGGGACGGGCCAAGGUAAAAUUCUUAUCAAGGGAAAGGAAGAUUGGUGGAAAGAACUUCAAUGGGAGGAUCAAGCAACUCAGAAUGCAUUGCUUCCAUUUUUCAAAUCAACUGACAAGUGAUUGAAGGGGGCAUCAUCAACAUCAUCAACAGAGAUGGAGAGAUUCUGGAGCAGAUCAGCAGGGUUUGUAUAUGAUCUUUGGUGGUUGCUUUCUUUUGUGAUUUUUUUUUUCUUCCUGUCAUUUUAUCAUUUCUUUGUCUCUUUUUCUAUUGCUGAUGUUAGUGUAUGCUUACUGUUGCUUGACAAAGUUUGCUUGCUUCUUGUUUAUUAAAUUUUUUAUGGUCACAAAAUAUUACUUGUUCUAUUUGAGAGUGAUGUGAAUCAAUUUUCAAUUAUAUAUUUUGUGGUCAAUGUGAAUUCAAUUUCAUUUGUCUCCUGCAAUUAUGAGAAAAUUGCAGAGUCAUAAUAUGGAAAAGAACACCAGCAAAAACUUUGUAAAAGCUUCGGAGUGAAACAGGGAAUUCACUUACUACUAAGAACAAUUGAUGGCGAGCUAUUCCAUUCAUUUUAUGUCCAUCCAUCUAUUUAAUUAUUAAAGAUAAGUGGUCCAUUUAUAAAUUUUAGAUUUUCUCUCUUUGAAAAUAACAAUAUGUAAAAUAUCUCUUAAAUUAUUAUAAAUUUUAAUUUACUCUCGAUUUAAAACGGAACAUGCUGAUGAAAUUUUUUUCUUCUUACUAAAAUUGAAAUAAAUUGUGUUUGCAGUAGUUUGAAAUAUUUUAAAGAUUAUUAUUUUAUAAGGGAGUAAUAUGAAAUGAAAUUUACUUUUCAUGCGUGAAAUGUUGAAAAAGGACAAAGGAAGUGUCCCUGCUUUUAUUUUAUUUCAAAGUGGAGUCAUCUCACAUACUUUAGCUCUAACAUUACAAUUUUUCAGGUUACAUUUUUAUUUAUUUAUUUUCUUUUUUACACAUGCAUGUGGGUUACUUUUCCGUAAGCUCCUUUAUAUAUAUUGAACCCUACGAAGAAUGUUAUGGAAGAGCAAAUGAUAUUUCUGAUAGACUCUAUUUGAUUAUGUAGCCUGAAUGGAUGUCUUGUUGAAAGAUAUUUCAGUGCAUUAGUUCAUCCUUGUCUCUCAAUGUGUUUUUAAUGGUUUUUCCAAUUGUUUAUUAUUAUAGAUUGAUUGUAAAUUGAUAUGAAUUUAAUGUUGAAAUGUUUUCUCUUUAGUGGAAUGAAUUUAAAAGUGCAAAAGAUUAUUGCACACGGAGAAAUAAACAUAUAUGCUUUAUAACUUUAGCAAUCGAUUCUUUUACAGCUGGAAACAGAGAUGAUGAUUAUCAUAAGGAUGAAGAAAAGGACAAAAAUUGUCAAUGAUUAACGAAAUCUCUAUGCAAAUUGAUUUUAGCAGGAAAAAAGUGAGCUAAAUGAUGGAGACGAUUAGUGGUAAUAUUUCAUAGAGUUCCUUCCAAUCUUCUCAUGAAUCCCCUUUUUGAGUUAUAUUUAUUUUAUUUUUAAAAUAUCUUUUUUCUCUUUUACUACACUUCUAAUUUUUCAUUUUUUUUUAUUGUUAAACUCAAAGUAGUAUUGUGAUAUUUUUUAUUUAUUUUGCAAUCUUAUUAUUACUCUACACUUAAGUUAAAAAGUUUUAUAGGUGAUGAAUUUUUGAAUGUUAAUCAUUAGCUUAAAUUUCACAUAUUUUACAUUAUAAUUUGAAAUUUAGUACCAAAAUAUUUAAUCAAUAAGAAUUAUGAAAAGAUUAAUAGAUUAUUCUAAAUUUAUACAACUUAUUUUAGUUAGAUCAGAAGUAGCAGGUUAAAAAAAGAAAAGAUUGGUUAUGAAAUUUGUUGGAAAAAAAUCUAUGUGUGUUUAAUUUUUAUUCGUUGUUAACUCUAAUUAAAUAGGUUAAAUAAUUUUGUUAUUUUUUACUUAUCAAAAAAUUUAAGAUCAAUAUUUUUAGUUACCAUUUGAAGGAUAUUAUGACAAAAACAAAAUUUUCAUGUCUUUGUUAAAAAUUUGGGGGUUUGUAUAACUAUUUUUUCAAAUGUUAGGGGCAUAACUGUCUUUUUACUCUUAUAUAUAUGAACCAUGGUGGUGAAAAAGCGUGAUUUAAUGUUAUUUAUUUAAAUAAUAUCUCAAUUAAAAAUGUAAGCAGAAGAAAUUUUGGUGGGUAUUUUAGUCUUCUAACGAUUAUCAUGAUUAGGCCCUGGUCUUGAAACGUUGGUCAGAAAAAUUUUAAAAUGCGUUCAUUGUCUUUACUUUAAAAACGUUAUUUUAUUUUAUUUUAUUACAAAUUAAUGCCAACAAGAAAAAGCAAGAUCUAAUAUUCCACAAAAGGAAAUCGUAAUAUUCCAUAAAAGCAAAUAACCAGCUGGAUUCUUUUAUUGAACUACAAAUUAAAGUGGAAUCUUUUAUUAAACAACAAAUUAAAGUUCAAAUAUUUAAAUAGUAGUGCGUUAGACGAUUAGGCUCUCUUAUUAAAGGCAAGUAUAAAGUAGUCAAGAAUCGAACAUCUCUAUUGUCUAGUCUUUUUUUUUUAAUUCUUCUUUUAUUAUUUUUCAGAAUAGGUUUUGGUGAUUACUAUUGGGUUAUUAUUCAGAGUUAUUGUUAUCUUCCGGGGCAGUUUCUGUUAAUCGAAAUCGUUAAUUAAAAUUUUAGAACUCUUAUGGGAAGAAUGUUUUUCUGUUAUCUUUUUUAUAUUCUAAUUUCAACUGUAAGGAGUCGUUUUAGAAUUUGGGUCUGGAAUCGAAUUUCAAUGCAUGAAUUAAUAUUUUUAAAAAAAAUUACUACACGCAGUUUAGGUUACAAACUAUUUUUUGCAAAGUUGACUAUGAAAUUGGAGAAAUUAAGUAAUUUAUAAUGUUUGCAAAGGAAGAGACUAACAUACUUCCAAUUACACUAUCUCUCUAUUAUCAUAAUAUUAAGACUAAAGUAACUUUAAAUAAAUUUUAUUUGAAAAGUUAUAUCAAAUGCAGUCUAAUUUUAUUAACUUGAAGAGUUAAUAAUUAUAGAAAUUAUUGUUCUAACUUAAUUAGUACAAGUGGUAUAAAGGUUAAGUGUGCACUAAAUCUGUUUAAAUUUUUUCCAGAAUAACUAACAGAGGUCAUUACUAGAAUUAUAAUUACUAGUCUAUUAGAUAGAAAAAAUUAUUUAUAUUGUUUUAUAUUUAUUAAAAAAUUUUAAAGUCAAUCUUUUUAAUUACUAUUUAAAAAAUAUUAUAAUUAAAAAAAUUUAAUGUCUUUAUUAAAAAUUUAAAAAUUUACAUGACCGUUCUAUAAAUAUUUAAAGUGUAACUGUCAUUUUCUCAUAUAUAUAUAUAUAAAUCACGGUGGUGAAGCUUUAUUUAAUAUUAAUGAUUUAAAUAAUAAUAUCUCAAUUAAAAAUGUACAGAGAAUAAAUUUCGGUGGGUAUAUUAGUCUUUUACAAUUAUCAUGAUUAGCCCUUCCUCUUGUAACGUAGGUCAGAAAAGUUUUAAAAUGCCUUGAUUUCAAUUUCUGCUUUAUAUUUUUCCCCGUAUAAUGGGGAGAGGUCAUUACUAAAAUUUCUCUUCCACAGCAAUUACAGCAGCUUCAGUUAAUCAAACUCAAAUCAAUUUUCUUUCUUAACAAAAUUCCAAAGAUGUGUAGCAUUUUUCAGAUCACAUGCGAUGGUGCUCUUUUCAAUCGUUGCUUGGAUUGCUUUCUCGGAAAAGCAGCAUACAUAAGCAACCUCCAAGAUAAUCUUGAUGCCUUGGACACUGAACUGGGAAGACUAAUCGCAGCAAAGAACGAUGUGAUGAUGAGGGUUGUCAAUGCUGAACGGCAACAAAUGAGAAGGCUGGACGGAGUGCAAGUGUGGGUUUCGAGGGUGGAUGCUGUUAAAACUGGAGCCGAUGAAUUGAUGAGGCACAGCUCUCAAGAAAUUGACAAAUUAUGUGUUGGAGGCUACUGUUCCAAGAACUGCAGGUCAAGCUACAAGUUCGGAAAACAAGUGGCUAAAAAGCUACAAGAUGUGAAGACUUUAAUCGCCGAGGGAGUUUUUGAGGCGGUGGCCACUGAGGUGGUGCCCGAGAGAGCUCCGGAACCUGUAGCAGAUAAAAGACCCAUUGAGCCAACAAUAGUAGGCUUGCAAUCACAGCUUGAAGAAGUUUGGAGAUGUCUUGUAGAAGAAUCAGUGGGAAUCAUUGGCCUAUAUGGUAUGGGCGGUGUUGGUAAAACCACACUAUUGACCCAUAUCAACAAUAAAUUUCUUGAGAGUCCCACAAACUUUGAUUGUGUGAUUUGGGUCGUAGUUUCAAAAGACCUGCGACUUGAAAAAAUUCAAGAAGAUAUUGGGAAGAAGAUAGGUCUAUCUGAUGAUUCAUGGAAGAAUAAAAGUUUUGAAGAGAAAGCUGUGGACAUCCUGCUGAGAUUAGGAGAGAAGAGAUUUGUAUUGUUGUUAGAUGAUUUAUGGGAGCGGGUUGAUUUAACAAAAGUGGGCGUUCCACUUCCCAGCGCACAAAAUACUACCUCAAAAGUCGUAUUCACAACCCGUUCCAUUGGUGUUUGUGGCAGCAUGAGAGCUAGGCCGGUUAAAGUGGCAUGCCUAUCAGAAAAGCAAGCUUGGGAACUGUUCCGCGAAAAUGUUGGGGAAGAAACUCUUGAGAGUGAUCAUGAGAUCGUUGAGCUAGCCCAAACUGUGGCCAAAGAGUGUGGUGGUUUGCCACUCGCACUUAUUACUAUUGGUCGAGCUAUGGCCUACAGAAAGAAAGCGGAGCAGUGGAGACGUGCAAUUGAAGAGUUAAGAAGAUCAGCUUCAGAGUUUGCAGGUUUGGGAAAAGAGGUGUAUCCUCUUUUAAAGUUUAGCUAUGAUAGUUUGCAGAAUGAUACAAUUAGAUCUUGUUUCUUGUAUUGUUGUUUAUAUCCUGAAGAUUAUGGCAUUCUUAAAUGGGACUUAAUUGAUUGUUGGAUUGGUGAGGGAUUUUUGGGGGAAUCUGACAGGUUUGGUGCAGAAAACCAAGGAUAUGACAUUUUGGACACUCUUGUUCGUGCAUGUUUAUUAGAAGAGGUGGAAGAUGAUAAAGUAAAAAUGCAUGAUGUUAUUCGUGAUAUGGCUCUAUGGAUAGCUUGUGAAAUUGAGAAGGAGAAGAGAAACUUUUUGGUUUGUGCAGGUGCUGGAUUAAAAGAGGCACCGGAUGUUAAAGGAUGGGAAAAUGUGAGAAGAUUGUCAUUGAUGCAAAACCAAAUUAAAACUCUGUCAGAGGUUCCUACAUGCCCUCAUCUCCAUACUCUAUUUCUUGACUUUAAUAAGGAGUUGGAGAUGAUCGCGGAUGGCUUCUUCCAAUUUAUGCCUUCUCUCAAAGUUUUGAAGAUGUCAAACUGCUGGAAUUUUCAAUUACCUGUUGGGAUGUCAGAGUUGGGUUCAUCACUAGAACUUCUUGAUAUUUCACAUACCCGAAUACAAGAGUUACCAGAAGAGUUAAAGUUGUUGGUAAAUCUGAAAUGUUUGAAUUUGAGGGGUACAGGCCAGUUAAAUAAAAUUCCACGGCAACUAAUAUCAAAAUUUUCAAGGUUACUUGUGUUGAGAAUGUUGGGUACUGGCCAGUUCAAUUUUCAUGAAGCACCAGAAGACAGCAUUUUAUUUGGUGGGGGCGAAGUUUUGAUACAGGAAUUGCUCGGUUUGAAAUAUUUAGAGGUAUUGGAGUUGACCUUGGGAAGUUAUCAUGCUCUCCAAAUUCUUUUGAACUCAAAUAAGUUAAAAAGUUGUAUUCGAUCCCUUUACCUCGAGUUGUUCACAGAUACAACGUCGAUUAUUGAUGCUACGGCUUUCGCAGAUCUAAACCACCUCAAUAAAUUAUAUAUUUAUAAAGGUUUUGAGUUGGAAGAAAUGAAGAUUGAUUAUAUGGAGAUAGUACGAAAAAGGCGGGAACCUUUUGUUUUCCACGGCCUUCACCGUGUUACUAUGGUUUUAUGCCAUAAAUUGAAAGAUGUGACAUUCCUCGUUUUUGCUCCAAACCUCAAGUCUCUUUUGCUAGUCGAUUGCUAUGCUAUGGAAGAAAUAAUCAGCGUCGGAAAAAUUUCUGAGACUCCUGAGAUGAUGGGACAUAUAAGCCCUUUUGAAAAUCUCCAAAUGCUUGAUUUGUCACGUUUGCCACAUUUGAAGAGCAUCUUCUGGAACCCAUUGCCUUUCACUCAUCUGAAAGAAAUGGCGGUACUUAUGUGCGAUCAGCUUAGAAAGCUUCCACUCGAUUCCAACAGUGCAAAGGAGCGUAAAUUUGUUAUUCGUGGAUACACAGAGUGGUGGAACCGACUUCAAUGGGAGGAUGAAGCCACUCAAAUUGCUUUUCGUUCCUGUUUCCAACCUCGUCCCUGAGCGGUGGUCGCAAAUUUUGAUUUCUGGUGAGUGCGUUCGUCUUUUAAAAGAAGAAUUUAAAAGAAAUUUAUUCUUGUCGUUUUCUUCUCUGUUUUUAUUUCAGUUUGUUUCUCUCUCUCUCUCUCUCUCUGUUUGUCUUCCGUAAAUCACAAUUAAAUGUUGAAUUAAUGGAAUUAAUGCUUCAUAAAUUUGCCGGCACUGCCGUUACUUUACUUUUUGCUGUCAAAUUUUGCCCUUUUUAUUUUUUAACAAGUUGAUACUUUAUUUAUAUCUUCUUAGCGAUUUAAUUUCCUGUCAAAAGACGAACGAGAAGAACAUAUGACUUAAACCAAUGCUCGAAUAAACUUGCUGUAAAAAGAUAUAAUCUCACUGAAAUGCACACGCCUAGAAUGAAUAGAAUUAAAAUAGGGAAAAUAUUAAGUAUAUUAGCCCUCUUUACCGAAAAUCAAAUGACAAUAAAUUUUUUGAAGUUUUGAUUUUCUAUGGUCAAUUCCACCUUUUGCAAUUUCUUCUGUUCUAACAAAAACCAAUUUCUAUGUUCAAGCAUUUUCGUUUGGAUAUUAAUAAUUCUCCACCGAAAGAGUGAACUCUUGGAUGCUGCUGCUCAAGGGAUCUCUAAUCAAUAGCCCGAAGGGCGCCGAGACCUGACCGGACCUACGCCCAAGUUUGGUCUUAAAGCCUGGGCUUGAGCCUGGCAAUUAAAUUAAAACAUUAAUUGAUUUCUUGAUUGAAUUGUCGUGUAAUUGAUUUAUGGGGGAUGACACAUCAACAUACUUGAAAAUACACUAAUCUCAGCAUCAUCGGUUAGUAACUUUUAGAUUUAUGGGUAAUCAAUAGUUAAGAUUAGUUGUCAUUAAUACUAAAUAAUUUUUACUUUUUUUGUCUCUUCUAGAGGAUCUUCUAGAAAAAUGCAUCCACAAGUAAAUUUAAUACUUUACAUAAUAAACAAAGCCUAAAUGUUAAAUUUAAGAAACUGCAUUGCAUUUCAGUUGAAGCUGACUUUAAUAUUUAGGGUAGAAAAAUAAUUAAUUUUAUUUUUUGAAAUGUCCAUAUUCAGAGCAAAUUUCAAAAAGACUCAAUAAUUUCUCAUAAAUUUCAAUUAAAAAUAUUCAAUUUGUUGUUUCAGUUCUUUUAUUUUUUAUUUUUUCCAACAUGAAAGCGACUUAAUGUUACUAAAUUGGUUUUAUGGUCUUUGGAUUUUCAUGACCCAAUAAUUGGAACAAAACAAUUUUCUCAAGCGCUCUCCCGCAACAUUUUAUAAUUGAAGCCGCGGCCCCGCCCGUGGUUCCAAACUUUAUCUUUCUCCCGCUCUUUAAAUUAAUGCGAGCAGCCUCCGUCCUUGACUAGUUGACUGCUUUUGUUCUUUUUUAUUAAUUAAUUAAUUAAUUAAUUAAUUCAGCCGCCCCCCUUUCUUGUCCCAAUGUCUUCUACUUUCGGUUUCCUUUUAUUAUCUCUUUAUUUUUAAAAUAUGCUUAUAGUAAUAAUAAAAUAUAAAAAUUAAAAUUAAAAUUAACAUAUUAAAAUAUAAUUUAUCAGAAAAUUAAGAUAGAGAAAUAUUAUAAGCACAUCAAUCAAAAAGUGAAAAAAAAAAUUUUAAUUUGCAUUAAAUAUAAACUUUCAGUGUUAAUCAAUUUUCUAAAUAACUGAAAUUAUUUUAAAAUAAAAAUAAAUUAUUCUUCCAAGAAAAAAAAUUACACCCACUCACUGGACUGGCUGUCAAGAGUCGCUUUAGGACUGAAGUUGGUAACUUUUGCAAGCAGUCUGAACUUGAAUGGCAGCAACCCACGCUUUCAGAUUUAUGGUUAAUCAAUAGCUGAGAGUUGUUAUCGCUAAGUGCAUCCGUUGCUAAUGUUUUUAAUGUUUUUUUCUCUCUCCUACAGCAUCUUCUAGGAAAGUGCAUCCGUUGCUAAAAUUUAGUAUUGUAAAUAAUAAACCAAGAAUAAAUAUUAAAUCUAAGAAACUGUAUUGCAUUUAAUAUUUAAGGGAGAAAAAGAAUUAUAGUGUCUUUAUUAAUCAGUAAUGAGAAAAGACUAGAGUAAUAAUAAAUUGUAUUGCUAUUAAUGUGUUUAUUUUAUUUUGUACUCAAAAUGAAUUAUUUUAAAUUAUUGAAAUACCUUUAUUGUUAUUCUAAUUAUUAUUAUUAUUAUUAUUAUUCAAUAUUUAUUAUAAUAUUUUAUUAUUAUUAUUAUUAUUAUUCAAUAUUUAUUAUAAUAUUUUUCAUAUUACUAAAAAGUAAUAAUAAUAAUGAUAAUAUUGGAAUUGUUGUUUUUUUAUAUUAUUAUUAUUAUUAUUCAAAACACUUCUUGUCAGCUCAUUCAUACGUGAAGACCAAAACCAAAUCUCUUCUUCUCCUUCUUUUCUUAUAGUGCAGGAUGUGUGUGCUCGGACUUCUCUCUCAUUCUUUUUUCUUUUUAGAUUUUGAAAACCUAAAAAAAAGAGUGUAGGAGUUUUUAUUUUCUUAAAACAAGACUUUUUGAAUUAUCCAAUUGAGUUAAAUUCUGUGGCAACUGGUAUUUACAUUUCUUGUUUAUUUCGCAAGUUAUUAUUGCCUAAUGCUAUGUCAACUCUAACAUUCGCAAUUUUUUUUUUGGUCCUCUUUUAACACCAAACAUUAGUGUAGGUUAAGUAACAUAAUCAGUACUGGGACAAUUUGAAAUCCCUUUGUGGCAGUGACAAUGAGAUCUCAUUUUAACCGAUAAAGUCUUUUGACUCUGUCAACUCAAAAAAAUAGAUUCAAAUGUUUUGUAAUAAAUAAAAAUAUAAUAUUAAAAUAAAUGUGACAAUAUAUAUUUUAAAUAAUUUCAAUACAAAAAACAUUUGAAUGUUUUAUAAUUUAUUAGACAUAUUUUAUUAUAUUAAUAUAAAUUUUCUAAGAAAUAUGGACAUAAUAUUAAAAUAAAUUUAUGAAAAAUUUAAAUUAUUUUGAAUGUAAAAACAUUUUAAUGUUUUAUAAUUUAUUAGACAUAUUUUAUUAUAUUAAUAUAAAUUUUCUAAGAAAUAUGGACAUAAUAUUAAAAUAAAUUUAUGAAAAUUUAAAUCAUUUUGAAUGUAAAAUAAUUUUAAUGUUUUAUAAUUUAUUAGACAUAUUUUAUUAUAUUAAUAUAAAUUUUCUAAGAAAUAUGGACAUAAUAUUAAAAUAAAUUUAUGAAAAUUUAAAUUAUUUUGAAUGUAAAAUAAUAUUAAUAUUAUUAAUCCAUUAGGUAUUAAUUAUAAAAAUUAUUUAACCCAAAGAUUUUUUAUAUCCUUACAAUAAAUAUAAAUAUAUUAUUUACAUUUAAAAAUUUAAAAAUUUAAAAAUAUUUAAAUAAUAUUAAUCUACAAUUAUAUUUUCAUUUAUUAUAAAUAUUUAAAGUCAAAUCUUUUGCACUUCUAUUUUAUUACAAUUAUGGCGCACAAAGAAAGAGCCAUAUAUGAUUUAUAGCGUUAGAAAUUGGUUUAUUUUAAAGCUGGAAACAGAGAGGAUGAUUAGUAUAAGGAUAAAAGAAAAAGGGAUAAAGAAUAUUAAUGAUUAACAAAAUCUCUCUGCAAAUUGAUUGCAGUAGAAAAAAAGUGAGCUGAACAAUCUAGACAUUUAGUGGUAGAGUGAUAUUUCAUUUGUAGCAAAGUACAUCUCAAGGUUAAGGGAAAAGACUUAAGAUCUCGCUUUUGAUUAUAAUACUUUUUUUUAAAGAAAAAAAUUAAUUUUAAUAUUUUAUAAUAAAUAAAAAUAUAAUCUUAAAAUAAAUAUAAUAGUACAUAUUUUAAAAUAAUCUCAUUAUUUAAAAUUGUUUUAAUAUUUUGUAAUUUGCCAGAAAAAUUUUAUUAUUUUCAAGUAAAUUUUAUAAUAAAUACAAACACACUAUUAAGAUAAAUAUAUGAAAAAAUUAAAGUAUUUUGAAUAUUAUACAAAAUAAUUUUAAUAUUGUUAAUAGUGAGAUAAUUCUAUUAAUUUAAAAUGCUACUUAACCUUAAGAUUUAUUUAUGAUAAAUUAAUAAUUACAUUUUUAAAUUAUUUCAAAUAUUAAAAAUAUUUUAAUAUUACUUAUCUAUUAGAUAGACUAAAUUAUUUAAAUUAUUUUGUAUAAAUUAAUUACUAUUUAAAGGAUAUUAUGAUAAAAAGAUCUUAGUGUUUUUAUUAAAAAUUUAAAAUUUACAUGACUAUUUCUUUAAAUAUUUAGGGCAUAUAUGAACCACGGAGGAGAAAAGCUUUAUUUAAUAUUUUAGAAUAGUUUUUGAUCAGUACAAUUGGGUCCUUAUUCAGAAUUAUUGUUCUCUUCCGCAACAGUUUUUGUUUAUCAAAGUCAUCAAUUAAAAUUUUAGAAUUCUUAUCAUCAGAAGUAGUCGUUUUAGAAGUUGGGUCUUGGAUCAAAUUUCUACGAGUGCAUGAAUUAACAAUAAAAAAAUUUCAUUACACACGGUUUAAGCUACAAAACUACUAUUUGCACAGUUGACUAUAAAACUUACCUCCAAUUACACUAAACCUCUCUAUUUGGUAACGUUGAGACUAAAUUAAUUUUAUUAGCAUGAAAAGAUAAUAGAAAUAUAAUUAUAAAUACUAUUGUUGUUAAUCAAUUAGUACAUGUGAUAUAAAGGUUAAAUGUGCACUAUAUUUAAUAAUUAAUUAGUGGAGCAUGUUAAACAAAAUGUUAAUGUAUAUUUAUAUAGUGUUAGGAAUAUGCAAAGUCAAGUCCUCAAUUUGCAUUAUCCUGUAUAGAAUAUUACUCUAAAAAUGUUUUACUAUAAUUGGCUUAGAACAUUUGUAAAGAAAAUAAUAAUAAAAUAAUAAAUAACAUACACCGUCACAUAGCAUCUAGACAAUGAUAGAAAAUUAUUAAAGAGAGUGCAAACAAUUAAUUAGAGAUUUUUAUGAUGACUUUUAAUAUUCAUGAUAAUAACAAAUAAAUACAUGUAUCACUUUUUUAAAAUAUUAAAUUUGACGUGCUCCAUUAAUAAAUUAUUAUUGUAAUUCAGACUCUAUCUAUAUAUCCUUGCACUAAGAAUAAUUAAGGUGGCGUUUGUUUUUUUAACUUAAUGACUUAAAGUGACUUAACUUAAUUAAUUAAGUUAAUUAGAGGUGUUUGUUUUAUAACUUAAUGAGACUUUUUAGAUAAUUUUGACUUAAUAAAAUAAGCUAAUUUUUUUGACUUUUUACUUAAUGGAGAAAUCUGAAUUAAGUCAAUUACUUGCUAAUGUCAAAAAUAUCCUUGUUUUAUAAUUUAUUUUUCAUGUCUAUCCCAAAACUCACCCAUAGAUAUUUACCCCACAUAAAAAUAUCCCUGUUUUUUUCUUUCUUAUAUUAUAUACGAUAAAAUUUGAAAUUUAUAGUAUUUUAUAUAUUAAAAUUCUAAAAUAAUUAUGUAUUCACUUGAAUAUAGUUUUACUUAUAAAUGUUAAAAUAUGAUGGUAUUUAAUAUAUUAUUUAUUUGACAUUCAAAUUUAAUAAGGAUACAAAUGUAAAAGUACAUAUUUUCAGCUUUUUAAGUUGAAAAAAAACAACUUAAUACUUAUUUUCUGAGAUUCAGACGAAAAAAUAAACAUAUUAUUCAGAUUCAGACAUUCAGACCUAUUCAGAAUUCAAACUAAUUCAAAUCUAUUUAAAUUUUAGACAAAAAAAUAAACGCCACCUAAAUCAUAAUAAAAAUUUUCAUAACUACAUCUCGUUUCUUCCUCAUAAUAAUAAUUAGAUUGGUUCGAAUAUUAUAACAGAUUUAGUGUAUAGCCACAUCCAAUUUAAAUAUUGACCCAAUUGGGAUGGUCCCCAAAAAAAAAGAUUCGUUAAAGGAUAAUUCUAAUUAUUUUCACUUCUCAAACGUUAGUGGGACGUUUCUAUUAGCGCACUCGUAAGCCAAGUUGUCAAAUAUUUAUAUUAAACUACAAUUGCUGACAAGAAAAAUCAAGAUCGUGUUGCGCAAGUGGGUCCCGAAUAGGACGUGCCUAAAUCUCUCGUAAGCCAAGUUGUCAAAUGUUUAUAUUAAACUAACAAUUGCUGACUAGAAAAAUCAAGAUCGUAUUAAAAGUGGGUCCCGAAUAGAACGAGACUAAAUCUUUUUAAGAAUAUUAUCAUUUUAUUGAUAUACCAUGUCAGUAUUAAAAUUUAUUAAAAAAUAUAUUUUAUUAUUAAAAUUUUAUAUUGUUAUCAAUUCACUAUCAUAUUAUUUCGUUAAGAAAAAAUUAAUAUUUAACGAAAAUUGAGAUAAAAAUUAAUUUUUGUUCUCUGUCUUUAUUUAUUUAUUUAUUUAUUUGGAUCUUCUGCAAAUCACAAUCAAAUGUUGAAUUAUAAAUUUGCCGGCAUUCCUUUUUUUGUUUUUUUUGGGCCGGGGGUGGUGUUGAAUUGAUGCUCUGAUUUUUGACUUUUUGUUGUCAAAUUUUACUCUGUUUUUUCAAAUUGAUGCUAGAAUAUUUGAAUCAAAUUAAUGCUCUAGUAAAUUUGUCCAGUUGCCGUAAAAAGAUAUAAUUACACUGAAAUGCACACCUAUGGAAUGAAUAGAAUUAAACAGAGAAAACAUUAAGUAUAAUAGCUGUCUUCACAGAAAAUCAUAUGAAAAUAAAUUUUUGAAGUUUUUGUUUUUCCGUGGUCAAUCAUACCCUUUAUAAUUUCUUCUGUUCUAACUACAAUAAAAUUUUUGGUCCAAGGAUUUUUAUUAGGGGUAUUAAUAAGAGUCCACCAAAAGAGUGAACACUUGGAUGCUGCUUGAAGGGUCUCUAAUCAAUAGCUGGAAGCAAUUGAGAAGGCGGUUGCUACUGUGAAUUCAAAUGUAAAAUAUUUGCUAUUCUUCGAUUUGGUUCAUGAUUUCGUAUGAAUAUCGUUGUUCCGUUGAGUUGCAUGCGAAUUCAAAUGCAAAAUAUUCUUCGAUUUUCAAUUUUGAAAUCAAAUUUUUUUUCCUUCUCAAGCAUGUUAUGCAGAAACGAUUUUUACUAAAUCAUUUUUGACAAACUAUUUAAAUUAAACCACUGGAAUAAGAAUUGUAAGGAUUUAUCGUAAGCUUACUAAUACGAUAAUUCUGAAACUAUCACCUUUUUUUUUUUUUUUGAUUUGUUGCAGGGAAACCCAAAUUUUGUAUUUUGUCAGUUUCAUCUGAUAUGGAAUUUAUUUCCUCCCUAAAGAUUUAUCAAACUGCUUCUCUUCCGUGCUUCAAAUAUCUUUAUGCAAUUACGAUCUCAUAGGAAAAGAGAGUUUGGGUUGUAUUUAUUAUAGUAUUUAUUUUUUAUUUUUUGUUAAAAGAAAUUUAUUUUAAAAUAGUUUAUAGCAACAGUUUUUAUUGAACAAUAAUGAGGAAGGAUUAUUAUAGGUUCAAAUAGUUGUUAGAACAUUAUAAAAAAGUCCAUUUACUAUCAAAUGUUUUAAAUUGGUGCAACCUGAUAGUUGUCUCAUAUAAUUUUUUUAGGGUAAAAACUCGUUUAAUUCCUAUAUUUUAAGAUUAGUACUCAUUUAGUCCUUAUAUUUUUAAAAAUGUCUCAAAACAUUCAUACCCUUAAAUUAUUAACAUCUCUGCUGUUACUUUUUAUUUCUUUUGACUUAUUUUUACAAUAUUGCUCUCUUACAAUAAUGUUUCUUUUUAUAAAAUUAAUAAAAAAAAAUUAAAUUAUCAAUUUAACCCCAAAAAUAAAAUAAAAAUAAAAAGAAUAAAUAUUAAUUUUUGUGAAAGCUUACAUGUGUCCAAAAUAAAUUUUAUUGUAAAAAUAAUUAAAUUGCCUUUUUUUUGGACAUUAGUAAUAAAAAAAUUAAUAUAUUAAUUCCUCAGCAGUGUGUUACAAAAAGUAAAAUAUAUUAAUUUUGUUUUUAUUUUAGACAAUGAGAUAGAGAAAAGUACAAGAUAAAGGAAAGGACUUCAAAACUCACUGUUCAUCAUAAUGCCCUUUGUCUUUAAAAAAAAAAUCAUUCUAAUAUUUUAUAACACAUAAAAUAUAAUCCUAAGAUAAAUAUAAUAAUACAUAUUUUUAACUAAUCUCGAUAUUUAAAAUAUGUUUUAAUAUUUUAUAAUCUAUCAGACAUAUUUUAUUAUAUUAAAGUAAAAUUUAUAAUAAAUACAAACAUAUUAUUAAAAUAAAUAUAUAAAAAAUAUUUAUUUUUUAUAUGUUUACACUGAGGACUCUCUUUAAUUCAUUUAUUUUCUCUCUCUCCAAACAGGUACUGUCUUCAGAUAGCAAUGCUAUGAUAGUAAUCCAAUUCUCUUCUCCCCCACCUGAGCGAGAUUUGAAUUUGAAUCCCUUGUUUUUCACCCACUCUGUUUUUUUUCACGCAAGAUUUGACAAUUUGAGUUAAAAAAUAUGGUCCAAAACUUGAACACGUAUCUUUUAAUUGUAAUAAAAGUUCUUUAAGCUUUGGAGAUGGCAUAUAUAUGGCUGGAAGUGUCCUUUUCUUUGACCUAGAGGCAGCACCAAGCUAUCCAGCAUCAUCAUUUUUCAAGUGGGUCUUAAAUGCCUAGAAACGUUGGUGUUUCUUGAUUUAAAGAUGACACAUGCUAUAAGUGUGAAUGGUUUGGCUAAGCCUAAAUUUAAAGUCUACUCAAGUCGCAUUCAGGAUCAUGGAAAUUGGAAAGGGAGAGAUGAUAGCAAGAUUUAUAAUAAACAAUUAACUUGGGUCCUCAGUGUACAAAGCAAAUGCCACGCAAGCGAUAGCCGGCCCGGCCCAGAAAACCCAGUGGCCAUCCCAGAGAUGGCCUCCUCUAACGAGUGCUGGGCCCAAACAUCUUGCCGGGUUGAACCCAGCUCCGGCAUAGCCCUUUUGAGCAGUAACAGUUGUCGAGACAAAAACCAGAAGACCCAACACUGUUCCAAUGACAAUGCAUACGGUAACUCUGCCAAGAGCCUUGGCUUGUCUGGAGUCAAAAGCCAUCCACACAGAAGCAAAAAGGAACACAAACGAGCAAAUUAUCUCAAGCCAAAGGGCCUGCCUAGUCCCCAAGCCGAUCUCAAUAGGCCCAUCUGGCCCAGGUACCACAACAUUCAGGCUGCAGCCUCCAAGUUGUCAAAUAUUUAUAUUAAACUACAAUUGCUGACUAGAAAAAUCAAGAUCGUAUUACAAGUGGGUCCCGAAUUGGACGUGCCUAAAUCUUUUUAUAAUUUUCCCAGUGUAGCGGACACAGGUCAUUACUAAAUUUCUCUUCCACACGCCACAGCAGCUUCGGUUAAUCAAACUCAAUCAAUUUUCUUGGCUUCUCCGCUUAUCAAUAUUACAAGGUAUGGGUAGCAUUUUUCAAAUCACAUGCGCUGGUACUAUUUUCAAUCGUUGCUUAGAUUGCUUUCUUGGAAAAGCAGCAUACAUAAGUAACCUCCAAUUUAAUCUCGUUGCCUUGGAGACUGAACUAAGGAAACUAAUCGCAGCAAAGAACGAUGUGAUGACGGCGGUUGUCAAUGCUGAACGGCAACAAAUGAGAAGGCUGGACCAAGUGCAAGUGUGGGUUUCGAGGGCGGAUGCUGUUAAAACUGUUGAAAAAUUAUGUCUUAGAGGGUUCUGUUCCAGGAACUGCACGUCAAGCUACAAGUUCGGAAAACAAGUGGCUAAAAAGCUACGAGCUGUGGAGACUUUAAUCGCCGAAGGAGUUUUUGAGGCGGUGGCUACGGAGGUGGUGCCUGAGAGAGCUCCAGAGCCUGUAGCAGAUGAAAGACCUACCGGGCGAACAGUAGUAGGCUUGCAAUCACAACUUGAACAAGUCUGGAGAUGUCUUGCAGAAGAAUCAGCGGGAAUCAUUGGCCUAUAUGGUAUGGGCGGUGUUGGUAAAACUACACUAUUGACCCAUAUCAACAAUAAAUUUCUCGAGAGUCCAACCAACUUGAUUGUGUGAUUUGGGUAGUAGUUUCAAAAGACAUGCGACUUGAAAAAAUUCAAGAAGAUAUUGGGAAAAAGAUAGGUUUGGUUAGUGAUUCAUGGAAGAGUAGAAGUGUAGAGGAGAAAGCUCUCGACAUCUUCCGGAGUUUAAGAGAGAAGAGAAUUGUAUUGCUGUUAGAUGAUAAAUGGGAGCGGGUUGAUUUAACAAAAGUGGGCGUUCCACUUCCCGGACCACAAAAUACUACCCCAAAAGUCGUAUUCACAACCCGUUUGAUCGAUGUUUGUGGUAGCAUGGAAGCUGACAGGAAGUUCAAAGUAGCAUGCUUAUCAGAAAAGGCUGUUUCGAAAAAAAGUUGGGGAAGAAACUCUUGGAAGUCAUCAUGAUAUCGUUGAGCUAGCCCAAACUGUGGCCAAAGAGUGUGGUGGUUUGCCACUCGCACUUAUUACUAUCGGUCGAGCUAUGGCCUACAAAAAGACAGCCGAAGAGUGGAGAUACGCAGUUGAAGUUCUAAGAAGAUCAGCUUCGGAAUUUGCUGGUUUGGGAAAAGAGGUGUAUCCUCUUUUAAAGUUUAGCUAUGAUAGUUUGCAGAAUAAGACGAUUAGAUCUUGUUUCUUAUAUUGUUGUUUAUAUCCUGAAGAUUAUGGCAUUCGUAAAUGGGACUUGAUUGACUGUUGGAUUGGUGAGGGAUUCUUAGAGGAAUCUGACAGGUUUGGUGCAGAAAACCAAGGAUACUACAUUGUGGGCACUCUUGUUCAUGCGUGUUUACUAGAAGAGCUAGAAGAUGAUAAAGUAAAAAUGCAUGACGUUGUUCGUGAUAUGGCUCUAUCUAUAGCUUGUGAAAUUGAGAAGGAGAAGAGAAACUUUUUGGUUUGUGCAGGUGCGGGACUAAAGGAGGCACCUGAUGUUAAAAGAUGGGAAAAUGUGAGAAGAUUGUCAUUGAUGCAAAACCAAAUUGAAACUCUGUCAGAGGUUCCUGCAUGCCCUCAUCUCCAUACUCUAUUUCUUGCCUCUAAUAAUAGUUUGCAGAGGAUCACCGCUGGUUUCUUCCAAUUUAUGCCUUCUCUCAAAGUUUUCAAGAUGUCAAACUUCUGGAAUUUAAUUUUGGAAUUACCUCAAUGAAUUAUUGAUUUUUAAAGGUUUUUGAUGGUUGUCGAAGCCAACAAAAAUAAAUACAUACUCUAAAUAAAUUGUGUAUAGUGAUUGAGCAGGGUCAUGUCCACAGAGAUCGGUAAUUAUUUAAAUCCUUUUAAAACGUAAAACAUAAAAUGGGGGUUUUGUUGACAAUAAUAAAAAUCAAAUUAAAAUAAUAAGAAUGCAAAUUAAAGUUGUAAUUCAAAUUGGAGAAAGCUCUGGUUGAAGGAAUUAAUUCAACUUGAUUCGACUACUGAUCAUUGAUUCAAAUAUAGAUUAUUAUUACUUAUGAAUAGACCAGUUAUAGCUACCGAGAUCCUCUAAUAGCCAAUCUCUCCUUAACUAGUCGAUAACUAAGGUACGACCGUUGGCUAUUUCCCUAAUCAAUAGACAACCCUAGAUACGAUCAUAUGAUUUAAUCAAUUGACAGCCUGAAAGACCAGAGAGACCCAAAUCCUAAUCAACACAUAUGAUGAUUCAUUUAAAUUAGAUUGUUUAUUCUCAUAACACAACUCACUGCUAUGUUAUUUGUCACAAACAUUAAAAUCUUCAUACGAUGAAUCCUUUAAUUAACAAUAGAUUAAGUUGAUAAUUAAAUAGUGGCCAAUUACCUAAUUAACAAACAUAAUCAUGAAACUAAUUCAGAGAAUAAACAAAUACCCAAAGAGUAAUAAAACAAUUAAAGCAUAAGAAAGAUCUCACAGUAGUGAUGAAUCAAAGCUUCAUUAUCCUUCAACCAAAAAAAUAAGUUUAGUUCUUCAUAGAGAGAAGAUAAAAAUUAGAUGUAGGGUUUCUUUCUUUUACUCCAAUUCCAAAAUUCUCUUUUUCACAAUAGAUUCCUCCUUAAAUACCCUCUCUCUCUCUCUCUUCUCUUUUAGAGUUCUAUUUAAAAUAAAAUAAUAAUAUUUGAAAUAUUAAAUUCUUAAUUACAAAAAUAACAAAAAAUACAAAACACGUUAAACUCAAAACUGCAGGUUCGCAGUUGACAGCACGCGCCCACGCCUUAUCAACAAAGUUCUUCUGCCGCUCAUAAUUUCUCCAAGAGAACAAUCAUCCUUAAACAUCAUCUUGUAACUCAAUUUUAUCACUAAUCAAUAGAAUUGCACCUACAAAAGUAAAACACAAGUAAAUCACUAUUAUUAAGUGCAAAACAUCGAUAUUAAGAGAAGUAAACAAUGCAAAACUAGUGCAUAAAUUGCACUCUAACAAAUUCCCCCACACCAAGAUGAUGCUUGUCCUCAAGCAUAUAACUCAAGAUAAAUCUCAAAUCUCCACUCAAUUCUCAUCUCAACUUAUCCAAAAACAAUUUUAAGCAAGCAUACCUUAAGAAAUUAAGUCGAUCAACAUUCGAGAGACAAGGAUUUUAAAGCAUAGAAUUUCAUAAGAUAGAAUAAGAACAUUCAACCACUAAGAAGAUCCAUUCAAAAUUCAAGUGCAACAAGAUUUAAUAGCCCUCUCAAUAACUUCACUCCAUGCACUCAAAGUGUUUAGGGUGUCAUUUAUUCACUCAAAUCAAAUCAAAGAAUGCUAUUACCAUAAGCUUGCUCAUAUAUCACAUUUCAAUCCACAAAACAUGAAUAAAAUGCAAAAAUCUAAGGGUCUUAAAAGGGUUGUAAUGGGGUUAAAUAGGUUAAAUGAAAAAGAAAGGUUUACGAAAGAAAAAGAGAUCAAAAUGAGAAGAAUGAACUCAUUGAAUGAACUUAUGAUAUCAAAAUGCUUAUUUCUACUCAAGUCACCAAGAAUGUAAACUUUUUUUUUUCGAUUUUUCUUUUUUUCUUUUUUUUUUCCCUUUUUUUUUCUUUUUCCUUCUUUUUUGUUUUUUGUUUUUUUUUUAAUCAAACAAAAGAAACGAACCUUGCACAAUUUAAUUCAAGCAUAAUGCUUGUUGAUCUAAUUGAGAAACUUUAAUACAAGGUAGAAAAAGCAACAAAAUAUAUCCACACAAUGAGUCCAAAAAUCUCCUUAAAUUGAGGCUCAAAAAAAAGAAAAAUGGUUAAGUAGACGAAGAGAAUUAGAUGGGUAAUGGUUAAGGUUCAAACAAAGGUAGCAAAUAAAGGUCUUCGGGUAGAGAAAAAGGAAAAUGCGAGAAUAGAAAAAUGGUAAAUGGUUUGCCCUUAUCAUUUUAAUGCAUAAAAUCCCGAAAUGUGGCUUCAACAUGCAUAACAAAGCAAGUUCUAGAAUAAACAAACUAGGAUUGAUAUUCACAUAACAAAAAUAAUUAGAGCAAAGUGGUUGAUCAUAGGCUCAAAUCCUCACAAAGUUGGUAAAUUUGCCAUCAAAUCAUGUACACUCUUCAAAUGAAUCAAUCAUCAAUAGUGGUGUAGAAUGAGAAGAAGGUAUGAGUGAGAAAUAAAAGGAAAAGUAAAAAGGAUAAUAAGCGAGAAAGAUGUAUGUAGUAAAAAAAAAUGAAAGAUAAAAUGUGAGUGAUGAAAGAGUAUGAUAGAGAAAAAAAAAUAGAUGUAAAUAAUUUGAGAUAGAUGGGAAAAAAGUAGUGAGAGAGAAAGGAAAAGAAAAUUAAUAAUAUAUGAAGCAUGCUAACUCCAAAAUCAUUUAAGGAUGAGUAGAGUGAAAAUAGAUGAGCAGAGUGAAAAUAAUAAUUCCAGACAUCAAUAAUAGUGAAAAUAGAUGAGCAGAGUGAAAAUAAUAAUUCCAGACAUCAAUAAUGCAAAAAUCCCUCCCCCACACCAAGAACUUACAUUGUCCCCAAUGUAAGAUAAUCAAAGCUCACAUAAAAAUUAAAGCGUAAGGAUAAAAGAUUGAAGGCAAAAAAAAAAAAAAAAAAAAAAACUUCCCUGAAUUGUGAGCUUUGAUCCACAUAACGUCUAUGAGCUUGGCGGAAAUGGUGGGGUAAAUCCCACACUCUCGAAGUAUACGGCCAAAUUCUGCUCCAUCUUGUUCAGCUUGUGCUCCAUUUUCUCUAACUGAAUGCUCAAAGGUGGUGCGGAUGUAGAAGGAAUAGUUGGCGGGGCAGCAGUGCCGUCGUCAAACUCGUCAUCAGAGGUAGCACCACUCCUAGCAUAAAGCUUCUUCGGAGGUUGAGUGGGUCCUGGUUCAGUAAACUGAAAUCUCCCCUCCUUGAAUUCGACCACACCUGUUCUUUCAAACACAGACAUAUCCAAAAAUUCCUUUUUGCAAGCAGGAUGCAAAUCAUUAUUGUCGAGAUCAAGCACACAUAGGUUUAUACCUAACAGAGUAAUGUAUGGACCAAGCAAUAAAGUCCUAUACCGUUUAAGCACACUUUGAAAUUGAUCCGCUAACCAAAAACCUAAAUUAGGCCUCACAUCAUUUAACAUGCACCAGAUAAAAUAAAAUUCAGUUUUAGAGAAAAUUCCUGAAUGAUCUUUCUUGCCUAAAAAAUUAAAUAUUAAGAAUCGAUGCACACAUUUCAAAACAGGAUCACGUAAGAAAGAACUCUUUGAUUUACUCGGGUCAUAGGCAUUGUGAUCAACAGAUAAAUUACGCCAAAGACCAUAAGUCUCAAAAUUUUCGCUAAAGUCACAAGUUGUUCCUAAAUAUUCAUCACUAGUAGAAUAAUCAUCAUCAAUGAAUCCUAAAGUUAGGUUAAAAUCCGUGAUAGAGUGUGAAAAAUUUCGUCCCGUUAACCUAAACUUAAUGACAUCCGGGGUAUGCAAAGUAAAAUCAUUCGGCAUAGUAAAUUGAAAAGUAGCAUAAAACUCCCUAAUCAACUCAACAUAACCCAAGCAAUCAACAUCAACAAACUUACGCAACCCAAUCUUAUCUAUCAAAGAAUCAAAAUUAUUCUUAACAUUCAAUUUUUCAAGAGUCGGGUAAUGAAUAUACUUAGCUGGAAGUAUUUUACGCGUGGAAAUAUCUUUGUACCUCUCUUUCUCUUGUUGAGUCGCGAAUGCGAGGCACCCUCCGAGAUUGGAUUCCGCAAGUGGCAAAACACUCAUGCCUUUUCCAUGCUUUGAUCUUUGUCUCACGGCUUGGCGUGAAUCUGAAAUUAUGUUCCAUGGAACCGUAGUGGGAGCGGCAAUCUUAGAUUUCUUUGCGACGGGUGUCUUUUUCGAUGACUUGGAAGUAGAUGCUUUCCUCUUCGGCAUUGUUACAAUAAUUGCACUCACGGAUUUCGAUUUACCCGGCUGGAAUACAGGGUGUAGGCUGGUUGCGUUGCGUUGUUGCUCGGCUGGAGCUUGCUGAGCGGCUUGGGGCUGGUUGCGAACUGCUGGUUGCGUGCGGUUGCUGUUUGCAUGGAUGUGUUGCGCGCGAGAGCUGGUUCGCGUUGCUGGUUCGUUGCACUACGGGACUAUUGCGCGCGAGAGCUGCUUCGCGUUUUUGCGGCUGCUUCGUGGGCUGUUGGUGCUGCGAGACACGAAAUGGUGGUGCUGCGCGGGCGGGGUGGUGCUCGAUACUGGUGCUGCGCGCUCGGGGUGGUGUGUUUUCCGGCGGGCUAGUGUGCUGCUGGUGUGCUGCAAGCGGCUGGAGAAGAAAACAAGUUCUGGAAAAUUAGAGAUUUUGUGAACAGUAAAUUUUUUUUUUGAACAGUGAUUUUUUUGAAUUUUUUUAAUAAAUAAAUAUAUAAAUAUAUAAAAGAAAGAACAAAAGAAAAUCUCUUUUUUUUUUAAUAAAUAAAUAGAAAAAAAAUAAUUUUUUUUUUGUAGUGAUGAAUCACUUUGAGACACCAAAAAUUUUAGAAGUACUUUUUUAAUAAGCACGUGGGCACGCCUUAAAACUAUUUUACUUUAAAAAUUACAAAAGUACUUUUUUAAUAAGCACGUGGGCACGCCUUAUCAAAAAUUUUCUUCUGACCAAAAUAAGCAAACACAUUAAAUUUUUUUUUUUGAAUCAAAACUAAAAGAAGAUAAAACAAAAACCAAAAUAAACAAAUCAUUUGGGUUGCCUCCCAAAAAGCGCCUUUGUUUUAUGUCUUUGGCUAGACACAUUUAUGUAUCAAUCUCCAUAAUUGGGACUCUCGAGAGCCACAUCCUCCACAAUAUUCACCGAAAAACCUUCAUAAAAAGAUUUUAAGCGAUGGCCAUUAACCUUAAAACCUUUGUCAGAGGUCGGACUCCGAAUCUCAACUGCACCAUGAGGAAAAACAUUAGUAACAAUAAAAGGUCCAACCCAGCAAGAACGUAAUUUACCUGGAAAAAGUUUAAGCUUAGAAUGAAAAAGAAGAACUUUUUGACCAACAGAGAACUCCUUUCUCAAAAUCAUUCUAUCAUGAAAUGUCUUCGUCUUUUCCUUGUAAAAAACUUCCUGCGCUAUAGGGUUAAUAACAUCCACAGAAAAUACCGAAUGUUCCUCACUAGGAUAUUUCAUGGCAUCAUUCAUAUUGAAUUCUAUAACCUCUCCAUCAAACUCCAUAGUGAGAGUCCCUUUAUGUACAUCCAUUUUAGUCCUAGCAGUCUUAAGAAAAGGUCUUCCUAGCAAAAUUGGGACAGAAUUAGAGGAGUUAUCCUCUUCCAUAUCAAGUACAUAAAAAUCAGCAGGAAAAACUAACUCAUUAACUUGUACUAAGACAUCUUCUAAUACCCCAUCAGGAUAUGCAUUAGACCUAUCAGCUAGUUGAAUUAUCAUGCCAGUUUCUUUUAAUGGGCCAACAUUCAAAGAUGAAUAAAUGGAACGAGGCAUGACAUUAAUAGAAGCUCCUAGAUCUAGCAUAGCCUUUUCAGCUCUGACAUUACCAAUUUUGCAAGGGAUAGUAAACAUACCUGGAUCCUUGCACUUAGGAGGUAGUUUCUUUUGAAGAACUGCUGAAACAUUCUCCCCCAUGUGAACUUUUUCAUCUCCUCUUAAUUUUCUCUUAGAGGUGCACAGUUCCUUAAGGACUUUAGCAUACUGAGGUAUUUGUUUUAUAGCAUCUAAUAAAGGAAUAUUUACCUCAACCUUGCGAAAUGUCUCAAGGAUGUCUUUCUCUUGUUCCUCCUUCUUGGAUUUUGCAAACCGGCUUGGAAAAGGAGGAGGUAGCACAAUAGGUAGGGGUUUCGCUCUGGUGGGUUCCGCAUCUUGAGAUUUAGGCAUCAAUUCAUUCUUCUCAAGCUCAUCUUCUACAUGCUUUGUCACUUUCUUACUAGGCUCUUGCAACUCCUUCCCACUUCUAAGGAUGACAGCACUAACGUUUUGCUUUGGAUUCACCUCAGAUUGUGAAGGCAAUCUCCCUAAUGAUUGAGACUCCAGAUGGCUCACUAUAGUCGCCAAUUGACUCAUUUGAUCCUCCAAAUUCUGAAUACUUGCUGUAGUUGCCUGCUGAAAUUGUUGAGUGUUAGUCGCAAGUGAUUUAACAAUUUCUUCAAGAGAUAUACUUGACUUGGAGUUUGACUGUGGAGGUUCUGGUUGUCUUGGGGGAUACUGUUGUGGGAAUCCUGACGGGCUAACUCCAUAGCUGAAGUUGGGGUAAUCCUUCCAUCCCGGAUUGUAUGUUUGUGCAUAAGGAUCAUACCUCCUCUGAGGCAUGCCUGGAAAUCCUCCAACUGCAUUGGCUUGUUCAACGAGUUCUUCUUGAAGUGUAGGACACAUAUCAGUUGAAUGACCCAUAUUGUAACAAAUGCCACAAGUCUUCACCUCAUUCACCUUCCUUGGAGUGGGAUCUUGCCUGCUGCCAAAUUGUUAUGCAUUGGCAGCCAUAUUAGAGAUCAACUCCCUUGCUUGAGUAGGGGUCUUGUUCACCAACACACCUCCACUAGCAGCAUCUAUCAUACUCCUCAUAUCCAUCAAUGACAGUCCUUCGUAAAAAUAUUGAAUAAGAAGUUGAUCAGAAAUCUGAUGCUGAGGACAGCUGGCACACAAUUGUUUGAAUCGCUCUCAAUACUCAUACAAAGUCUCCCCAAGAAGUUGUCUGAUCCCACAAAUGUCUUUUCUGAUGUUAGCAGCUCUUGAAGCAGGAAAGUACUUCUCGAGGAACUGCUUCUUCAAACCAUUCCACGUUGUAAUUGAUCCAGGAGGCAAGUAGUACAACCAGUCUUUAGCUAGUCCAUCUAAAGAGAAAGGAAAAGCACGCAGCUUAAUCUGCUCUUCAGUCACGCCUUGUGGUCUCAUACUUGAACACACAGCAUGAAACUCCUUAAGAUGUUUAUGAGGAUCUUCACCUGCAAAACCAUGAAACUUGGGUAACAAAUAAAUGAGACCAGACUUUAAUUCAAAAUUUGCCUCUAAGUCUAUAAUUCAAAAUUUGCCUCUAAGUCUACAUAUUGAAUGCAGAGUGGUUGUUGAUUCAAGUCUGGUUCAGCUAACUCUCUAAGAGUGCUUUCUGUAGGUGCAGCUCUAUCCAUCACUUGUUCUUCCGAAUCGCUAGAUGAUUCAACUAAAUCAGGCACCGUAUCUGUUUCAGAAAGCAAAGGUGACGAGGAUCGUUGCUUAGCUCGCUUCGUCUGCUGUCUCAGCUGGCGAGCCGUCUUCUCAAUUUCAGGAUCAAACGAAAGUGUACCUGUAUGAGAAAAACGAACCAUACACCAAGUAAAACGUAAAAAGGAUUAAAUAAAUGACACCAAUCCCCGGCAACGACGCCAAAAUUUGAUGGUUGUCAAAGCCAACAAAAAUAAAUGCCUACUCUAAAUAAAUUAUGUAUAGUGAUUGAGCAGGGUCGUGUCCACAGAGAUCGGUAAUUAUUUAAAUCAUUUUAAAACGUAAAACAUAAAAUGGGGAUUUUGUUGACAAUAAUAAAAAUCAAAUUAAAAUAACAAGAAUGCAAAUUAAAGUUGCAAUUCAAAUUGGAGAAAGCUCUGGUUGAAGGAAUUAAUUCAGCUUGAUUCGAUUACUGAUCAUUGAUUCAAAUAUAGAUUAUUAUUACUUAUGAAUAGACCAGUUAUAGCUACUGAGACCCUCUAAUAGCCAAUCUCUCCUUAACUAGUCGAUAACCAAGGUACGACCGUUGGCUAUUUCCCUAAUCAAUAGACAACCCUAGAUACGAUCAUAGGAUUUAAUCAAUUGACAGUCUGAAAGACCAGAGAGGCCCAAAUCCUAAUCAACACAUAUGAUGAUUCAUUUAAAUUAGAUUGUUUAUUCUCAUAACACAACUCACUGCUAUGUUAUUUGUCACAAACAUUAAAAUCUUCAUACGAUGAAUCCUUUAAUUAACAAUAGAUUAAGUUGAUAAUUAAAUAGUGGCCAAUUACCUAAUUAACAAACAUAAUCAUGAAACUAAUUCAGAGAAUAAACAAAUACCCAAAGAGUAAUAAAACAAUUAAAGCAUAAGAAAGAUCUCACAGUAGUGAUGAAUCAAAGCUUCAUUAUCCUUCAACCAGAAAAAUAAGUUUAGUUCUUCAUAGAGAGAAGAUAAAAAUUAGAUAUAGGGUUUCUUUCUUUUACUCCAAUUCCAAAAUUCUAUUUUUUACAAUAGAUUCCUCCUUAAGUACCCUCUCUCUCUUCUCUUUUAGAGUUCUAUUUAAAAUAAAAUACUAAUAUCUGAAAUAUUAAAUUCGUAAUUACAAAAAUAAUCAAAAAUACAAAACACGUUAAACUCAAAACUGCAGGUUCGCAGUUGACAGCACGCGCCCACGCCUUAUCAACAAAGUUCUUCUGCCGCUCAUAAUUUCUCCAAGAGAACAAUCAUCCUUAAACAUCAUCUUGUAACUCAAUUUUAUCACUAAUCAAUAGAAUUGCACCUACAAAAGUAAAACACAAGUAAAUCACUAUUAUUAAGUGCAAAACAUCGAUAUUAAGAAAAGUAAACAAUGCAAAACUAGUGCAUAAAUUGCACUCUCACAGUUUUGAGUUGGAAGAAUUGAAGAUUAAUUAUACAGAGAUAGUACGAAAAAGGCGGGAACCUUUUGUUUUCCGCAGCCUUCACUGUGUUACCAUAGAUUCGUGCCUUAAAUUGAAAGAUUUGACAUUCCUCGUUUUUGCUCCAAACCUCAAGUCUCUUUCUUGCCGUGCUAUGGAAGAAAUAAUCUGCGUUGGAAAAUUUGCUGAGGUUCCUGAGAUGAUGGGACAUAUAAGCCGUUUUGAAAAUCUCCGAAGUCUUCGUUUGUCACAUUUGCCAAAUUUGAAGAGCAUCUACUGGAAGCCAUUGCCUUUCACUCAUCUCAAAGAAAUGACGGUACAUGGGUGUAAUCAGCUUAAAAAGCUUCCACUCGAUUCCAACAGUGCAAAAGAGCGUAAAUUUGUUAUUCGUGGACAAGCAGACUGGUGGAACCGACUUCAAUGGGAGGAUGAAGCCACUCAAAUUGCUUUUAGUUCCUGUUUCCAACCUUAACUUGAUUUCUGGUUAGUGCCGUUUCCUUAACUUUUACAUAUAUUCUCGUCGUUUGCUUCGUUCAAAAUACUAGGUCUUUUGUUCUCUGUUUUUAUUUCGCCAAUUUUUUUUUUUUGUCUUCUGCAAAUGACGGACAAAUGUUGAACUAAAAGGAAUUAAUGCUUUAUAACUUUGCCGGCAUUGCUUUCUUCUUUUUCUUUUUUGUUUUUUUGGGGCGAGGGGGGAUCGAAUUGAUGCUCUGGUUUUUGACUUUUUGUUGUCAAAUUUUACUCUGUUUUUUUCAAAUUGAUGCUUGAAUAUUUGAAUCAAAUUAAUGCUCACGUAAAUUUGUUCAGUUGCCGUAAAAGGAUAUAAGAAAUACACAACUCUAGAAUGAAUAGAAUUAAACAGAGAAAAUAUUGAGUAUAUUAGCCGUCUUCACAUAAAAUCAUAUGAAAAAUAAAUUUUGAAGUUUUGAUUUUCUAUGGUUAAUCAUACCCUUUAUAAUUUCUUCUGUUCUAACUACAAUAAAAUUUUUAGUUCAAGGAUUUUUAUUAGGGGUAUUAAUAAUAGUCCACCAAAAGAGUGAACAGUUGGAUGCUGCCCUAAGGGUCUCCAAUCAAUAGCUGGAAGCAAUUGAGAAGGCGGUCGUUACUGUGUACAAAGCCAUGCAGUAUUUGCUAUUCAUCUUAGUAAUUAUGAAGCUUUGGUAAAAUUUUCAAACAAAGUUGACAUGUUAUUUUGAGAUUUGGUUCAUGAUUUUGUAUGAAUAUCGUUGUUCCAUUGAGUUGUAUAUGAAUUCAAAUGUAAAAUAUUCUUUGGUUUUCAAUUUUGAAUUCAAUUUCAUUUUCUUAAGCAUGUUGUGCAGAAAUGAUUUCUACUAAAUCAUUUUUGAUAAACUAUUUAAAUUAAACAACUGGGAUAAGAACUGUAAGGAUUUAUCGUAAGCAGACUAAUAUGAUAAUUCUGAAACUAUCAUUUUUUUUUUCAAUUUGUUGCAGGGAAAGCCAAAUUUUGUGUUUUUCAGUUUUAUCUGAUAUGGAAUUUAUUUCCUCUACACUAGCUACCUAAAGAUUUAUCAAAUUGCUUCUCUUCCCUGCUUCAAAUUAAUAUCUUUAUGCAACUACAAUCUCAUAGGAAAAGACAGUUUGGGUUGUAUUUAUUAUAGUUGUUUUUUUCGUUAAGAGCAAUUUAUUUUAAAAUCGUUUAGUAGUAACAGUUUUUAUUGAAUAAUAAUGGGGAAGGAUUAUUAUAAGUUCAAAUAGUUGUUAGAACAUUAUAAAAAAUUCAUUUACUAUCAAAUGUUUUAAAUUGGUGCAACAUGAUAAUUGUCCCACAUAAUUUUUAGUAAUAUAUAUGGCCCAUAAAUUUAAUAUGAAUAAAUGAGUUUCGAUAGUUAAAUUUGACACGAUUAUUAAAUAAGUUAUAUCCAUGUCAAUUCGACUUAAAAUCUGGUCAAAUUUAGAUUUAGAGUUUAUAACAUGAUAACUUGUUUUAUGACAUGAUUUACUAAUCAAUUAAUAUUAAAUUAUAUUUUAGCCAAUCAGAUAUGUGGUACAUUUGUCAAAUUUUAAAAAUUAUUUAUUUAUAUAUGAAAUAAAUUUGACUAGACUGUGUGUAGGUAAUAGUGCAUAAUUUCUAAAAAAAUGUAAUAAUAACACGUUAAAAUGUUAUUUUUAUGAAGAAAAAUUGAAAUUUUAUUAAAUAGGCGACACAAUAAUAAAUGGGGUGAGAUUAUUUACACUUUAAGAAUUACUUUGAACAUUAUUUUAUUUUAUAAAUUUUAUAUUACAAAAACACCCAUAGUUUAAUUUACCAUUAAGAACAAUUUUGUGCGAUUAAAUAAAAUACAUUACUCUUUACCCUUUCACUACAUCGACAUAAAUCCUAAUUUUUAUGUUUCUAAUUUCUUUGAUAUGCUUAUUGAAGUCCACAUUAUAAUCAAUUUUAAACUAUUAUACCACUUAAAUACAUUUUAGAAUGAGAAGUUUGGUUUUCUUCAUGGUCUGCCUUGCUGAUGCUGUUCUUGAAACUAUCGAACUUAAUAAUUUUAUGGCCAAAAUGAUAUAUGUUGAACCAGCUUUUACAUCGAAUUCUACCACCAUAAAAAAUCAUACUUGUAAUAUCUCAAGGUUCCAAUUUAUCAAAAGUUAAUAUUUCAUAUUUGUUAGUUCCUAACAGUCACAAGAGCGUACAAGCCAAUUUUUGUAGCUCCUUUUUCUGCAGUAGAUUCAAGUAUAUUAUUAUCAAGCAUUUUUGUUACACCCUUAAUUCCUUAUCAUCAUCCCUUCAUUCAGAGCAACUAAACAGAGGUCAAUGUCAUUAUGUUAGAGUUACGAGGAAGAGUACUGCCAAAAAAGUUCUUUGUAUGGGAUUUAAUUUUCUGGGUUUGUAGUGAUGAACAAAUUGAGGGUUGUUUUGGUAUUUUCAAGAGUGUAUUGAGUGAAAAUUAUUUUUAAAAAAUUUAACAAAUGAGUGUAAUGAGUAAAAAAGUGUUUAAAGUAUUUUUUAGAGUACAAAUAGCUCCAUCUUAAUAAAUGAGUUCUUGUAAAAAUUGAGAUUAUUGAUAUAAUUAUUAAAUAGGUUGGAUUGAAAUUAGUUUAAUUUUGACAAGAUAAUAAGACGACGCGACACAAAUACAACCAACCAGUCAACCCCAAUUGCAACCUUUUACUAAUAAAAGAUACCUGUUUGAAAAGUAAUUAUAAGCUAUCUUCUUUGUGUUAUUUCUCUAAAAAUUUGCGGCACAAAUGUUAUUUCCAUGGAGAAAAGUACGAAAUACCCGCUUUCACUUCAGCAGAAGCAAAGCAAAGCUAUGAGCCAUCUCUGUAUAAUUGAAACGCCAUUGCUAAACGGUUCUUGAUGAUGGGUGCCACCGUGCCAGCGUUGUCGCUGAUUUGCAUGAUUUAUUAGUUGUUCAGAUGGCGGAUUUUGUACUCUCACUUUCAUUUCAUUCUUGAGAGCCACGUACAAUACUAGGUGGCAUUGAAGUUGCCCCAGUGGUUAGUUUUCUGAUUUUUUUUAAUUCAAAUUUUUAUGUUUUAGAAAAAUGUAAGAAAAAUGUAGAAAUGUUGACAGCUACAAUUUUGAAACUUUGCCUAAAAUUAUUAUCGUUACUUAUUGUUUCUUAGCUAAAGAGAAAUCCUAGAAACAUGAAAUUAUUAUUCUAUGCUUGUUUUAAUAUUAUACAUUAGCAGGUUAAUUAAAAAUUAGACGUGAAUACAACAAGAGAUAAGUGGAGAGAAUUUGGUAGUCGACUGCAUUUAGAAUUUAAUUUUUCUUUUAGCUGCCGAUCAUUAAAUUUUAUAUUUCAGAAAAUUAUACCUAGAAUAUUUCAAGGAUAUACUACGAAGAUUAUGAAGGUUUGAUUACAUGUCACUAUCAAUUGCCUCAAUCAUUUGUAGUAAAUUAAUUAAUCAUUUUGCUGCAAAUGAUUUCCUAUUAAAAAAUUCAAGUCAGAGCUGAAUUGCACAGUAGUUAGUCGUACUUGCAAUUCAAAUUAAGUAUUGUAUUUUCUGCCUGAUUUGGUUGAUUCAACUAUGUGCAUUUGCAUAAUGGAGAUGCUUAUGAACGUUGUAGUAUAGAAAUCGAAACGUCUUGUCUUUUGCUAAGCCCAGAAGCAAAGUUCUUUGUAUUAUACUCAUCAGUUUUCUUCGUUCUCUUCGUUGAAAUUUUAUCCAAACAGCGGUUUCUUCGAAUUUUUGCCUUCUCUUACAUUUUUAAAUCUAUCAAAGAACGGUUACCUGAGAAGAUUGCCAUCAGGUAUUUCGAAAUUGAUUUCAAUACAAUACCUUAAUCUAUCAGAUGCUCCCGUCACUCAGUUGCCAAAAGUGACAAAAGCCUUAGUAAAUUUUUAGAGUAAAAGCUCAUUUUAGUCAUUGUAUUUUAAAAUUAAUAUCUAUUUAGUCCUUAUAUUUUGAAAAAUACCUUGAAACAUCCAUGCCGUUAAAGUAUUGAUACCCUUACCGUUACUUUUUAUUUAUUUUGGCUUAUUUUUACAAUAUUACCCUUUAAUAAUAUUUUUUUGUUUGGACAUUAAUAAAAAUAAAAUAAUUAAAUUACCAAUUUAAUCCUAAAAAAUAAAAAUAAAAAUUUAUAUUAAUUUUUAAUUGUCAAAAAUUGUAUGCAAACUACCAAGUGUGCAAACGGUGCUUGCAAAAAAAUUAAUAUAAUUUUUUUUUAAUUUUUAGGGUUAAAUUAGUAAUUUAAUUAUUUUCUUUUUAUUAAUGUCCAAAAAAUUAGUAAUUUAAUUAUUUUCUUUUUAUUAAUGUCCAAAAAUUAUUAUAAAAGGGUAAUAUUGUAAAAGUAAGCUAAAAGAAAUGAAAAGUAACGGUAGGGGUAUCAAUACUUUAACGGUAGGGAUGUUUCAAAGAGUAAAUGGACACUAAUAUUAAAAUACAAGGACUAAAUAUGUUUUUACCCUAAAUCUUUAAGUGUUUGAAUUGGAGUACAUAAAUUAUCUCUCUACAAUUCAAAAACAACAGAUUUGUUACUUUUCAACGCUACAGGUUCCGCGAAUAUUCAGUUGUGGUUAUCUUGUUGAAACACCAGAAAAUAGCGUUCUAUUUGGUGGUAAUGAAUUCUUGGUUGGGGAGUUACUUAGUUUAAAACAUUUAAAUGUAUUAAGCAUCGCCUUAAAAGGUUUUUCUACCGUCCAAAAACUUAUGAGCUCCCAAAAGUUUCAAAGUUGUACAAAAUGUUUGGAGCUUAUAGACAGUGAUGAUUCAAAGUCGUUUGCCUUGGCAGAGUUGAAGCAUCUUGAAAAACUAGGUAUUUCAAAUUGUGGAAAUUUGGAAGAGUUUAAGUUCUGCUGUGUCGAAGUUGGAAAAGCUCGAGAAGAUUUUUGUUUGAACAGCCUUCACCAAGUUAAGAUAAAGGCUUGUCAUAAAUUGAGGGAAGUGACAUGGCUUGUGUUUGUACCAAAUCUCAAGGUUAUUCAGAUAGAAAAAUGUAUGGAGAUGGAAGCUGUUGGGAAAGAGACUACCACAAGCAGCUACAAAUUAAGCGAAUAUAAAAUUCUUUCCCUCUUUGUGUGAUUAAAAUAGGAUGUGUACUACAAACAAAUAAGCAGAAAAAUAAACCAAUAAAUCCAAAGCAAAAACCAAUCACAAGAGACACCGAUUUUUACGUGGAAAAUCUAAAUUGGGAAAAAUUACGGGAUAGUAGUCUGAUAUAAACUUCCACUAUAUUAAUGAGAUUACAACACAAAUUCUUCUCCAGAUAACACUAGAGGCUAACAAUAUUAAAAUUCUCAACAAUCUUGGUUUACAAUAAUAGAUCUAAAAUCUAUUUCUUCAAUAAGUGAGUAUCUCAAAUAAUAGCUACUGAGAGAAUAAAAUACAGAUCAACACCAGUAGAAAUAUAGAGGGCAAUGUCAGGAACUUACCCUCCAAAUUUAGGAGUAAUUAGAGCUAAAAUUACCUUUUGAUUGUUGAAUUAAAGAUUGAAAACCCAAAAAAAAAAAUCUCUUUCUCUCGCAGUGUCUUCUCACUUUCGCGAAAUGGCUACAGCUCUCGCGAUUCUUCACUUAUUUCCUUAGUUAAUUUCAUCCAAUUCCAAAAUUUUACAAUAAUUACACAUCAAGCAAAUUAUUUUGGACUUUAAACUUUUUGGUCCACUGAAGUGAGAUGGACCCUACAAAUCUCCCCCUCCAUCUCAUCUUAGGGGCACCACCAAGCCCGCUCUCUGCUUACAGCUUUCCAGCUUGUCCUUGGGUAAUGACUUUGUCUCAAGCUGCAACUGUUUCUACUCAAGCACGUCUUGUAUCCAAUGAUACUUCAUAUCAAUAUGCUUCGAUUUCAAAUGAUAUGUUGAAUUCUUUGCCAAGUGGAUGACACUUUGACUGUCACAGUACACAACAUAACUAUCUUGAUUAACACCUAGUUCUUGUAGAAAAUUCUUCAUCCACAAGGUUUCUUUGUAACUUUCGGUCAUUGCAAUAUACUCUGCUUCUGUAGUAGACAAAGCAACACACUGCUAAAGUCUGGACUGCCAUGAAACUGCUCCCCCUACAAAGGUGAGCAAAUAUCCUGAUAGGGACUUUCUAGAAUCAACAUCUCCUGCCAUAUCUGCAUCCGUAUCUACUUGUAAUAUAGGUUUGUCACCACCAAAACAUAAACAUGCCUUGGAAGUGCCUCUGAGAUAUAUGACAAUCUACUUUACUGUUGACCAGUGUUUUUUACCCGGAUUAGAGGGAAACCAGUUGACUACCAACUGUUGAAGCGUACCUCAAACUACCAACUGUUGAAGCAUAAGGAACUCUUCUUAUCUCUUGCUUCUCUUUCUCACUUGUGGGACAAUGCUCGAAACUAAGCUUGAAAUGACCUGCAAGUGGAAAAUAAACAUAUUUUGCUUUGUCCAUAUUAAAUCUUUUAAGAACCUUUUCAACAUAUGCUUCCUGAGAUAACCAUAAAUUCCCAGUUUUUCUGUCACGAGAAAUCUUCAUGCCAAGAAUUUGUUUCGCCGAUCCCAAGUCCUUCAUUGCAAAAGACUUGCUAAGCUCUCUCUUCAAAUUGUCAAUCUUACUAGUAUCCUUGCCAACAAUCAACAUGUCAUCCACAUAAAGUAAAAGAAUAAUAAAAUCAUUAUCACUAAACUUUUUCACAAACAUACAAUGAUCACACAUUGUCUUGCAAAAGCCAUGAUUCUCCAUAAAAGAAUCAAACUUCUUAUACCACUGUCGUGGUGCCUGUUUCAGCCCAUAUAAAGUUUUUUUCAAUUUGCACACAAGUUCUUCUUUACUUUUGACACUGAACCCUUCAGGUUGUUCUAUGUAUAUUUCCUCCUCUGAGUCAUCGUGUAAGAAAGUAGUCUUUACAUCGAACUGUUCAAUUUCCAAAUCCAAGCUAACUGCUAAUCCCAGAGGUGCUUGCUCCACUGGUUCUGCUGGACCAUUAUUAUUAUCCUCUCCAGCUCCCCUAUGAUCAACAUGAACAACAUGUGGAGAAACCGAAGUUGGAAUAAUAGGAAUCUCUGGAGAUGGUUGAGACUUAUCGUUUUUUUUUCAUCACCAACUAUUUAAUCUUUAAGAAACACAACAUCUCUACUUCUGAUUAGUUUUCUUGCCACUGGAUCCCAUAAUCUGUACCCAAAUUCUUCAUGUCCAUAGCUUAAGAAAAUACAUUUCUUGGCUUUAUCAUCAAGCUUCGAUUUCUCAUCUUUAGGGAUAUGAACAUACACUCUGCACUCAAACACCCUCAAGUGUUUAUAAGAAACAUCUUUCCCAAUCCAAACUCUUUUAGGUACAUCGUCAUCUAAUGGAGCUUAAGGAGAAAGGCUAAUCAAAUCAACUACAGUACGCAUAGCCUUCGCUCAGAAGGAUUUAUGAAGCUUGGCCUCAGAAAACAUACAUCUGACUAUCUUUUCAAUUGUUCUGUUCAUCAUUUCUUCAACACCACUCUGCUGAGGGGUUUUUGGUACAGUUUUCUUAAGUCUGAUUCCAUGAGAUCUGCAAUACUGCUCAAAUGGUCCUCUAUACCCACCAUCAUUUUCUGCCCUGACACAUUUCAAUUUUUUUCUUGUCCCUCUCUCAACAUAAGCAUAAAAGAAUUUAAACAUAUUAAGCACGAAAGAAUUUAAACAUAUCAAGCACUUAAUCUUUAGAUUUUAAAGCAAAAAGUCCAUACUUUUCUAGAACAAUCAUCAAUAAAAGUCACAAAAUAAAGUGCACCUCCUAUUGAUCUAUUUUGCAUCAUGCAAAUAUCAAUGUGAAUCAAAUCAAGGAUUUGUGAUUUCUAGAUGGAGAAAAGCUUUUAAAAGUUACUUUAUGUGUCUUUCUAGCUAAACACUAAACACAAGUCUUGAGGGACAUACCUACAAAGCUGGGUAGAAAUCCUUUUUUGGCAAGAGUUUCUAACCCUUUCUCACCAAUGUGACCAAGCCUUUUAUGCCAUGUCUCAAUGUCAGAAUUGUUUACAGCCACAUUCAUAUAUUCUUUCUUGAUUUUGGCUUCUAUUACGUAGAGGGUGUUCAUUUUCUUUUCUUUAGCCAACACUAGAGAGCCUUUGGUGAGCUUUCAUUUUCCUUCACCAAAUUAGUUAGUAUAACUAUCAUCAUCAAUUUUUCUUGUGGAGAUCAAAUUAAGACGAAUAUCUAGUACAUGCAAGUUUGCCUGUGGAGAUCAAAUUAAGGCGAAUAUCUAGUACAUGUCUGACAUCUUUAAGGAGUAGCUUACAGCCAACACUGGUUUUCAAGCAAAUAUCUCUUAUGCCCACAAUCUUGGAUGCCCCCUCAUUUCCCAUCCGAACAUGGUCAUAAUCACCAUUAACAUAGGAUGUGAAGUAAUCACGAUGUGCAGUAACCACGAUGUGCAGUAACAUGAAACGAAGCACCUGAAUCAAUCACCCAAUUACUGGUAUGGCAAGUGAGAUUUAUAGAGCUAUCAUUCUAAGCAAUGCCCAUAUCACCAUUAAUUACGACUGCAACAUUCUCUUUGUCGUUUUUCUGACCAUCGCCUUUUUCUUUCGCAUGUUCUCUUUUCCACAAUCUACACUACCUUUUUACAUGGCCCAUUUUCUGACAAUGAAAGCACUUAGCUUCUCCUAUGGGACUUAGAUCUUCCUCCAGGGUUAUCAUUAUUCUGAUGACGGAAAUUUCUGCUUUGACUUCUCCCCCGUCUUUCUUGGUUUUCUGAAACAAGUGUAGCUGACUCAGAGGGAACUACUUUAGCAUUCUUUCUUCGAGAUUCUUCAUUCCGCAGUCUAUCUGUAACCAUAUCCAAGUUUAAUUUACCAUUCGAUGCCGAAUUAUUCACUGACACCACUAAUGUCUCCCAACUAUCAGGUAAAGAACUAAGCAACAACAAUGCUUGUAACUCGUCAUCUAGAAUAAUCUUCAUAGUAGUCAACUGAUCAACCAAACCCUGAAACUCACUAGUGUGUUCAGUUAUACUGUGGCCUUUUUUAUAUUUCAAGUUAACAAGCUUUUUCAUCAGAUUGACUUUAUUUUGUGUUGUUGGCUGCUCAUAAAUUAUUUCUAAUUUUCUCCAAAGAACAUCAGCCUUGGAUUCCUUCGCGACAUGAUGGUACACACUCUGAUCAAUCCAUGACCUAAUAGUGCCCACGACUUUCUGGUUCAAUUGAGCCCAUUUCUUAUCAUCUAUAUCAGCAGGUUUAACUUCAUCACCUUCAAUAGGUUCAUGUAAGUCUUUCAUGUAGAGCAAAUAUUCCAUUCUAGACUUCCAAAUAUCAUAAUUCCACGACUCAAUUUAAUCAUGAACACCAAAGACUCCUCUAUUUCAACCACACAAGUAAUAAAACUCUUUCCCUCUUUGUGUGAUUAAAAUAGGAUGUGCACCAUAAACAAAUAAGCAGAAAAAUAAACCAAUAAAUUCAAAGCAAAAAUCAAUCACAAGAGACACUGAUUUUAACGUGGAAAAUUCAAAUCGGGAAAAACCACGGGACAAUAGUCUGAUAUAAACUUCCACUAUAUUAAUGGGAUUACAGUACAAAUUCUUCUCCAGAUAACACUAGAGGCUAACAACAUCAAGAUUUUCAACAAUCUUGGCUUACAAUAAUAGAUCUAAAAUAUAUUUCUUCAAUAAGUGAGUAUCUCCAAUAACAGCUAAUGAGAGAAUAAAAUACAGAUCAACACCAGUAGAAAUGUAGAGGGCGAUGUCAGGAACUUACCCUCCAAAUUUGGGAGAAAUCAAAGCUAAAAUUAUUUUUCGAUCGUUGAAUCAAAGAUUGAAAACCCAAAGAAAAAUAAUAUCUCUUUCUCUCGCAACGUCUUCUCACUUUCGCGAAAUGGGUACAGCUCUCGCGAUUAUUCACUUAUUUCCUUUAUAUAUUUUUUUGGUUAAUUUCAUCCAAGUCCAAAAUUUUGCAAUAAUUACACAUCAAGCAAAUUAUUUUGGACUUUGGGCUUUUGGUCUACCGAAGUGAGAUGUACCCUACAGAAGCAAUAAUCAGUGCAAGAAAAUUGGGUGAAGUUCAAGAGAUGAUGGCAGAUCUAAACCCUUUUGUAAAACUCCAAUAUAUUGGCCUCUGAAUUCUACCAAAAUUAAAAAAGCGUCUAUUGGAAUGUGUUGCCCUCUCCACAUGUCAGGAAAAUUUUUGUAUCUGAAUGCCCAAUUCUCAUUAGGGGAGAGGAACACUGGUGGAAUGAGCUGCAAUGGGAGGAUGAAGCAACCUAUAAUGCUUUUCUUCCUUGUUUUGGAUCCAUUUGACGGGCAUCAACAUGGAUUAAUAUUUUGCAGCGGACCAAUUUGAAUAAAACUUACGGUAAGUGCUUUUCCAUUUAUUGCAUAUUUAUAUCUAAUUUUUGUUUUCCUUUAUGGUUAAAUUUUGCCCUGUAUAUGUUGUUGUACGGUGACAUUCUUGAAUCAAUUAUUAACUUUUUUAAUUCUCGUCUCACAACCACCCUUCUGAUCAUGAGGAUAUGCCGAUAUCAAAGAGUCGUAAUUUGGGAUACAAAUGUAAGAAUUAGGCAGAUGACAUGUUGUUUCAAAGCUUUCGAAGAAGGACUAAAUAUGUAUUGAAAGCCUCCAAUUUUGCGACUGAUUUUUUUUUAAUUUGUUAUUUUUAUGGGUGGCAAAAAUACCCGUCCGAUCUGGACCCGGCCGAUUUGGGCCGGGUACGGGGUAUGAAGCCGGGUUGGUCUUGAGCAUCACUUGAAACUUGGAACUUGGAUUUUAUUAAAAAAUAUUAUAAAUAUAUAUUAUUUUAAAUAUUUAUAUUUAUUAGACUCAUCUAUUACAUAUAUGUAAAAUUUUAAACAUUUAAAGUUUAUAUUUUCAUGUCUAAUUUCAUUGAAAUAAAUUUAAAAAUUAUAAAAUUACCAAUAUAUAUAUAUAUAUAAUAUUAAAAAAGUAUAAAAUCUGAGUACUCAGAUUAAAACCCGGUUCAAGUGUCUAAAAAAUACAUGUGGACCGAGUCCGAACAUUGCGAUACCCAGACCCAAACUUGGGUUUUGCCAACCCUAGUCUUUUAAAUUGCUUGAUUGUUAGUUGUCGUAAUGUAAUGUUUUAGUAUAGAAAAAUGAUAGCCAAGACAACAAUAAGAGGGCACAUUGUGCAUGCACAAUAGUGGAUAAUUUCGGCAUUCCGAAUCCAAUUAGGGUGGAUAACCUUUUAUUAGUAUUAACCUUCUCUCGUACUCGAGUAAUGUAAAAUAUGCUUAGAAGCUGUGGAUCCCCCUUUAUAAGUGUUAGGCUUCUGCCAAACUCGAUUGAUGUGGGAUGCCUUUAUAGGCAUCAAGUUUUCUCCCAUACACUUUACGUUAAAAAUAAUAAUGAUAAAAUAAAUCCAUUUUAAAAUAGACUCAUUUUUCUUUUCUAUAUAAACAAACUCAUUCUUCAAAUCAGUUGUGGGUAGAAGGAGCUGAGUAGAGAAGAACUGGGCCCCUUUCGUUCCCCUAAAAACCUCACCAAACCUCUCUUGUAAGCUUCUCAGUGUCCCUCUCAAUAUUUCUUAUGAUCUCAUUUUUGAUUGAAUCACUUCUUUUGCGUGCUGCAUUUUUGUGUGUCGUAUUUAGGUUUAUCUUAUCUGGAAUCCUAUUGUGAUUGAUGGAACAAGUAAUCAAUUUUUAGUUUAUUUGGAAUGGAACUAUGGUUUAUUUGGAAUGGAACUAUCUGGGUGUAACGGAUUAAAUUAUGACAUUGGGGAGAAGGCACUAAGGGGUUUGCUUGACACAUUUGGUUUUGUGUUUACUCUGAAAGAAAUAGCUUUUGCUUAUCGCAAUGCAGUGCGAAAUCCCGAUUUGGGUGGUGAAUUUCUCUAUCCCAAUUAGGCUGGUGAAUUUCUCUGUGACAAAUAGGCAAACACCUCAACCUCUUCUAUCCAUCUUCUACUAGUGAGGCAAGGGAUAAAAAGUCUUCAAAAUCAUCAAAUAGUAACAUCUUCGAGAAUUCAUUUUAUGCAAAUGGAAAAUCUAGACCUUCUAAGACAAAAUGGCGUCCAGUAUCAGGAGGUACCGUUUCAAGUUUUCUUGGUAAAAAUUAUGUAAACCUGCACAGCCAGCUAACGGCACUUUUCUAGUUUUCUGGCAUCAAAACCAUUGAAGUCGUAUCCAAAGGAGUUUCCCAUGUCUGCACUUUGUGGAGAAGAAACUAAACAAAAACAAUCAAAGGAUGACCAUUUGCAGAAGGAUGCGGAAGAUUUUCUGUUUAAAUUGCUAGGAGAAGUGUUCCAGCUGAAUAGGGAUGUGAUUCGGGAAGUUCCAGUAAUGUCUUAAAUAUGUUGAUGCCAAUUUAAUACAUAUUGUCAUUUUCGAUGUUCUUUCUUUCUUUAUCUUCUUUUCUUCUUCUUCUUAUUCUUUUUCUUUUCGUGUGCAUGUGAUCACUAAUUUGUUAUUAUACUUAACUUGCAGGUAGUUGUGGAUAUGAUAUGCAAAAGGUAAGGACCGUAUCUUCCUGAUAGAGGCCUCUGCUUUUUCCCUUUUAUGUAAUUUAGUAAAUCUCAUCUCCCUUUGUGAUUGUUAUAUCAUAUCAAAGUCAAGUCUUAAAUACUACUGUCAUAUGUUAAGGUUCAACUUGCAUUUUGAUUAACAUCCAUUUGCUGCCGCUUCCAAAAGUGAGAAUGAGAUACUUCGGUUAAUUUCAGUAGUUCAACCCAAUAGAGUACUUUAUCUAGAUCUUCAUGGUUCAAAGGCCUGAAAAAACUUGCCCGUGAUUGUAAAAUGAUAUUCUGUGCUUUUAAUGCAUAGAGGGAACAGGGUGUCAAAGGAAUUAGCAGAUUCUAUGGCAGAUUCUAUGCCUAUACAGCUGUAACAAUUAUCUUUAUGAUUGUAAAUCUUAUAUGUUUUCCUUAUUUAGGAUAUACUAGCUGUAGGCUAUUUUAGAUAGUUAUGUAUAUGAUAGUUUAGCUAUGUUUAGGGCUAAACAUAAGCUUGUAUUCAUAGUAUAUAAAGGGAAUUCUCCUCCAAGAGAAAGCAUAACUUUUGCUCAAAAUUCUCUGAGUUUAUCAUGGUAUCAGAGCCUCAGUUCUGAAUUCUCUUCUUCCUAGUUCAUUCCCUUGUUUUUAGUUAUUCUUUUUUUUAUCAAGUUAUCUCAGCCUCAUGUCUUCAGACAAGUAUGAUGCUUUUUUUAUCCGUUUUAAUGGCACAAAGUACUCAGCCUGGGCAUUCCAUUUCGAGAUAUUUGUCAAAGGCAAAGAUCUAUGGGGACAAGUUGAUGGCAGAAAACCUGCCCCUGACAAAGAGAUAAACCAAGAUGGGCACGCCAAGUGGGAAGUCAAGGAUGCUCAAAUCAUGGCAUGGAUUCUAGGAUCUGUGGAAUCCAACUUCAUCUUGAAUCUUCGACCCUUCAAGACUGCAGCAGGAAUGUGGAAUCAUCUAAAGAAACUCUACAGUCACACCAACACUGCUCGUCGAUUUCAGCUUGAACAUGAGCUAGCCAAUCUCCAACAAGGCAGUCUCUCUAUUUCUGAUUUAUCUCCAACAAGGUAGUCUCUCUAUUUCUGAUUUUUAUUCUAUCUUCAUGAUUCUUUGGGCUGAAUAUACUAAUAUAAUCUAUGCUACCUUACCUCCCGAAGGUCUUAGUUCUAUUCAAUCUGUACAUGAAACUACUAAGAGGGAUCAGUUUAUGAUGAAACUGAGAUAUGAAUUUGAAAGCACUAGGUCCAAUCUUAUGAACCGAGAAUCUGUCCCUUCUUUGGAUACAUGCCUCAAUGACUUAUUUCGUGAGGAGCAACGACUUCUUACUCAAAACACCAUGGAACAAAAAAAAUCCACUUCUGUUCCUAUGGCUUAUGCAGCUCAAGGCAAGCUAAAAGGUAGGGACAUAAGUACAGUUCAAUGUUUUUGUUGCAAAGGAUUUGGACAUUACGCUUCAAAUUGUUCAAAAAAAUUCUGCAACUACUGCAAAAAAGAUGGACAUAUCAUUAAGGAAUUCCUUACUCGACCCCCCAAGAAAUCUGAAACAAUAUAUGCUACCUCAGUUGGUUCUUCUAGUGCUGGUAGUUCUGUGGAUACAGCACAUUCAACCCAAAGUGCUCCUGCUCCUGUUCAAUCUGUGACCCCAGAAAUAAUUCAACAAAUGAUCAUUACUGCAUUCUCCUCAUUAGGACUCUCAGGUAAAUCACCCACUACAUCUCCUUUGUACUUUGAUUCUGGGGCUUCCCAUCACAUGACAAACAAUGCUAAAUUCUUCACCAAUGUAAGUAAAUACCUUGGAAAUCUAAAAAUUCAUACAGCUGAUGGCAACUCUUUACCUAUCACAACCACUAGUGAUGUUUCUUCUUCUAUAACCAAUGUCUUUGUCUCUCCUGGUCUUACCACUAAUCUUGUUUCAGUCGGUCAGUUAGUUGACAAUAAUUGUAAAGUAGAAUUCUCUAAAUCUGGUUGUGUUGUGCAGGAUCAGUAGUCAAGGAAGAUGAUUGCCAGGGGGCCUAAAAUAGGACGUCUUUUCCCUCUCCAAUUUGCUAAGUCUCCAUGUUUCUCUUUGCCUGUCAUCACUUGCAAUUUUGCUAAUGUUAAUUAUCGAUCAUGGCAUAAACGUCUAGGACACCCAAACUCUAAUGUACUUUAUGCUUUGCUAAAUUCUAGUUUACUUGGGAAUAAAAGAUCACCAUCCCUUAGUGUUGUUCAAUUUGAUUGCAAUUCUUGCAAGCUUGGAAAAAGUAAAAUUCUGCCAUUUCCCACUCACACACCGAAUGUUGUCCAGCCUUUUGAUUUGAUACAUAGUGAUGUGUGGGGUAUGGUGCCUGUUACUAGGGAUGGCAAGAUAAUCCGGACCCGGACCGGACCCGCACGAACCCGGAUGAUCCGGACCGGGUUGAACCCGCACCGGAUGUAUAUUUUAUCCGGAUCCAGUUUUAAUUUUCUUAAACUCGGACUUAUCCGGGUUCGGUUCCGGGUUCACCUGAACUCGGAUUUUCGAAACCCGGACCCGAAUUUUUUGUUUUAAAUAUUAUUUAAUUAAUUUUUUAAAUUAUUAUUUAUAAGUAUAAAAGCAAAAAAAAAAUGAGAAACAAAACAAACCCUACAUUUCCUACGGCAGUCGCUUCCUCAUGUUCAUUCCCCAGAAUUCAGCAAAUAAAUUCAAAAUCAACGUGGCCUCGAUUCUUUCGACUGAGCAAUCAAAGAAUUGGUUAAAGCUGAUUGAAAACAUUGAUUUGACUGUACCUCUUUGAUUGCUUAUUCUUCUCAUGUCUUUGACCUUCUCGAAAUCAAAUGAGUUUUUUUAUUAGCCCAAGUCCUAUCGUUGAAGUUUAGCUCAUAUCCUGGUGAAGAAGAGGUCCUAGGUUUGGUUCGAAGAUUUCUCUCUCUCAGUAGUCGGUUCAUCAUCAUCCAUCAAUCAUCAGCAUCACAACAUCGCGACGGUGGCCGCACUUUUCUGCAAGUUUCAAUUUCUACCUUAUGUGUUAAAAUUAGAUUUAUUCUGAGAUUUGGGCUCAAGGAAUCAUGUGGCUUUCUUUGUUUCUUUAAUUUUCCCAUCUUCCUCAUCCUCCACUAUCUUCGCAAGAUCCCAUGAGUUCUAUUUGUUUCUGCAAUUACCAAAGAGUCAAAAUUGGCAUGCUUGAAUUUUUUUUUUAUUUUAGGCAUAUAUUCGGGUUUAAAACCCGCAUUCCGGAAACCCGGACUUUUCCGGGUUCAACCAGGACCGGACCUGGAGCUAAAAAAAUCCAGGUUAUAUGCAGGUCCGCUAAUUAAAAUUGAUCAUCCGGGUCCGGAACCGGAAAGACUAAACCCGGACCCGGACCCGGAUUUUGCCAUCCCUACCUGUUACAUCUCAUGCUAAUUACAAGUACUUUGUCACUUUUAUUGAUGACUAUAGUCGCUUCACAUGGAUUUAUUUUCUACAUUCUAAAGAUGAAGUGUUCUCUGUUUUCAAGCUUUUUCAUGCACAUAUUCAGACCCAAUUUUCUACUAAUAUCAAAAUUCUUUGCUCUGAUAAUGGGGGUGAGUAUAUGUCUCAUUUAUUUCAAGAAUUUUUGCACACCAAUGGUAUAAUUUCUCAAAGAUCUUGUCCUUCAACCCCCCAACAAAAUGGGGUGGCUGAAAGAAAGAACCAUCACCUUCUCGAUGUUGUCCGCACUCUUCUAUUAGAGUCAUUUGUACCCUCUCGUUUUUGGUGUGAAGCUCUCUCCACUGCUAUCUAUCUCAUCAACAGAUUGUCCUCUCCUUCCUUGAACCAUGUCUCCCAUUUCUUUCGGUUAUUUGGCCAUACACCAAAUUACUCCCAUCUCCAUACCUUCGGUUGUGUGUGCUAUGUUCAUCUUCCUCCACAUGAGCGUACAAAACUCACAGCCCAAGCUGUGAAAUGUGCUUUUCUAGGAUAUUCUAUGCACCAAAAAUGUUUUCUUUGUUAUGAUCUAAAUUUGCAUCAUAUAAGGGUUUCUCAAAAUGUGAUUUUCUUUGAAAAUCAGUAUUUCUUUUCCGCACACCACGACGAUUCUUCCCCUUCAUUUUCUGUUUUGCUAAAGUUUACUAACCCUUCUGCAGAUUCUGUACCUUCUAAACCUAUCAUAGUCUAUCAGCGACGCAAGAAUUCAGUACCUCUCGGGCCCCCUCCAGCAACUUCCCUAAAUGCUGAUCCAGUUCCAGCAACUGCACCUGAACCUUUCAAACACAGUACUCGGGUUCGUAGACCACCAGAUAGGUAUGGUUUCACCUCUCCAUUAUCUUUGACAACCACUUUGUCUUCUAUUCCUAUUCCUUUAUCAUAUAAACAGGCAAUGAAGCAUGAAUUUUGGCGAAAAGCUAUUGAAUCAGAACUUCUUGCACUUGAAGAAAACCAAACUUGGGAUAUUGUUUCAUGUCCUCCAUCCGUGAAACCCCUUAGUAGUAAGUUAGUGUUUUCUAUCAAGCUGCUUUUUGAUGGAUCCAUAGAUCGUUACAAGGUUCGGUUGGUGGUUCUUGGCAACAAGCAAGAAUAUGGCCUAGACUACGAUGAGACCUUCGCGCCGGUAGCCAAAAUGACCACUGUUCGAACAAUAUUAGCCCUUGCUGCAUCACAAUCAUGUUCUUUACAUCAAAUGGAUGUAAAGAACGCUUUCCUACAUGGUGAUCUCAAAGAGGAAAUUUACAUGAAACUUCCCCACGGUAUGACUACUUCCUCUCCUAAUGAUGUUUGCAAACUAAAACGUUCGUUGUAUGGGUUGAAACAGGCACCGCGAGUAUGGUUUGAGAGUUUAGAUCAACUCUUUUCGGUUUUUAAUUCACUCAAAGUUAGUAUGACUCCUCCCUUUUUUUCCAACAGACAUCUAAAGCCAUCGUUGUUCUCCUUGUUUAUGUGGACGACAUCGUUAUCACUGGUUCUGAUAUGGAGGCAAUUUCUAAACUUCAGAAUUUGUUGCACUCCACUUUUCACAUGAAAGACCUCGGUCAACUCACCUAUUUUUUGGGGUUAGAGGUACAUAAUCUGCCUCAAGGUAUCUUCUUGAAUCAGCACAAGUAUAUUCAGGAUUUAAUUCAAUUAGCUGGACUUAUGGACAAAAAUUCUGUUGACACCCCAAUAGAACUUAAUGUGAAAUAUCGAUGAGACGAAGGGGAACUACUUCAAGAUCCUACUUAUUUAUCUAACUAUCACCCGCCCAGACAUCUCUUAUGCUGUCCACAUCGUUAGCAAGUUCAUGCAAGCCCCUCGACAUCUCCACCUAUCCGCAGUCCGCCGCAUCAUUAGAUAUAUUCUUGGCACUCCUAGCUGCAGUUUAUUCUUCCCUACUGGUUCUUCACUCCAACUACAAGCCUACAGUGACGCAGAUUGGACUGGCUGCCCGGGCACGAGAAAAUCUACUAUGGGAUGGUGCAUGUUUCUUGGUGAUGCCCUUAUCUCUUGGAAAUGCAAAAAGCAAGACUCAGUCUCCAAAUCAUCCACUGAGGCAGAAUACCGCGCCAUGUCUGCAGUCUGCUCCGAGAUCAUUUGGUUGCGUGGUCUCUUAACAGAGCUUGGUUUCUCACAACAUCAACCUACUCCCCUACAUGCUGACAACACAAGUGCCAUCCAAAUUGCAGCCAACCCUGUCUACCACGAGCGCACGAAACACAUAGAGGUUGACUGCCACUCUAUUCGAGAGGCCUAUGACCGCCAAGUUAUCACCCUCCCGCAUAUCUCCACUACUCUACAGAUUACAGAUAUCUUCACCAAAUCCAUGACAUGUCAGCGACAUAACGUUCCUGUUAGCAAAUUGAUGCUUGUAGAUUUACCAGCAUCAAUUUGAGGGGGGAUGUCAAAGGAAUUAGCAGAUUCUAUGGCAAAUUCUAUGCCUGUACAACUGUAACAAUUAUCUUUAUGAUUGUAAAUCUUAUAUGUUUUCCUUAUUUAGGAUAUACUAGUUGUAGGCUAUUUUAGAUAGUUAUGUAUAUGGUAGUUUAGCUAUGUUUAGGGCUAAACAUAAGCUUGUAUUCAUAGUAUAUAAAGGGAAUUCUCCUCCAAGAGAAAGCAUAACUUUUGCUCAAAAUUCUCUGAGUUUAUCACAGGGAAGUAUAGCUUUGGAAAAGGCCGGAUCAAUAACUAUGGAGAGAUUUAUAAGUGAUAAAAAUUCCCGUAACCCGCAGUCAAGAAAAUUUCACAUAGUUAAAGACGCCAUUUUGUUUCAGCCAAAAAUGUUUGUUUCGAUUAAAGACUUGAACCAUUUUCAUUUAACCUGAUUGUGAUGCUUUAUGUUAUGUAUGUUCCUCUCAAUCAAGAAAAGUUGAGGUUCAUGAUUUUAUAUUUCCAUCUUGUAACUUGAAAUAAUAACUGGUCUGCUUGUUUUUGUAGCUUGAUAACAUGAAUUUUCCUUCUCAAGUUAAUUUGAUCAAUAAAGUAAUUCUUCAAAGAAAAUAUGCCCAUUCUAUAAUCAUUUUCUUAGCUAAUAUGUUUUUUUUUCUUUACUCUUCAGAGUGUGUCGAAACUAAUUGAUUGCUCAGUAGAGACUUUGGGUGACAAGACAAAAUUUCAUGGUAAAUCCCCUGAAAAGGUAUGCAUAAUUCCUGAAUAUUAAAUAACCAAUGGUCAUAGUUUUUGUAUACGACUCUUUUUGUGGAGAUCGUUAAAAGUGGUUGAUGAUCCAUUUGUAAUUUCAUUGAGGGAUCAUCAAUUCCUUUUCUUUUCUGUGGCUAGGCAUCACUUUCGUGCCAAAGUAAGGAAAUCUAUUUUAGGUAAUGUAAAAAACAAUGGUAGGAUGUAAUAGCUUAUUAUGCACUGACAAUAACUUUUUGUAUAAUUGUCAGUUUAAGGAAUACAAGAGGAACUCUGUUGACAAAUUCAUCCAAGAUAGAUGCUAAAAUUAUUUAUGCAUGCCAGUUGCCUUAACUAAUUUUUCUUAACACUUGUAUUGAACAGGAAAUGAGUAUGCAAUUUGUGUACGUGCCAUUGUGGAGAAUUUGGAUAUUCUUAUUUAAGUAAGAAGAAGAGUUUGCCUCAUCUUUAAACAAUGAAUCUUUGAGAAAUGAGGAGUGGGUGAUUGAAAGUGUCUUCAUGUAAAUGUUCAUUUACUUUUAUUUUGAACUAUUAUGAGAAUCUUUUAUAUGCCAAAUUAGUAAUACAAAUGUUCAGAUGAUUUUUCCUGUUGAUCACGCGUUUGUGUCUGCAGACAACCAUUGUAUAUCACUUUAUUCUGAUGUGCAAUUAUGUAUAGAUUAGAAGAAAAGAAAUAAUAAUCUUAUAUUAUUGUUUGGUUCAUGAUUAUUAAACGAUUAUGGCUUCAAAAAAUCUACAAAUUCCUUCUGUUCAUAUAUGAAUGUGCCAAGUUUUCUAUAUCUUAGAUUGCCUUCUUCCAAGAUAACAAGUUCAUAUGUUUUUUAAUCCUCUUCAAUCACAGUUGAAUUUUAAGUGUUAAGAUUUGUUAUUAAUACCUGGUUCCCUGUUAUUAUGAUUUUUAUUAUGAUUUCAUAAACAGUGUAUGGACAUGUGCUCUACGUUUGAAGGGCCUCCACGUGAAAGAAAAUUGCAACAAUUGAAUUCUUCCGGAGGGUAUGGCAUUUAAUUUAUUUUCUCAACUUCUUGUAAGACUAAUAUAUUUCCUUCAGUAGGCAGGGCAUGGUGGGACGGGCUUUUAUUGAAAGAAUUCUGAUAUUUCUUAGACUUUGUUUUGGAAGGGGGGUGGAGGGAUUUCUCAUCCAUAUAUGGUUACUUGAUUAGCUUUUGACUGUAUUGCCUCAGUCGUGCAAAGGAAGAUCCAAAUACUAAUGAACGAGAAUUGCUUAGAGACCCAAAAGACAGAAAUGAACUACAGAAGGAAGUUUUUGCUGCUUUAUUUAGUGUUCCUGAGAACUCUGAUGAAGAUGGAGUGGAGGUCCAAAGCAUUAAGAAAGGUGGUGAGUGAACCGCCAGAGGAAUUGGUACCAGAAUACAAAGCUAAUGUGGUGCACUUGCAGCAAGAUAACCAGACUAGUAUGUGCUCUUAUAUUAACUAUAUUGACUGGAUUUGUGAGCAUGUUCAUUUUUGUGUGUAUAAUCACUUUUGUAUUUAUGCAUAUUAAUGUUAGUAGGAUUCUUGAUUUCCUCCACUUACUGGAGAACUAGUGGAAAGCUUUAUAGUGAAAUAUCUGCAAUAACUAAUGGAAACUAUGAUUUGAAUAUUUUCUCUCACCUGGAGAGCUUUGCAACAGAUGUACUUUGUGGCUAUGGAAUACUAGAGAUUCUGCAAUAACUAAUGGAAACUCUGAUAUGAAUAUUUUCUCUCACCUGCAGAACUUUGUAACAGAUACACUUUAUGGCUCUGGAAUGUCUAAAGAUUUUUGUCUGCUUCAGUUAGAUAAAAUAUCUUUUAGUUACCUACAUUAUGGAAAAGAUAGAGUUCUCUGAAUCUGAAAGACUGAAACAUUUUGCAUAUUUCGUGAAAGGGAAAUAUCUGUAGAUACUAGUUCAUGCAUUGAGGUAACAUCAAUGUUAAAGAAAAACGGCAAUAACUUAUUAUAUAGAAUUAGGUUCACUUGCUUUAAAUGCUGGUCUGGUCAACCAUAUCAACCUGUAAGUGUAUCUGCAGAAAUAUAUAUGGGGGGACAAACUAGCUAAAUUUUCCUCUCAUUUCUGGCUUUGGUCAUUUGUUCCCCUUAUUUUUCAGCUUUCCUUCUCCUGAAGUAUGUUAACAAUUGCAGAUAAUGACUAAGAGGACAGCUUGCAGGCUCUUCGUAGAGCUGUGAUGGAAUAUAGGGGCACAAUGAAGGAACAUUGUAAAGCUGUAGGUUCUUUUUCUCCUGUCAUUUAUGUUUUCUCACACAUUUUUUAUAUGCUCCAAGCAUGCAAGUUUGUAUGUGUCUUUGCCUUUUAAGUUUUAAAAACCAUAAAGUAAGAAUACAGUUCCUCGUCAGGCUAUUGAUGCAUUCACUCAGGGGAAUCAUGUUCGAGCAGGAAAACUUCUAGAACAGGCAAGGUUUUCCAUCUACAGCCAUCUAUUGACAACAGAUACAUUUUCAUUCAGCAAACACUGUUAGCAUUCAAGAUACUGGCAGAUUCACUUGAUUCUUAUCAGUUUGUUUAGUAGCAAAGCAUAUAACCUGUAUUUCAAAGCCAAGUUGUGCUAUUGAUUAUGUUAACUUUAUUGUUCACAUAAAGUGAUAUGGAGGAAAUAAUCAUUGUAGGAAAAUUAGGUGAAGAGGUGAUGUCAAAUCUUGAACCUGUUACAAAACUCCAAGUUCUUUACUUGAAGAAGCUACCAAAUUUGAACAGGGUCCACUGGAAGGCCUUGCCAUUCCCUGAUGCAUGCAGAAUUUUUGUAUUUAAAUGCCCAGAGCUUAAGAAGCUGCCACCGGAUCUUGAAAGGGCAGGCCAAGGUAAAAUUCUUAUCAAGGGAAAGGAAGAUUGGUGGAAACAACUUCAAUCGGAGGAUCAAGUAACUCAGAAUGCAUUGCUUCCAUUUUUAAAAUCAACUGACAAGUGAUUGAAGGGGGCAUCAUCAACAUCAUCAACAUGGAUGGAGAGAUUCAGGAGCAGAUCAGCAGGGUUUAUUACGACCUGUGGUGGUUGCUUUUUUGUGACUUGUUCCCUUUCAUUUUUUCACUUCCUGUCAUAUUAUCAUUUCUUUGUCUCUGUUUCUAUUGCUGAUGUUGCUGCAUGCUUGCAGCCCUUGACAAAGUUAGCUAGUUUUUUUGUUUCUUAAAUUUUGUAUGUUCGGGACUGUCACAAAGUACUACUUGUUCUAAAUGGGGGUGAUCCGGUGAUGUGAAUCAACUUUUCAAAUAUAUAUUCUGUGGUAAUUGUGAAUUCAAUUUCAUUUGUCUCCUGCAAAUUAUGAAGAAAGUGCAGAGUUACAAUAUGGAAAAGUUCACUGGCAAACACUUUGUAAAAGCUUCGGAGUGAAACAGGGAAUGCACUGGCAACUAAGGACAAAUUGGUGGCCAGCUAAUGCAUUCAUUUUAUGUACAUUCCUCUUUUUAAUUAUUGAAGAUAAGUGGUUCGUUGCUUUUGUUGUAGAUAAAAUUCAGACGACCUCAAUUGUGAGAUGACAAUAUUUAAAAUAUCUCUUAAAUUAUUAUAAACUUUAAUUUAUCUUAAUUUUAUUUAAAAGAUAAAAGAAAAAUGUGGUAUAUGGAUAAGAUUUUUUUUAUCUUCUUAAUAAAAUGAAAUAAAUUAAAAUUUAUAAUAAUUUAUAAUAUUUUAAAAAUUAUUAUUUCAUAAGAGAUUAAUAUGAAAUUAAUCCUUUUUACUUUUUGAAUGUGAAAGGACAGGAAAAGAGAAGCAAGUGUCACUGCUUUUUAUUUUAUUUGAAAUCGGAGUUAUCCCAUAUACUUUACUACUUUAGCUCUAACAUUACAAUGUUUUUAGGCUACACUUUUAUUUUUCUUUUUCCCCCUUUUUUUAUACAUGCAUGUGGAUUACUUUCCUCUAAACUCCUUAAUAUUUAAGACAAAUCAUAAAAGCGAUUGAAGUAUAACCAGAUGAUCAAAACAUUUAACCCAAAAAAAAAAAAGAAAUAAAACAUUGAAAAUGGAGAUGUUGAUUAAUUUAGAAGAGAUGCAAGUAAAAGAUAUUCCCAAAAAAAAGAAAAAAAGAAAAAAGCAACGUUAGUUCAUCCAUGUCUGUCAAUGCGUUUUUUAUGGUUUUUUUUUCCAGUUGUUUGUUGUAAUAGAUUGAUUGUAAAUUGAUAUGAACUUGAUGUUGUAAUAUGUUUGCUUUUGUGGAAUUAAAUUUGAAUAUUCAAGAUUAUUCAAGUCUUAUUUAGUAUGUGUUCGGUUGUGUUGUCGAUAAUUUUACAUUCUAAUAAGUUUUCACCUAAAAUAUUAGCAUGAGUAGUAGUCCUUAAACCUUUGGUCAAAAUUAUUGUUGUUGUUUCUUUUAGAGGAAAUUUUUUUAUUAAAGCCUCGUUAACACUAUUCCUUAUUAAGAUUAUAAGUUAGUGUCGGUGCAGGAUUUGCAGCGACAAAUCUUGUCUAGCCACGUGUCAAAGUACAAAUAAAUCAAGGGAAAGCACAUGACAUGGAUUAGGAUCCAAUAAAAUUUAAAUCCCAAGGAAAAGGACAACUGUAUCCUAAAGUUUCAAUAAGAGAUACUGAGAUAUCUUUUGACUAAUGUUAUUUUUUGGCUUUAUUAAUAAAAAGAUCCAAUAGUUUAUAACAAAUAAAAAUAUAGUAUUAAGCUAAAUGUGAUAAUUUACACAUUUUACAUAAUUUCAAUAAAAAUUUUUUUAAUGUUUUACAAUCUAUCAGACAUAUUUUAUUAAAUUAAUAAGAAUUUUCUUAUAAAUAGCAACAUAAUAUUAAAAUAAAUUUAUAAAGAUUUAAAUGUAAAAUAAUUUUAGUAUAAUUAAUACGUGGGAUAUAUUUUGUAAAUUAUAAAAUUACUUAACCCAAUGAUUUUUAAAAAUCUUUAAAAUAAAUAAAAAUAAAUUAUUCACAUUUUGAUGUAAAAUAUUUAAAACAUUUUUAUACAUUAGUCCACAAUUAUUUAUGUUAUAUUUGUAUUUAUUAGAAAUUUUGAAAGUCAAAUAUUUUUCACCUCUAUCUUACUAGAAUUAUUGCACACAGAGAAAGAGCAAUAUAUGCUUUAUAGCUUGAAAAUCGAUUUGUUUUAUAGCUGGGAACAGAGAUGAUCAUUAUUAUAAGGAUUAAAAAAAAGAUAAAGAAUAUUAAUGAUUAGCGAAAUCUUUAUGGAAAUUGAAUUUAGUAAGAAAAAAUUGUGCUGAUUUUAGUGGUAUAGUAAUAUUUUAUAUAGAGAAAAAUAAAAGCUGCACCUCAAGGUUAAGGGAAAUGGUCAAAACUCUUUUUUAAUCAUAAUACCCUUUUUCCUAGAUAAUUUAAAAAUUUUACUCUAAUAUUUUAUAAUAAAUAAAAACAUAUAAUCCUAAAAUAAAUAAAAUAAUAUAUAUUUUAAAAUAAUCUCAAUAUUUAAAAUAUAUUUUAACAUUUUAUAAUCUAUCAGAUAUAUUUUAUUAUAUUAAAGUAAAUUUUAUCAUAAAUACAAAACAUACUAUUAAAAUAGAUAUAAAAAUUUUAAAGUAUUUUGAAUAUUAUAUAAAAUAACUUUAAUAUUGUUAAUGCGUGAGAUGCAUUUUAUUAACUAUUAGAUAGACUAAACUAUUUAUUUUAUUUUCUAUUUAUUAUAAAAUUUCAAAGUUAAUCUUUUUAACUACUAUUCAAAAGAUAUUAUGAUAAAAAUAAAAUUUUUCUGUUUUUAUUAAAAAUUUAGAAUUUACAUCUAUUUUUUCAAAUAUUCGGGGUGUAACUGUUUUUUCCCUUUUUUAUAAACGAACGGUGGUGAGAAAGCUUGAGUUAACGUUAUUUAUUUAAAUAAAAUCUCAGUUAAAAAUGUACAGAGAAGAAAUUUCUGUUGGUAUUUUAGUCUUUUACCAAUUAUCAUGAUUAGGCCUUGGCCUUGAAACAUUAAUUGUUUCAGUUUUAGCGCUAGUGGCGUUGAAAGUUGUCAAGAAAAAGCAAGGCCAUAUUCCACAAAAGCAAAAGUAACGUAGGCUCUUUUAUUAAAGGCAAAGUAUAGUCAAGAAUCGAAUAUCCUGUCGUCUACUCUUUUUUAAAUUCUUCUUUUAUUAUCUUUUAGAACAGUUUUAGGUAAUUACAAUCAUUAUUCAGAGUUAUUGUUAUCUACUGGGGCAGUCUCUGUUCAUCGAAGUCGUUGCCUUUUUUUAUGGAUCAGUUCCAGUGGUAAGCAGUAAUUUUCUUAGAACUCCGAUCUUUAAUUCGAGUUUCUGUGUGAAUUAAUAAUAAAAAAUUUUCAUUACACGCAAUUUAAGCUACGAAUUACUUUUUGCAAAGUUGAAUAUGAAAUUGGGGGAGAAAUUCAGUAAUUUAGAAUGUUGGUAAAAAUUGACGAACAUAUCUCCAAUUACAGUAAAACCUCUCUACAGUCAUAACAUUAUAACAAAAUUAAUUUUAAACCUAUGUUGAGGUAAUAUAGGUUUAGUUACAAAAUCAUUGUUUUAAUAUGGUUAGUGUCAAGUGAUAUAAAGGUUAAGUAUGCAGUACAUUGAUAAUUAAAUAAUGAAGCGUGUCAAAUCUAAUGUAUAUAUAUUAAUGAUAUAGAUAGACAUAGUUUUAAAAAACUAAUUAAUGUAUAUUUAUGUAGUUUUAUGAAUAUGGAAAGUCAAGCCUACACUUUACAUUAUCCUUAAUUUUUUCUCUCAGUUAAAUUCUACAAAUAUUGUACAAUGAUUGGGCAAGAACUCUAAAUUAAGAAUAAAUUAUUGUCACACAUAAUUUUAGAAAAUAUUUUAUUUUGUCUUAAACCUGUAAUGUAAGUAAAUAUAUAUAUAUAUAUAUAUAUAUAUAUAUGGGUCCGCCUAAGUUACAUUUAACGUAGCUUACGACUGUCAUGUAAAAUAUCAUGUAGACUCUUAUACUCGUUAUUAUUUAUAAUUUAUUUAUAAGUAUUAUAAAUUUUUUACAUUGUAAAAUUUCAUUUAGUCCCUUACCAUCUAUUUUAUUUUAUUGAAACCCUUAGAAUACCAACUCGCCCUCUAUAAUUUUAAAUUCUCAAAAUUCCCUCUAUUUAAUUGAAAAUUAUAAUUAUUAUUAAAUGAAUUAUAAUUAUAAUAAUUAUUUUAUUAUAAUUAUAAUUUUAAAAUGGAUGAUGAUGAUGAUGAUGAUGAUGAUGAUGAUUAUUAUUAUUAGCAACAAGAAGAAUAAAAAGUAUUAUAAUUAAUUAAUCUAUUAACAAUAAUUAAUAAUAAUUUUUUAGUUAAAUUGUUAAUAAUAAUUAACAAUAAUAAUUAUUAAUAAUUAAUAUUUUUGAAUAAUAAUAAUAACAAUAACAAUAAUUAAAAUACAAAAUAAUAAUUAUGAUAAAAAUUAUUAAGAAUUUUAUAGUAAUUUGUUACAAUUUAACUGAUUUUAAUUUUGAUUCUAAGACAAGGUAAGCACAUAAAUCGUAAUACAACUCAUUUUAAUUACGAUUCUUACAGUUCAAGUAAACAAAAUUAUUCUGAUUCCAAUUUUUCAUUUUAAUUCUAACUAUUCUGAUUCUAACUCAUUAUAUUUCUAUCUAAUUUCGAUCCUUAUUUAGUAAAUGCAAUAUAAAAUUCAUAAUAGUUAUGAAUAAAUUGUGAAUAAUAUAGAGUGGUUUACAAUUUUAUAGUGCAUUAACUAAAGAUGAAUCGAAAUUAUUUGGAAACAUAAUGAGUUAGAAUCGGAAUAGCUAGAAUCAAAAUAAGAAAUUGGAAUUAGAAUAAUUAUCUACUUGAACUGUAGGAAUUGUAAUUAGAAUAAGUUGUAUUACCGUUUAUGUGUUUACUUUGUCUUAAAAUUAAAAUUAGACUGAGUUAAAUUGUUAAAAAUUACAAAUAAAAUCCUUAAUUAAUUUUUAUUAUAAUUAUUAUUUUGUAUUUUAAUUAUCGUUAUUAUUAUUCAAAAAUUAAUUAAUUAUUAUUUUUAUUAUUAGCAAUUGAACUAAAAAAUUAUUAUUAAUUAUUGCUAAUAGAUUAAUUAAUUAUAAUAUUUUUAUUCUUAUUAAUAAUAAUAAUAAUGAUAAUCAUCCAUUUUAAAAUUAUAAUUAUAUAUAUAUAUUUAUAAUCCAUUUAAUAAUAAUUAUAUUUUUAAUUCAAUGGAGGGUAUAUUUAGAAUUUAAAAUAAUAGAGGGCGAAUUGGUACUCUAAGAGUUUUAAUGAAAUAAAACAUAGGAUAAGAGACUAAAUAAAAUUUUAUAAUACAAAAAAAUUUAUAAUACUUAUAAAUAAAUUAUGAAUAAUUAGGAGUAUAAGGGGCUAUAAGAUAUUUGACAGGGCAGCCGUAAGUUACGUUAAAUGUAACUUAGGCGGACCCUAUAUAUAUGUGUGUGUGUGUGUGUGUGUGCAUAUUUUGCAACGUAUAGAUAAUUGUUAGUAUAUGGAGACAAGUCUUUUAAGGUAGGACCUAGAAAAAUUUAUAACUUACUACACUGGGGAGUUUUUAUUCCUUUUUAUAAUUGCUCAUAUUGAUACGUUCUUACACAAAAUAUUACCAUUGACAUAUUUUACUACAAUUAGUUUAGAACAUUUGUUAGGAAAAAAAAAAGAAAAGAAAACAUUCCUUGGAUGUAGCUCUCCUGACUAUUUAAAUCUUUUAAGGAAAAAAAGAAAAAAGAAAAACUGACACAUUCAAAUCUUGAAGCAAUUACAUUAAAACCUCUCCAUAAUGAUAGGAAUAAUCUCCAUUUAGAAAUAAAAAAAUUUGUUCGCAAUUUAGGCAGAGUUAUUAAUAAGAAUAAAAUCCUCAUUGUAAUAAGUUAUAUUUAUUAUGGAUCCCAUCCUAAGGAACUUGUCUCUAUAUAGUAAUAAUUAUUUGCAUAUUAUAAAUAUAUAUGUUGCAUUAGAUAAAAUGAACUUGUCUCCACAUACUACUUAGACAAUGAGAGAAAGUUAUUAAAGAGAACACAAAUAUUUAGAGAUUUUUAAGAUUACUUUGCAUAUUUAUAACAAUAAUACAUUAAUAUAUGUAUUAGUUUUUUGAUAUAUUAGAUUUGACUUGCUCUAUUAAUAAAUUAUUAAUACGAUGCAUACUUCAUCUCUAUAUCCUUGCAAUAAAAGUAACUAAGAUAUAACAAUAAUUAUUAAUACGAUGCGUACUUCAUCUCUAAAUCCUUGCAAUAAGAGUAAUUAAGUUAUAACGAUAAUUUUUGUAACUACAUGCUUAUUAGGUUUUAACUACAUAAUAAUAAAUUAGUUUCGUCCUAAUAUUAUAAUUAUGUAGAGUUGUAGUGUAUAGACACACCCAAUUUAAAUAGUAAAUCAAAUAAAAUUGUCCCCACAAAAAAGAAAAAAGGGGUAAAGGAUUGUUAUUUCUUCAAACAUCAGGAGCACGUUUGUGCAAGUGCGAUGCCUUUCUUUUGAAGGCAACGUCAGUGGGUACCCAAUAGGACGUGUGUAAAUCUUUCCAAAAUUUCUCCGGUAUAACGGACAGAGAUCAUUACUUUUCUCUUCCAUAGACCACAGCAGCUUCAGUUAAUCAGACUCAAUCAAUUUUCUUGGUUUCUUCGCUUAUCAAAAUUCCAAAAUAUGGGAAGCAUAUUUCAAAUCACAUGCGAUGGUGCUUUUUUCAAUCGUUGCUUGGAUUGCUUUCUUGGAAAAGUAGCAAACACAAGUAAGCUCCAAGAUAACCUUGUUGCCUUGGAGACUGAUUUGGGAAAACUAAUCGCAGCAAAGAACGAUGUGAUGAUGAGGGUUGUCAAUGCUGAACGGCAACAACUGAGAACGCUGGACCAAGUGCAAGUGUGGCUUUCGAGGGUGGAAGCUGUUGAAACUGAAGCUGAUGAAUUGAAAAGACACGGGUCUCAAGAAAUUGACAAAUUAUGUGUUGGAGGCUACUGUUCCAAGAACUGCGCGUCAAGUUACAAGUUCGGGAAACAAGUGGCUAAAAAGCUACGGGAUGUGCAGACUUUAAUCGACGAAGGAGUUUUUGCGGCGGUGGCUACUGAGGUGGUGCCUGAGAGAGCUCCAGAACCUGUAGCAGAUGAAAGACCCACUGAGCCAACAAUAGUAGGCUUGCAAUCACAACUUGAACAAGUUUGGAGAUGUCUUGUAGAAGAAUCAGUGGGAAUCAUUGGCCUAUAUGGUAUGGGCGGUGUUGGUAAAACUACACUAUUGACCCAUAUCAACAAUAAAUUUCUUGAGAGUCCAACCAGUUUUGAUUGUGUGAUUUGGGCCGUAGUUUCAAAGGACUUGCGACUCGAAAAAAUUCAAGAAGAUAUUGGGAAAAAGAUCGGUUUGGUUGAUGAUUCAUGGAAGAGUAAAAGUGUAGAGGAGAAAGCUCUCGACAUCUUCCGGAGUUUAAGAGAGAAGAGAAUUGUAUUGUUGUUAGAUGAUAUAUGGGAGCGGGUUGAUUUAACAAAAGUGGGCAUUCCACUUUCCGGACCAAAAAAUACUACUUCAAAAGUCGUAUUCACAACCCGUUUCGUCGAUGUUUGUGGUAGCAUGGAAGCUGACAAGAAGUUCCAAGUGGCAUGCUUAUCAGAAGAGCAUGCUUGGGAGCUAUUUCGAAAAAAAGUUGGGGAAGAAACUCUUGAGAGUGAUCAUGAUAUCGUUGAGCUAGCCCAAACUGUGGCCAAAGAGUGUGGUGGUUUGCCACUCGCACUUAUUACUAUUGGUCGAGCUAUGGCCUUCAAAAAGACAGCCGAGGAGUGGAGUCAUGCAAUUGAUGUGCUAAGAACAUCAGCUUCCGAGUUUGCAGGUUUGGGAGAAAAGGUAUAUCGUCUUUUAAAGUUUAGCUAUGAUAGUUUGCAGAAUGAGACGAUUAGAUCUUGUUUCUUAUAUUGUUGUUUAUAUCCCGAGGAUUAUGGCAUUCUUAAAUGGGACUUGAUUGAUUGUUGGAUUGGUGAGGGAUUCUUAGAGGAAUCUGACAGGUUCAGUGCAGAAAACCAAGGAUACUACAUUGUGGGCACUCUUGUUCAUGCAUGUUUAUUGGAAGAGUUAGAAGAUGAUAAAGUAAAAAUGCAUGACGUUGUUCGUGAUAUGGCUCGAUGGAUAGCUUGUGAAAUUGAGAAGGAGAAGAGAAAAUUUUUGGUUUGUGCAGGUGCUGGAGUAGGAGCGGUAUCAGAUGUUGAAGGAUGGGAAAAUGUGAGAAGAUUGUCGUUGAUGCAAAACCAAAUUGAAAUUCUGUCAGAGGUUCCCACAUGCCCUCAUCUCCUCACUUUAUUUCUUGACUUUAAUUAUAAAUUGGAGAUGAUCACCGAUGGCUUCUUCCAAUGUAUGCCUUCUCUCAAAGUUUUGAAGAUGUCAAACUGUGGGCAUGUCAAAGUUUUGAAAUUACCUUUUGGGAUGUCAAAGCUGGGUUCACUACAACUUCUUGAUAUUUCACAUACCGGCAUAAGAGAGUUACCAGAAGAGUUAAAGUUGUUGGUAAAUCUGAAAUGUUUGAAUUUGAGGUGGACACAUAUGUUAAAUAAAAUUCCACGGCAGCUAAUAUCAGAUUCUUCAUGGUUACGUGUGUUGAGAAUGUUCGCUAUUGGCUUUGAAAAUUCUAAAGAACCAUCAGAAGACAGCGUUUUAAUUGGUGGGGGUGAAGUUUUAGUAGAUGAAUUGCUCGGUUUGAAAUAUUUAGAGGUAUUGGAGUUGACCUUGCGAAGUUAUGAUGCUCUCCAAUUUUUUUUGAGCUCAAAUAAGUUAAAAAGUUGUAUUCGAUCUCUUUUCCUCAAUAAGCUGGGAGACACAAAGUCGAUUCAUGCUACGGCUUUCGCAGAUCUAAAGCAUCUCAAUGAACUAUGCAUUCGUUCGGCAGUGGAGUUGGAAGAAUUGAAGGUUGAUUAUACAGAGAUUGCGCCAAAAAGGUCGGAACCUUUUGUUUUCCGCAGCCUUCACCGUGUUACUAUGGAGCGGUGCCAUAAAUUGAAAGAUUUGACAUUCCUCGUUUUUGCUCCAAGCCUCAAGUCUCUUUCGCUAUACGGUUGCAAUGCUAUGGAAGAAAUAAUCAGCGUUGGAAAAUUUGAUGAGACUCCUGAGGUGAUGGGACAUAUAAGCCCUUUUGGAAAUCUCCAAACGCUUUAUUUAACUGAUUUGCCAGAGUUGAAAAGCAUCUACUGGAAGCCAUUGCCUUUCACUCAUCUCAAAGAAAUGACGGUACAUGGGUGUAAUCAGCUUAAAAAGCUUCCACUCGAUUCCAACAGUGCAACAGAGCGUAAAUUUGUUAUUCGUGGAUACACACUCUGGUGGAACCGUCUUCAAUGGGAGGAUGAAGCCACUCAAAUUGCUUUUCAUUCCUGUUUCCAAUCUCAUGAAAUAUAAAUUCCUGAGCGGUGGUUGCAAAAUUUGAUUUCUAGUGAGUGCUUUUUUCUUAAACUCUUACAUAUAUUCUCGUCGUUUGCUUCGUGCAACAGACUAGGUUUUUAUUUCAGAUUCGUUUUUUGUCUCCUGCAAAUCACAAUUAAAUGUUGAAUUAUAUGGAGUCAAUGCUUUAGAAAAUUUUCAAGGCACUGCCAUUUCCUUUUUCUUUUUUCUUUUUUUUUUUUGGGUCGAAUUGAUGCUCUGUCUUUUUACUUUUUGUUGGCAAAUUUUGCUCUGUUUUUUCAAGUUGAUGCUUGAAUAGCUGAAUUCAAUUAAUGCUCACAUAAAUUUGUUUAGUUGCCGUAAAAGGAUAUAAUUAGACUGAAGUACACACUUCUAGAAUGAAUACAAAAUGUUAAAGUAUACUAGCCCUCUUUACAGAAAAUCAAAUGAAAAUCAAUUUUUUGGGGCUUUGAUUUUCUAUGGUCUAUUAUAUACUCUUUUUAAUAUCUUCUGUUCUAACUAUAACCAAAUCCUUUGUUCAAGGAUUUUUAUUUGGGGUAUUGAUAACUGUCCACCAAAAGAGUGAACACUUGGAUGCUGCUCAAGGAUCUCUAAUCAAUAGCUGGAAGCAACUGAGAAGGCGGUCGCUACUGUUUACAAAGCGAAUCAGUAUUUGCCAUUCAUCUUAAUAAUUAUGAAGCUUUGGUAAAAUUUUCAAACAAAGUUGAACAUGUUGUUUUGAGAUUUGGUUCAUGAUUUUGGAUGAAUAUCGUUGUUCCGUUUGAGUUGGAUGUGAAUUCAAAAUCUAUAUAUUCUUUGGUUUUCAAUUCUGAACUCAAUUUCUUUUUCUCAAGCAUGUUAUGCAGAAAUGAAUUUUACUAAAUCAUUUUUGAUGAAUUGUUCAAAUUAAACAAUUGGAAUAAGAAUUGUAAAGGUUUAUCAUAAGCAUGCUAAUAUGAUAAGUUGUUUUAUGAACGAUUAAUUAAUUAAUCAAUUAAUAUUAAAGAAUAUAUUAGGCAAUUAGAUAUGCGUUACAUGUCAUGUUUAAAAACUAUUUAUUUAUAUUUCAAACAAAUUUGACUGGAUGUUGUGUAGGUAAUACUCAUAAUUAAUUUCAAAACAAAAAAAGUAAUAAAAACACGUUAAAUUUUGUUUUUAUGAAGAAAAAUUUAAAAUUUUGUUAAAUAGGUGAAAAUAAUAAAUGGAUUCGUGUAUGGUUUGAGAUUCUUGACAUAAUUAUGAAAUAAGCCGGAUUCGACUUAGUUCAAUUUUGACGCGAUAAGAAGACGACACCACACAAACACACGAUAAGAACCGGUACCUGAGAAGAUUGCCAUCAGGAAUUUUGAAAUUGAUUUCACUACAAUACCUUAAUCUUUCAGAUACUCCCAUCACUGAGCUGCCAGAGGAGCUAAAAGCCUUGGUAAGUCUUAAGUGUUUGAACUGUACACAAAUUAUCUCUCUACAAUUCAAAAACAACUGAUUUGUUACUUUUCAAUGCUACAUGUUCUGCGAAUAUUGAGUUGUGGUUAUCUUGUUGAAAGAUCAGAAAAUAGAGUUCUAUUUGGUGGUAGUGAAUUGUUGGUUGGGGAGUUGCUUAGUUUAAAACGUUUAAAUGUAUUAAGCAUCACCUUACAAGGUUUUUCUGCUGUCCAAAAACUUACGAGCUCUCAAAAGUUUCAAAGCUGUACAAAAUGUUUGGAGCUUAUAGACUGUGAUGAUUCAAAGUCUUUUGCCUUGGCAGAGUUGAAGCAUCUCGAAAAACUAGUUUUUCGAAUUGUGGAAGAGUUUAAGUUCUGCUGUGUUGAAGUUGGAAAAGCUCAAGAAUGUUUUCGUUUGAACAGCUUUCACCGAGUUAAUAUAAAGGCUUGUCAUAAAUUGAGGGACGUGACAUGGCUUGUAUUUGCUCCAAAUCAUACGGUUAUUCAAAUAGAAAAAUGUAUGCAGAUGGAAGUAAUAAUCAGCGCAAGGAAAUUGGGUGAAGUUCCAGAGAUGAUGGCAGAUCUAAACCCUUUUGCAAAACUCCAAUAUCUUCGCCUGCGAGUUCUACCAAAAUUAAAAAGCGUCUAUUGGAAUGAGUCACCCUUUCCGCAUGUCAGGGAAAUUAUUGUAUCUGAAUGCCCAAUUCUCAAGAAGCUUUCACUCGGUUUUAACAAUGCAAAGGAAUCUAAAAUUGUCAUUUAUUACAUGUUUAUAUCUAACUUUUGUUCUCCUUUAUGGUUAAAUUUUACUAUAUAUAUGUUGUUAUACGGUGACAUUCUCGCAUCAAUUAUUAGCUUUUUAAUUCUCUUCUCGUAUUAAUUGCCCUUCUGAUCAUGUAGGAUAUGCCGAUGUCAAAGAGUAGUAAAUUGGGAUACAAAUGUAAGAAUUAGCCAGAUGACAUGUUGUUUUGAAGCUUUCGAAGGACUAAUUAUGUCAUUCAAAGCAUCCAAUUUCGCUACUUUUUUUUUUUUUUCAUUUGUUGCUUUUUCUAUUUUUAGAUAGCUUGAUUGUCAGUUGUCGUAAUGUAAUGUUUUAGUAUAGAAAAAUGAUAUUCGGCCAAGACAUCGAUAGGAGGGCACAUUGUGCAUGCAUACUCGUGGAUGAUUUUGGCAUGCCGAAUCCAAUUAGUGUGAAUAACCCUUUAUAAACAUCAGGCUUCUCUCAUACCAGAUAGAGGUGGCAAAAAUACCCGCUCGGUCCGGAUCCAGACCAUACCCGGGCGUUGUGGGUCGGGUAUUACUUAAUCUGGGUAUAAAGUCGAGUCGGUCUUGGGCAUCACUUGAUAAACCCGGAACCCAGAUUUUAUUAAAAAAAUAUUAUAAAAUAUAUAUUAUUUUAAAUAUUUAUAUUUAUUUGACUCAUUUAUUAUACAUAUAUAAAGUUUUAAACACGUAAAGUUUAUAUUUUCAUGUCAAAUUUUAUUAAAAUAAAUUUAACACUUAUAAAAUUACCUAAAAAUAAAAAAUAUAUAUACAUAUAAUAUUAAAAAAUAUACAAUUCGGGUACCCAGAUUAUCUGGCCCGGACUCAGACCCAGACCAAUUGCAUCCAAGCAGGAUCCAGUCAUUGCAAUAAUCGGACCUGGCCUGGGGUUUCGCCAUCUCCAAUACCAGAGCAAUGUAGAAUAUGUUUAUAAACUGUGAAUUACCCUUUAUAAGUAUUAGGCUUCUUUUAUACUCGAGCGAUGUGGAAUACCUUUAUAAGCAUUAAGCUUCUCCCAUACACUUUAUGUUAAAAAUAAUAAUAAUAAAAUAAAUCCAUUUUAAAAUAGGCUUUUUUUUUUCUUUUUCUAUAUAAACAAAAUGCAUUCUUCAAAUCAAUAGUGGGUGGAAGAAGUGAGUAGAGAAGAACUAGGCCCCUUUCAUUCCCCUAAAACCUCACCGAAACCUCUCUUGUGAACUUCUCAGAUUCUCUCUCAAUAUUUCUUAUGAUCUCGUUUUUGAUAGAAUCACUUCUUUUGCAUGCUGCAUUUUGUGAGUUGUUUUUGGGUAAUAUCUUAUCUGGAAUGCUGUUAUGAUCAAUAGAACAAGUAAUCAAUUUUUGGUUCGACGGAAGUCGAUUUAUUUAUUUACUAUUAUUUUUAUUUGAAAUUUUGUACAAUUGUGUUUCAUUCAUUUCUUUUCUUCUUUUUAUUUUUUUAUUUAUUAUGUAGAAUUGUGUUUCAUUUGAUAUUGAUCAUACUGUAGAUAACUAUGUGAUUGUAGCUGGGGAUUUUAAGUUUUGUGAAUUCAAGAAACUGUCAAAAUGCUAGUGAAAUUGGGACCUUUAUUCAUAAGCUUGUGGUUUUGAAAAGUAGCCCGGUUCAACUGAUGAAGUUCCUUUUUGGGAUUCUUUUUUUUCUAGGCUGCAAUUCGGAUAUGUACGUGAUAGACAAUCUUUUGUGGGUUUAGCAUAUCUUCUUCGAUUUUAUCUUUUAUUCCCCAAUUUUACAGCUACACACCAUGAAUGCUGGGUGAUUGUACAGAAAAUUUGUGUUAGAACAAAAGCAUUGUGAAGGAGUUUCUGUGCUAUAAGUUAUUGGCUUCAGUUUUAUUGGCAUUAAUUGGGUAGAUUAUGUGUUACAGUGAUUCAAUUUGUGAUCCACACUUUAAUUUUCUCUUUUCCCCAAUUAUUUAUGUCAAAUUCAAAUCCAGAAGCAUGUGCUGAUUUUUUUUUUUUUGUGUUAAUCUGUGAAGUUUAUUUGGAAAGGAUGUAUCUGGGUCUAAUGGAUUAAAUUAUGACAUUGAGGAAAAGGCACUAAAGGUUUUGCUUGACACAUUUGGUCUGUGUUUACUCUGCAAUAAAUAGCUUCGCUUAUCGGAAAUCCCGAUUUGGCUGGUGAAUUUCUCAGUGACAGACAGGCAAACACCUAAACCGCUUCUAUCCAUUUUUCUGCUGGUGAGGUAAGGGGUAAAAAGUCUUCAAAAUCAUCAAAUAGUAACAUCUCUCAGAAUUCAUUUUAGAAAAAUGGAAAAUCUAGACCUGCUAGGACAAAAUGGCGUCCAGUAUCAGGAGGUACCGUUUCAAGUUUUCUUGGUAAAGAAUAUAAUAAACCUGCGCAACCAGCUAAUGGCACUUUUCUGGCAUCAAAGCCAUUGAAGUUGGAUCUAAAGGAGUUUUCCCAUGCCUGCACUGUGCAGAGAAGAAACUAAACCAAAACAAUCAAAGAAUGACCAUUUGCAGAAGGAUACGGAAGAUUUUCUAUUUAAAUUGUUAGUAGAAGGGUCCCAGCUGAACAGGGAUGUGAUUCAGGAGGUUCUCGGUAAUGUCUUAAAUAUACUGAUGCCAAUUUAAUACAUAUUGUCCUUUUCAAUGUUCUUUCUUUCUUUUUUUUUUCCCUUCUUCUUCUUUUUUCUUUUUGUGUGCAUGUGAUCACUGAUUUGGUAUUACGCUUAAGUUGCAGAUAGUUGUGGAUUUGAUAUGCAAAAGGUAAGGACUAUAUCUUCCUGAUGUAGGCCUCUGCUUUUUCCCCUUCUAUGUAAUUUAGUAAAUCGCAUCUUCCUUUGUGAUUGUUAUAUCAUAUCAAAGUCAAGUCUUAAAUACUGCUGUCAUAUGUUAAGGUUCAACUUGUAUUUUGAUUAACAUCCAUUUGCUGCUGCUUCCAAAAGUGAGAAUGAGAUACUUUGGUUAAUUUCAGUGGUUGAACCCAAUAGAGAACUUUAUUUAGAUCUUCAUGGUUCAAAGGCCUGAAAAAACUUCCUGUAAUUGUAAAAUGACAUUCUGUGCUUUUUAUGCAAUAGGGAACAGGGAAGUAGAGCUUUGGAAAAGCCUGGAUUGAUAACUAUGGAGAGACUUAUUAUUUAAGUGAUGAAAAAUUCCCAUCACCCGCGGUCAAGAAAAUUUCAGAUAGUUAAAGACUCCAUUUUGCUUCAGCCAAAAAUGUUUGUUGCAAUGAAAGACUUGAACCAUUUUCAUUGAACCUGAUUGUGAUCCUUUACGUUAUGCAUGUUCCUCUCAAUCAAGAAAAGUUGAGGUCAUGAUUCUAUAUUUCUAUAUUGUAACUUGAAAUAAUAAUUGGUCUACUUGUUUCUGUAUCUUGAUAAGAUGAAUUUUCCUUCUCAAGUUAAUUUGAUCAAUAAAGUAAUUCUUCAAAGAAAAUAUGCCCAUUCUAUAAUCAUUUUCUUAGCUAAGAUGUUUUUUCUUCACUCUUCAGAGCAUGUCAAAACUAAUUGAUCGCUUGGCAGAUACUUUGGGUGAGAAGACAAAAUUUCUUGGUAAAUCCUCGGAAAAGGUAUGCAUAAUUCCCGAGUAUUAAAUAACCAAUAGUCAUAAUUUUUGUACAUGACUCUUUUUUCUCUUUUUUGUGGAGAUCAUUAAAAUUGGUUGAUGAUCCAUUUUGUAAUAUCAUAGAGGGAUCAUCAAUUCCUUCUCUUUUCUGUGGCUAGGCAACACUUUCUGGCCAAAGUAAGAAAAUCUAUUUUAGGUAAUGUGAAAACCAACGGUAGGAUGUAAUAGUUUAUUAUGCACUGACAAUAACUUUUUGUAUGAUUGGCAGUUUAAUGAAUACAAGAGGAACUUUGUUGACAAAUUCAUCCAAGAUAGAUGCUAAAAUUAUUUAUGCAUGCCAGUUGCCUUAACUAAUUUUUCUUAACACUUGUAUUGAACAGGAAAAUGAAUAAGCAAUCUGUAUAUUGUGCCAUUGUGGAGUAUUUGGAUAUUCUGAUUUAAGUAACAAGGAGAAUACUUGUCUCAUCUUUAAACAAUGAAUCUUUGAGAAAUGAGGAGUGGGGGAUUGGAAGUGUCUUCAUGUAAAUGUUCAUUUAUUUGUAUUUUGAACUAUUAUGAGAAUCUUAUAUGCCAAAUCAGUAAUACAAAUGUUCAGAUGAUUUUUGCUGUUGAUCAUGCAUUUGUGUCUGCACACAACCAUUGUAUAUCACUUUAUUCUGAUGUGCAGGUAUGUGUAGCUUAGAAGAAACAGAAUAAUAAUCAUCUAUUAUUGCUUGGUUCAUGAUUAUUAAACGAUUAUGGCUUUAAAAAGUCUACAAAUUCCUUCUGUUCAUAUAUGAAUGUGCCAAGUUUGCUAUAUCUUAGAUUAUCUUCUUCCAAGAUAACAAGUUCAUAUUCUUUUUAAUCUUUUUCCAUCACAGUUGACUUUUAGGUGUUAAGAUUUGUUAUUAGUCCCCUGUUAUUAUGAUUUCAUAAACAGUGUACGGAUAUGUGCUCUAACUUUGGAGGACCUCCACGUGAAAGAAAAUUGCAACAAUUGAAUUCUUCCGGAGGGUAUGGUCUUUAAUUUAUUUUCUCAACUUCUCGUAAGAUUAAUAUAUUUCAUUCAGUAGGCACAGCAUGGGGGAAGGGUUUUUAUUGAAAGAAUUCUGAUAUUUCUUAGACUUCGUUUUGGAAUGGGGUGGAGGGAUUUCUCAUCCAUGUAUGGUUACUUGAUUAGCUUUUGACUGUAUUUCCUCAGUCAUGUAAAGGAAGAUCCAAAUACCAACGAAGGAAAAUUGCCUAGACACCCGAAAGACAGAAAUGAGCUACAGAAGCAAGUUUUAGCUACUUUAUUUAGUGCUCCUGAGAAAUCUGAUGGAGACCGAAUGGAGGUCCAAAGCACUGGGAGAGGUAGUGAGUGAACCGCCGGAGGAGUUGGCACCGGAAUGCAAGGCUAAUGUGGUGCACUUGCAGCAAGAUAACCAAACCGGUAUGUGCUCUUAUUUUAACUAUACUGACUGGAUUUGUGAGUGUGUGCAUUUUUUUGUGUAUACUCUUGUAUUUAUGCAUAUUAAUGUGUGUAGGAAUUUCUGCCACUUACUGGAGAACUAGUGGAAAGCUUUAUACCGAUAUAUCUGCAAUAACUAAUUGGAAACUAUGAUAUUAAUAUUUUCUCUCACCUGAGGAACUGUGUAACAGAUAUACUUUGUGGCUCUGGAAUACUAGAGAUUCUGCAAUAACUAAUGGAAACUAUGAUAUGAAUAUUUUAUCUCAACUGGAGAACUUUGUAACUUGUAGCUCUGGAAUGUCUAAGGAAUUUUGUCUGCUUCAGUUAGAUCAAAUAUCUUUUAGUUGCAUACAUUAUAGAAAAAGAUAAAGUUCUCUGAAUCUGAAAGACUGAAACAUUUUGUAUAUUUUGUGAAAGGGAAAUAUCUGUAUAUACUAGUUCAUGCAUUGAGGUAACAUCAAUGUUAAAGAAAAACAGCAAUAAGUUAUUAUGUGGAACAAGGUUCACUUGCUUUAAAUGCUGGUCUGGUCAACCAUAUGAACCUGUAAGUUCUGCAGAAAUAUAUAUAUGGGGAGAAACUAGCUAAAUUUUCCGUUCAUUGAUGGCUUUGGUCAUUUUUUUCCCCUUAUUUUUCAGCUUUCCUUCUCCUGAAGUAUGUCAACAACUGCAGAUAAUGAUGAAGAGGACAGCUUGCAGGCUCUUCUUAGAGCCAUGAUGGAAUAUAGGGGCACAAUGAAGGAACAUUGCAAAGCUGUAGGUUCUUUUUCUCCUGUCAUUUAUGUUUUCUCACACAUUUUUUAUAUGCUCCAAGCAUGCAAUUUUGUAUGUGUCAACUGCUUCCUAAGUUUUAAAAACCAUAAUGUAAGAAUACAGUUCUUUGUCAGGUUAUUGAUGCAUUUGCUCAGGGGGAUCAUGUUCGAGCAGGAAAACUUCUAGAGCUGACAAGGUUUUCCAUCUACAGCCAUCUAUUGACAACAGAUACAUUUUCAUUCAGCAAACACUGUUAGCAUUCAAGAUACUGGCAGAUUCACUUGAUUCUUAUUAGUUUGUUUAGUAGCAAAGCAUAUAACCUGUAUUUCAAAGCCAAGUUGUGCUAUUGAUUAUGUUAACUUUAUUGUUCACAUAAAGUGAUAUGGAGGAAAUAAUCAAUGUAGGAAAAUUAGGUGAAGAGAUGAUGUCACAUCUUGAACCUCUUACAAAGCUCCAAGUUCUUUACUUGAAGAAGCCGCCAAAUUUGAAGAGCGUCUACUGGAAGGCAUUUCCAUUCCCAGAUGUAUGCAGAAUUUUUGUAUUAAUGCCCAGUUCUUAAGAAGCUGCCACUGGACUUUCAAAGGCGGGCCAAGGUAAAAUUCUUAUCGAGGGAAAGGAAGAUUGGUGGAAACAACUUCAAUCGGAGGAUCAAGUAACUCAGAAUGCAUUGCUUCCAUUUUUAAAAUCAACUGACAAGUGAUUGAAGGGGGCAUCAUCAACAUCAUCAACAUGGAUGGAGAGAUUCAGGAGCAGAUCAGCAGGGUUUAGUACGACCUGUGGUGGUUUCUUUUUUGUGACUUUUUUCCCUUUCAUUUUUUCACUUCCUGUCAUAUUAUCAUUUCUGUCUCUGUUUCUAUUGCUGGUGUUGCUGCAUGCUUGCUGUCCUUGACAAAG